UUCAAUCUUCAUGGCAACUCCCAUCACACUCCUCAAAAAAACUCCCACCUUCUCCGUCAAAUGCAUGUCACAAACACCUCAAAGCGGUGAACCGGAGAUUUCAAAACCAGCAACCACCCCAACACCACCAAAGAUCAACAUUCCUCCUCCUCCGCCACCUGCUCCAAAGGUCAGCACGAAGUUCUCUGACGUGUUGGCGUUUAGUGGACCUGCACCGGAGAGGAUCAACGGAAGGUUAGCCAUGAUAGGGUUUGUGUCGGCGAUGGCUGUGGAACUGAGCAGCGGUCAAGACGUGUUCACCCAGAUCGGCAACGGCGGUGUUGCGGUAUUUGUCGGGACAAGUGUGGUGUUGACGUUAGCGUCGUUGGUGCCGUUGUUUAAAGGAGUGAGUGUGCAGUCGAAGUCGAGUGGACUGAUGACAUCAGAUGCAGAGCUUUGGAAUGGGCGGGUUGCGAUGUUGGGUCUGGUGGCUUUGGCUUUUACUGAAUAUGUUAAAGGCAGUGCCCUUGUCUAGAUAAUGUAUCAUAGACUUUUCUAUUACAGAAUUACAUCUAAGAUAGGCAAAUGUAUAUUCUUUUGAAUAUUUAUGUGUAUCGAUUUACCAUACAUAGUUCAAAUCAUGAAAAUCAAUUAAUCAUGUUUUUUUGAUAAUAUAGUAUAAAACAAAUAUGAUCAAUCAAAUUGAACGAUUGUGGUAUCUUUCAAUAUAAAAUUCUUUUUAUAAAAUUAAACAAACAACAUACUAAGAUAAAUUUUAGAGGCAUGAACCUAGAUUAGCAAUAUAAGAGUCAAAGUCUACAAAGAUAUUGAAAUCCUAGUUUCACAACUUCCUCUUUGAAUGUUGAACUGAGGUGAUCUUCAUUAAUUCAGACCAAAUAUGUGCAUAAGUCCAGCCUAGUCAAUUAGCCAAUUUAAGAUGACAAGUAUCCAAAAUUCAAAUACAUUACAUACCUCAAUUUCAAACAAAACUGAAAAAUAUAAUGACUAAUGCUCACAAAAUGAUCACUUUCGGGGAGUGGUCACAGUUAAACUACCGGAAAAGCGCUGCAAACUCAACGUUACAUCUGCUCCAUCACCAAUUCCCUAAACAUUGGAAAUAGUUACCACUCUAUAUCAUUUAUAUUUAUAUUUUAUUUAUUUUUUAAAAUUAGAUUAAAUAAAAAACAUAAUUAUAAACUUAAGUAAUCAUUUUACUAAUUAAAAAAUCAACUAAACAUAUUAUUAAUUUUUAAAAUUAUUAAACAUAUCUAGUUAUAUAUAGUUGAGGGUUUAACUUAAUUCAAAGAAAAAUAAAAGGGUAUAAUAAGAUUAAAAGACACAAUUUUAGAGACCAAAUUUGUAACUUCAAUUAAAGCAAAUUUGAAUCGUCUUCUUCACCUGUCUUCUUCAACCUUUUUCUGAAAAACGGGUCAUUGCUCAAUACCAUUUUUUUUUCUUUUACUUUGAUGGAUACAAAAGAAAAGGAAAAAAGGGUUAAAUACGUGACCUUUGUUGUUGCUACUUUCUUAUUCGUUGUCUUCAUCCGUCUUUGCACCCACGUUACACCCAAACCACUGGCCUUAGGGGCGGUGUGGACAUAUCCUUAGGCCGGACACAUCAGCAAGAUGCGUGGGUUAGUCCUCCCACUCCGGUUAGCCUUAAACACUUAUUAAAAGCUAGUGGACGUCUUUGCACCCACGUUACACUCAAACCACCGGCCUUAGGGGCGGUGUGGACGUAUCCUUAGGCCGAACACAUCAGCAAGAUGCGUGGGUUAGUCCUCCCACUCCAGUUAGCCUUAAACACUUAUUAAAAGCUAGUUUAUUUCUUGUUAGUUUGAAAUCUAAUGUUAUCAUCAAAUCUAUACAAGAUUGAGAUUGAUAUCAGAGUAACAAUCUCCAAAAGAAAAAUAUUUUACUCAAAAGAAUAUAUAUAUAUAUAUAUAAUGAAUUAUAUCCUAAGAAGUACUAUGCAUGAGUAUAAGAUUACUAUUAUCUUGGGAUCUAUUAAUUGGUAACUAAGCAUACUUCCAAGUUACUAUAUGAAAUUUAGUUAAGGAUUAAUGUCAAGUUGGGUGCAUGCACCUCACUCAAAGGCCUUGUAUUUUUAUCGGUCCCAAGUGACAUCUUACAAGGGCCGUUUUGGAGUUUUUUCUUUCCCCAAUGUAUUAACAUUUAUUUUUUUUUGAUAUUUUUGAACUUUUUAUUUUCUUAGAAAAGUAUACAAAAUAAAAUAUAUACAAGUUUACUUGAAGAUAUGAGUGUUUAUCAGGUUAUUCUCUUGAACUAUCUAUUCUUAGAUAUGAAUAAAUGUGUUUGUCUUUAUCAUUUUUCCCCUUUGUCAAUUCUUGACUAAUAAGGUAAUAGUCGUUCUUGGUGAGGGAUUCACCUCUCUAUUGAUUCUUCAUUCUAAUUAAAUGUUUGGAUUCAACAAUGUCCGAUUGAGUAGUUCUUUAAAACCGCAUUCUACCAUUUGCAUCUUUAUAUUAAUCCCAUGAAUUGGGGAUUCCAUAAACUGAAACUCUUGGAGCUCAAUAGUGUAGUUGAAAAACAUUUGUCGAGCCUACCACUUCCAUGAAAUAGGAGAAUUUUUUCAAUAAACUAAGUAGUUCCUUCUUUAUGGAUCAUCUUUUCGUUACUCGACCCCUGCUUACAUGCGAUUCCUACUAGAAAAUAGAAUUGCAGACUAACUGCAGCUGCAGACAACCCUUCGUUUGGCCAGAAGGGGUUUGAUAUUCCUUGGAGAAAAAUCUCAUCCUGAAAAUAACAAUAUCCAUGAACACAAUGGCUACGAAAUACUGAUUUUCUUAACCGACGAACCGAAAUGUUACAGCCAUAAUGCUGAAACCUCAUUACUUGCCCGCCCUUUAAACAGGUAGAACCAUCCCUGAGCAUAGAAACAUAAACUAAAUCCUGAACCCUCCAGCUGAGGUCUUUGAUAUCCAAUUUUCUUGAUCCACAUCUUUCUGAGUAUAGAUGUUGCACUAAUACACUCGCGAUUCCCAAUGCGAGCUUUCACCAAAAACCCACUCGAAUAUGGCCACUCAUAUUCUUCUCGAAGACCCUUCCCUACAUCUAAUGAGCGUCCAAUUAUGAAUCUGCCCGCAAUUCCUGACUGGAGACACUAACAGAAACAUGCAUAACUGAUCCUCGAAACAUACCGACCACGAUCUUCACCCAAAACCAAACCAUAUGAUGUACCAAAACCUUAUUAACCCUUGAUCCUCUUCUAUUCCAUUACUGACCACUGCUUCGCCGAGCAAGAGAUAAAUCCAAGAAUUUCUGCUUUACAUCCAACCCCUUAUAGAAUCAGGUGUACCCCCACCUGGACAACCACUUGAGACAAUCAUAAAGAACUUUAUGACUUGCGACUUUCCAACCAAUCCCAACUUGAAAACCACAACAAUAGCAACAACUUGCGAACAACCAAAAAUAUAAUGUAUACAUCCCAUAAGGACUUUCUGAUUCCUGACAGAUACUCCCAACAACCUUUACUACUUCCUUUAUCCAACCAAUAGAUUUACGACUCGCUCGUCUCCCAUCAGUGUAUCGAUACCGAAAGCACCACAAGCAGAAUAAAUGAACAACCAUGUUCACUAGGCCCUCAAAGUAUGACUGGAAUACCCCUUAUAAUGUCCUCUGAAUAUGUUUGGAUUGCCUCUGAGCCCACAACAUGAAUCUGGAAUGCCCUCCCUGGCCUUCAGCCCAUGUCUGGAAUGCUCUCGAUAUCACAACGACCUUGACGCCAUCGCAUCGCUCGCCCAUCACUCCAGGCCCACAGAUACUCACCUCAUUCCAUUCCCUUGAAGGGACUUAAUCAAUUCCCUCACCACGCCAAUUGUGCAUCACAAAGAUGCCACCAAAGCAAACCUUACAAAACAUGGACGUACGCGACCCGUGAAUAGGAAAAUAGAUGCACCAUUGGCCCGAUUCGAAGGCUAAAAUCCAAAAGAACCAUGCACAUGAUUCGAACCAAGUGCUCCAAUGCUAUCUUUACCAGAUUACAUGAACUACCCCCAUACACAUACUUAAGAAACCUAGAAUAUCAUCCAGAGAGAGAAGGAAUGUCAGAUAUAAUCUAAAAAUACCUCAAUUAAUAACAUAAAACAUCCCCAUGAUCAGUUGAAACAAGAUCCCAUACUUGAUUGAGACUGAACGGAUUCCAUCGCUACACAACUAGGUUGAGAAGACUUCCGCGGAUAUCGAAGGUUGCCUAAACCUGAGUCUGCUAUUAACCAAGUUCCCACUCCACCAUUGAGGGUAAACACACUCGAAGGACCAAAGAACAUAGAUCAUACCGAACUUGAUGACAGAUUGGCCCGACCACUGCAUCUCGGCUGACACAAUUAAACUUCCGAGUGAACUUUUAUUGAAUGAUGAACCCCAAAAUUAGUGGUCGAGGACACAUUGACACUUAAUCCAGAGAAUCAAGACCCACAUGGAACUGAACAUACCCGCUUCUGGAAAGAUCCACUGACUAACGUCUGCCUAACUAAUCUGAAAAUAGCAAUCCAACAACAAACUCGCAUAUCCCUCAAUGGCUAAAAAUACUCAACCUUAGAAUCCCUAUUCUCCCCCACUUUAGGCUCAAACUACCACUUACUGGCGCUAAAACCAAAUCAUAACUCAAACCAUCUUGAGCAUGUACUACCCUUCCUAACCCUGGAAGUUACGAGUCUGCUCACUGCUUCCCCGAACUCGGAAAAACUGAAAGGGCGUAACCCUAUAUCUUAUAUUCUUCAAACCUAGAGAUAUGAGUUGUUACUAUGAGUUGGUUAUACAUUUGAUUGCACGAAAACGCAUUGGUAACUCGAUGAUAUAAAACGUGCCUUUGUGUAUGAUUCAACAAGUAGUAGAACAAGCCAUAUGAGUCGAAGUUUAUCCAUUCCUUUUACCUUCAGGAUAAAAGCGAUAUCCAUGGGCCCCUCGAUGAUUUAUUAAUGAUGACACAUGUGAGUGCUUGGGCAAGCCAUGACUGAUUUGAUCUGUUCAAUCAGUCAGUCAUCAUGAAUCGGAAAUCAGGAAACAAUAAAUGGAUAGAGAUAAUGAUUUAUAAUCCAUGUCUUAGUCCAUAUGAUAUUUAGAAUGGAGGAAUAUAUGAUCCCUUAUCUAAUGGACUAGUCAUUGACAAAGGUCAAAGUUCAUCGACGAGGUCAGAGUUCAACAACGGCUUUUGAGAGUUACGAUUGCCAGUUGGUUUUUGAAGUCAUCCUCAAUAAUAGUUUUAGACUUAUCCAAGUAGGAGACUAUUGGAUUAGUGUCUAAGUCCAUACCUAUAAUUGGUAUGUACUUGACCGUACUCGUCAUUGUCCAUUUGGGUUGCAUGGCAUCGGAACAUUUGGAUAAACUGUUUGUGAGAAAAGGACAUUUGUGACAUAUUAAUAUAUUAUAAGUUCUAAUAUAUUAAUAUUAAAUCAUGUUAUUUAAUUAGUAUUGAUCAAGAAUUAAUUCAGACUUAAUUUAGUGAUCAAAAGAGACUAAUUAAAUAUAUGGGGAUUGAUUGUGUAAAUCAUUCAUUCUUAUAUAUGUGGGGUUAUGAUCCAUUAUUCCUUAUGUUGGGUUUAACCCAUGUGGUGAUCCAUGGAUACUCCAUGGAGGUUAAAACCCAUGAAGCAUAAGGAAUUCGUAAAGUCAUGGGUUACAUAGUGUAACCCUAAUGCGCACACUAUAUAAGGACCCCUUUAGCUCAAGAAACGGCACUAGUGAUACUUAUAUGAGGGCUAGCCGAUUUCAACAUAGGGUUCUUCUUCUCAUGGUUAUUCCAAGUGUUGAUGAUGUUGUGUGNNNNNNNNNNNNNNNNNNNNNNNNNNNNNNNNNNNNNNNNNNNNNNNNNNNNNNNNNNNNNNNNNNNNNNNNNNNNNNNNNNNNNNNNNNNNNNNNNNNNUUUCCAUUGCAGUCAGAGGGGCCACAAGAAGGCCCAGUGUCCGAGAUUGUAUCCAGUAGGGCAGGUGCCAGCUCCUGCCCUUGGGAUUUCGAGUACCGCCAGCAGUUGUCGAGGCCCGGCAAGGGUGCCUACGGCUCAGAGCCGAGUUUUCCGGUAGAUUUCAGCAGGGAUUCGAGCAGCACUGAGUAAUGAAGGUACGUAACUUUUGUUUUUCUGUCAGCUUAUGUCAUGAUUAUAUUGUUAUGGUUCUGCAUCAAAUUGUGGUAUAAGUGUUGUGUUAUAGUGUGGCUUGCUUGUGAUUAUGUUAUAUGCCAUUUGCAUACCUCGGAUAAUUGGUUGGUAGUUAGGGAAUGUGCUCUUAUGGAGAAGGUUUCGGAGGAUGCAGNAUGGUUGGGAGAGAUUUGGUUCGUUUCGCGAGUUCGGAGUGGUUAGUGUUGGGUUGGAUUGGUUAGAUCCCUAGCUAUGGCAGGCUUGGGCUCCUUAGCAGAAUGAUUAUGGAAUGGCAGCAAAGAUCGGGAUCUCUUUUGAGUGUGAAGCAGCAAGGGGUAAGCAGGAUCGAAGUGGGGGAGAACCCUCCGGGUAUACAUGGAUAAGAGUCUCGUAGACUCAGAAUGAGUGCGCGGCCUCUGAGAAGAAAUGGUAGUAGCACAGUGAUGGAUGGAUUGAGAAGUUCAGAAUUGGGAGUUCGAGAACUUUUCCCAGCAGUUAGUUCAUGUAAUCGAGAUGGUUAGAAGCUGGUUGGGAAUCCAGGAUUGGAGGACCACCUGUCGGACGCAUGAGAGUCGGAAUGAAGAUCCUGAGAACGGGUAACAAGAGAUGUUUUCGUAUUAGUAGCCAGUGUCUGAGGCAGCAUGCAGGUUGUGUAGAUUCAGGAGUUGGGAGGUUGGAAACUUCCCAACAAUAGCUUCUUGUAUCCGGAUUAGUAGACGGUUGGUUUGGGAACCAAGCCGAAGGAUUCCUCGACGAAGCGCUAAGUAUAUCAAGGAUAUAAGAUGUCGAGGAUGAUGCAGAAUUCAAAGUCUAAGGACUGUUUUUUUUGAGAAAUCGGGAUGAGGAAUCACUAGCAGGACUAGGGAUAGUCAGGAUGUUCUCGAGAUAGUAGUAGUGUUGUAAGUCUGCGGGGGUAGCCGUAGCAUUCACUAGCAGUCAGAUAGCAGUAGUAGUGUUGUAAGUCUGCGGGGGUAGCCGUAGCAUUCACUAGCAGUCAGAUAGCAGUAGUAGUGUUGUAAGUCUGCGGGGGUAGCCGUAGCAUUCACUAGCAGUCAGAUAGCAGUAGUAGUGUUGUAAGUCUGCGGGGGUAGCCGUAGCAUUCACUAGCAGUCAGAUGGUAGUAGUAGUGGUGUUGUAAGUCUGCGGGGGUAGCCGUAGCAUCCACUAGCAGCCAGAUAGUAUUAGAGAGUUGUAAGUCCGCGAGCGUAGUCGCAGCCUUUUAUCAGAUUGGUAAGUAGCAUGAGCGCGUGUUAGACGCGGGAAAGCAGUUGUACCCACCAGUUCGGGUGUAGCAGUGAGGAUAUGGGAAUCCACGGGUUAGAUUUCGGAUUUCCCAAAGGGAUCAGUUACGGCUAAGUUAGCAAUUUGGGCUUUGGAUCGUCACAUCAGUUAUGAGAUCAGAGUAGCAGUGGACCGUUAGGGUUCAGGUAUGUUGCGGACUACAGUCAGUCUGGGAACCAUCAUGUUGUUAGUCGUGGAAUUGAUGAUGUCAGGAUGUGACGUAUGGACCCGAUCGGUUGGAUCGGAAAGUUGCUAGAGCCUCAGUGACAGGAUAACUAGUGGAAACUAGUCCUAGAGGAAAAUUUCGUUCAGAAGUCGUGGAAGCGACUAAGUGAGGAGUCCCUUGACUCCACAGUUGGGUUGGAGUUCAGUGUUCCAGUCAGUUCAGUGUUUCAGGCAGCUCAGCGUUUCAGGCAGCUCAGUGUUUCAGGCCGUUCAGCGUUUCAGUCGGUUCAGCGUUUCAGGCAGGUUCAGUAUUGCAGCUAGUUCAGUGUUUGGAAGGUUUCAGGGUUUUGGGUUAGUAUUGCAUUUGCGUUGGAAUGCAAGUGCUGACGGUAUAGUUGGUUGAUUUGGAAUUGGCAAGUCCCUCUCAGCAGGAUCAGUUGAGCCUUUUGCCGAGUAUAAGUGAUUGGUAGGGAUGGCUAGGCAGGUAGCUUUUCAUUCAGGAAGAAAGGCUCGAGUAAGUAGGAGAUGAGUAAGCAGGUGGGAUAAAAGCAAGCUGGUUCCAGCAGCAUCGUUUCAGUAUGAACGGCAGGAUGGAUAGAACAGUUAUAGAUAAUCAAAGUAUCUUUAGGAGUCGCUGGAAGAGACUAGGAGUUUGCGAUGGAGUGUAGUGACCGGUGGGAGUCCGGUAACUCAGAUAUAGGGAGAUUGGUUAGACCAGAGUAGUCUCAGUACAUCCGGUAGGCGGAUGGGAGGCAGCAGGAUUUUCAGUCGGAGGAAGUAACGUUGAGGAGAUUAUGGGAAAGAGAAGGAUUUAGUAUGUUCUAUCGGUAGUGAUCGGCACUGUGAGUGGCCGGAGUGAUGGGCAAAAGAGUGAGGGAUUUUCCAGACAAAGAGUUGGAGGCAGUUCGCAGGCAGUUGAUCAUAGCAAACUUCGAGGACGAAGUUUAGUUUAAGUAGGGGAGAGUUGUAACACCCCAAAGAUUGGAAAGUCAAGAAAAGAAAGAAGACCUCAAUUUUAAGAAGAGACUCGGCGAGUCCAAGGAGGGACUCGGCGAGUCCNNNNNNNNNNNNNNNNNNNNNNNNNNNNNNNNNNNNNNNNNNNNNNNNNNNNNNNNNNNNNNNNNNNNNNNNNNNNNNNNNNNNNNNNNNNNNNNNNNNNNNNNNNNNNNNNNNNNNNNNNNNNNNNNNNNNNNNNNNNNNNNNNNNNNNNNNNNNNNNNNNNNNNNNNNNNNNNNNNNNNNNNNNNNNNNNNNNNNNNNNNNNNNNNNNNNNNNNNNNNNNNNNNNNNNNNNNNNNNNNNNNNNNNNNNNNNNNNNNNNNNNNNNNNNNNNNNNNNNNNNNNNNNNNNNNNNNNNNNNNNNNNNNNNNNNNNNNNNNNNNNNNNNNNNNNNNNNNNNNNNNNNNNNNNNNNNNNNNNNNNNNNNNNNNNNNNNNNNNNNNNNNNNNNNNNNNNNNNNNNNNNNNNNNNNNNNNNNNNNNNNNNNNNNNNNNNNNNNNNNNNNNNNNNNNNNNNNNNNNNNNNNNNNNNNNNNNNNNNNNNNNNNNNNNNNNNNNNNNNNNNNNNNNNNNNNNNNNNNNNNNNNNNNNNNNNNNNNNNNNNNNNNNNNNNNNNNNNNNNNNNNNNNNNNNNNNNNNNNNNNNNNNNNNNNNNNNNNNNNNNNNNNNNNNNNNNNNNNNNNNNNNNNNNNNNNNNNNNNNNNNNNNNNNNNNNNNNNNNNNNNNNNNNNNNNNNNNNNNNNNNNNNNNNNNNNNNNNNNNNNNNNNNNNNNNNNNNNNNNNNNNNNNNNNNNNNNNNNNNNNNNNNNNNNNNNNNNNNNNNNNNNNNNNNNNNNNNNNNNNNNNNNNNNNNNNNNNNNNNNNNNNNNNNNNNNNNNNNNNNNNNNNNNNNNNNNNNNNNNNNNNNNNNNNNNNNNNNNNNNNNNNNNNNNNNNNNNNNNNNNNNNNNNNNNNNNNNNNNNNNNNNNNNNNNNNNNNNNNNNNNNNNNNNNNNNNNNNNNNNNNNNNNNNNNNNNNNNNNNNNNNNNNNNNNNNNNNNNNNNNNNNNNNNNNNNNNNNNNNNNNNNNNNNNNNNNNNNNNNNNNNNNNNNNNNNNNNNNNNNNNNNNNNNNNNNNNNNNNNNNNNNNNNNNNNNNNNNNNNNNNNNNNNNNNNNNNNNNNNNNNNNNNNNNNNNNNNNNNNNNNNNNNNNNNNNNNNNNNNNNNNNNNNNNNNNNNNNNNNNNNNNNNNNNNNNNNNNNNNNNNNNNNNNNNNNNNNNNNNNNNNNNNNNNNNNNNNNNNNNNNNNNNNNNNNNNNNNNNNNNNNNNNNNNNNNNNNNNNNNNNNNNNNNNNNNNNNNNNNNNNNNNNNNNNNNNNNNNNNNNNNNNNNNNNNNNNNNNNNNNNNNNNNNNNNNNNNNNNNNNNNNNNNNNNNNNNNNNNNNNNNNNNNNNNNNNNNNNNNNNNNNNNNNNNNNNNNNNNNNNNNNNNNNNNNNNNNNNNNNNNNNNNNNNNNNNNNNNNNNNNNNNNNNNNNNNNNNNNNNNNNNNNNNNNNNNNNNNNNNNNNNNNNNNNNNNNNNNNNNNNNNNNNNNNNNNNNNNNNNNNNNNNNNNNNNNNNNNNNNNNNNNNNNNNNNNNNNNNNNNNNNNNNNNNNNNNNNNNNNNNNNNNNNNNNNNNNNNNNNNNNNNNNNNNNNNNNNNNNNNNNNNNNNNNNNNNNNNNNNNNNNNNNNNNNNNNNNNNNNNNNNNNNNNNNNNNGUCAGCUUCGGACUUCGGUCCGAUGGAGGGGGCAAGGCCCCAGUCAGUUAGCUUCGGACUUCGGUCUGAUGUCAGCUUCGGACUUCGGUCCGAUGGAGGGGACAAGGUCCCAGAUAGUCAGCUUCGGACUUCGGUCCGAUGGAGGGGGCAAGGCCCCAGUCAGUUAGCUUCGGACUUCGGUCCGAUGUCAGCUUCGGACUUCGGUUCGAUGUAGGGGGCAAGGCCCCGUUAGUCCGGACUUCGGUCCGAUGCAGUGGGCAAGGCCCAAUAUGUGCUUUAUAUGUUUUGUAUGAUAUGUGGUAGAUUGGGGGAGCUCACUAAGCUUCGUGCUUACGGUUUUCAGUUUUGUUUUCAGGUACUCGAUUUCCAAAAGAGGAGCUCGGGAAGAUUGCAGAGCACACACCAUAGUCAGUUAGCCUGGGAAUGUUUGACUCUGAUAAUGAUAUUAUGUUUUGAAUUGAAUACUCAAAAGUUAUGUUUGACUUAUGAUACGUUGUUAUAAAUCUAUUUUUAGUAAUGUUUAAAAGAAAUUUUUAGUCAUGAUUUUUGGGUCGUUACAAAUACCUUGGAAUAUUCAUAUUUGCAUGUAUAAUAGAGAAAACGUAGAUCCAAGGUAUUUAGGGUUGCAUGUACACCAUAGGAGUGAUAGAGUGCUCAAAACCCAACAAAUAGGUCCGAGUCCUUCAUUCUAAGAUUAUUUAACCUUCAUAGCAUGUAAUUUAUUGUAUUCACUUGAUGGUUAACUCCCAUCAACAUGGGUUCCACAAAGCUCAAAGCAAGGAACAUUCGGGCAGAGAAGUCGGUUGUCACUAAAACGCAACAAAAUUUGACAGAUCCUCAUACAAAAUCCUCAAUCUCAAACUCCCCGCACCACGGGUGCACCUUUGCCCUGCUCUCACUCUCCCCAGAGUGGCUAAUCAUUCCUCGUGCUGACCAGCUAUACACUGUACCCACUCAUGAAACUUCCACCAACCCUACAACACUCUUGUAUGCUAGCUGUACAUAACACUGGAUCCUAUAGACAGUCGAAUAUCUGAUCCGAACCUAAGUCCUUCAUCAAACAAGAACAGAAAAUAAGGCCGAAUGAAACAUUCUCAGGCUAAAGAAUCUUAGUUAUGUACAACUAUAAUGCAUACUCUAAGCAAUUGUAGUAAUGAUGUCAAUUUCAUCUAAGGAAGAACCCUAGGCUAUCAUGCAUCAUAUAAUCAGGAAACUCUAUCAUGCAAUUCCUAUAGAUCCCUAGCCUAUCACUAACAUGCUAUUUUAACAUAUCACAAGAUCAAUAACAGUGUAGCAAUUUGGGGUCUACUUACUGGCUCCGACUGAUCUUACACAUAGUAUCCUCUUUAGUUUGAAAGCGACUUUGAAAGUUAUUUUUAAAACCUUUACUUUGAAAAUUAUUUUUUAAAAAACCCUUUUUCCUUAGUUUGAUACUGGAUUCACACGAGUGUUCCUCCAAUUCACUCAAACCAAGGCUCUGAUACCAACUUGUAACGUCACAAAAAUUUCAACAAAUUGAAACCUUUCGAAACAACCCAUUUAUUAAGAAAAGUGUUUUGACCCGUAGGCGCUUUGUACGCCUUGAACUCCCGGAAUGAGGGAGUUCGAUUCCUAAUCUGACCCGUAGUGAUCUCAGCUCAGAAAGAACAAUUUGCUCCUCUAUAAUCUCCAUGAUCCCCUCCUUGACGGUAUUGAAAAUCACUGGGGUAGCGUUAAGGAUGUCGCGAGUAACAUCGACUACGAUAAUCUCAUGCAACCUCUCAUCAAUCGGCUUUGCCGCAGAUCCUGAGCCCGAUCCCGAACCUGAACCUCCUCGCGUAGCCAUCACCAUCCUCAACUGAAAAAUACAACGUAGAAAGCAAUUGAUAAGGAAUAUCAAAAGGAUUUCUCCCCACCAGACUGAUGGUUUUUGAGCACUACACCAUUCCUAUGGUGUACAUGCAACCCUAAUGCUUCAGAUCUAUGUUUUUCUCAAGUUAUACAUGCAAAUCAAAUCAUCCAAAGCAUAAACCCUAAAUAGCAUACAAUUUUUGGAAUUUGUAACUUAAAAAAAAAGUUAGAAGAAUACAUUUUCCUUGUAGCUUGUAGAUCUUGACCUUCAAGAGCUUAGUGCCUCAAUUGUUGCACUCUAGUGAGUCACAAACACCAAGUAGCAAUUUGGAAGAAUAUGAGAGAGGUUAGGAGGCUCAAAAUCGGCUAGGGUAUUAUCUUAGAAGCAAUUGACUAAUUUCAAGGUGUCAUGGGGUAUUUAUAUAGUUGUGCAAUUAGGGUAUUUAACUGAAACCCUAAUUCUCUGCUUAGGCCUUAAGCAAUCCAGUAGAUCCUUCCAGAAGGCCUCUUAUGGACGAAAUCUAUGUGGGCUAUACAUAAGAUUUCGUCCAUCCCUUCUUAGGGAUCCACAUGCUCAACUUGGCAACUACCAUAUAAUUGCAAUAUCAGUCCUUGUAAUCUAACCAGUCUCUUUUGAUCACCAAGUUAAUUCCAAAUCAAUUCCUGAUCAAUACUAAUUAGUUAAUCUGAUUUCUCAAUUAAUAUACCAUUCUUAUAAUAUAUUAAUAAAUCAAAAUUAACCUCUUUCUCCAUAAUUCAUCUAGUCAAGUUGCUAUGGUGCAGGCAACCAAAAGCACCAUGCUACUAUCGGGUCAAGUACAUACAAUUUAUAGUUAUGGGCUUAGACACCUAAUCCAACAGUCUCCCUCUUGGAUAAGUCUAAUAACUAUAACUACAAGUAUGACUUCAAAAUCCGAUUAGCAAUCGUAGCUCUCAAAAGCCGCUGUUGGAAUCUGACCUAGUCAAUAUGUAACAUCCAUAAAUUUUACACCAAAUUUAAACUUUUCAAUCAUAAAUAAAAACCAAAUAGCAUUAUGUUUUCAAAUCAUUAUCCAUCAGAGUGUCCCAAAAUCAUAACAUAAGGAUGAGGAGUGGUAGGUCACGCCUACGCGUUGCUAGAUCUCCUGAAGUACCUGGAACAAUAAACCGAAAACUGUAAGCCCGAGGGCUUAGUGGCUACCCCCAAAAUACCUAUACCACAUUGACAAUACCAUAUCAGUAAUAAUCAAUCAAUCAACAUGCAUAUCGGGCCAUCGGCCUGACUGGACCGCCCUAUAGGGCCUACAGUCUAUCUGGAUCUAUCCCGAGCCUUCGGCAUGACUGGUCCGCCACAUGGCCCUACAGUCUCCCCGGACCGAUCAUAGGGUGUGCAUACUUUCAGCACAAAGCAGGACCGCCUCAACCCAACUAACAAUCAAAUAACUAUGUGCGCAUAACUAUCAUAUACUGGCAUAUACAAACAUCAAGCAUAUCUAUCACUGGUCAUCAAUCAUAGAAUUCCCUCGUAACUAGAGUACCGACCUAGCAGGUCACUAACAUACCAAUCCCUACGGAUCAUAAGAGCAUAACAUACUGUCUACCCUGAUUCCGAUCAAACAGAUCAUAACCACAUAUAGCAUACCAUAACAAUAAAAACUAAAGGGUCGACCUUGGUGCUGUAGACCCUAUCGAUAUAGUGAGGAUAACUCACCUCAUAGAUGUCGACUCGGAAGGUAAACUCCAAAUCUCGGAUCAAUUGACACAGGCCCCACCACAUAUCGCAUAACAUACACGUAAGUCCUUAACCUUAUAAGGUACUCCAUAACCUACUAGUCAACCCCUGAUCAAAGUCAAAGUCCUCAGUCAAGGUCAACAGUCCAUGUUGACCUCAACUCGCCGAGUUCCUUGAAGCAUAUUCAAACUCGCCGAGUCAUCGGGGUGACUCGUCAAGUUCCUUUGAUUCUCGAUCAAACUUUAAGGCCACCCGUCGAGUUCCCUCCUUGCAACUCGACGAAUACACAUGCAUACAUAUCCAGGAGAAAACUCAUCCGCCUCGCCGAGUUGUUCUUCAACUCGUCGAGUCUAUGGAAAUCAUCAUCGGACUCGUCGAGUUGUUUAUCCAACUUGUCGAGUUCACGACCAUCUUCAUGUGACUUGCCGAGUCAACCUUGCGACUCGCCGAGUCCAUUCAGUCCGUUUUCCAUACAGAUCUAUUUUGAGUCAUGCAGCGGCUCCAACUCACAGAUCUAAGCUUCUAGGACAUGCUUAUCACGUAAGGAUGCAAACUUUACGUGCAUGCAUGGCUUUAAAGGCUCCAAAUGCCAAAUCUAAGAUCUUAAUGAGGCUUCAUGCUCAAUAGGGACCUCAAUCACGACCAAAAUUGUAACUUUAUGCUUCUAGAAUCCGAAGAGGGUCCAGAUCUGAAGUUACAACUUCAGAUCUAGCCCAUAGCUCAUCAUACCAACUUGAUAUUACAAGAAAACCCUAAAACUCAACCAAUAGAGGAGAUUCAUAAGGAAAAUGAUGGUUUGGGUACGUCUGGAAGAUGAUAUCUGAGAUGAGUGUUGAUUUCCACACUCUAAAUGCUCCAAUCUCCUUCUCCUCCAAGUCUUCUCCUUCCAAAGAUCCUCUUUUCAAGCUUCAAACACACACAAGGCACCCACACACGAAUAAGGGCUCUCAAGGACUCUUUAGAACUGUAAAUAGGUCCAAGGGAGGCUAAGGCCCCUUUAAAUAGGGAUACAAACCCCAAGAUUUAGGGUUUCAUCUGCCAACUCCUACUCACCAAGUCCCAAUAUGGAAUCGUCAAGUAGGUCACUUAACACGGGAUCUCACCCCGCUGCUACUCGACGAGUAGGGCAACCAACUCGUUGAGUAGAGCGUAACUCAAUACAUCUUAUUUAAAACAAUACCUAAGAACCGGGGCGUUACAAAUCUCCCCCACUUGAACUAGACCUCGCCCUCGAAGUCCGCUGGAACAAACAAUGUCGGGUAAUGCUCGCUCAUCUCCGCCUCCGGCUCCCAUGUCCACUCGGAUCCCCUCCGAUGUUCCCACUGUACCUUUACCAAAGGUAGUUCCUUGUUCUGCAGAAUCUUCUUCUUCCUUUCCAAAAUAGCCACAGGCCUCUCCACAUAGUUCAGGUGCUCAUCGACCUGAAUGUCAUCCAACGAUACCACUGCCUCCUGGUCCAUAAUGCAUUUUCGCAAUUGCAAAACAUGAAACGUGCUGUGGAUCCGGCUGUGCUCCUCCGGAAGCUCUAGCCUAUAAGCCAGCCUGCUAACCCUGGCAACAAUCCUGAAUGGCCCAAUGUAACGGGGACCUAAUUUUCCCCUCUUCCUGAAGCGGAUCACACCCUUCCAACGUGAAACCUUCAGGAGGACCAUGUCACCCACCUGAAAUUCCAGUAUAGAUCGGCGUCGGUCGGCAUAACUUUUCUGCCGACUCUGAGGGGUCUGCAAUCGCUGUCUAAUCUGUUGUAUCAUCUCGGUAGUUUGCUGAACUACCUCUGUCCGACCCAUUACCCUGUGGCCAACCUCGCCCCAACAGACUGGGGUCCUACACUUCCGCCCGUACAACAGCUCGAAAGGCGGGGCGGGAAUACUGGAAUGAUAGAUGUUGUUGUAGGCGAACUCUACAAUCGGUAGGUGGGAAUCCCAACUACCAUCGAAAUCAAUGACGCACGCCCUCAAAAUAUCCUCGAGGGUCUAAAUGGUCCGCUCACUCUUGUUGGAUAAGGUGUCUAAGUCCAUAACUAUUUCUGGUCAGUACUUGACCCGACCCGACAUGGUCCAUUUGGGUUGCAUGGCACCAUGCAAUUGGAUAGACUAAAUGAGAGAAAUAACACUUGGAGAUUAUUAAUAUAUUAUAAGUUCUAAUAUAUUAAUAAUAUUAUUUAAUUAGUUUGAUCAAGAAUUAAUUUAGAAUUAAUUAAAUGAUCAAAAGAUAACUAAUUAAAUAUAUGGGUUGAUUAUGUAAAUCAUCCAUAUCUUGUAUAGUGGGCUAAGAGGCUCCAUGGAUUAUCAAGUUGGGUUCUACCCAUAGGAUGCUCCAUGGAUGCUCCAUGGGAGUUACAAACCCAUGGGUCAUGGAAAUGAAGAGUCAUGACACAUUAGGGUUUACAUGGUGUAACCCUAGAUGUGUCAACACUAUAUAAGAAUCCCAUUCUCCACCAAAAUCUGACACACAUAUGAAACAAGAGGGCUAGUCCGAUUUCAAGAAGUGUGUGUUCUCUCAAAAGUCUUUCCAAGAGCAUUUGGUGUUGUGUGAAGCAUUUAAGGCAUCACACUUGGGGUGCUAGGCUCACAAGGUUUCAAGGAACAUAAGCAACAACAAGGUAAGUUAUUCUAUCUUUCAUUCAAGUUAAAAAUUGUUCCCCAUGUAUGCUAGAUAGGAAUAUAACCUUGGAAUUCAACUUUGCAUGAUAAUUAGACAAACAUAGAUCCAAGGUUAUUAGGGUUGCAUGUACACUUAGGAAGUGUUAGAAUGCUCAAAACCCAUCAGUGGUAUCAGAGCCUAGGCUUGUUUGUUUGUUAUUUGUGCUUAAAAGUUGAAGAAAGUCGAAAAUCUUGCUGUCUGACUGAUGGACUCGGCGAGUCCAUGGGGAGGACUCGACGAGUUCAUGUGUAUCUUCAACCUACUCGGCGAGUAGGUUUAUGCACUCGGCGAGUAGGGUCGACAGAGUGCAGAAUUUCGACUUGUGUUGCUGGAAAUGGAUUAGAAUCAUUACCCUAAAAUGUUUUGGUACUUGAAAACUUAUUUUAGAAGGUGUAAUGUCUUUUCUAACUCAUUUACAACAACUAGUUAUCAAAAUUACAAAGAUUAAAUGUGAUUUUGAUUCUUGAAAGUGUUCAUAUUCAUAUUCUUGUUCUUAUGAUGUUUAGAUGAUCAUAGGAAUUAUUUGUAACCUAUGUGGUAGAUUAAUUCAUGAUCAUAAUGUGUUUUAAUGGAGUCCAUAACUUGUCCUCAAGUUAUGGAAAACCAAAAGUCUCUUGGAUUAAAAAACAUUAAAAGAACACAAGAGUUAGGAAAAAUGAAAAGUCCUCAUUUUAUUACUCUAUUAAACUCAUAAGUUACAAGAAAUGAAAAGUUUUGAAAGUUUACAAAACUUGCCCUCAAGUUUUGGAACAAGUAAAGUUAAGUUAAAACUUUAGUUCCAACCCCUAGAAUUUUAAAAGUUAAAAUUCAACCCUUAUACUUAUAUUAUUAUGAUUUAAUAAUUAUAUAUAUAUGUAUAAGAACAAAGUCGUCUUACCGCUAGUACGCCUCAUUCACGAAGCCGGUCUAUAAGGUGGGUAUAAGGUUGUUGCCUAUAAAAUGGUGACUUAAUGGGUGUCCACUCUCACCCACCGCUUGCUUGAUCGGUGGAGGGUCGUUAGCCGAACGGGUAAGACAAGGACUUAUUAAUUCUCAUUCAAAGUAUGAUGAAUAUUAUAAAGUAACUAAAUGUUUUAUUAAAUUCCCAAUCUUAGUUACUUUAGGAAAAAUGUGAAUAAGGUGCUAUUCCAUGAAAUUACACUUUACACUUUGAUUAAGUCGUUGGUGGAGCGUGUGUGGUUAACCGGCACACUAACUUGGACUUAACAAGGUAGGUAAAGGGUGACUUAGGGUUUAUUAUAGUAUCGAUGGAGCGUGUGUGGUUAACCGGCACAUCGAUUGAGUGAUAAACUUUAAGGGUACCAAGUGAUUUGCAUGGUUACUUCACACCUCGUUUUGUGAUCCUCGGUAUCCCAGUCACAAAACUUGGAGGGCACACUCGAGAUUGAAACAUGCCUUUGAAAAGUUCAUUGAAUCUCAAAGAAUCUAGGAAUUUCUAAGAACCAUUCAAAAACCUAAUACUAAAAUAUUGCGGUUUUCGUGGUGGAAAUUGGUGAAUCGUCAUUCACCUACCUUUCAAAUAUGAUAUAGCUUAGAUUACGGCAUACCUCUUCUAAGUUAUAUUAUAUUGUGAUUGGAUCCUAGCCUUAAUAUUACAUUUGGGUGUUUUAUUAAGGACUCUCUUAUAUCUAAACUAAUCUUGUCCUCUUUCCUUCAGAUGUCUUUCAACAAUGCUUCUGGCUCUAAUCCUAAUGGCUCCUUUACCCUUAUGAACUUGUGUGGGAAAGUCACCUUUGAUGGAUCCAACUUCAAUGAGUGGAUCAGAAACAUCAGGAUGAUUACCCGCUACGAGGACAAAGAAUAUGUCCUUGACAAGGAGCUUAAGGAGAUUGAUGAGUCCACUGCAACUCCUCAGGAGAUCGCUGAAUUUCGGGCACAUGAAAGGGAUGCUACGAAAGUGGCUUGCAUCAUGAUGGCCACGAUGACAGCGGAACUCCAAAAGUCUUAUGAGGAUUUCUACCCUUAUGAAAUGCACCAAGAUUUGAUGGAAAGAUACCAUCAAAGUGCAAGACAAGAGAGGUAUGAAAUCAUCUGCUCCAUGAUAACAACCAUGAUGAAGGACGGGGAAUCCGUCACGAGCCACAUGCAGAAAAUGCAAAGGUAUGUGGAUCGUUUGCUGAAGCUUAAUGUGAACUUCCCGGAGGAUCUUGCAAUAGAUAUUAUUUUGCAUUCCUUACCAUCGUGCUAUGAUCAAUUCCGCAUGACAUAUCACAUGAACAAGGAAGAAGUCACCCUCAGCAAACUUCAGGGACUUCUCAAGACCGCAGAAUCAGGUCUUAAGGGGAAGUCGGUUGCUAUCACUCCUACUCAAAACUCUACUCCGGUUUUGGCAAUCGGGAAAAGUCGAGGGAGGAAGAGAAAGAGCUCUUCUAAGGGUACCAAGGUUCGGACCCUUGAUGGCUCUUCUUCAAGUGGAACCAAGAAAGGUUUCAUUACUCCUUCUUCUGACCCAAAAGAGGCUGAAUGCUUCUAUUGCCAUGAAAAAGCUCAUUGGAAGCGGAACUGCCCAAAAUACCAGCAAGAUGUGAAGGAUGGGAAAGUUAAACCCAACCAUGCAGGUAUUUACACUAUCAUUUCUAAUAACUCACCCCAUUCUAAUUCUUGGGUCCUUGAUACCGGGUGUGGUAUUCACAUUUGUUGUGACUUGCAGGGACUAAGAAGAAGUGAGGAUGUGGAGCAAGGAAGGAUAAACUUGAUCAUGGGGAAUAGGAAAGCUAUACCUGUUACCAAGAUUGGAGUUUAUACUUUAUCGCUAAGUAGUGGGUUUAGUUUAGAUUUGAAUAAGUGUUGUUAUUCGCCAGGAAUGGCAAGAAAUAUUAUUUCCUUUCAUGCUUUGUACAAACAAGGGUUUACCUUUUCAUUUAAUAAUGAAGUUGGUUCUAUAGAUGUUUUCUAUAAUAAUGUCUUUUAUUUUAAAGCAUUACCUUGUGAUGGUGUGUAUGAAGCUGUAUCUGUUGUAGAUAACUUGGGAAAUAAUGUUUUGUGUAUUGAUUCUACUAAUAAUAACUUGGAUAAAGCAUCUUUAUGGCAUUGUCGUCUUGGACAUAUAAGCAAGAAACGCAUAGGCCAACUCCAAAAGGAUGGAGUCUUGGAGUCGUUUGACCUAAAGUCAGAUGAUAGUUGCGAAUCAUGCUUACUUGGAAAAAUGACAAAGUCACCCUUCACAGGUUCGUGUGAGAGGGGUGAAGGUUUGUUGGACCUUAUACACACGGAUGUGUGUGGACCAUUCAAACAUGCCACAAGGGAUGCUAAUCGUUAUUAUUUGACUUUUACUGAUGAUUAUAGUAGAUAUGGAUAUGUCUACUUGAUCAAGCAUAAGUCAGAGACUUUCGAGAGGUUUAAGGAAUUUAAACAGGAAGUCGAGAAUCAAUUGGGCAGGAACAUUAAGAUGCUUCGAUCCGAUCGUGGUGGUGAGUAUCUUAGUUCAGAGUUCCUCGACUAUCUAAGGGAAUGUGGGAUAGUCUCACAAUUGACACCUCCCAGGACACCACAGUUGAAUGGUGUGGCUGAGAGGCGUAAUCGAACCUUGUUAGAUAUGGUUCGUUCCAUGAUGAGUCGAGCUACGCUACCAAUCUCAUUCUGGGGGUAUGCCUUAGAGACUGCCGCCCAUAUUCUUAAUCUAGUCCCUACAAAGAAAGUUGCCAAAACUCCUCACGAGAUGUGGACUGGUAAAGUACCUAAACUAGACCACAUCAAGAUUUGGGGUUGCGAGGCUUUCGUGAGACGCGAGACUCAUGAUAAGCUCGAACCUCGAAGCGAGAGGUGUAUUUUCAUCGGUUACCCACAGCGAUCCUUUGGUUACCUCUUCUACAGACCUAGUGACAAUGUGGUCUUUGUAGCAAGAAGAGGAGUCUUUCGAGAAAGAGAGUUUAUAAGCCAAGGAGACAGUGGGAGGCAAAUUGAUCUUGAAGAAAUUCAAGAAUCAAGCGGUGAAGGAACUUCAAACUCUAGCCCUCAACUUGAGGAGGAAACUCCUGUUGAGCCAAUUGACAAAUCUGUACCUCUGAGACGUUCCACGAGAGUUAGGAGUGCACCUGAGCAUUACUAUGGAUUCCAUAUUACUGCAGAAGGUGAGACACUUAUUAGUGAUGAGACACUAGUAAGUCAAGAUGACCCUAACAGCUACGAGGAAGCCAUGGCAGGCCCCGAGUCUGCUAAAUGGAAAGAGGCUAUGGAUAGCGAGAUACAAUCCAUGUAUGACAAUCAAGUUUGGAACUUGGUUGAAAAUGUACCAGGUCGUAAGACAGUAGGGUGCAAAUGGGUCUUCAAGAAGAAGACCGACAUGGAUGGUAAAGUACACACUUAUAAGGCUAGACUGGUUGCAAAGGGCUUCUCUCAAAUUCCUGGAGUGGAUUAUGAUGAGACCUUUUCUCCGGUAGCCAAGAUUAAGUCUAUUCGGGUUCUGUUAGCCAUAGCUGCAUUUCAUGACUAUGAAAUAUGGCAGAUGGAUGUCAAAACCGCUUUCCUUAAUGGAAAGUUGGCUGAAGAUGUUUACAUGAGUCAGCCAGAGGGUUUUGUCAGCAACGAGUACCCUAAUAGAGUGUGUAAGCUUGAGAAAUCCAUUUAUGGAUUGAAGCAAGCACCUCGCAGAUGGAAUCUUUGCUUUGAUGAAAAGGUCAAGGAAUUUGGCUUUUCUAGGAGUGAAGAUGAAUCUUGUGUGUAUGUCAAGGCUAGUGGGAGUAUAGUUAGCUUUUUGGUAUUGUAUGUGGAUGACAUACUACUCAUAGGAAACGACAUUCCAACCCUGCAGGAAGUAAAGUCCUGGCUUGGGAAGUGUUUCGCUAUGAAGGACCUUGGUGAAGCUGCCUAUAUUCUAGGGAUAAGAAUCUUGAGAGAUCGGAGUAAAAGACUAAUUGGACUUAGUCAGAGUACCUACUUGGAUAAGGUGCUGAAGAGAUUCAGCAUGCAGGAUUCCAAGAAAGGAGAGUUACCCAUCCAGAGUAACACCAGAUUGAGUAAGACACAAAGCCCUAGCACUGAGGCUGAGAUAGCAGAAAUGAGUCGAACACCUUACGCUUCGGCUGUAGGAUCGAUCAUGUAUGCUAUGACGUGUACUCGACCCGAUGUAGCUUUUGCCUUGAGCAUGGUUAGCAGGUAUCAGGCGAACCCUGGCAAGGCACACUGGACUGCGGUAAAGAAUAUCCUCAAGUACCUACGGAGGACUAAGGACUGGGUCCUUACCCUCGGUGGGAGUGAUGACUUGAGAGUUGUAGGGUAUAGUGAUGCUAGCUUCCAGACUGAUAGGGAUAAUUUCCGCUCUCAGUCGGGCUGGGUCUUUACCCUAAACGGAGGAGCAAUUUCUUGGAAGAGUUCCAAGCAAGAGACAGUGGCAGAUUCUACUUGUGAAUCAGAGUAUAUUGCAGCUAGCGAAGCAGCAAAGGAGGCGAUAUGGCUGAAGAACUUCAUUGGAGACCUUGGAGUUGUACCAGCUAUUAAAGAGCCAAUGGAAAUUUUCUGUGAUAGUGAAAGUGCUGUUGCCUUAGCCAAGGAACCAAGGGAUCAUGGGAGAUCCAGACACAUCGACAGAAAAUACCAUUUCAUUAGACAUCGGAUCGAAGAAGGACUCCUCGUGGCAAAGAGGGUAUCAUCGGAUGAGAACCCAGCAGAUCCCCUCACGAAGGGACUGAGUAGGGUUAAGCAUCUCCAGCAUGCUCGGAGCAUAGGGCUGAAGGAUGAUAUAAGUUUUAGUAGUUAGAUAACCCAGAAAUUUGUAAAGUGUAAUUGACAUUUGAUGAUGAAUAAAAGGUGUUUUAUUUAUGAGUAAAGUGUUGCUAUCUCUUGUCAAUCGUUUACUAUAUUUCUUUUGCAUGUUUUGACUUCCAGAAUAAUUUUGUUUGGUGUAACAUAUUAUUCAAACCUCCACAGUCGGUCAUAUGUCGGAAGUAGGUAUGAAUCAAGACUGUCAUGAUGGGUUGUAGAGGUCUAAGGUGUUGGACAAGGCUACAACAAUCAUGAGUGCUCAUAAGUUCUGAGCAUUGGACUCAACCCACGCUCACUGGAAUCACUUCAUGGAAUUCUAUCUCGAGUGAUCGUGAGACGGUAAUAUCAUAUAAGUCUUCAAACCUAGAGAUAUGAUUUGUUACUUACAAGUUGGUUAUGCAUUGACUGUACGAAACCGCAUUGGUAACUCGAUGUUAUAAAACGUACUUUUGUGUGUAAUUCAAUGAGUGGUAGAACAAACAUAUGAGUCGAAGUUUAUCUGUUCCUUCUUGGAUUAGAAGCUGAUAUCUGGGCCCCUCGAUGAUUUUGUUUUGACCCAUGUACCGGGCCCGGUCAGAACUAAGUUGAUGUGUUCAAUUAAGUUCUAUGUCAAACAAAUCGGAAAUCGGGAAACAAAUGCUGGACAAUAAGCAAGACAAUGUUCCAUGUAUUUGUCCGGCUGAUAUCUAGAACGGAGGAUUAUAUGAUCACUUAUCUUAAAUGGCGUACCAUCAUCUUCUCAGUUCCGAGAGACCUUGAAAGAGCUACGAUUGCCGGUCGGUUCCUGAAGUACUAGAGAUAUAGUUAUUAGACUUAUCCAAGUGGGAGACUGUUGGAUAAGGUGUCUAAGUCCAUAACUAUUUCGGGCUUGUACUUGACCCGACCCGGCAUGGUCCAUUUGGGUUGCAUGGCACCAUGCAAUUGGAUAGACUAAAUGAGAGAAAUAACACUUGGAGAUUAUUAAUAUAUUAUAAGUUCUAAUAUAUUAAUAAUAUUAUUUGAUUAGUUGAUCAAAGAAUUAAUUUGGAAUUAAUUAAGUGAUCAAAGGAUAACUAAUUAAAUAUAUGGGUUGAUUAUGUAAAUCAUCCAUAUCUUGUAUAGUGGGCUAAGAGGCUCCAUGGAUUAUCAAGUUGGGUUCUACCCAUAGGAUGCUCCAUGGAUGCUCCAUGGGAGUUACAAACCCAUGGGUCAUGGAAAUGAAGAGUCAUGACACAUUAGGGUUUACAUGGUGUAACCCUAGAUGUGUCAACACUAUAUAAGAAUCAUAUUCUCCACCAAAAUCGGCUACACUAAGAAACUAGAGGGCUUGGCCGAUUUUGAGAAGUGUGUGUUAUCUCAAGAGUCUUUCCAAGAGCAUUUGGUGUUGUGUGAAGCAUUUGAGGCAUCACACUUGGGGUGCUAGGCUCACAAGGUUUCAAGGAACACAAGCAACAACAAGGUAAGUUAUUCUAUCUAUGAUUCAAGUUAAAAUUGUUCCCCAUGUAUGCUAGAUAGGAAUAUAACCUUGGAAUUCAACUUUGCAUGAUAAUUAGACAAACAUAGAUCCAAGGUUAUUAGGGUUGCAUGUACACUUAGGAAGUGUUAGAAUGCUCAAAACCCAUCAACUCUGCCCAUCAGUCUGCGGAUGGAACGCCGUGCUAAAAUGUAGUCUCGUGCCCAGUUCCUUGUGGAACUUCUGCCAAAACGGGAAGUAAAUCUGACAUCCCGAUCGGAAACAAUGGAAAAUGGGACCCCAUGGCGAGAGACAAUCUCGCGGACGUACAGGUCGGCCAACUUCUCUGCCGAUGAACUCUCCCAUAUGGCUAGGAAAUGGGCACUCUUGGUCAAUCGAUCCACGAUGACCCAUAUAGCAUCAAACCCCUUUUCCGUCUUCGACAACUUCGUGAUGAAAUCCAUCGCGAUCAGUUCCCACUUCCACAUGGGAAUCUCUAGAGGCUGCAGCUUACCGUGCGGCCUCUGAUGUUCGGCCUUGACCAUCCUACAGGUCAAGCACCUCUCAACAAACCAAGCGAUAUCUCGCUUCAUACCAGGCCACCAAUAACUCGAACUCAAAUCACAGUGCAUCUUGGUGGCUCCCGGGUGAAUACAAAACUGAGACUUAUGAGCCUCCUCCAUCACUGUCUGCCGGACCCCUUCGGACAUCGGAACCCAAACCCGACCGUAACGGGUCAACAAUCCGCGGCUAUCCUGAACAAACCGGGCGCUUUCACCCUUAAUCCUUUCCAACUUCCAGUUCUCCGGCCUCAUACCCUCAAUCUGAGCAUCCCUGACCAAACCCACCAGCGGGGAAUCCACCGUUAUCCUCAUACACUUGGCUGGGGGUAAAGGACCCAACUGAAUUACGGCUCAGAGCAUCCACAACUACGUUCGCUUUACCAGGAUGGUAAAGGAUCUCAUAAUCAUAGUCCUUGACCACAUCCAGCCACCUGCGCUGCCUCAUGUUCAGGUUCGGCUGAUUCAUGAUGUGUCUCAAACUCUUGUGAUCCUUGUAUAUAGUACAACGGACCCCGUACAGAUGGUGCCUCCAAAUCUUGAGAGCGAAGACCACCGCUCCCAACUCAAGAUCUUGCGUGGGGUAUCUCAUCUUGUGCGGCUUCAAAUGACUCGAUGCAUAAGCUAUCACUCAUCCCCUCUGCAUGAGGACUGCCCCCAAAUCUGUGAUGGACGCAUCACAAAAUACCACAAAACCCUCAACUCCCUCGGGGAGUGUCAACACCGGCUGAAUAUACUGUUGAGCCCUAGCUGCCGAACAAAACCCUGAUCCCAACCUGGUGCCCUCACCAUAUGUAGUGACAAAGAACAUGGUUUGGCAUGCGGAAUUAAAGCUUGCACAAUUGAACAUGGUGAUUUGGGUGUUUAAGAGAUAUAUUGAAUGUAUAUGGUGUUACAAAAAGGACUAGAUCUAGACUACAUAAUUAACACACACUUACACACUCACUUCUACAUCUCUCAAGCACACCUCUAUAAGUGGACAAACCCACCUUAUAUAGAGGGGUUUACAUGCCUCUCUCUCACUCUAACAAUCAAAUGGGUCUAAAGGCUAAAGCACCACAUGCAAGUGGGUUUUACAAAAGUCAAACAUUUACAAAGUCAUGAAUGAAGAGCUUUGCACCCCAACAUUCUCCCCCUCAAAGUUAGGAAUGAAUCACCCAUUUCAAAUCUUCCAAAAUCAAGCACUACGCGGUUCGAGCCUCAAAGGUGACACAUGUCGAAACGAACUUCAAUCUUCAAUUCUUCCAUGACUCUUCAAUUUGGGCUCUAGGAUGUGAGACCUUACAAACCGAGCAGCAACGAAUGAUUAAGAGUAUUCCAAACUCCAAAUAAUCACCCAAAAGUUGCGCAUAAAAACACACCCCAAAAAUCUUCAAUAAAACCAAACCCAUUUCGAAUACAUCACUUCCGAACAUCCAAUUACAUCAUCUCGUAGGCUUCAAAACUUCAAGAUCACUUCGGUCUUCAAAUCCGCGUAAUAUGAAAAAUUCAAGUUCGAAUUUCCAUAUAAAACUUCUCCCCCUUUUUAUAAUCGAAAUUUGAUUAUAAAACUCCAAAGGAAAAAGAACGUGCUAUAUUCGGAAUUUUUCAUGUCAAAACUCCCCCUUAACAUGUGGCAUAAACUUUGAGCUUCAAUCCGGAAAACCCAAAAAAUAAUCAAUUUGUUUUUCCAUUGCUGUUCAUUGAUCUUGAAGCCCUUAACAUGUGGAAUUUUUCACGGAUCGCCUUUGACAAAAUUUCUCAAAAAUGGGUAGAAAUUGUCAAUUUCAAAAUUCUGCAGUGACCCGUUGCGCCCAAAACAGCAAAAUAUGCAAAACUCUCCCCCUUUUCCAAAUCUGGGUAGAAAGCGUCAAUUUGCACAAACUGCAGGGGCCUGAAAUGCACAAUCUUCAAAUUUUAGCAAAAAAUAGUCCUUUUUCGAUUUUGGGUGAAAACUGCCAAAAAUUCGAAGUCUGAGGGACCAUUUUCGAAAUUCUGCUCUUUGUUCACAAUUCAUACGAAGAUUCCGCAAAUAUUCGAAGCUCCAAAUUUUUUUUUGAAAUCGGGUGAAAAGUGUCAAAUAUUCAGAAAUUGUGUUAAUGUUCGAAGUGCCAAAAAUUCGAAGGAUCAGGGGCCGUUUUCGAAAACUUGCCAUUUCAUCAAAUCAUACGAAGCCUUUUUCCAUUUGUCAACUAUUCAAAACAAUAAGGGCCAUUUUCAAAAAUUCUAUCUUCCUUCUUUUUAAUUCAUAUGAAGACUUUUUGACAAAACAUAUCAAGCAUACGAAGAGUGACUGUGAACAGUAAUGCACAAUGAUACCCUUCGUAUGUUAACCCAGUUCUUCGUUUUUUUUUUCAUCUAUUACCCUUCGCCUUUUGCAAUCCAUUCAUAUACCCUUCGUUCCAAAAUCAUCAAAAUCAAUAGAUCCUUCGUUCAAACACCCUUCGUAUGAAUCUUUUAACAUCUCUUCGUACAAAUCCAAGUUUUUCCCAAACCAACACCAACUUAGUCUUCGAAAAUUAGUAACCCAAACCAAUUCUUCGCUUUUUGGUGUAAACCAUCUGUUCUUACAGUUCUUCUUCACUUCGUACAUCAAUCACCAAAAACCAAUCCUUCGUUCAUUAACCAUGUAAUGCCCUGUCGUCCAAAUUGAUUUCAUUAAAAUCCAAAUAGGCUUCGCUUUUCCAGUUGAUGCCAAUGAACAAACGUGAUCAACCAUUUGAUUUUACAGUUCACUCUUCGAAUCUUAACCCAAAUCGAUCAUUAACCCUUCGUUUUUUCAGUUUAUCCCAAAACUGAUUCCACUACUUUCAUUCUUCACUUUUCAGUUUAACCCAAAACGAACGAAAUCGUUUCUUUGUUCCUUACAGUUCUUCCCAAACUCAUCGACAUCAAGAACAAACACAUCUAUUCGUUCACUACUUCAAUCGAUAUCAACUUAAUCAACACAAAUCAAGCUUGCAAAAUCACAGAAUGAACGGAAUCAACAAACCAAACUUGAUUAUCAACCAUACGAAAUCAAAAUCAUCAGACUUCUCUAUUUAUGUAAACUCGAUUUUGACUUUUUGGUUGACCCUGACAAACAACAAAACUAUUGAUCUUUAAUCCAAUUUUGGAUCAAACACCCAUUUUUAACAUAAAUCGUAACAUUCUUCAACUGUUCUUCAUCGAGUUCUUGACCGAUUUUAUCAAAAUCAAAAACUAAAUUGUUGACUUCUCAACUACAACUCGAUCAUAAUCGACUGAUAAUUAUCCAAAUCAGAUUCAGUCAAUUCAUAAGUUCAGAAUCGCAAAUCGUUGAUCAACUUUCAUAAGCGAAAAAGAAAACUCAAGAACAUUAUGAUUACAAGUCAAAAUAUGUUUGAGCUGAUUACAAGAACAUUAUGGUACAACCGAUAAAAGCGUACGUACAUAUCAAACAAAGAACAACGAAUUUUAGAAUUAAAUCACAUUGGAUGAAUUUUGGGUUCCAUCAAAGAUAUCGGAUAAAAAAAUAUGUAUGGGCUCAAAUUUAAACAUGAACAGUGACAGAUUCGUACAUUGGAUCAUAAACGAACAAAAUAUUGGGCUGUUGAUAACCACACAUAUCGAAAUUAUCAAAUAAGAGUAUGAAUUGGGCUCCAAGUUCAUUUAUGAACAGUAAGAUGUCAAAAUUUUUGGCUAAAUCAAAAUAAAUGGAUCAUAAUGAAUUUUGAGCUCAAAUCUCGAUUCAAACGAACAACUGUAAAAUCGAGUCGAACAAACAAAUAUGAGAUUGGAUCGGACUUUGAUCAACGAAAAAAUUAUUGGAUCAUAACAAAUGGGUUUUCAAAGAACAUUUGAUCCAAUGAGUCAAACGAUCAAAAAUUAAGAACGCAACGCACGAUUCAAAGAGAUUAAGAGAGAUCAUAGAGAGAGACUCACCAAAAUUGAUCAAAUUACGACAAAAUUUGCCAAACCGGGAAUCAUUCUUCAAAUAUCACCUUGAUCUUGAAGACCCGCUCUGAUACCAAUUGUUGUGACAAAAAUACUACAAGUUCUCCCCCACUUGGGGUUCGAACCCCCACCCGCUAUCCCUCAUAGUCGAUCAUGGCGCCAAAACGGCUAAGCCAAUCCAUCCCUACAAUCCCAUAUACAUCCCCCAUGGGGAUAGGAAUCAAAUCUAUCGGGAAUGACACCCCGAAAAUCUCCAACUCGCAUCCCCGGUAGACCGAAGAAAUAGAAACCCCGUGCUCUUUGGCGAUCGAAACUCGCAACGGGCACUCAAGAUCAUCCAUCGGCACACUAAACCCUCUAGUGAAAGUCUGAGAUACGAAUGACCGACUGGCCCCCGAGUCAAACAAAACCAAAGCAGGCAAAGAAUUUACUAAAAACGUACAUAAUCAUAGGUACAACCAAUAAGUACAACACAAAUACGAUAACUGAGACAGAGAAUAGAAACGUACCAGCAACCAUAUCCGGUGCUGACUUGGCCUCCUUGGUCGUGAGCUGGAAGGCACGACCCUGAGCCUUCGGAGGCUCCAACUUAACUGGCCUCCCGUCUCAAAUCAUUACAGUAGCUGGCACAGAACCCUGCACCGACUUCGCGGCGAGCUGCGGACAACUGGUCUUCACAUGACCAACCUGAUGACAAUGGUAACAAAUCCUCAUAUCUGUGGGAGGGGCGGGCUGAUGGUAGCCCUGGCAUAGUGCCCCUCCUUUCCACAUUUGUGGCACCCACUUCCUGCUCUACAAGUUCCCGAAUGAACCCUGCCACACUUUCCACAAGUGCGGCUCUGCUGACCCACACCGUGUAUCAGCGGUCUUAGCCCGCUUAGGCGCCGGCUGAGACUGUGCCGGUGCCUGACGCUGCUCCUUCAGCUGCUGCUCUAUCUCAACUCACGCUGCCUCGCGGCUUCCUGAAGGUCCCGGAGGGUAUCACAACGCUGUGUAGCCACAAACUGCCAUAUAUCCAUCUUAAGCAUACUCAGAUAACGAGUCAUCUGAGACUGUUCUGACGCAAACUCUGGGCAAAACAUAGCCCUCUCAGUGAACAUCCGGGUGAUCUCCAUCACCGACUCCCCAUCUUGUCUCAAUGUCAAAAACUCCUGAGCAAGCCACUCCCAUUCCACGCGCGGAACGUAGCGGGUGCAAAACAUAUCCCGGAACUGCUCCCAAGUAAUAGCAUCCCACUAAUCAUCAGAAUAUGAACCUGUCUUCAAUCUCCACUAGUCCUUUGCCCCGAGCCUAAGCAGUUUCAGAGCACACCUGACCUUCUGGUCAGCAGGACAUGAGCACGUGAAGAAACAGCCCUCCACGUCAGACAACCACCACAUAGCCCUGAUCGCAUCCUGUGUACCAUCAAAUGUCGGGGGCUUCGUAUUAUCGAAGUCCCGAUACUGGAAAGCCCUGCCGGCUCCUCCUCCAACCCCUGCCGCAGUUACAGCCUAAGUGGCUGCAACGACAGCUAUCUCUGCUAGAGCUGCAUAUCGCUCAACAAAAUACUCAACCAUUGCGGUCUUAAUCGACCCAAACAUCUCUGGCAGCUGUGCUCGGAACAUAGCAACAAUCUUGUCUUGCAUGAUCUCCCGGAUCCUGGCAUCCAACUCCUUGGUCCCUAUUUGUACCACGGGCUUAGGUGCUACCGGCACCUCCAACCCUCAGUCUCCCGACCCCGAUCCUGAUCUUGAUCCAGAAGCAACACGUCUCGUCACCACCAUACUGAAAUAUAUAUACAAGUCAUCAAAUAAAUAACAUAAUGUCGGGAGACCAAAACCCACAAACCCUAGGGGGUGUGAUUUCCUUGCUAAGCAUAUGGGUCCUGUGCUUUAAGUAGUACGGGCCCAUACUACCUUCCACACCUACCCAUAUUUGUCUCAAGUAACACCACAACGCCCUAACAAUAUUAUCAACAUAGAAAUGCGCUCAACCCUCACUUCUAGGGGAAUACCAACUAUCUCGCACCUAGUCUCACCACUUAUCAUGACUCACACAUCCAUGAAACUUCCAUCAUCCCCUGCCGCGCCAGUGCAUGCUAGCUGUACGUAACACUGGAACCAAUAGACUUUCGAAUAUCCAAUCCAACCCAAAGGUCGAAUCAACAUUUUCAGGCUAUAAGGUCUUUAUUAUGAACAACCGUGAUGCAUACACUAAAAAUCUACAGUUAUGAUGUCAAUUCCACAUACAAGAAACCCUAGGCUAAUAGGCAUCAUGUAACUAGGCAAAUCUAUCAUGUGAUUCCUGAAGAUCCCUAGCCUAGCACUAGCAUGCUGUUCUAACAUAUCAUAAUAUCAAAUAACUAUAUGGUAUUUUGGGGUUUACUUACAGGCUCCGGCUGAUCGUACCCUCUACAUCCUCCAUCCUUUAUUUUGAAAACCAUUUCAAAAACUUACUUUCUGAAAAUCUCCUUGAUUUGAGACUGAAUUCACACGAGAGUUCCUCCAAUUCACUCAAACCAAGGCUUUGAUACCAACUUGUAACAUCCAUAAAUUUUACGCCAAAUUUAAACUUUUCAAUCAUAAAUAAAAACCAAAUAGCAUUGUUUACAAAAAUGUUUUCGAAUCAUUAUCCAUCAUAGUGUCACAAAAUCAUAACAUAAGGAUGAGGAGUGGUACGGUCACGCCUUCGCCACUACAAGAAAAAGACCCUUUUACGACGCGCAAGCAACGACACUCGGAGAUUUAUGUUACGCAAAAGAGAGUGACGUUAAAAAAAAUGUUAUCUCUUUAAAAAAUUUAAGAAUUUAGGUUGCACAUUAUUGCGUGCCCUUAAAUUAGUGUCUCAUGUAAAAAAAUUAAAAACACGAAGGGCACUUUAUCUAAAAGGUGCGCCGUCUAUGAAUGUCGUUUUAUAUUUUUUUAAGGAACGCGCUUCUCCUUAGAGGGAAAAUGAAAUCUCCAAAUUUUUUAAACCCCCACCUUCUUCUCCCUCGUCUCCACCCCCUAAUCGAAGCUACCAGUUGAACAACCCCUAAUCCACACCACCACCUUCUCGUCUCUCCUUCUCCACCAGGUUUUCUCUCAUCUCUAUCCUCCACCUUCUGGAUUGUAAAGGCGUCAUUUUAUAAUUCUUUUACCAAACGCACAUCCAUUAUCCUCAAUUACAAAAGGCGUCCAAAUCUAGGGGUUUUUUUUCAAGAAGAAACCAAACGGGAGUGCUCUCUUCAACAUUCGAUACCUCCGCUCGCCCCACCUGCUGGCGACCUUGGUUCUUAUAUCCUCCCAGUUUUUUGCGUUCUUCUUUCAGAAAUUUAAUCGAACAAGAUCUUGUGCCAGGCAGUUAAUCUAACGAUGGCGACAUUUUGAUUUUGAUCUCAAAAUACAUCAAAUACGAGCUUAUGUUGGAACUGAUUACCUAUAUAUCUUUUCCUUUAUGGGAUAAAUACAUCGAAUACGAGUAACAACAACAAUAGUGUUCCAAUCUUGCAUUGAUAUACACACACGGAUAUCGGAGCAUCCUAAUCAGCAAUUGGACCGCUAUUAUAACAGGUGAUAUACAAUUUUUUACGUAGAAGAGCCUCUAGCUUUUGUUAGGUCCAAAAUAAACUAAACAUGGUCAUACUCUUUCCUACAGUUUACAGCUUUAGGGAUUAAUAGCAAGUCGCCCUUUAUCUGAACUAAAAACCGCUGAGGAAGUUGCAGCUGCAACAAAUUCUAAAGACGAAGCCAAUAUUGAAGAAAAUGAAUGGGAAUUUCAUCCGGAUGCAGUGGAAAAACCUUCUAAACCUGUAAGUGAAGGCGUAAUAGAAGCUGAAGAGGUGGAGUCUUAUAUUGCCAUUAGAGAAGAGCUGUACAAGAAGGCUAAAGAAUUUGAUUCAAAGAUUAUUGAUUUUGGGACUGCUAUCAGAAGACCCUACUUGCAUAAGGUUUUUAACAUUUUUUUUGAUAAUGUAUACAGAGGCAACCGGAGAUUCACUUAUUCACUUGAUCUUACUUGUGAACUUUGAAUAUGUGUGGGUCCGAAGGGCUUCAUAUGGACGGAAAAGUGAUAUAGGAUAACGAAAGGAAUAUAACUGUUAACAGUUGAUCAAAAUCAAAAGAUACAAUUGGUAUUCUUUGUUUAGGUUUUGUUACUGCUUAAUAUAUAACUUCUGCAUGUUAAUUGCCACAGAGACGACAACCUUUAGGGUUUGCGUUAAGGUUGAUUGUUACAGAGAUAUGGAAACUUUAAUGAGAAAGCUUAACUGAAGAACUUAUAAAACGACUAGAGUAUAGAGUUUCCUUGGCUGAUGAAUGGAUUAUCUCUAAUUAUGUAGCAGGUACUCCACACUCAAACAAACACUGAUAUAGUUUCGUAGGCUUUCAAGUUUCAAUAUUGUAUUCCUAUUUAACAUACUGAGUCUACUCUUGCAAAAGUUGUGGCGAAUUUUUUUUUCUUCAUGCAACUGUAUCACAAAUAUAGCUAACUGGAAAUAUUAUUAUGAUUAGGUUAUCUAGUUCUUCAUUUAGACCUCUACUUGUAUUGCCUAGUUAAAAUAUAUAACUUUUAGCACUUUUUGUGUUUAUUUGGACUGAUUAGAUGUUACAUGGUUGAGAAUUUGGAACUGCUAUCACCUUUGUAUGGUUACCUUGGUUGUUCACGGUUGUUAUCUUCUAUACAGGUUUAAGAUACAAUCAAUCACCUAUUUACUAUGGGUGAUAGUGAAACAGUUGUUGCUCAAUCAUCAGCUAUCCAAGAGCAUCCAUCAACUACAGUUAAUAGAGAUUUGGCUGCUUCUACAGGUAUCGAUACCAUGGAUGUAGACAAUGUCAUUCCUCAUGAGGAUGAUCGAGCAUCCAUCCAGGUAGUAUCUUACUGCUGCUAUAGCAACCCCCUAUGUUCUUUAGAGUUCUUGGGCAUAAACUUCCUCUUUUUGGUUCAUAUGGUGGCUUUUUUAUAUAUAUUAGUAGAAAACCAUGUUACACAUCACCCAAAAAACAAAAUGAAAAGAAACUGAACAAAAAACUAUGAGUUUUGAUUUAUGUUAUAGAUAAUAACGGGCAUUUGAUUACUUAAUAGUUUUUAGAAUCAGUCGGGAGUCUUUCCAAGAAUUCAGAAAGUUUUCAAGAAUCAAAAGCUACAGAGUCUUCUUUGCACUUUUUGAAUAGCAACUAGCAAAUCCCUUCUAUCUUAAUGUUCUUUAUAUAACUUAUUUGCUGCAUGAAAUCUUUUCUUAAUGCAUAAGAAUUUCAUGCUUUCAGACUUUACUUACAUGGUUGCUUUUUAUAUCAGGCAUCACCCGAACAUUGUUCUAUUGCUUUUUAUCAAGAGGGGUAAGAACUAAGAAUUACUUUCUUAUUUUAUCUUUUUCUGUUAUUUUUUCAAUCUGAUAAUUUAUAUAUAUUUAAAAUGACUUGUGAUAUUAAUUUGUCCAAUAACUUUUGAUGAGCAUGUGCGUAGGGGUAAAACGGGAAGAGGAAAUGCUCGGGAGAUGGGCUUUGAGAGUUUCCUUGACUUUGUUCUAGCCCUGGAAAACAAAGACACUCCAGAGGGAAUUACAUAUCUUUAAUGAUGUUUAGAUCUUAAUGGAAGAGGCUUCUUUACAACAGCUGAUAUUCACACCCUUUUCAGGUAUAACUAAUUAUUAUUAGGAAAUAGGAAAUUGAAAAUUGGAAGUAAAGGAGGGGAGCAUUUAAAGUUUAAAUGUUGCCUGAUAUACCCUUCCUACAACAAAAAAUAAAAAUGAAAAAUCUCUGCUUUUCCUACUUGUUGCACGCGAGACACGUCUGCAAGCCUCUUGACUAUGAGAUACAUAUUUUCACCAUAUAUUAGUAAUAAAAAAAUAAAAAAAUGAUUUGAUAAUUGAUUGGUACACUACACUACAGGGAUGUGCACCAAAAUUAAAUUUAUUUACUAUUAGUGGAAUUCAAGAUAUGUACAGGAGUGUUUGUUGCCUUUAUAAUUGGUACAAUGCUAACAUGGAGGACCUUGGCAUUGACAGGUUUUAAAUUAGUCUAAAUUAUAUUUAUUUACUACUAGUGGCAUUCUUAUGGAUAAAGAAAAUAAAAGGUGAUGAAUUCUAGUGUUCUGUUUGCAGGAUUAAUCCCUUGUGCUGUUCUAUUAGUGGGACUUUUCUUUGUACCAGAAUCUCCUAGAUGGCUGGUAUGUGAAGUAUCAUGAUUCAUGAAGCUGUUUAAUUUAUCUUCAAGAAAUUAUGUUUGACAUCAUGCAUGCAGGCAAAGAUUGGAAGAAAGAAAGAGUUUGAUGCAGCCCUAAGAAAACUUAGAGGGAAGGAUGCUGAUAUAUCUGAGGAGGCGGAUGAAAUCCAGGUGUUCAUUUCAAAGCUCUCAACUUUUUUUCUUAUUUUUGUUAACGAAUAAAAAUUAUAGAAUUCUUUUUAUGUGUUAUCAAUGGGGUCUUGAAUAUGUUGAUAGGAUUAUAUAGAAACACUACAAAAGCUCCCGAAGGCCAAAAUAUUCGAUUUGUUUUAGAGAAGAUAUUUGCGAUCUGUCACUGUAAGUUUAUUUUCUUGAUAACUCUUGUUGGCUACUUUAAAAAAAAGAUUUUUAUAAUUGUAGUCCGAAUCUUGUUUUGACCAUACAUGGUACUUUUUUUUUUUUUCUGUAAUUGUAGUCUGAAUCUUGUUGGCUACUUUAAAAAAAGAUUUUUCUAACUUGCUCCUGGACGUGAUUGUGCUAUUGAGUUUGAUCUUGGAAGUGGAAGCUAUAAUGUAACUUGCUAUUGCUCAUACAACUUUUGUUGGAAUGUGAGUAUCAUAAUUCAUGCAUUUUUAUAAAAGUUUAAAAUAUUAGUUUAUGUUUUUUCUAUAUAAAAGAUAAAAUAUUUUUGUUGCUAUUGUUGUAGUGUACAAAAGAAACUCAUCGCCUUGUGGACUGUGAAACUGUGUCCAAAUGGAUUAUGAAGAAAAGUGCAGAGUCUGAAAAUAUGAAUUGGUAAAGGUCUAAAUUGCCCCUUGGCAGGUAUGCUGAUCGAAUUGCUAAUGCUAAAUGGGAAGUUAAAGAACAUGGAAUGGAACGCAAAGGUGAUUAUUUUUAAUUUUAGCACCAAAUAUUUUAAAAUAUCAUUUUUUUUAUGUUAAAUCAUAACUAUAACUCAAGGUGCUAUAUCUUUUAUCUGUUGUUUGUAAUGUUGAUAUGAUAACAUUAGUUAAUAACAUAUUUAUAUAACAACUCUAUCAGUUAGCUAAAACUGAUUAUGUCAUUAAUAUAUUAAAUUUCAUAAUUAUUAUUUAUUACAUUAAUGCUUUUAAUAUGUUCUUUAGUUGCUUACACCAUCAGUUCUCAAUGGUCGAUUAGUUAAUGCCCACCAACAUCUCCUAGCACUAAGGAUAUCAGAUUAUCUUGGAAUACACCAAGUUCUGUGAUAUUUUCAAUACCAAUCAUAAGGAGGAAUUACAAUAUGGUGUUAUGGAAGGAGUCAAUCUCUUAGGGAAGUAAUGGAGCCAAAAGAAGGUAGUCUACUCUAGGUGCAGUUUGUUAUUAUUCUAUUGGUGAUUUGAAGCAUGGAGUUGAUUCCUCCUGCAAGUGAAGUUACUUAGUUGGAAUUUGAUGUACAUAGUAGAUUAGAUGCAAAUUUAUUUAUUGUAAGAAAUAGAAUUGUAUGACAUUAAAUUUAAGCAAUGGAUUCUAUUUUUUGUAUAUAAUAUUUUAUUUUCAGUUAUGAAACAUUAAAUACAAAUUUAAUUAGAAAAUAAGUAAACCUAUAAAGAUUUUUUUUAAACAUUUAAAAUUAUGAUACGCAAAAAUGUGUGUCAUCUUCAUUUAUGACAUGGCCUUUCUUGACAGGGGCUUUCUUAAUACGCAUUACGUGUCAUUAACACGCGCGGCGUAAGGUUACGACACGCGAAUGCGUGUCAUCUUCCUUUAUGACAGGGUCUUCCUUGAUACGCAUUGCGUGUCGUAAACGCACGUCGUAAUUGCGCGUCGUAAAUGAGCGUCGUAAAUGCGCGUCGUCUAUAAACGACGCGCAAAAGCGCGUCGUCUCUCUUUAUGACAGGGCCUUCCUUGACACGCAUUUGCGCGUCGUCUGAGCCUUUUACGACGCGCAAUGAGCGUCGUAAAAGGCUGUUUUUCUAGUAGUGCGCCCUAGCGGCAUAUCACACACACUCUUGUUUCCGCAGUUAUGAGUUCAUUAUGGGAUUGAUACUUUGAUAUUUUGGUUGUUUACAUGUUGUGGAUUUCAAAUUUGGGUUUUCGAUGUGAAAUGGUUUAAUUGAACAAUGUUUUNGGCCAUCGGCCUGACUGGACCGCCCUGCGGGGCCUACAGUCUAUCUGGAUCUAUCCCGAGCCUUCGGCAUGACUGGUUCGCCACGUGGGCCUACAGUCUCCCCGGACCGCUCAUAGGGUGUGUGGGCCUUCAACACAAAACAGGAUCGCCUCAACCCAACCAAAAACAAAUAACUAUGUGCGCAUAACUAUCAUAUACUGGCAUAUACAAACAUCAAGCAUAUCUAUCACUGGUCAUCAAUCAUAGAAUUCUCUCAUAACUAGAGUACCGUCCUAGCAGGUCACUAACAUACCAAUCCCUACGGAUCAUAAGAGCAUAGCAUACUGUCUACCCUGAUUCCGAUCUAACAGAUCAUAACCACAUAUAGCAUACCAUAACAAUAACAACUAAAGGGUCGGCCUUGGUGCCGUAGACCCUAUCGAUAUAGUGAGGGUAACUCACCUCAGAGAUGUCGACUCGGAAAGUAAACUCCAACUCCCGGAUCACUUGACACAAGCCCCACUACCUAUAGCACAAUAUACUCGUAAGUCCUUAACCUUAUAAGGUACUCCAUAACCUACUAGUCAACCCCUGAUCAAAGUCAAAGUCCUUAGUCAAGGUCAACAAUCCAUGUUGACCUCGACUCGUCGAGUUCCUUGAAACACAUUCCAACUCGCCGAGUCAUCAGGGUGACUCGUCGAGUUCCUUUGAUUCUCGAUGAAACUUUAAGGCCACCCGUCGAGUUCCCUCCUUGCAACUUGACGAAUACACACGCAUACAUAUCCAGGAGAAAACUCAUCCGCCUCGCCGAGUUGUUCUUCAACUCGUCGAGUCUAUGGAAAUCAUCAUCGGACUCUCCGAGUUGUUCAUCCAACUCGUCGAGUUCACAACCAUCUUUAUGUGACUCGCCGAGUCCAUUCAGUCCUUUUCCCAUACAGACCUAUUUUGAGUCAUGCAACGGCUCCAACUCACAGAUCCAAGCUUCUAGGGCAUGCUCAAAAGGGACCUUAAUCACGAGGCGAUCCUGUUUUGUGUUGAAGGCCAAGUUUCUAGGGCAUGCUCAAUAGGGACCUAUUUUGAGUCAUGCAAACUUUACGUGCAUGCAUGGCUUUAUAGGCUCCAAAUGCCAAAUCUAAGCUCUUAAUGGGGCUUCAUGCUCAAUAGGGACCUUAAUCACGAUCAAAACUGUAACUUUAUGUUUCUAGAAUCCAAAGAGGGUCCGAUCUGAAGUUACAACUUCAAAUCUAGCCCAUAGCUCAUCAUACCAACUUGAUAUUCCAAGAAAACCCUAAAACUCAACCAAUAGAGGAAAUUUAUAAGGAAAAUGACGGUUUGGGUACGUCUGGAAGAUUAUAUCUGAGAUAAGUAUUGAUUUCCACACUCUAAAUGCUCCAAUCUCCUUCUCCUCCACGUCUUCUCCUUCCAAAGAUCCUCUUUUCAAGCUUCAAACACACACAAGGCACCACACACGAAUAAGGGAUCUCAAGGACUCUUUAGAACUGUAAAGAGGUCCAAGGGAGGCUAAGGCCCCUUUAAAUAGGGGUACAAACCCCGAGAUUUAGGUUUUCAUCUGCCUGCUCCUACUCGCCGAGUCCCAAUAUGGACUCGUCGAGUAGGUCACUUAACACGGGAUCCCACCCCCGCUGCUACUCGACGAGUAGGGCAACCUACUCGUCGGGUAGAGCUUAACCCAAUACAUCUUAUUUAAAACAAUACCUGAGAAUUGGGGCAUUACACAAUAACGCGUCCUUUAGAUAAGGGAUCAUGUAGUCCUCCAUUCUCAAGAUAUCGUGUGGACAAAGACAUGGAAUAAAGUCAUACUCAUUGUCUAAUAGUUUGUUUCCCGAUUUCUGAUUUGUUUGACAUAGAAAUUAAUUAAACACAUCAAUUUAUUCCUGACCGGGCCCAACACAUAAGUCAACACAAAAUCAUCGAGGGGCCCAAUAUAUCGCUUUUAAUCCUCUUAGGAUAAAAGGAAGAGAUAAUCUUUGACUUAUAUUCUUGUAGUAUUUACUUCUUAAAUCGUACAAAAUAAUACGUUUAAUAACAUCAAGUUAUUGAUGCGUUUACACACUAUCAAUGCACAACCAACUUGUAAACAAUAACUAAUAUAUCUCGGUUUAAAGACUAUGCUAUUAUCGUCUCACAAUCAUUCAUGAUAAAUUCCAUCAAGUGAUUCAUAUGAGCUUGGGUUUAAUCUAAUACUCAAAUAUUAUUUCAGGAGCACUCAUGAACAUUGCAACAAACCUUUGCUAUGUCCAAACACUUAUACAAUCUACAAACCAAUUCAUGAUAGUCUAACCUCAUAGCCUACUUCCAAAGUAUGAUCGACUGCGGAUAAUUCGAAUAAUCCUAUUAUUCUGGAAGUCAAAACAUGAAAAAGUGAAACAAUAGUAAACAAUUUACACAAGAUAGUAACUUUACUCAUAAAAAAAAACCUCUUUAUUUAAUCAUCAAAUGUCAAUUACAUUUUAUCUAUUACAAGUUUCUAAACAAUUAUCUAACCACUGAAACUAAUAUCAUCCUUUAGACCAAUGCUCCUCACAUGCUGUAAGUGCUUAACCCUGCUUAGACCCUUUGUGAGGGGAUCUACUGGAUUCUCCUCUGACGAUACCCUCUUGAACACGAGGAGUCCCUCCUCUACCUGAUGUUUGAAGAAGUGGUAUUUUCUGUCGAUGUGUAUGGAUCUACCAUGAUCCCUUGGUUCCUUGGUUAACGCAACUGCUCCUUCGUUAUCAUAGAAAAUUUCCAUAUGCUCCUUUAUGGCUGAUACAACUCCAAGGUCUCUGAUGAAGUUCUUCAACCAUAUUGCCUCCUUCGAUGCUUCGCUCGCUGCUAUGUACUCUGAUUUGCACAUUGAAUCAUCUACAGUCUCCUGCUUGGAACUUUUCCAAGUCACUGCUCCUCCAUUCAGGGUAAAUACCUAGCCCGACUGAGAGUGGAAGUUAUUUCUGUCGGUCUGAAAACUAGCAUCACUAUACCCUAUCACUCUCAAAUUUUCACUUCCACCAAUUACAAGGACCCAAUCCUUCGUCCUUCGUAGAUACUUAAGAAUGUUCUUUACUGUUAUCCAGUGAGCUCUACCAGGGUUCCUUUGAUAUUGACUAACCAUGCUCAAAGUAAAAGCCACAUCAAAACGAGUAGACGUCAUAGCGUACAUGAUCUAGCCAACGACAAAAGCAUAUGGUACUCGACUAAUUUCCACUAUCUCGGCAUCGGUACUCGAACUUUGAGUCUUACUCAAUUUUGUAUUGCCCUGGAUUGGUAACUCCCUUUCUUGGAAUUCUCCAUGCUAAAACACUUUAUCCAAGUAAGUACUUUGACUAAGUCCUAUUAGUCUCUUACUCGUAUUUCUCAAUAUCCUUAUCCCUAGAAUAUAAGCAACCUCUCUGAGGUCCUUCAUAGCGAAACACUUCCCAAGCCAGGGCUUAACCUCUUGCAAAGUUGGGAUGUCGUUUUCUAUGAGUAGUAUGUCAUCCACAUACAAUACCAAGAAGCUAACUAUACUCCUACUAGCUUUGACAUGCACGCAGGACUCAUCCUCGCUUCUUGAAAAACCAAACUCUUUGACUUUCUCAUCGAAACAAAGAUCCAUCUGCGAGAUGCUUGUUUCAAUCCAUAAAUGGAUUUCUCAAGCUUGCACACUUAGUUUCGGUACUUUGCAUCCACAAAACCCUCUGGCUAAUUCAUGUAAACAUCCUCAGCCAACUUUCCAUUAAGGAAAGCAAUUUUGACGUCCAUCUGCCAAAUUUCAUAAUCAUGAAACACAACUAUGACUAGCAUAACUCUUAUAGAAUUGAUGUUGGUCACUGGUGAGAAGGUGUCGUGAUAGUCAACUCCCGAAGUUUGAGUGAAACCCUUCGUAGCUAGUCGUGCCUUGAAUGUGUCCACUUUCCCAUCCGUGUCGGUCUUUUUCUUGAAGAUCCACUUACACCCGACCGUCUUACUACCUGUUAUAUUGUUAACCAAGUUCCUAACUUGAUUUUCAUACAUGGACUGAAUCUCGUUGUCCAUCGUCUCUUUCCAUUUUGCAUACUCUGGGCCUGCCAUGGCUCUCUUGUAGUUGUUAGGUUCAUCCAUAUUUAUUAGUGUACUAUCACUAAUAAACAUAUCACCUCAGCAGUUAUAUGGAAACCAUAUAACACGGGCGGAUCACUAACUCUAGUGGAACGUCUAAGAGGUAAGGACUCGUCGAGUCCCACUAUGGACUCGUCGAGUUCAUCUGUCAGGGGCCAGAAAUCGAUUAUUUUCAGCUUUGAACAAUUAACCAUGACAUCAAAUACAACAUAAAAACAGCCUAGGCUCUGAUACUACUGAUGGUUUUUGAGCACUACAACAUUCCUAUGGUGUACAUGCAACCCUAAUGCUUCGUAUCUAUGUUUUUUUCAAGUUAUAUAUGCAAAUCAAAUCAUCCAAAGCAUGAACCCUAACUAGCAUAAAAAUUUGGAAAUUUGUAACAUAAAACAUAGUUAGAAGAAUACUUUUUCCUUGUAGCUUGUUGAUCUUGACCUUCAUGAGCUUAGUGCCUUAAUUCUUGCACCUCGAUUGAGUCACAAACACCAAGUAGCAAGUUGGAAGAAUAUGAGAGAGGCUAGGAGGCUCAAAAUCGUCUAGGGUAUUCUCUUAGAAGCAAGUGGUUGAUUCCAAGGUGUCAUCGGGUCUUUAUAUAGAUGUGCAAUUAGGGUAUUUGAUUGAAACCCUCAUUCUCUGCUUAGGCCUUAAGUAAUCUAGUAGAUCCUUCCAGAAGGUCUCUUAUGGACAAAAUCUAUGUGGGCUAUAUAUAGGAUUUCAUCCAUCCCUUCUUAGGGAUCCACAAGCCCAAGUUUGCAACUAGCAUAUAAUUGCAAUAUCAGUCCCCAUAAUUUAAUCAGUCUCUUUUGAUCACAAAAAUAAUUCCAAAUCAAUUCCUGAUCAAUACUAAUUAAAUAAUAUGAUUUCUCAAUCAAUAUAUCAUUCUUAUAAUAUAUUAAUAAAUCAAAAUUAACCUCUUUCUCCAUAAUUCAUCCAGUCAAGUUGCUAUGGUGAAGGCAACCCAAAUGAACCAUGCUACUAUUAGGUCAAGUACAUACCAAUUAUAGUUAUGGGCUUAGACACCUAAUCCAACACGGGCUCCUUAGAGCUUUCAGGUCUCUCCUUGUCUCGGGUACAAGUCUUGUGCUUUUAGUAGUACGGGCCCAAUACUACCUUCCACACCUACCUGUACAUUCCCCCAAGGCCAUACCUGAUACCUCUAAUUCACCAAAACAUAGAUAAAACAUGACAUACGAAACACAACACAUAUCCUAGAAUCCUUGGGGAUUUCUCAAUCCUCAUAGAACCAGAAGUCUCAAUCAACACCGCAGGUUGCCUUAUGCAUGCAAGUUAUACAUACAUAUAAUCACAUAGACUGUCAAGUGAAGUUUCUACCCUAAGACCAAAAUGAAGCAAGGAACAAGAAGUAAGGAAGAAUCCAUCGUUCUAGGGCUAUGAAAUCCUACACGUAUACAACUUUGAAAGAAUACACUUAGCAAAUAACAAAGACAACAUCGAUUUCAAGCAUUAUAUUCAUAGCAUUGAAUUCUAGCUAGUAGGCUACAAGGCAUCACACAAAUCAGACAAUUCUCAUAACUCCUGAAGGUAUCCUUAGCCCUAUUCUAGCAUGCAUUUCACACAUUAACAUACUGGUUGUAAUUCAUAAGCUUGGUUAAAUUUUUGGAAACACUUACUUGAGCUUGGCCGAUUGCGUGCAUUGCACUCUCCCUUUUUACUUAAGAAAACCGGUUUAAGAAAAAAUUUACUUUUGUUUAUUUUUUAAAAAGGGUUACCAUUUCCUUAGUUUGAGUUCUGACACACCUUCGAGUGUGGCCGAAUUUCUCAAACCAAGGCUAUGAUAGCAACUUGUAACAAUCCAAAAAUCUAGAUAAAAAUUUUCAUUUUUUUAAAAAUAGAAAUUACAAUCAUAAUUUGUUUAUGAAAAUCCAUUACAUGAUUUCAUAUCAAAAUAUCAGAGUAUCGCUAUCGAUAAAUGAGGAAAUUCUUGGGAGUGAUGUUGCGCCAUCAAGCUGGUCCAUUCCCAUCAAUACCAGAAGUACCUAAAAACACCCAAAUAAACUAUAAGCAAAAUGUAACAUCCCAAAAAUACAGGCAAAAAAUUUCAUUUUUAAAUACAUUAUUAUAACACCAGCAGUAUAAUAAGACAUCCAUAAUAUCAUGUCAUGUCAAAACUAAAGUAGAAAUAAUCAAAACAUGUUAUAAUAAAACAAUAUCAAGGUGUAAUCUCAAAGAUCUCAUGUGCGGAAAACCAUAGCGUGAUGCACUGUGAUCAAGCCGACUCCUUUCCUUUAAAAACGAGUACCUGAAACCAAAACUGUAAACCGUAAGCAUGAAGCUUAGUGAGUUACCCCAUCAUACCACAUACCAUACAACAUACAUGCUACGAAGCAUAUCUGGGUGUUGACAUACCCCUUUGGUAACUUUAACCGAUAUCCGGGGACUGUUUCACCCCUAUCACUACCACAUAAUAACAUAGCAUAACAUAUAUAAAUAUACUGUCAUGCAUAUAUGGGUGCCCGACCUACCCCUUCGGUAUCUUUCAACCGGUAACCGGGAGCUAACCUCCCCAUCGGUAUCUUUCAACCGGUAACCGGGAGCUAACUACCCCUUCGGUAUCUUUCAACCGGUAACUGGGGACUAUUUCACCCCUACCACUACCACAUAAUAACACAACAUAAUGUACUGCAAGGCAUGCAUGGGUUCUGACGAUCCCUUCGGUAUCUUUCAACCGGUAUCCGGGGACUAAUAUUUCACCCCUAAUACUACUAACUCAUAUAACAUAGCAUCCUAGAACAUAGAGCAUAUCAGAUAGUUGUAAACUAGACAAUUAUCACAAAGACAAUCAUCUCAUACAUAGUCACCUACUAGUGGGUCAGCAUUGGUGCCUUAGACUGUCACACCCCAAAACCGAGAACGGCGGAAAUGUUCUGGGGCGGAGGACGUCAUGUAUAAUAUCAACAACAAUGUAAAGUAGUAAACAAGCAACAACAUCAUCCAUUGCAUUAAUAAAAUAAUUAUUAUACAAUUGUAUUCUGUCAAAUUUUGAUAAACACUAAAGCAUAAAUCAAAAUGAAAGAUAAGUCUUGAACAAGCUCCAUCUUCCUUUCUCCUUGCAUCGGUACCUGUCUAUGAUGACCUGAGGAUACAAGUAAUUUUGAAAGCGAGUAUCAGCUUUAAAGCUGGUGAGUUCAUAAGUAUAUAAGUGUCAUUGCCUUGUUUGUGAAAAGCUGUUAUGAAGGCCAUGAAAACCUUUAAAUGAAAAUGUUGAGGUAAGUAUGAAAUCCCUAGAAAAAACCCUUAUUUUCUAUAAGUAUGAAAUGUAGUCUUCUACUAAGACCCGAAUGUUCUGUACGUAUGAAGUGUAGUCUUCUACCAAGACCCGAAUGUUUUGUAAGUAUGAAGUGUAGUCUUCUACCAAGAACCGAAUGUUCUGUUUGUAAAAUGAUAGUUUUCCCUUUGUAUUGACUAGUACUAAAAGUGCUUAGUCUAACUCAUCGUCUAUGUGAAUGCAUCACAAAAUAAAGUAAACAGGAAAAUGUACUACUGUAAGUGUUGUCACUGGGUACUAGGACCAACACAGCCUAGGUAAAUAUUAUCCCGAGGUACUAGGGUUAACACUACCUAAAAAUAAAGUAAACAGGAAAAUGUACUACUGUAAGUGUUGUCACUGGGUACUAGGACCAACACAGCCUAGGUAAAUAUUAUCCCGAGGUACUAGGGUUAACACUACCUAAAAAUAAAGUAAACAGGAAAAUGUACUACUGUAAGUGUUGUCACUGGGUACUAGGACCAACACAGCCUAGGUAAAUAUUAUCCCGAGGUACUAGGGUUAACACUACCUAAAAAUAAAGUAAACAGGAAAAUGUACUACUGUAAGUGUUGUCACUGGGUACUAGGACCAACACAACAUCGCAUUAAGCGAAAUGUAUAACCUAAUGAACAUCCGAAGAUUGUCCAAUUGUCCUCUGUAGCAGCAGCAGGUGGGUGGAAGGGUUAGUCCCAAAUCGAUCUUCCUAAUAUAAGUAGUAACCUUAGACCUCCGUAGAUGGUCAUCGACCACUGGUGCUAAUCAGUGGGGUUCGGAAUGGUGAGUCCCGCCUAGAUAUCCCAUUGAACCGGGAUAGGAAAGAUAAUUUACACAGAAAGUACUAAUAAAUUAUCCUCUUAGUUCUAAGUACAAGUAUCCAGGUAAGUGAAUACAGGAUAAUGCACCUAUGUAAAAGUGUUCCUGUAUGGCAUUCAUGUAUGUGCGUCCAUGUAACAGGUAAGUAUAUGUGAACAUAUUCAUGUAUCAGGUAAGCAUCUGUAAGUACUCAUGUAUCAGGAAAUGUACUAGUAUAGACUCAUGAAUGAACUGACUCUUGUGUGAUUCUUUGUAAUAGAAAUAAUGUUUGAUAUCUUCAAAUUAUCCCUAUGAUAAUUUACUGUAAUAUAACUGGAUGAUCAUGUAGGUUUAUACACUCUUACUACUCAAGGGUGUGGGAAACUAAAUGAAAGAUGUAAACUAUAAACUCAAUACAUAUAUAAGAAUAUAAGUGUAUAUGCAUAGUUUAGUUCAAGAAUGUAAAAAUGGUUUUGUAAGACCUCUUAUGGGUUUUGAACAAUAAUUAACAAUGACUUGAUGUCAUUUUAAUAAACAUUUCAAAGGUAAAACAUUUGGUAACAAUGUGUUUUUAAUAUGUAAAACCAUUUCAUGCAUCACAUUUUGUAGCAUGUGAAAUCCGUUAAAUGACAAACAUAGUUAUAAAAUGCAUAUCAAUGAUUCAAUAACAUGUAUGUUUCUACUUGUAUUCCCCCCAUUAAAGCAUUUAAAAUCAUUUAAAAUAUUGAUUAGGGGUAUGAACUCACUUGAUUGAAGUGGUUGAUUUGAAAUAGUCCAGAGAAGAAUCAAGCAGAACUUCGACAGGAAGAGCUGAAAACGCGGGAAAAUCUCAGGAUUCUCGGGAAUCUCGGGAAUCUCGAGAACACAAAACCUUCCUUCGGGACUUGAAGGUGAAAACCGGGGCUUUGGGAGGGUCUCGGGGGCUUAAACGCAGAGUUUCGGCGCGAGAAAGAAAGGAACUGAGCAAUGGAACUCGGAGCCCUUGAAAUCUAUUUAUAGGGGCAUUUUUGGGGUGUGCCACGUCGUGGCAAGUGAUGGCCACGUCGUGGGGAGUCAAACCUAUCCUCUUCCAUUGAUUGGACGCCCUCAGUCACUUGCCGGGUCGCGGCAAGCUUGUGCCACGUCGUGGGGCCUGACAGCAUCGGAUUUUGGGCCCCGAACUUGUAAAAUCCAUAACUUUCGCAUACGAGCUCCGUUUUCGACGUUCUUUAUAUGCACACAUAGCUAAAAAUAUGAUCUACAAAUCUCGUUUAGACUUCAAUUGCAAAUUUUGACUUUAUUUUUAAUUAUUUAUUUUUAACGGGUCGGGACACGAAAAGUCUGUUAAAAAUCCAUAACUUCUUCAUCCGGUGUCCGUUUUCGUCAGACUUUUCGCCGUUGCGCUACUAAUGUUGAGACCUUAGAUUCUCAUUUAGGUUGUUUUGGCACNUUUGGUCAAAAGUAUCUCGAGCUCUAUUUCGAGUUUUUAGCUGUCUACUGCUAUACUCGAAUCUUGGAAAAAUCAUAACUUUCUCAUACGAAGUCAGAUUUGGACGUUCUUUUUAUGUACGCUCACGGUUUGAGGUUAUCUAUAACUUUCAUUUAGAUACUUAAGGCUAAAAACUAUUGUAUUGAAACUUCGCGUUUUUCGUUUAAUCGGUGUUGUCGGUUUUGCCGAGAAUCUUCGGUUGGUCAUAACUUCUUCGUUAUAACUCGAAUUUUAGGGUUCUUUAUAUGUACUAAAACCUUGAUACGAUUCCUACUACUUUAUUUAACCCAAAUAAGAUUUUAGGAAAGUUAUAUUUUGACCUAAAUUUGAUUGGUUUUACAUUUCAUUGUCUCGAAAUAUCGGGUUGUCACAUAGACCCACCUCUACUGGAAGGUAAUUCACCUCGAAUGCAGAAGCUUCCUAAAGAAAUUCUUAUUGCUGCCCUGCCCACUUCCCGAGCUAUCAAUACCAAUCAAUAUACCAAAUUAGCAAUUGGUUCCCAUACCAAAAUCCUUAAUCCAUGCAUGGGAUAAAAUGACCAUUCUACCUAUGGCCCAGUAUGAUCCGGAAUUAUGGCCAUAACCCAAACAAAAGCCCAACACUAUAAUGUCCAUAAUACAAUCAAUGGCCCAAUUUUCUAAAUUGGGCCCAAACCUCUACGUGAGUCUUGCCAUGAGGCCCAAUCAUUCUUUCCAGUCCAAUACACCUCAUAUUCUGAUGGCCCAAUAAUAAUCCAAACAUUUAAACCCAAAAUGCUAAAACUCACUCAUGGCAUGGUCCAUGGACUAGUUUUCCAAAUUGGGCCCAAGACUUUAGUGGGCCUCUACAAAUAAAAUAUCAACCCCAAAACUGAUGGCCCAAUAGCGCCCAAAACAACAAGCCCAAAAGAUGGCCCAAACUGAAGCCUAAAAACCAAAGUCCCAUUCUGCUGAGUACGCGGGGCGUACUCAGCUUGUACGCUAAGCGUACUGGCUUAAGGGCUUGUACGCUACAUGUAGACGCUUGUACGGCCAGCGUACUCCUCCUGUUGACCAACUCUCAAUCCUAGCUCUUAAUCCAUUAAGCCAAGACGUCCAAAACCUCAAAAUGGCUUAAUAUAAGUGACUUGACCCGUAAAGUCGAAUGCUUUAAGCCUUUGCAUGGCUUAUUUAAUCCCAAACACUAAAGAUGAAUUCCAAAAGGUCAAAAUCACUCCCAAAAUGUCUUAGAACUUCUUAAUACCUUAAGACCUCAGUCCAAACUUCCAGAUCUGAUUUCAAGGGACUUCUUAAGUCAUAAAUUUUCCAACUUUAUGACUUAGCAUAACUCAAUGGGGCCUAAAUCUAAAACCUAAGUUCCAAACUUCAUUAAAUGAAUACCAAAUCAUGCAUGGAAGGUUUAUACCUCUCAAGAUCUAGACUUUAUGACUCCAUAACCUCAGUAAGGACCAAAUAAGAGGCUCAAAGGUUCUGGAGUAACUUCUACUCACAAGAACCACCUCAAAGGGACCAAAAAAACAUAACAACGUACCAUUUUGCUAGAUCUACAUGAAAAAGUUGUCAAUGUUGAGACUCUAUACCUUCAGAAGAUAGAUCUAGGUGCACAAAGCUUGGAUUCAAAAGCUCCAAGUCAAACAAUGACUCUUCAAGAAGUUCCUUCUUCCUCCUCUAGCACCAAAACACACCAAAAAUCACUUUGAAGCUCUAAAAUUACUCAAAUGGGGGCUAAGGGUCGAUUUCUAGGGUUUGGAGGGAUGGAGGAUGAAGGUAUUAGGGUUAGGUUAUGAGAUAAGGAGCUUAAAUAUGCUCCAAGACCCUAAAAUAGGGUUUUGAUCUAACUGGCGUACGCUCAACGUAAUUAUGGUACACCCGACGUACUCCAAAGAACAUUCGCGACCAUCCUGGUCAGUAUGUCCAGCGUACUCUAAGGUACGUCCAACGUAUUGCCUUCUUCACUAGUACGCCCUGCGUACUCUUUGUGUACGCCAUGCGUACUCGGCUAACCCUGAAAACCAUGAAACUUCUGAAGGCCAUAACUUCUUCGUUAUAAGCCCGAUUCCAAUGAUCCUUAUAUCCACGGAAAGGUGACGAGAAACUCUAUGCAUCCAUCAACUUAUUCUCACCUCAAAACCUUCUGAAAAAAAAAUCCAAAAUUUAUAAAGAUCUUCAACUACCACUUUACCGAUAUACCCCUUGGCUCCAAAACACGAACCGAACACCCGAAUCACUUAUAAUACAUCACCUGCACCCAAAUGGGCCUAGAUACUACCUUUUCAAAAGCCCUAAUACUUUUGAUGACCAGCCUUCAGGCCACAUCGUUAGACUAGAAGUCAAUCCGGAACAGGGCGUUACAUAAAAGCUUAGUGAGUUCCCAAAAUACAACAUAACAUAUAACCACAGAAUACCACGCUAUAUACAUAAGAUUGCCAUAGGAAACCCCUAUGGUCUUUACCUGGAAUGCCAUGGGCUACCCCCAUGGCCUGAUAUCCAAGUUCCAUGUGCUACCCCCUUGGUCUUUACUUGGAAUGCCAUGGGCUACCCCUAUGGUCUUCACACAAGUGCCACGGGCUACCCCUGGGGUCUUCAAAUAAUGAAUUCAUAACAACUAUCAAUGCACAUGUCAAACAAUGGGCCGAAAUUAGUGCCUUCGACCCAUUGAUAUAGUGAGAAGACUCACCUCAGACUGCUGAUAAAAAUACUACUCGGCUAUCGGUCCAGAUAUCUCACACUGAAUAUACACAAGUUAACCUAAUUAGAAUUAAGUCACAAACUCAAGGCAUAGGCCAAAACCCUAAUUACAAACUCCUCCAAUAAGGCCCAAAAGCCUUUCUCCUUUAAUGGGCCUAACAUCCAAGCUCCAAAACAAUUAUAGGCCAUAAGGCCCAAAAGGCCCAAACAUGCCACCUAUGGUCCAACAACAAGUUUAAAGGCCCAAAUACUCUAAUAGAUCCAGGCCCAAGGCUAAGUAGGGCCCAAAUGGAUCAAAGGCCCAACAAUAGCCUAAAACUCACUGGAAGCAUACGCCCAAUGUACAACAUAUAUACGCUUAGCGUACUGGGUUAUUUGGUGGUACACACAGUGUAAAAGCUAGUACGUCCAACGUACAAGCUGCUUUGCACAAAUAGCCAUUAAGUGCUUACUUCAUGAAGCCGCUUCGUCCGAUUCCAAAUCUUGGUCAUCAUAAAGGUUGUAGGGCAAAAAUUUUGUAACUUUAUGCCUUUGAAUGCCAUAUGGGAACCUAACACCUCGUUUUAUCCUUUAAGACUCCCUUUAAGAUCUUAAACUCAUGCAUGGUGUCAAAACAACCAUCAAGUUAACAUUUUUAUGGUUUUAACAUGCCAAAGGAACUCAAAUCAAACAUUUCUAACCUCUGGAGUUGCUCAAACUCACAAAAGAGGAUCCAUGGACCAAAAAUGGACUUAUUACCAAACCCUAACUCAAACUAGCGAAAGGAUAAGCAAGGUCUGGACUUUUUACCUCCAAAAGUUCCGCAAGAUGAAAUAGAUGCAGGAUCUAGAAGCUCAACCACGUAUAAGACUUGAUCACAACCUUCUCCUUCUUGCAAACACACUAAAAUAGCCACCAAAAUCACUUUUAAUAUCACGAAUCACACUCACUUGCAAAUUAAGGUUUAGGUAUGAUAAGAGGCAAUAGAAGUUGUUUAGGGUUAGGUCUAAAUGGCAUAAGAGUGUUAAAAUGGGGCUAAAAUUAGGAUUUUUGUCUUAGGCCACGUACGCCCCGCAUACAUUGUGCAUGUCCGAGUCCAAACCACCCUAAUAUGCUAAGCAUACACAUAUGUACACCCAACGUACGUAGGGACCUCCUUUGCAAAUAAGUUUCAUUCCAAGGGUUAAAAGGGUAACUUGCAUUCCGAAUGUUACAUAUAGAUAAUCAAAUACUUGAUUCUACCCUAAGCCCUUCAUCAACCAAGAACAUGAAAUAAAGCUAAACCAAAAAUUAUCAGGCUAUAGAAUCUUAAUUAUGUACAACUAUGAUGCAUACACUAAGCAGGUACAAUAAUGAUGUCAAUUCUAUAUAAGAAGUAAUCCUAGGGUAUCAAGCAUCAUAUAUGAGGAAAUUUUAUCACGUAAUUCCUGACGAUCCCUAGCCCACCGCUAGUAUGUUGUUGUAUCAUGAAUAACAUAUCAAAUAACAGUGUGGGUAACUUGAGGUAUGCUUUCUUACCGCGGCUGACCGUACACAUCACAUCAUGCAUUCCUUGGUUACUUUUGAAAACCAUUAAAAAAAACUUUUACAACUCCCUAGUUUGAGUUUGGAUUCACACGAAUGUUCAUCCAAUUCUCUCAAACCAAGGCUCUGAUACCAACUUGUAACACUCCUAAUAUCAUAGAAAAUUAAAAAUUUUAAAUUUCAACCAUUAACCAACAUUGUUUAUAAAAAGUGCUCAUUGCUUCAAAAGUAUUAUUCAAAAUCAUAGUUUUUCCCAAGACAUAAAAACACAAAACAGGAAGAUGUGCACGAUCACGCCUUUGCCUUCCCGCGAUUAUCAGAAGUACAUGAAAUAAUAAACUGAAAUUGUAUUUCAAAGCUUAGUGAGUUCCCCCAAAGUACCAUCAUGAAACAUAUAAAAUACAUAGAUUAACAUGAUGGGCCCACAACCUCCCAGUUGGAUUACCUUGGCCCACAACCUCCCUGUUGGAUUGCCCUGCAUACCAUAUACUGGGUCCAUAACCUCCCAACCGGGUUGACUUGGCUAGUUUGUGGAGUUUGACCUAUUUUGAGCCAAGUAUAUUUUGGAUAAUUUGGUAUUAAUUUAAGUUGGGAAAUAUUUUGGGAUAAUAGGUGUUGAGUAGAGCCGGGUGUCGGGGAAGACAUUUAUUCAGCUUGUGUUUAGACUGAGAGGUGAGUUUUCCUCACUAUACUUACAAGUCGAAGGCAUCAAGGCCGACCUAAUGGAUUGAUAUCCUGUUAGAUACUAAUUGAAGAUAUGUUGAGUAUGCGAUACAUCUGUAUGAUUAUAUGAUAGGUAUUGAUAUACAUUAGACUGGUAGAUCUGUAGGACUACAUGUGAUUAUUGGUUGUGUAAUCACCUGUUUGUUGUAUGUAUAUUAUCUAUUAUAUGUCGACAUGUUACUUUAGGGUUGAGAAUAUUGCUUUGUGCUGUCAUUCGACAGACCGUGACAAUCCAACCAGAAUGUUUUGGGCCAGAGUAAUCCAACAGGGAGGUUGUGGACACAACAUGCUAAUCUAUGUAUUUUAUAUGCUGCAUGAUGGUACUUUGGGGGAACUCACUAAGAUUUGACUUACAGUUUCAGUUUAUUGUUUUAGGUACUUUUGAUGAUCAUGGUACGAUGAAGGUGUGAUAACGCACAUCUUCCUAUUUUGUGUUAUUGUGUCUUGGGAAAAACUCUGAUUUUGAAGAAUACUUUUGAAGCAAUGACUCUUUUUUUAAACAAUGUUGGUUAGUGGUUGAAAUUUAAAUUUUUUAAAUUUCUAUGAUUUUUGUAAUGUUACAUUGGUUUGGCUUGUAACCGAUCUAAACCCCCCACAUACCCUUGUUAAUCAUAAAAGAAGAAUCCAUUUAGAACUAACUAUGUUCAAAAAUAAGAACCAUAGUGUGUUAAAUAUUCAUUACCUCAAAUGUAGGGAUCUUUUGAUGUCGAAGAACAUUAGUUAAGAUAAAUUAAAAAGGAUAUUCAACUAAACCAAAGGUCUUUUGGCCUAGCACUAUCAUAUGUUGGAAAUGUGACCCUUCCUAAUAUCAGAAAAACGUGUUAUUUCGAUUGCUUGGAUUACACUGAAAGUCAUGAUACACUUACGUAUUAAAGUAUUUCGAUGGUACAAUCAAAAUUUAAAUUGGAUAAAAUUCUGUGAGAACAACAGAGAAUGAAAAUGUUAUGAUUCUUGUGUGUACCAGAUUCAAAUGACCAAAAAGGGAUAUGACUCCUUGUCCGAAAAUUGUCAUAUUUCCAGUUACAAACUGCCACAAAACCAUCACUAAACUGACUUAGUCGGCUUAACAAACAAGAACUACAUAUUUAACAUACAAAGAAAAGCUAACAAGUCUCCUGAUACUUGUAAAAAUCAAAUGAUGUAAAAAAAUUAGAUAUCAAAAAAUCUAGUAUUAACAUAGAUUUAAUUAAACUUAUAGAUUAUCUGUUUAUAUAUCAUGGAAAUUUAUUCCCAAGGUCAUCCUUAACUCGUUAACAAGUUUUGGGUGUAACGAUAUAACAAUAUCUAAUCAUUACUCCUCUGAUAAAAUUUUGGAUUCUGUGGUCUAUAGGUUGCAUUUUUUGUUGCUAAUAGGAGUAGAAAAGCUAAAAUCAUUUGGGUCGAUUGGAUUCAUAAUCCUACUUCAACUUGCACUCUUAUGUAAUGUUUUUUUUCCUAGCUUACUGCUAGUUUUUAUAAAAUUUUAUCUUGUUCCGAAAAAACUCCUCUUAUAUAUUGGUCAACUUUGAGAUACAAUUAAAAAGGUUCUCUUGCCACAUCACACGCCAUCCACCCCAACGACCACCACACAAUAAUAUCGAUUUGGUAUAGACCAACAACUAUCUCUUUCCUCAUCUCCCUCAAAUCGGUCUUCAUUUCCUUUCUUUUCAGUUUGCUUUUUAAUAUUCAUACAUAGAGACUCAUUUUUGAGAAGUUAAGACACAUAAAUGUGUUUAAUAUUGGAAUCCCACAUGACAAAGUAGCAUCUAGGGAUGUCAAUGGGGGCAAACGGGACGGGGGUUGCAUUCCCCACCCCCACCCCCAAAANNNNNNNNNNNNNNNNNNNNNNNNNNNNNNNNNNNNNNNNNNNNNNNNNNNNNNNGCCCCCGAUUGAUUUUGGGCUACCUUAUUUGCACUAAAAGAAGUUCUUGUUUGGACUAAUAGAAACUAUAUUUUGGGUUAUAAAUAGAUAUUUAUAACAUAAUUUUACAUGUACAAACAACUUAAAACAUGUUUUAUUUUGAAGUUUUGUAUGCAAAAAUCUUUUUAUUGUUUAUUAUAUUUAUAUAAUUAAUAUAUGUCAAUUUAUAUAAUUUAUUAACGGGGCUCCCAUGGGGGUUUCGGGACGGGACUACCAACCCCUGCCCCAGCCCUUGAAAUUAAAACGGGGGUUAACCUUGCCCCUGCCCCCGUCCCCGAUUAUUUUCAACAAAUGCCCCCAUACAAGAUGGGGUCCCCGCGGGAUCGGGGUCCUACGGGACUUUUUGACAUCCAUCGUUAAGUAAAGAAUGUUUGUGACGAUGUAACUUCCUCUUGAUAUACAUAUCUUUUAUUAGAGACCGACCGAUGUCAUCCUUUAACACUGUAAAUUUUCAAACAAAGUUUUCAUUUUAAAACACAAUAAAACACAUGUCACAUUCCUUUCAAAAAUCACAAGUAUCAAUUUAUCAAUACAUUUUAAAAGUUGUUUAUCGCAAAUCCAGAUCCUCAAACAUAACUCUUUUCUCUUGUGUGUACAAUCAAACCGGUGCCUUAUCGUGAUCCUGAUAAGAACCUGAAACACAUAACACAUAACAUGGUAAGCAAGAAGCUUAGUGAGUUCCCCAAAACACCACAUACAGCUCAUUAGCCACUCGAGGCUAUAACACAGUAAGACCCUCCGGUCAAUGUAUCUCAGUGGGAUCCUCCGGUCCCAAACUCUGAUGGACCCUUCGGCCGAAUAGAAUUUUCCACCCGCGUCCAAGAUUCACAUAUACUCGACGAGUUUGGGGACUCCAACUCGUCGAGUCCCAAUGCAAAAAUGCAAAAAUUCAUAUGUAUAAUACGUAUCGGGAACCGGGCGUUAGAUAUUGGUUGUAUAAUCAUUUGUCUGCUGUAUGUAUAUUAUCUGAUAUAUGUCAACAUGUUACAUUAGGGUUGAGACUACUGCUUUGUGCUAUCAGUCAACAGAGAGUGGCAAUCCAAGCAGGAUGUUAUGGGCCAGGGUAAUCCAACCGGGAGGUUGUGGACACAACAUGCUAAUCUAUGUAUUUUAUAUGUUGCAUGAUGGUACUUUGGGAUCACUCACUAAGCUUUAGCUUAUAGGUUCAGUUUAUUGUUUCAGGUACUUCUGAUGAUCGCGGUAUGACGAAGGUAUAAUCAUGCACAUCUUCCUGCGUUGUGUUAUUGGGUCUUAGGAAAAACUCUAAUUUGAAUAAUACUUUUGAAGCAAUGACUUUUUUAAACAAUGUUGGUUAAUGGUUGAAAUUUAAUUUUUUAAAUUUCUAUGAUUUUUGGAGUGUUACAUUGGUUUUGGUUUAUAACCGAUCUAAACCCCCACACACGCUUGUUAAUCAUCAAAGAAGAAUCUAAUUAGGACUAACUGUGUUCAACAAUAACAACCAUAGGGUGUUAUAAAUCCAUUACCUCAAAUGUAGGAAUCUUUUAAUAUCGAAGAACGUUAAUCAAGAUAAAUUAAUAAUGAUCGUAACAUCCUGUUUAUUAAAUAAAUAAAUAGAUAAAAAUUUGAUGAAAGAAUAGUCGCCCUAAAUUCAUAUUAUUUAGUGGGGCGCUGGUUUUGGGGAGCCGAAUGGUAUAAUUUGGAUUAUUCGGAGGUUAAAAGUGUAAGUUCUAGAUUUAAUUUGAAAAUGAUUUUAGAAGUCAUGGUGUGUUUAGUAAUUAAUGGACUUAAAUAGAAAGGAUUUGAUGGCUUAAGGGGGUGAUUGGUAAUUUCGGGACCUAUUAUGAAACGACUUUCAGAGAGAGGGGUUAAAGGGGUAAAUUUCUGAUUCAUUUUGAAAAGAUUAAUAGAGGGAAGGCUACUGUUGUUAUUAUGGGGAGAAGUUUUAUGGGGAUUGGGGUAUAAGACCUGUCAGCCCGGUAAACCCUAAACCUAGCCAUGUGUCCCAGCCGCCGCCACCUUAUACCCCCCCCCCNNNNNNNNNNNNNNNNNNNNNNNNNNNNNNNCUCCGGCGCCGCCGCCAUCAUCCCGUUUCCGAUCAGCGAGCUGCCGAGAAGCUACUCCAUUGGACUUCUGCCACUCUUCUCUUAUCCUUCUUCAGUCGUUGCCAUGUGAGGCCUCAUCCACCACCCGCUACUUCAUCGUUGGAGUGCUACCACCACUGUCGGUGCACCAUUGUUGUCGCUGCUGUUGAGGCCAAGGAUGAAGACGGAUGUUGGGACGUCGGGAAUGAAGAAGAACAAGCCACAAGUCGCUGUAACGUUGGUUGUAGCGCUGCUGCUCCGCCACUGCCCAUUUCCGUUAAAGACAAGGUCGUCACUUGUUUCUCGUGGAUGGCUUAGUCGGAGGUGUCGUUCGUUUCCGUGUGGUGCUGUUCCUCCGUGAGCUGCUGCACUGGUGGUGCUGCCACUGUUGCCGUUAGUGUUGCUGCCACUCUCUACCGUUGUCGCCGUACGCCACCAGGUGGGUGGCAGGGUUCUUUUGCGAAUGAAAACAGUUUGUUUGUGUGUGUGUGUUGUAUGUGGUGAUGUUUGGCCUGAAUUAACGAGAACAAUCACCACCACCUUCGUGAGGUGGUAGCUGCCACCAUGUACCACCACCGGCCACCACAAGGGUGGAUGUGUAUGUGUGUGUAUUGGCAUUUAUGUUGUAAAUUGUAAUUAGUGCUAGUGUAAUCAAAAGAAAAACUCAAAACCACCACCGUGAGGUGGUGGCUGCCGCCACCAGUCGCCGUGUUGGAUGGCGGUGUGCUCUGUUUAUAUUUAGACUUUGUUUGGGUUGGACAAAAUAGACUAGACCCAUAACCACCACCGUGAGGUGGUGGCCGCCGCCGUGAGCCGUCGUUGACCACCACUACACGAGGUGGUAGUGGGUGGUGCCUGACUUAGGAACACCCUAAUUGUCUUAAUGAAACCUUAAUGGGCCUAAGGACUUAGCUUUUGGGCUUAAUUGGAUUGUAAUGGGUUGGAAACCCUAAUUAGGGUUUAGAAAACCCUAAUUUUGGAAUUAUUGGUUUGGACUUAUCGGGACCCACAUUUGGGACCAUUGGAGUGAUGACUCAAGCCCGUUUUCAUUGUAUGCUUGGACUUAAUGGAUUAAUGUAAUGACCAAAAUUCUCUAUGUUAGUGAAGUUGGUUUUCCGUUACAUAGAAUUAAGUCGUACAUGCGUCUAGGAUGUGAGAUUAGACCGGUUUAUAUAAAAAAAAAUAAUAAAUAAACAAAAACAUAUUUUUUAACAUUUUAAGAAUUUAAUAGGGAUUAAAAUAAUUUAUAAGAUUUAGUUAAUAAUUAUAAUGAGCUAAAGAUAUUUAAGUAAUAUUACGAGUUAAAUAAAUACUCAAAUUAUUAAAAAGUGGCUUAUUUUAUGUGUAAAUUAAUCAAAUUAAACGACUAUAAAGAAAUAAAAUAAAAGAAAAGGUAAAGUAUAUAUAAUAUGGCCAGGGUUAAUAAUGAAUUGAGUAUAAAAGAUCAGGGACUAUAACUGUAAAUUGGAAUUCAAUCGGUGAAUUGAAUUCUAUAAGCUCGUUACCACUGAUAAUAAAUUUGUUUUAAUUAAUUCUAUUCGAUUGCCGCAACCUAUGUUCUUCUUAUUCGUUUCCGUUACCAGGCAACUUAUUCGCCUUGCCGAUUACACCUUCUCUUUAGGGUUGCCAUAUUUGUGUCGACCAGAAAAAAAGAGAGAGAAUUGAGUGUGAGAGAGUGUCUGCGUGAGAAGGAAUGAACGAGGCUCACAUCCUACUGCUAUUAGAUCGAAACAAGGUAAGCUCUUGAUCCCGAAAACCUGUCAUGUUUUUUUUGUUCAUCAAUGGCUUAUUGUGAAUAUCUUGCUGCCAAAAUACUUGUUUUUAGAAGCCACACAAACCCGUGAACUACUUCAAUUCAUCUCUGUCAAGCCUUAGGGAUGAAGCACCCAUGUUUGAGUCGUGUCGGGCUUAGUCGAGACAACCCCAUAAGCCAUCAGAACACCAGAAUCACAUUUUGGAAUGGUGUCUUCUCUAAAGCGUAGCCUCAAGUCCCUUAGACGCUUUGUUAAGGCUUUGAAACAGAAGCAGGGGAAGCUAUAUGUGUUCUUUCGCAAUUUUAAUGCAUGCCUCUGAAUUGCUACCGGACAAUCAAAAUAGACUAAUGCUUGAUGGAAUAUGAUAGUUACAGACAUAAUGGUUGUAUAGUUUCACUAAUGACUAAUUCAUAUCUAGACUUAGCUAUUUAAAUCAAUAGAAAGAGUCUGGAUAACAUAUUUCAUGAUAAACACUUAAAGAUUAAUUCAUCGUCUUGUGUUAAUGUAUGUAAUUCCAUAAAAGUUAAGAUGUUAAAAAAAUGGAUUGCCUACGUAAUAUUGUCUAAUUAGAAGUCUACUUCACACUAGGGUGUCUUAUAAAUAUAUGAGUGUAAUUUAUAAAAGAGUUUCAGUAUUAUAAAAAGUGAUUUAAUCACUAAUUAUAUGUCAAGGAGCAUGAUAUGAAAUAGUUGAUUAAAAGCAAUUGAUUACAAAUCAGUGUCAUCGGCUAUAAGGCUUCCUUAUGGUUAGUUAACAUUACAUUAUUCAUGAUACAACUUAAUUAUACUAUAGAUUAAAAUUGUCUAUCCUUAGCUACAGUAAAUAUGCUAAGGAUUUGGCAAAAAUGAUCCUCCAUCUAUAUGGGUAUUUAUAAUUCUGGAUCAUUUCUUUUAAGAGGUUAUAAUUUGCUAUUUUCUAUAUUUUGUGUAUACGUGUCGUUCUUUUUACUGAUCAAAGGUUUGAUCGUGUGCGUGUCAUGGACACGCGUUUUUUUCCUGUGUUUAUUAUCGAUCACCCUAUUCUUUUCAUCUGCCCACCGCCCUUACUUCCAACAUAUAUUCCACCGGCUUCCUCAUUCAUUUUUUCAUUAUCCCACCCCUUCAUUGACUAACUUCACCAACUGUGUUAUUCUUUCUUUAAAGAAGCUCAUCGGUUCCUUAUAUGUUUUUUUCAGGGCCUAUGUUUGUUGGAAUCCUUACGCUUGCUGACGUCUUUUGUGAUUAAGGGAUAAUUUUGUUCCUGGUUGCAUAUUUGAGUCUCAGGCACUCACUUCCUUUCUCUUUCUCUGUUUUCUUUCUACUCAUGGCAUCUCUAAUGGCAUUCUAUUACCGUGUUUGUAGGUUUACGCUUCGAAUUGUGUGAUUUUGUAUUUUUCAUUUCCGCUUUCGCUCUUGAAGAUGAGUAGUAGAAAUCGAUUGGAUGGUGAUUACAAAUACCUCUUGUCAUAUCGAUUUGAUUGUAAGUAUCUCACCUCUAAUUUGUUUUCUUUUUUUGGACUUUGUUGUUUUUUCAAAUAACACUUCUUACCUUCUAAAGCUCGGUUUCAUACACUUCUAUCACUUUUCUGUUAUCAAAGCUUCUUGACUAUGGUAAAUAUGGAAAAUCCUGUGACAUGUAUGUUUAUGCCCACAAAGUGUUUGAGGAAAUGCCUUUUGUGUUUAGGUGCCUGAUUGUUAUUCUGUUGAGUGUAUAAUUUCACAAUAUUGCGUAAAUUUUUAUUAUUGAGGCUCAACUGUGUAACUUGAACUGUUUUAUUGUAGUCUUACGGUUCUCUCCGUUCGAGGCAACAUACGACACUCACAUUCCACUACGCUGAAGCAUGAGACUUUCCGAUUUGUUGGUCUUGCCAAGUAGAUUCAGAUAACAUUUUCUUUCCAUAUAUUCUUCUAAAAAGCAGUAAUUUAUGAAAUUCUCAUUCUACAAUCCAGAAAACUGUUAAAAAGGAGCUUGAAAAUCUCCAAAAAGAUUAAUACUUUUAUUGAUUUGGCUAUUACCAGUGCUUUUUCAAGGGAAAUUAAAACAAUCAAAGGGAAUUUUCUACAAAAUACGUAAAUAUGUUAAUAGCUGUGUGUUUUUUAUUUUUUUUUUUGAUAGCUAAUUAGCAUUGAAGUGGUAGAAUGAAUUGGUUAUUAUUUACCCAUAUACCAGAUUAUGUCAUCUCUCUAUAUGUUUGGAAUGUUUGUGGGUUUGAUAUGUUUGCUGCUACUGUCACACCACAGUUGAAAAAACAUAUUUCCCUGCUAAAGGGGUUGUGUAAUUGUGACCAUUUUACAGUUUUGAUUUCAAAAUUAUAUUAAAAAAUUUAAAUUGCAAUCAAACUCAUAACAUGUGCAUGUUUGACUGAUUGAGUUGUCCUACAUCUCAAAAAAUCAGGGAACAAUCGACGGUGUUGACAUUAAGCCAACUUCAAAUUCGUGGGUCACAGUAACUGGAGGUAAUUUUCUUUCUUGAAUGCUUUUGGUUCACCUGUCAAUUUUAGUAUUUAUUUGAAGUAUAAUUUGUGUUUUGUAAUGUAAUAAUAUACUCUCACACAGAAGUUUUUAAAGCAGUGCUAUAUAGGAAAAAAUUAUUAAACUUCUACAAAGGGCAUUAGCAAAGUUAUGGGAUAAAACUUUAAACGGCCUAAAACAUUAACAAACUGUGAAACAGGGAAGACAAAAUUCAAUGGUUUUUAAAGAUUUUUGUUUUUUGGUUGUCUACGUUAACGAUCCUGCUGUUAAAAUGUUAUGAUUAUGACUAUUUUGUCCUUCCUUUCAUUACUUUCUGAAGGUGGUAAAGAAAAGGGAUAUAAUCCAAGGGUAAAAUGGUCAAUUUACAAAUUUCACAGCUGUGAUGUUAAGUUAGAUGGCCUAGGGAUGAAACACAUUACCAAACAGUGACAUAUGAAAUUUUUGUACGACGUUAAAGUUUCAUAUCUAUAUUUCAAAAAAAAAAUUCAUUUGCAAUUUUCAUCUGUAGUUCCCUGUUUUUGACUAUUUAUUGCCUCUUUUAUAUUGUGAAAAUUAUGUUUGGGUUGUUGUUUAUGAGGUAAUUGGUAUUGAUGUCAAUACAUAACUUUCAAAAGUGUUAUCUGCCAUACAGGAGAAUUUGGGAAAACAAGCACAUAAGCAAGAAAAAAGAAGGGAAGGUCAUAAUGUAAAAAGAGAAGGUUAUGACGAUGAGAAUUUAAUUUUGCACCUUCAACUUUAGUCACUUUCAUCAUUUUUAAUGACUCAUAGUUUCUUGCCAUUCUCAGUCUAUUUUGAUUUUUAGAUAAACUUAUUUUAUUGAAAACUUUUUUGUAUUAUCAAGGAACAUCAUUCGAUAUCUCAACUGAAAAUUAUGAUAACAACAUUACUAGAUGAGGUUGUUUAUGAAUUUUUAGCUAUAUAUUUUGCUGCUAAAAAAAAGAUAAGAAUACCUUGACAUUCUGACCCUCGCGAAGCGAGGCUCACCCUCUAGUUAAUAUUAAACCAAGGUGAUUUGUAAUUUAUAAACUACGAUAGACUUAUCUAAUCAAUUAAUAUGACAUAAACUAAAUAUAGUUUAAUAUUAAUCAUGUUUAUCUUAGCCUAAACUAAAUAAAUAUAUACUUUUUGUUUAGGUAUUUGUUGAGUAAAAGAGCUACGAAUUCACGUUUUGAAGUGAUUUCACUACCGAACUAAAGGUGAGUCAAUAGACUUUUCAUAAACCCUAUAUAUAGUCGAAAACUACUUUCCGAAAAUGGCUCGAUUAGUCAAAUUAGAAUAUUAUUAAUUGUUGAUAUUAUGCCUAUAUGUGCAGUAUGAGAUAUGCCAUUGUUUUGCUUUCUGUGACAUUUACAUGCUUAGUAAAUUUGGUUUAUAUGUCUAUCUUGGUACUUGAUACGAUUAAUUGCAACUAUGAUAUGCUAUAUGAAAUGUUUGAUAUUUGACUAUGACCUUGUUGAGUAUCUUUUAGUAUAAACUAGGUUACAACCCGUGGAAACCAUGGGUAAAAAAUUUAAAAACAAAUUUAUAUUAUUAAUAAGAGUUAAGAUUGUCAAUCCUUUUGUAUUGAUUAUUUAAAAUUAAAAUUAAUACAAAUUUGUAAAAAAGUAUAUAAAUUUGAAUAUAUGUUAAAUAGAAACGCAAUCAAUCCAUCGAAAGUUAAAUAUGAAUAUAACUAAAAUGCAUCUUUGAAUAUGUGAAUGAUUUAUGAAGUGUGAGGGCAAAUCAUUAUUUUUUGUAAUGAGGGAGCAAUCAAGAAACACCAUGUGGCGUCUAUUAAAGUCUGAAAAUCAAAUAUCGAAACGAACUGAAUAUUAUGGAUUACAAUUACAAUGCUAUAUAAAGAAUAAAUUAUUUAAAAAAAAAAUGUUACAAAAAAUAGAAAAAAACACAAUUGUUAGAAGUUAAUGGGUACGAAGCAUUUAUAAAUUCCUAAAAACUUCCUUAUACACAACAUUUGAAGUUUUGUUUGUAAGUCUACCAUCCUUAUCUAAAAUUAACAAUUUCAAUCCUUCUCUACUUUGAACUCUAGAUAAGGCAACAUACUGUUGUCCAUCUGAAAAAAGGAUCCUUGAGAUACAGACCAACCUUUAAUAACGACUGGCCCUGACUUUUAUUAAUUGUCAUUGCAAAACAUACAGCCAAUGGAAAUUGUCUUCUUUGAAAUUUGAAUGGAAUUUUCUUUCCAGAUGGACUUAAAGACAUUCUUGGAAUAAAUGUUUGCUUUCCAAUAUUAGUUCCAGAUAUGAUAAUUGCCUCAAUAACACGUUUGCCCAGAGAUUUCACUUGUAGUCUAGUGUCGUUUCAUAAUCCAUUUUUCUGAUCAAUGUUUCUUAGUAACAUAACUGGAACACCGACUUUUAGAAUUAACUUGUGAUUUGGCAAACCUGAUACUUUAAGACCAUUUAAAAUAUCCUGGGAGUAUAAAUUGGGAUCAAACUGAUCAUGAACAAACUCUGAUUGGCAAAGAGUAUCUGAACUUAAAUAUUCUACUUCAUCUUCGGGAAACAAUGCUAGCAAACGAUCAUUGAUUUGUUGGACAACUUCAUUUUUUGGAGCUAGUAUAGCUCUUUCUUGAAAAUAACUCGUACCGUUGAAUUUUUCAAAGAUUGAAGGAUAUACAAACUCAAUUAAUGAACCUAUAGGAUCAUGUGGAUCAUUAAUGAGAAUAUCAUUCGGAACAUCAAUAAUCGAUUCACCAUCCUUCAAACCACCAACUUUUCCUUCUCCUAUGUCCAAAAGCCAGUUUGCAAAAUUAUGUAUUUUUUGAAUAUCAUAUGGAUCCUUUCCAACGGUUAGUCUCAUCUUUUUUGUUAAUCUAUGGACUUUGCAUUGUUGCCAUAUAUAUGAAGAGCUUAAAGAAGCAUUAACGAUAUUUUGUCUGCUACCUCCUUGAACAACAGGUAGAAUCUGUCUAAAGUUUCCUCCAAAAACAAUCGCUUUCCCUCCAAAUGGAAUAUUUGAGUUGGUAGACUUAUCAAACUUACAUACAUCUCUCAGAGCUCGAUCUAAAGCUUCAAAUGCAUGUUUGCGGACCAUAGGUGCUUCAUCCCAGAUAAUCGAUGAGCUUUUUCUUACUAAUCUGCUGAGUUCACUAUCAGGCGGUAUCUUACAAACAGAAUACUCCGUAAGAUUCAACGGAAUUAUAAACCGAGAGUGUGCUGUCCUACCUCCAGGCAAUAAUAAAUAUGCAGUACCACUUGAAGCAACAUUUAAAACUAUAUCACCAUUACAUCUAAUUGCUGCAGAUAACGUCUUCCAAAGAAAGGUUUUGCCUGUUCCACCAUAUCCAUAAACAAAAAACACACCUCCUUUAUUAUCAUUGACUAUAGUCAUGAUAUCAAGAAAAAUAUUGCUUUGCUCGUUUGUUAAUGCAUGAAACAUACUAUCAAACUCUUUCUUUAAAAGCGGUAUGUCAUACUCUAGCUCCUCCAUGAUAAAUCGAUUUGUUGAAGAAGAAACUGUAUCGAAAUCAGGGUAAGGCCUUUGUUUAUAAUUUUUAAGACUGGUGUUGUUAUGAAGUAAAAUCUGUUCGAUCUCGAACAAAGUCAGGUUUUUGAGUUGAUCCUUAUUGAGUGAUAAACCUGUAUAAAAUGAACAAUAUGUCAAAAAGAAUAUAAUAUUAAACAGUUUAAUGGUAAUAAAAAAAUUAUACCGUGCAUAUUGAUAAUAUAUAGUAUCCGUUUUUACAAAUACUGAUAGGAAAUUAUAAUACCUGGAGACUUUAAUCUACGCUGUUGGUUGUAAAGAAUACCAUCCGACAAGUGUUGCCAUGUAUUUUCCCAAACAAACUCUGGUCUACCCAAACUGUUAGACAUUAACAUCGUAGCAAAUAAGAAACGAAGAUAAAAACCAGUUCCUGAAUGACUUGCUUCCUUAAUUGCAUCAACGUAUUCUUUGUCAUCAUCUAAGAGGCCCAAAGCAUAGCAUGCAUCUCGAAAAGUAGGAAAUUCUUCACCGUUUACCGUGCGAAUUUCUUCAAAUGAUUUUGGACCUUUCACUUUAUUUAAAAGAAUCCGUAAGAAGUAGACUUCGCCAAGUUUAGGUGAAACAGAGUGAAUCCUUCCUAUUGAACGUCCAAUUUUCCUUGGCUUCCACAACUUAUCAUCAGGUUUCCAAACAAACUUUGUAGGAAAUUCAACAUAUGUAAGUUUUCGUGCAUCUUUAUUAAUUUUAUUACAUUCCAUCCAAGAUGUGAACAUAGAAGCAGCAACUGAAGGUUGUUCAAGAACAUCGUCAAUAUCAUCGUCUGCAGCAUAUAUGACUUGUUGUUGAUCAGGAAGAUAAAAAGGUAGUCGCAUCACAGAAGGAUAUCGGUAAUGGACAUCGUAUUUAAAUAUUCGCCAUGAUGCUUCACAUGCAGAUAUAUAUCUACAAUCAUAAUAAUCUUUUAUUUCAUCGACAACCUUUUCGUGAUUAGAAUCAGCGUUGAUGUCAUCAACAAUUAUAGCUCUAUCUGGACCUUUGUUUAUAUAUUUAAACAUAUACUUUAUGGAAGAUCCCUGAUUGCACCAUUCAACAUUAAUGUGUGCCUGAUAUCUUUUCAACAUAUAUUUGUUAUAUGGAACAACAUUUCUGUUGUCUAACUUGACACCUGAUUUUUCGACAAAAUAUCCAUUGUUUCUUCUCAUAUAUAAGGGAUAACCGUUGACAUCAACCGAAGAAUGAUCACAUAAUUGCUUUGGAAAAUUUUUCGAACAUUGCUUGUCAACCAUGCAUGGACAAUUCAUAUUUUCCAGCUCCAUAAGGACCAUGUAUCAUGAAUUCACUUACAAGUGAAUACAAUUCUGGAUCUUCAUUGAUAUUUGGAAUCUCAGCAGAAAUAAUCGGAUCAAUAUAUUCAACAGUAGGCCGCUUGGAGUCGGCAUGCAUAAACAAACAAAUAUGACUAUGUGGCAAACCUCUUUUUUGAAAUUCAAUUGUAUAGACCACUGCAAAUUAAUUUUAUAAAUAAGAUAAUCUUUGUACUGGAUGAAAUAUAUUUGCAAAUAACAAAAAAUAUUAAGAAACUAAAUAAUCAUUAUAAAAAAAUAUUAGAAAUAAAUACAACUUUUAAUACCUCCUUGUACAAUGUCGAAAAUUUUAUUUUCCCGUAUGUCUUUAAUCAAAGCAUCGAGAUUUAUUUUGAAUAACCUACAUAAGAUAUCAGGUCAAUCUUCUGGAUGUAGUGAAGUGUUAUGAAGAAACCUUUUAACUUUAGGCCAUUUUGGAUUACAUGUAAAGGUUAUGAAGAAAUCAUGAUAUCCAAUCCAUUUACAUAAGGACAUGGCAUCAAGGUAGUUUUACAUCAUAUAACGUGCACCACCAGUGAAUGAAGAAGGUAAGAUUACACGUUGUCCAACAUUGGAUAUAUCUUUAUUCCCUAGGUCUUGUUGAUUACGUAAAUUUUCAUAAGACUCACAUCUAAGAAUUUGUUGUUUGCUCCUUAUGAAAUGUAAUCUCUCACUUUCAAUCAUAGUAUAAGCAUCAACCAAAAACUGUUGGAACAACCUUUUUGAAUUAAUAAUUAGUGAAAAAUAUUGAUCCCUGUCUUGUAUUCUAUAAGAAAAAAAUUCUCUCAUUGUACAGUUGGGCCUCUUGCUGUUGCUUAUUGGUGUAAUACCUCGAUGUGGUAUGUCAACCCUAUAACCAUCAUCACCAUAUGGAAACAGUAGUGGAUUCUGAAAGAGGAAGGUAUGAUGGAUGUAAUUUACUAAUACGCCGUAGAGAACCUGAUGAAGUUUGAACAACAAUAUAUCUUUUAUCAAUUGAAUCACCAAUAUCUCAAAUAAUUAAAGCGGCAACCUCAGAAGCAGAUGGUAGGUUGUAUAUCCUUCCAUCUUGGUCCCUGAUUCCAAUAAGUCUCAACUUGAUAUCAACAUGAGGUUUUUGAUGAAAACAAUCCCUAACCAUUCUAUAAGACUGAACCAAGACAUUAUUUGAAUCCAACAUCAACUUCAAAUCUUGUAUAAUAUCAUUAUCAAGGACAGAAGAAUUUGAUGUAGAUCGUUGAUUCUCUCCACUACAAGUAACAUGAACAUAUAAACAUAAGAUAAAUAAAUAAUAUAAUGUUGAUGAAUAAGAUAUCUAUUAAUGUGAUAAUUGUGAAAAGUGUACCCAAAACAUGUUCGUCUAUUCGCGAUCUCAUUAUCAGUAUCGUAUAUGUACAACUGAGAGAAUUUUGGUUUUAACCCCUGUUCCGGUAAAAGGCUUCCGAUACUAUGAUAAUUUUGACCGCUAAGUCUAAAAAUGUAUGGAGCAUUUCCUCUAUUGAUUGAGGAAUCAAUCUUUCCACCCAUUGACGUAAAAGAAAACAUAGAAUUGUAAGAACGAAUGUUCUUCAUGAAGUGUUUGCUUUUAGAAUCUCCCGAUGUAAAAAGAUGAACAUAACUUGAAGGUGAAUUCUUUAAAGCUGGUAGUUCUACUUUGCCAUAACCACAACAUAAACAAUAAUUUUGAUUCGACUUUUUUUUUUUUACAUCUGAUAGAUUCAUCUUUCCAUAAUUUUGCAAAACAUGUUUGGUAUACAACAAUCUGAUCACCAUGAUCCAAAUAAUCUGUCAAUUAAGGUUGACAUAAAAAUGUUAAUCAUGUAAGUUUAUAUAAGUGAAAAAUAUUGAAUGAACAAAUGUAAAUAUUAUAUUUUUAUCAAAAUUACCUUUUGAUAUACCGUUGUAUAUGUUUUGAUCAUUUUGGCCAUCGAUUUUGUCUUGAUCGGAUCUCAGACCAAAUAUUGGAAUAGGAGUUAAAUUUGGCAUUUUUUUCUUUGCUUUAUUAUUUGGAUUAGUUAACAUGACUGAAGACGAUUUUGAUGUUAUUGUAGAUGAUUUGUCGGAUGUGUCGCCAUUUGAAAAUACAGAGAAUUGUCUAAUAUUUGUUAACGGCGAUUGACAACUAUUAUUGAAAAUAUCCAUGGCUGGGGGAAAAAUUGAAAGUAUGCAUUGUUAAAUAUGAUACAAUAAUAAUAUAUAUUAUAAAAUAAAAUGGUAAAAUAAAUGAGUUACCGUUGGAAAUGUUAGAUAACGGAGUUCUAACAUUUAAAUGUGAAGGAGGAGUUUGUAACAUUGCUUGUUUUGUUAUAUAUGCACUUGUUUUAGAUCAGAAUGUGCUUUUAUUUCGAUGUACAACUCCUUUGAAUUCAUAUACAAAAAAAUGGUUAUGAGAAAUGUAAAAUUGUUUAAUAAUUAUUUUAAUAUUAUAUAAAUAUGAAUAUUGAUAAAGAGAUUAUAUAAAAAGACGAUGAUGUAAUAAAUUUUAUUACAUAUAUUUAAAAAAAACUUAAAAAGUUUAAAAGCAAUCAAGUAUGUUACCGUUUGAAUCCAAUCUGAUGUUUGGUAACGGUGUCUGAAAACUGUUAUUUGGAAUAUCGAUGACUGAGAAAAGAAGAUUGAAAUGUACAUUAUCAAAUAUGAUACAAUAACAACAUAUAUUAUAAAGUAAUAUGGAAAAAUAUAUGAAUUACCAUUGGAAAUGUUAGAUAACGGAGUUCUAACAUUUAAAUGUGAAGGAGGAGUACGUAACAUUGGUUGUUUUGACAUAUUUGUUGUUGAUGUAGAUGUGGAUACGCUUUUAUUUCGAUGGACAACUCCUUUGAAUUUGAUUGGAAAAAAAAUCUUAUAAGAAAUGGAUAAAUUUUAAAUAAUCUUGUAAAUUUUUAAAUAGUAUAUGAAUAUUAAUAAUGAUAAAUAGAUUAUAUAAAAAAAUGUGGAUGACAGAAUUUUUAUUUUACAAAUUUAAAAUAGAAAAAAAAAGUGUAUAAGCAAUCAAGUAUGUUACCGUUUGAAUCCAAUCUGAUGUUUGGUAACGGUGAUUGAAAACUGUUAUUGGAAAUAUCCAUGACCGGGAAAAGAAGAUUGAAGGUAUACAUUAUUAAAUAUGAUAAAAUAAUAAUAUAUAUUAUAAAAUAAAAUGGUAAGAUAAAUGAGUUACCAUUUGAAAUGUUAGAUAACGAAGUUCUAACAUUUAGACGUGAAGGAGAAGUUUGGAAAUUUGAUUUUUUUGACACAUUGGCACUUGAUGUAGAUGCGGAUAGGUUUUUAUUUCAAUGCACAAUUCCUUUGAAUUUGUCUGCAAAUAAAAAAAUUGUUAUAACAAAUGGAUAAAUUUUAAAUAAUAAUGUAAUUUUUCAAAUAUUCUAUGAAUAUUAAUAUACAAAAUACAUGACACAAAAAAUGAGCAUGUAAGAAUUUUCAUUUUACAUAUUUAAAUAAAGAAUAAAGAAUAAAAGUGUAUAACCAAUUAAGUAAAUUACCAUUUCCCUUCAUUUUAAAAAGAUGUGAUGUUGAUGAAGUUGUAUGAAUUCAUUCGGUCAUAACUUUUUUUUUAUUGUCCAAGUAUAAUUUUCUUAUUUUUCUUUUUUCUGUAGCCUGAACAUGAUAGAUGUUCCUAUUUGAAUCUGUAUAAGCAUAUAUACACACAUAAAAUAGUUAUAUUCAGAUUAAAAACAUUGAUAAAGAAAGUUGUAAAAUAUAUAAUGAACGUACUGUUAUCACCUGGGUUAGUAACAUUUGUAGAAGAUGGAAUUCGACCGACUGAUGUAGUGUACAAAGGUAAUUGUUUUGUAUUAUCCAGAUAGAAAUUAUUUAAUUUUAUCUUCUUAUUAGUCUUAAAAGAGUCCAUGUUAGUAGCUGCUAUCUGAAAUGGAAAAAGAAAUAUAACUUUAUACAAAAACAUUAUAUAUUGAAAAUUAUUUUCAAAUUUAAGAAUAAAUAAAUAAAUAUUUCAAAUUUAAAAUAGUAUGCAAUAAACCCAAAGAAAAGAAAGUAUUAUGUAUUAUUGAUGUGCACAAAAGUACCCACUAAUUUUAAUAUUUAUAACCUAACAAACUUAGAAUAACUAUGCACUUAUAGGCAGUGUACCUAGUCAGAUUACAAUAUAGCUUAGGUAAGUCGGGUGUCGAUCACAGGGAACGGUGGUGAAUUAAUUUAAUAUAUUUGAUUAUAGGUUACAGGUCACAUGAAAAGAAUAAAGAAAUAGUUUAAUAAAUCUCAAACUAACAAUUAAUUAACAACUUUGGAUAAACUAACUGGAAAGCAAAUCUCUUCAGGUACUUUGGUUUAGAUAAAUUACACCUUAAAAAACAUAGACAAUUGUAUACACAAGUUCAUUUAUUCAUGUUCACCGAUUCCUAAAAUGAUUAGAUUCGCGUUCACUAUAACUAAUCCUUUAGCAAACAAGUCAAUUCAAACAGUGAUCAGUUGAUUAAACUAACAUGCUUCCUAGUGUUCAGUUCGUAUCAAGCAAGACUUGUAAAUAUAGUUAAUCAAAUUACUAAUUCAAUUUAACCUCUUGUUGAUGGUCAUCAAACAAGGCUCACACAUUAACUUACUUAUUCCCAAGUUAAUCCUAGUUUCACAUUCGUUAUUCCUAGACUUAUAAUCUCGAUGGUCAUCAAAAUCAUAAGAGACAAGCAAUCAAACAGAUGUUCAUAUAACUCAAUUUACUUAACAAUUAACAUCAAAUAAUUAUCAUUAAUACGUAAGGAUCUUUUAACAAGCUUGGCAAGAUAAAUUAAACAUAAACAAACAAUUCAAUAUAGCAAUUAGUCUAAUAAUCAAGGUUUCAUUCAAUCAUAAACACAAAGUAAAAGGUUUUUACACCCAAAUCAGAAACUAAAUACAGAAUAGUAACACAAUGGAAUGCUAAACAUGGUCACGUUAACAACCCAUAUGAUUACCGACAUGUAUCCACUCUCCAACCCUUCCGAUCUUCACUCCUGUUAGCUUAACGGCCUUCCGGCCGCCUUCUAGACCCUCAAAACGGCUUAACAGAAGUUUAAUAUCGACUAAAUUAGGUUGGAAGUCGAAUCCCCCCUUCUGGUUAGCUGAUAAUCGACUUUUAUAACCUUUGUAACCGACUUACGUACGCUGGGCGUACUAAGGGUUUAUACGCGAUUGGAGUUAUCCGAUGCCAGCCGUUACGUGGGGCAUACACAAGAAUUACGCUGGGCGUAACUCGUCUUAGCCAUUACGCUUGGCGUACAAGUAAAUUACGCGGGGUGUAAUCGUUCCUCCAGCAUUUUCCUUUCUUUUAGCCUCUAAGCCUGAUUUCCGCUUCAGUCUUUUCUUUUGUGCUUUAUCGACAACGAAUAGCUGCAAAUCAUAAUUUAAAGCAUUAUGAGUACUUUUUAGUUCUAAAAGAGAAUAAUAAAGGCCAAAAUAUUAAGAUAUAAUGCAUAAAAAUAUAUAUAAAAAUACACAUAUCCAAAUACCCCACACUUAGUCUUUGCUUGCCCCCAAGCAAAUUUUAAUUUUAUUUUACCAUUAUCGCAUUAAACAAUCCAUUUAAAACUCAACCAUUAUGCCAAGACCUCAACGCAUGCAUUUGUGUCUAAAAUUUUCCUAAAAUACCCCCCUACUUUAAAUACUCACAAUCUUCAUAAACACUUGCCCACUUUUUACGAACAAUGCUCAUUUUAUGCAACCCUCCGAAUCCAUCCGCAGAAAACCUCCUUAUCCUCAAGGUAUUUUCCUUGAUAAUUUGAUCUUUGAUUUCUUUGAAUUCACCAUCUUAUUUGAAUUGAUUUCUGGUAUCUUCAACUUUUUUGAAUUUCUUGGAAUUUUGAUCUAAUUCUUCACUUUAUUCGCUCCAAAAUUCUUCAAACUUUUCUUGCAAUUCUUUUUUUUUUUCUUUUAACAUGUACCUCACUUUUUUCACUCAAAACCUACAAGCUUAAGCAGAGGCGCUCAACCUCAACCUUUAUCGGUUAACGAUAAUAAUUUUCCUGGAUACAUUUCAGGUUUAGGCUGCUAAACAUAUUGCAUCCCUCAAACCAAGCGGGGUUAUGUUUUUGUUCCAUGAUUUCACUAAAAUAAGGGAGGCCACAAAUGCACUAUAACGUAUAUUGGCUCAACUAAACAUUUGAGUUCUCAUCGGAUCAUCUCAUACAAUAUUAGCAAAAUUUAAAUUAUCACUAGAUUUUUCUAAAUUAAACUAUUAUUUCAAGUUUUAAAAUUUUUAAAUUUCCUAAAUCUAGCAAUUUCCUAACUAUUAUUUUAUUUUUAUAAUUUACUAUUACCGACCCCCUACCCCACACUUAUUUCAUACAAUGCCCUCAUUGUAUGCUAAAACGAAUUAAGAACAUAAAAAGGGAGAAAAAGGAACAGACUCCCCUGGGUAGUUGUGGCGAGAUCGAAUGGGGCUGCUACAAGUUGCUCCAAAUAUCGCUGAAAGACUGAAAACUGAACUGCUGCUUCUGAAUUUGUCGAAAAAUAAAAUCAAGACUGCCGACUUCAAAAAAUGUGGUGCACAAUAUUGCAAGUAAAUGCAAUGUGUAGUAACCAUGACGUGGGAAAGUGUUGACCACAUCAUGUCUUCAAAAAUGACAUCCUCUUCUCGCGAUGAAAAAUCCUCCACAGCAUAGGAAAGUGUCAGCCAUGUCGUGGCAGCCGGGAUGAUACGUCUUCCUCGCGUCAAAAUAGAACUCUAUGGUGUGGGAACAGCUCAUCAUACCAUAAAAGGUAAAAUAUCGUAAAAAUGCCAAUCGUCUAAAUGAACGCUCACGAAAUCAAUAUGCACCCCACACUUAUGACAAAUUGUGGGUCUUGACUAUACUUUUCGAACUCUCACACGACUCUCUCUAGCAACAGUCGGACCUAGCUGCUAAACUUACUGCCAGCUUUCUAAGGGCGAAAAUUCUGCAGAGAUCUAAACAACCAAAGAGCAUCAACAUGGAAAACAAAAAUAGAACAUCCUAAAUUAAAGUUUAAUUACAUACCAAAUAAAAAACUAAAACUAGAAACACAAAAAUAAACUAAAAAUAACAUAAAAAUAAAAAGGAUAACUAAAUCACUCAUCAUCUCCAUCAUCAUGCUGCUGUGUCCCAGAAGUACCGGCCCCAUCAUGUCGUGGCCGGAAUGGUGGAGGGUAAGGAACCGAGUACUGAAACCCCUAGUGGGAAAAGAAUACGGUCAACGCAUCCCCAUACCACUAUUGUUGCCUGUCCACAUGUGCAACAUACUCACUAAGGUUCUGAACCCUCAUGUCAAGACAGUCAAUGCCCUGAGCUAGGUAGCGCAUAUCAAUCUUCGGCUCAGGUCCCUGUUGCGCUCCCCGAGGAGCAGGUCUACGCUGCUGGACCCGUCUCGGCUGUGGCUCGGCAGCACCCUCCUCGUCCGCCACAUCAUCUGCUCGUACNNNNNNNNNNNNNNNNNNNNNNNNNNNNNNNNNNNNNNNNNNNNNNNNNNNNNNNNNNNNNNNNNNNNNNNNNNNNNNNUGAUCUCUCGUUAACAACUGAUAUGAUCGGGCUAGUCGCGUGAUAAAAUGCCCUCUGCACAUCGGGCUAUCCUCCCGAAGUCCCCUGGCCCUCUGUCCCAAAUAUGCAGCUAAAGCAACUGGAAGGUUCAGGUGCCUCCCUGGAGUAACAAGUGCCCAUAGGAAAUACAAGUCUAUCGAAGGCACUCUCUCACUAUUCUUAUGAUGCGUGAGAGUCAUGGAAAUCAACCGGUGCAACAGUCUAUAUGUAGUAGACCGAAUCAUCCUACCCCGUGCAGUAGAUGGCGUAUAAACUCCCCCUGUAAUCUCAGCCCAAAAAGUGUGCUCAUUAUAUUCAUCUGGCCGCUCCGUGAGACAAUCAGCAAGGAAUGUCGGGAAGUGGACACUCCUCGUCUCAUCUGCUGUGUAUAUACCCACUCAAGUCGCAAGCUCUAUGACACUGCACUCCCGACUCACACCCCCCAGUCUAAAGGCAAAAGUUGUCCUAUCAUCGGGUGCCUUCCUAGGAUCAUAGGAAACUGUAGCGUAAAACUCCAACAAAAAUUCCCGAUAAACAGGCUCCUGGAUCCUGAACAAUCGUGCCCACCCCUGCCAUACGAACAAUUCCACUCCAAUCGCGUCCGAGUGCGUGUAUUGCAAAAAAAUCCUGGAUCAGUGUAGCAAGUCCAGUCCAGGUCGCCAAUUCCCAGUCGAAUGAUGGUGCUAUGUCGAUCUCCUUGGUGAGCAGCAAACUCAAACUGUUGACAUAUCGUGCCCGGGUUGCAUCGUUCAGAGUUUGCGGAAAUUGUAAGAAACGNUCAGAGUUUGGGAAAUUGUAAGAAACGGUGAUCGGUCACAUCCUCGGGUGGGUUGGUCCUUUGAGUUCUUCGGGCCAUAAUCUGCACACAUAAACACAAAACCAAACAAAAUAUAACAGCAUUAAAAAAAUUUUAAACCAAAAAAAAAUGGUGCUGGAUAUGGACUGUACGCUGGGCGUACGUCCAGGUUCCACGAAUAUGUGUUCUGCUUCCUUUUCUUGUGCUAAAGUUAUAACCCAUAUCAAAAAAUUUCAAAUUAACCAACUGCAAGCAAUAAACACAGCAGGGCAAACACAUGGGGCAUAUCGAGCUUCGUGGUCCAAGACAGUAGAAAAACGGGACCACUCUAAAAAAUAUGAACCAUUCUCCUGUUCGUUCCUUAUCUUAUCAAGAUUAGAAAGCACUACAAAAGAAAAACUUCAUUGGGGCAGUCAAGAAUCGAAGUCAACAGGGUUACGCUUAGCGUCCGUCCCCGAGCUCAAAAUGAUGGGUCUAUCACGGGAUUAAGACCAAAUUAGGUACUAGGGUUUAGUCCAUUGAUGGAAAUCGGUCUUUUUAAGUCCUAAUCAAAACAUACAAUUAUGAAAUCGGCCCUAAUUCAAGAACCCUAUAAACCCUAGAUUUCGAACAAAGGCAUUUUGCAGCUUAUUCCAUCGAUUUAAACACAAAUCCAAAACAUUGAGUAACCGAAAAACUUACCUGUGUGCUGAAUUUUACAAGAAAAGAAGCAAAAUUGAAAAUCCUUGGGAGAGCUUGCCGUCACAGUUCGUGUGUGCGAAGGAAAGGAUUUUGAAAAAGUAACAAAAAAGUCAAGGGUCAAAAGAUAUAACCUGGUCACCGAUUUACGCUGGGCGUAAAACAAGGUUACGCUGGGCGUAACUCCAACUCCAUGAAAAGUCCAUCCGCGAUCCGGGGUUUAUUACGCUUGGCGUAAUUAAAAUUACGCUGGGCGUAAUGAAGUAUUCCUUUUCUUUAACUGAAAUUUCUUUUCUUUUAACUAUUUAAUUAAGGGACUAAAAACUUAAUUAUUUUUCUUUUUAAUUUCUUCAGCAACUGAUGACUUUCCGAUGAGUAAAAAAAAUGAGACGUCAUAAUCACUUAUCUUUGUCAAGAUCAAACAACAAUGGUUGAUUAAAAACCUUUGCACGCAAGAAUUGGUUUGCGAAAACACCCACUUUCGGGACCCGUUAGAAUAUUUCCUUUGUUUUCUUUGCACCUUUAACUAAAAGCGGAACAAGAAGUGACCUAACUAGUCAAGAACAGCAAGAGUUCGGUCUUCCACUUAACCACCACAAUACGCCUUACUAUACUACGCCUCAUGGAUUGAGUUGGACAAAUCAACAAAGUAGUAAGCCAACCAGGUCAAGAAUUUCCUAAUCGCUUGGAUUCUCGAAACCCAUGCAAAAAGUAAAGUCAAGCAAUGUGUACAAUCCCAAAUUCCUGCAAUUAACAACAAGAACCUUCCCGACAAGUGAAAUGAUAUCAACGAAAACCAAACUAAAAAUAAAAACUAACUAAAAACAAAUAACGAAUAAUCAAAAAAACUAAAUUAAUGACAAGCUGUUCCCGGCAACAGCGCCAAAAACUUGAUGUGCACAAAAGUACCCACUAAUUUUAAUAUUUAUAACCUAACAAACUUAGACUAUCUAUGCACUUAUAGGCAGUGUACCUAGUCAGAUUACAGUAUAGCUUAGGUAAGUCGGGUGUCGAUCACAGGGAACGGUGGUGAAUUAAUUUAAAAUAUUUGAUUAUAGGUUACAGGUCACAUGAAAAGAAUAAAGAAAUAGUUUAAUAAAUCUCAAACUAACAAUUAAUUAACAACUUUCGAUAAACUAACAGGAAAGAAAAUCUCUUCAGGUACUUUGGUUUAGAUAAAUUACGCCUUAAAAAACAUAGACAAUUGUAUACACAACUUCAUUUAUUCAUGUUCACCGAUUCCUAAAAUGAUUAGAUUCGUGUUCACUAUAACUAAUCCUUUAGCAAACAAGUCAAUUCAAACAGUGAUCAGUUGAUUAAACUAACAUGCUUCCUAGUGUUCAGUUCGUAUCAAGCAAGACUUGUAAAUAUAGUUAAUCAAAUUACUAAUUCAAUUUAACCUCUUGUUGAUGGUCAUCAAACAAGGCUCACACAUUAACUUACUUAUUCCCAAGUUAAUCCUAGUUUUACAUUCGUUAAUCCUAGACUUCUAAUCUCGAUGGUCAUCAAAAUCAUAAGCGACAAGCAAUCAAGCAGAUGUUCAUACAACUCAAUUUACUUAAUAAUUAACAGCAAAUAAUUAUCAUUAAUACGUAAGGAUCUUUUAACAAGCUUGGCAAGAUAAAUUAAACAUAAACAAACAAUUCAAUAUAGCAAUUAGUCUAAUAAUCAAGGUUUCAUUCAAUCAUAAACGCAAAGUAAAAGGUUUUUACACCCAAAUCAGAAACUAAAUACAGAAUAGUAACACAAUGGAAUGCUAAACAUGGUCACGUUAACAACCCAUAUGAUUACCGACAUGUAUCCGCUCUCCAACCCUUCCGAUCUUCGCUCCCGUUAGCUUAACGGCCUUCCGACCACCUUCUAGACCCUCAAAACGGCUUAAAAGAAGUUUAAUAUCGACUAAAUUAGGUUGGAAGUCGAAUCCCCCCUUCUGGUUAGCUGAUAAUCGACUUUUAUAACCUUUGUAACUGACUUACGUAUGCUGGGCGUAAGUCGGAUUACGCUGGGCGUACUAAGGAUUUAUACGCGAUUGGAGUUAUCCGAUGCCAGCCAUUACGCGGGGCGUACACAAGAAUUACGCUGGGCGUAACUCGUCUUAGCCAUUACGCUUGGCGUACAAGUAAAUUACGUGGGGCAUAAUCGUUCCUCCAACAUUUUCCUUUCUUUUAGCCUCUAAGCCCGAUUUCUGCUUCAGUCUUUUCUUUUGUGCUUUAUCGACAACGAAUAGCUGCAAAUCAUAAUUUAAAGCAUUGUGAGUACUUUUUCGUUCUAAAAGAGAAUAAUAAAGGCCAAAAUAUUAAGAUAUAAUGCAUAAAAAUAUAUAUAAAAAUACACAUAUCAAUUAUGUAUUAUCAAUAUUAAUUUUUCUUCAAAAUAAGUUGAAUAUAUCAAGAUAAAAAGUAUAUUCAAACUAAGAAAAUAAACCAGAAACACACAUACAAUAUUUUUGAACAACAAAAGCAUAAAAGUACAUACAAAAAAUAUAAAGACAAAGAAUUUACCAUUAUGUCCCUAGAGUACUAAUAAUGAGAAGAACAAAGAGAAACUGAAAUAUAAAUUUAUAUAGUUGCACUCAUGAAUGACUAAAAUAACACGAAAUGUAUUAAUUGUCAAUGUGGUUGAGCGCAAAUUACCAUUAUGUCCCUGGAGUACUAAUAAUAAAAACAAAAAUUAUAAAAUCCUUAAAAUAGUUCUAUAGAUGGUAUACUGGUAAUUAAAACAAUCAGUUUUUCCACAUGCCUCUUAAAAAAUCAUUUACAACCAUAAAUAAGUUUACCAAUAUACCCGUAACACAUUAAUUUUGUAUAUGUAAUAUGUAAGAUAUGAGAUAUAUGUGGCGAGGGCAUUUUCGUCCUUUAAACAUACUUAUAACAAUUAACAAACCUCAUGAUACAUUAUAACAGUGGAUAAUGGAUCGACAUACAUAUAUACUUUUCCUUUUAAUGAAGAGGCGUGAAAUAUGCAAUUGACAGAAAUGCCCCUUCUACAAGACACACCUAUUUAAAUUGCAUAAAACCACACCGCUUAACCUAUUUAUUCAUAUUUGAUGUUAGAGUUCUAUAAUUACCAAGGUGUUUUUAUCUUUUACUUAAUAGAAAUAUGUCUCGAUCAAGUAAGUUCAGGUAUAUGUUUUUUUUAUCUAAUGCAAAUAUAAUGACAUAAUAAGUAAAAUAAGAGAAAAACUACAAAAUAUUGGGUAAAAUUAAAAAACGAGCCACACCCUUUAAACAAACCAUCAUUGGGUUAUCAAAAUCAGUAACAUGAAUGUAGUCACUAUAAAUUAUAUGCAAAUAGGUAUACAUGAGAAAUAGCUAAAAUGAAAAAUGAUAACUACCUCCACCUUAUAGUUUAUAAAAAAUAAGGCAAACACCUUAACUACAUGCAUAGAUACUCUACUCCCAAUACUAAAGAAAUUAGUCUACAAAUGGCUUUAGUUAAUAUGUUUUUGGUUUAAACCGGUUCAGAUCAAUGACAAAAAAAUAUAAUUAUAGUAAAACAUGACAGAAAUGCCCCUUAAUUCAAAAUGGGACCAAUCAAUCAAGUAAUACAAAAUACAAUCACGUAAUACCUAAGCAGAGAAAAUAUAACACAAAAAACAGAAAAAAAAUUUAUUUCUAUAAAACAUGACAGAAAUACCCCCGAACUAAAAAAAUAAAAAUAAUCAAAAUUACAUUUCUAUUCGUAUGAGUUUGACGGUACUUUUAGGUUUCUUUGUGUAAUCCGUCAAUGAAUCUGGCCUAUGAGUUUGACGGUACUUUUAGGUUUCUUUGUGUAAUCCGUCAAUGAAUCUGGCCUAUAAACAUGACCUGAACCAAUUUUUUUACUUGGUGAACCAAUUUAAUAGAAAAAAAAAUUUGUUCUAAUUACCAUUCUACCAUUUGUAACUUGGGAAUGAUUAAUUAACAUACAAAGGUGAAUUUUCUCUACCUGCUGCCUUACGUUCAAAAUGACAAAAUUGUAUUGGUAAACAUGAACCAAAAUGGACAAAGGUUUCAAUUUUGGACAAACACAGUAAAAAUAUGAACCAAAACAAUAAACAUUGAUAUAAUUUUGCGAUGGUAUUAUCUCCAAAAGAAUAAAAAAUUUCAAUUUUGCGAUGAUAUAGUUUCAAUUUUGCGAAGAAGCAACGUAAGCAGUAAACCAGAUUGCGGUGAGAGAGAGAGAGAGAGGGCCUGCCGCCUGCGAUUGGUAAUUUGUGAUGGUAUCUCUCGACCGAGAAAGGGGAGCGAUUGAUGAACAGAACCAUAUUAAGAGGAAUUAUGAUUGUCAAAUAAGUUUUUGAUCGUUCUUUUGAUCGUUGUUAUUUAGGACAAUAUCUCAUAGUGAAAUACGAAUAAGGUAUCAGUUAAAGUGUCACACACACGCAUACACAUUAAGAAGCAUAAAUAACUUUCAAUUUUGCGAUUAACACAGACAUUGAGAAGCAGGGGCUUACAUAUACACAAUGAGAAGCAGAAUUGAGAAGCAGAAACUUACCGAAGGAUUGAAGUCGUUGACACAGACUCCAAUAACUGAAGUGUCGAUGAUGCUUGAUUGUUGGAAGACAAUGCUGUAAAGAACCUUGGAAACACGAUGCUAUAAAUAAAUUAAGAAGCAGAAUUGAGAAGAAGAAACUGAAAUCGAGAUUGAAGUCUAAGAUUGAAUAUCCGAUAAAUAAUUAGUCCAUGAUUCAGAAACUUGAAAACAUAAUGCUGUAAAGAAAUAUUGAUUAUCAUAUUUUUGAAAUAUAUAUUGACAAUAAUAUGAUCAAAUCGACAUAAUAAUCAAAAUUAAAUGUAAUCGAUGUGAUUGAUAUGGAUACCAUAAUAACAUGCUCUUAAUCGGGUAAGAAAUGAUUUUGAGUUAAUGUGUACAACUGGUAGCAAAGAUAAAAAUCGGUAAUUAAAAUAGGGAGUUAUAUGGAUUCCAUAUUGGAUUCAAUAUUCAAUUUCAAAUUUCCAUAUUCCACAUCGAUUACUACGUGAAACAAUAAAAUAACAAAAACGGUAUUUUACAUUUGUAGAAUACUAAUUAAUUGCAGAAUACUGAUUUUUUGAAGUUUAUAAUUUCACUAUAAAAAACUGUAAUAACAUAACCAUUUUUAUUUUUCUGAUUUAUUUGAAGUAAUUUAGACUUAUAAUACCUGAAAUAGUGGUAUGUGUUUUAGAGUUUUGUACAAGAGCAUUGUGUUUUUUAAAAGUAUUUACAUAUCUACGGUACUUUUAAAUUUAUUUACUAAAAGAUUGUAAAAUUUUAAAAUUCAUGUGGACCUAUCCCUUUUAUACCAAAAAUAUAAGAAAUUAAUUAUGCGCCUCCCCACCGCUCAUUUUUCUCGCAUUUGUCGCUGGAAAAUGAUGGCCAACAAGAUAAUUUCAAAACAUUAUAAAAAGAUUUCUCUUUCGCUUGUUUGCUCGCUAGAAAAUGAAAACAAACAUAAACGGUCAUAAAUAAAAACAACCAAACACGAAUUAAAUAUAUUGACAGAUUUAGAUUCUUCCGGCUGCGAACUUGGUUUGCUCAUUGGAAUAUGAAUACAACCAAACAAUUUGGAAAUCGAAAAGGAAAUUGUUGGAAAUGCACCACGUUCAUAGAUCUUGUGCCAAAACAUUUCUCGUAUAUAUUUGUUUCAAACAUUGGUCGUUCAAUCAAUGUCAUAUAACUUGGAAAUUUGGAGGGGGGAGGGGUUGUUUAACAGAUGAUACCGAGGGUUAUGAAUGGGUUAGUCGGUGGCAAGGCGGAUGUAGAGGUUCAUCCGCAGUGUGGUUUGGGGAGAAUUUCAGCAGUGUUUUGGAGUUGACGAUGUCGGACGGUGAUCGUGUCAUAGGUGUAAACACUGCACAACACAACAUGUAGACUAGGUAUUACUGGCAAUGCUUGUUAUGAAAAAAAUAAAAAACCAGUAGACUUCAAUCGUUGAAGCAGGGAAAAUGUGGUUGUGGUAGGUUCAAUGGAUGUAUGCGCACUCAUGCACAGUAGGGGUUUGCAGCGGUGCUAAGGGUUGCCAAAUGGUUUUGCAAGUAAUGUGAGCAUCAAAAGACAAUUAACAUGAUUUCAUUUAUUUUAUUUAAGUACAAUUAAAUGGGAAAUAAUUUUAAAAGUACUAUAUUAUAGUAAAUAUUUUUCUUAACCGCUACCUUUUAGUAAAAAACUAUGUGUUUUAAACAGGUAUAACUGUAUAAAAAACCUAAGAGUUUGCAGAGGUUCAUGGGAUUACAUCUUAGUGGUAUGUGCUUUAAGGGUAAACACAUUUUUCUUCUUUUAGGCUAGAUUUAUUACAUCACAAGGAAUCCCGUGGCGAGGGCAUUUUCGUCCUUAGGAUAUAUAAAUUUUGUUUCCGGUACUGUUUUGUACUUUGUAGUGCUUAAGAAACGGGAAGAUAUGAUUAAGUUGUGAAUGAUCUGGAUCCAUAUCAAUGAUCCGGUACUAUUCUACCCUUUGUAAGAGAAAAACACAUAAAGUCACAAACUAUAUACCCCUGUUGUGAAAAUUACCAAUAUGUCACUAUAAAAAAAUGAGCAUUAUUUUGAACAGGUUGUUCUAAUUACCAUUCUACCCUUUGUAACUAGAGAAUGAUUAGUUAAUAUGUCAUGCAUUGUUUCCUCCUGUUGCGUGUUCAAUAUUAUAACAAUCAAUAAACAAUUUUAAUGGAAUUUAAAUGAUUGAAAUUGUAGAGAUGAACAAAAGAAUUGACAAAGGGCAAAAUUGACAUCUAAUGCAUUGUUUCUUCCUGUUGCGUGUUCAAUAUCAUGACAAAUCUCAUUUGACAGCUUCAUUACAAUUUUUGUUUCAUACAUUACCUCAAAUAAUAUACAAGCACAUUCCCAAGAAUGCAUUCACCGAUAUACCAUUUUAUUGUGAAAAUUACCAAUAUGUCCAUGUACAAAAAAUGAGUAUUAUUUUCAACAGGAUUUUAUUGAAUUUAUUCAUAUUUGAGACAUCUUUUUUAUAGAGCAAAUAUACUUAUAACACGAAAAUGAAAAGUAGAAUGGUAUAUUUUUUAAUUUUUUUGAAUUUUAUUGCAAAUAUAUUGGUAAAAAAAAUCUUUAAAAACAUAAUGGUUUCCUUCUUUUACACUAUCAAUAGACACACAUAUAUUAAAAGAAGAUUAAUCUAAUUACAGGCAUAACCCAAAAAGCAGUUUUUUACUUAAGAUAGAGAUUAGCAGCGUAAAGAAACCAAGAACUAUCAAUGUUUGAAUACUGAACACCACGAAGAGCAAAACUGUCAAACAAAAUCCCCAAAAAAAAUAAUUCAAGAAUAUUGUUGGUGCAUAAAAAGGACAAUCUAAAAUUACUUUUCAAGCUUUGGUAUUAAUAGACCUGUGUUUCCAUCCACCCUGGAAUUCAAGCGAGGUAUUUUUGUCGACGAAUUCACAUUAUCAUACUCAUCAAUAUCAAUGCUAUCUCCAACGUUUCGCUUUUUUACCAUUGUGGGCGAAUUAAACUUGAACGGACUUGUAGCUUCUAUUUGUCAUGCAUGGAAGGGGUCAAAUUAUCACUGGUUUGUUAUAUCGCGUCCUUAAAGCAAAAACCCGAAACAGCGUUAGUACGAUAAUAUUAACAAAUUAACAAAAAAAUAAUUUAUAAAAGGAAUUUAUAUAAAAUUAAAAAAUGUGGAUUUAUAUUAUAACCUUUAAUGACUUUGUUUCAUGAGAUGCUUCGUGAGAUGCGAUUUUGUAUCGUCAGCAUUUGUAGAAUUACCUCCCUGCUUCAAAAGUUUAAAUAUGUAUUAUCAUUUGUGGGAUUAAAUUUUUGUUCCAUCAAGAUUUACAAUUAAUUAGUGACGAUCAUUAAAUAAAAGUAUGCAUCAUAAUAAUUAAUUAAUUUUCAAAAAACAUAAAAAUAUAUGUAUAUAAAUACCUCAACAGCUAACUUUUUUUCCAAAACAUUGAUAAUGUUACUAUCAAGCGUAUAGCCAAGUAUCCCAAAACGAUUGUAGUUAUUGGAUACGUUAAAACUAUUAACAUCUAACACGAAUGCCAUCUUUUUAUGCACCAGACAGUUGAGGUCAUAAGGAUACAAUCUCGGAUCAUCACCAGCCUGGAAAGAAUGAGUUAUGUAAUAUUAUUAUGGUUAAAAGCACAUUAAUAUAGAUAAAAUCAAAUAGAUAAUAGAAUUUAAUAAAACAAAUAAUAUAUUUAUAGUAUGUCUGUUUGAUUUUCUCUAUGGGUUCACUUGCACGUUUUUUGACGAGUUUAUAAGCAUCUCUAUCAAACAUAGUGAGUGUGAUUGUUCCAGAUUCAUCUUGGACACGAAUAGGUAUUUUAUACCUACAAAAAAGUACGACAUAAAUAUCAUAUUAAAUAUUAAAUAUGUUUAAUGUGUAAUGUUUGUUAAUGUAUUUAAUUUGUGGGUGAACUAUUGUUAAAUUUUAAAAACCUUGGAACUGAAGAUAUCUCCUUUUUUUACACUUAGAAUUAUAACAUUCAACAACCACACUUGCAUCACCACUAUCUGGACCGCUGAAAACGUUUCUUGGUUCAACCUUCCUUCCACAUUUUGAACACGCAUCAUAAUACCAAUCAAUAUCUUGUCGGAUACCAUAAAUGGUACCAACAAUGAUAUAUUUCCCGACCUUAAAAAAUAUAAAAUACAAAAAGAAUCAUAAAAAAAAAUACAAUUAUAAUAUUAUAAUAAACGAAUAAUAGAUAACAAAAUCACAUUAAAAAAAACUAAAUUAUUCACAUACCUCUUGUGGUUCUAGCAAAUCGACAACAUUUUUAACGUUGUGAUUUGUCAAAAAGUCAUCAUAUUCAUUGCAUGAUUGAGAGCUAUCAACGGUCAAAGAAGAAGAAGGAUUUUGAAUUCCUCGUAAUCCAACCAUGUUGUUUUUUUUAUUUGAUAGAUUAAUUAUGAAAUUAGUAAAAUUAUUAAAAAGAAACAAAAAAAACAAUGAAUUAUUAAAAUAGAUUGUUACCUAUCUGUGAAUGUAACAAUUUCGGGAAGAUCAACAUUUAUGAACAUCGGUGUGUGUUUAUAAUAACUGUUAAAAUAGUUAAAAUAAUGAGCAAUAUAAAAGCCUAAAAUAACAAAGGGGUCCUUUUAUAAGAAAUGUACCGUUAUAGACAUUAAGUCUUGCAAACUGCAAAAUAACAACCACACGACCAACUUCUUUAUGUGCUUCAAGAUAAGAAAUCAAUUGGUAUGCAAUAUCUCCAAACAAUGUGACGUUAACCUGCAAACCUCUGCAAAAACAGUACGGGUUAAAUGAUAAUAUAAUAAUAAAAUUACAUAUGGCAGUUGUAACCUAAUCAAUUUAAUAUAUAAUAAUAAUAAUAAUAAUAAUAAUAAUAAUAAUAAUAAUAAUAAUAUAAGAUAUAAUAUAAGAAAAGUUAUGAUUUGUAAAGUUAGCCGAUGUUUGGAUUUGCUGACAUCACGGGAAUCAAGCUUUCCUAACGAAACAACUUCACCAAUAACAUCUACAAAAUGAUAAUACAAUAUGUCAAAAUGAUGUAAAAUUAAAGAAUUAAAUAUAAGAUGCAAUUAAAUAGGGGAAACAUUUACCAAUUGAGUUAUUAGAUGUAGCUGUUGCAGAAAUAAUGCUUUCAAACGAUACACAACAAAAGUCAUAUGUUGUUUUGGACUAAAAAGUUAGACAAUCAUUAACAGUUUUUCGUCCAUGCAAGUUUAACUUGGAGAGUACAUCACUUAUUUUAAAAAUGUAUCUGUUUGGAGCUAUAGUGGGGGAUCGGAUGUAAAUUGCUUUAUCUUCUUUCAGUUUUAAAAGUGUAUCUCUUGGGUAGACACUUGCUCGGAUUUUUGUACCCUAUUCACAUAUCGUAAGAAUAUUAUAUAUAUUGCGAAACAAUUGUAUAUUAAUUUAUAUAAAUUGGUCAACAUUGAAUCAAUUAUUUGACCAUGAAUGAUUUUAAAUAAUAUUAUUGGAAUGAGCAAAUAAACAAAAAAAAAUAAUUUUGAAUAAUGUAAUUAGAAUAGGAUAUUUUACCAUCUCAUCCAUUAAUAUCAUUUCAAGUGCUUUGACAAUACUAGGGUUAACUUUGGAUAAUGAUCUCCACAGCCGGAUAAUACACACUUUUAGUGUUUAAUCAUCCCUCAUGUUGUCUAAGUCUUUGAUCAAAGUGACAUUUCUAUCUGCCAUUGUCACUAUAAUAGAAAGACAUAACAUAUUAAGAAAAAAUAAUGGAACAAAAUUACACAAAAAAUAUAAAGACAAACAUAAUUACAAUUAUGUCCCUGGAGUAGUAGGCGGAUAAAAAGAUUCUGAAUAAUACAAUAAAUUAUUAUAAAACAUUCAAACAUAUUCAAACAAACUAUAUACCGCUGCUGUGAAAAUUACCAAUAUGUCCCUGGAGUUGUAGGCGGAUAAAAAGAUGAAAAACAAACAGGGCAUUUUCGUCCAUUGAACUUACUUAUAACAUGAAAAAUAAAAGUACAAUGCCAUUAUAUGUAAUAUUUUCGAAUUUUGUUGCACAUAUAAUUUUUUUUUUUGUACUGUACUGUUGGAAUACAUUUUUCUUUCCUUCUGUUAUUUUACUUUGUAACUAUUGGAACUAAUGUUUAUUAUGUUAUAUAAAGAUAAGCAUUGAUGGAAAGGAUACUAUUAGGGAGGAUGAUGUUGAUGAAUUGACUUCCAAUUCCAUAGUUACAGAUUAUGAAAUAUCAAGCAUAUCAGGUUCAGAACUAAAAUAGAACAAAAUUACACAGAAAGACAUAACAUAUUAAGAAAAAAUAAUGGAACAAAAUUACACAGAACAUAUAAAGACAAACAUAAUUACAAUUAUGUCCCUGUAGUAGUAGGUGGAUAAAAAGAUUCUGAAUAAUGCAAUAAAGUAUUAUAAAACAUUCAAACAUAUUCAAAUAAACUAUAUACCCCUGAUGUAAAAAUUACCAAUAUGUCCCUGGAGUAGUAGGCAGAUAAAAAGAUGAAAAACAAACAGGGACAACCUCAGUGAUUCAAGCAUAUCAGGUUCAGAAAAAACAAAAAACAGAGAAUUAGAUAAAAAGAUGAAAAUACAUUCUCCAUAUUUUACAGAUUUACAGAUUAUGAUAUAUCAAGCAUAUCAGGUUCAGAAAAACAAAAAACAUAGAAUUUGACAGCCUCAGUGAUAAAAUCGGUAAUUAUAAGUAAAACAAUAACAUACAACGUUAAUGUGGCCUAAGUCCUAAUUCAUAUAAAUCUGAUUAUUUACCAAUCGCAGGCGUACCUUCAAUAGUUCAAUGGGAUAGACUCGAAGAAGCAACGUAAGCAGUAAAGCAGAUUGCGAUGGGGGUAGAGAGAGAGAGAGAGGGCAUGCCGCCUGCGAUUGGUAAUUUGCGAUGGUAUCUCUCGACUAAGAAAGGGGAGCGAUAGAUGAACAGAACCAUAUUCAGACGAAUUAUGAUUGUCAAAUAAGUUUUUGAUCGUUCUUUUGCAAUUAACACAGACAUUGAGAAGCAGGGGAUUACAUAUACACAAUGAGAAGCAGAAUUGAGAAGAAGAAACUUACCGAAUGAUUGAAGCCGCUGAUUGAAUAUCUAAUAACUGAAGUAUGGAUGAUGCUUGAUUGUUGGAAGAUGAUGCUGUAAAGAAUGAUUCAUAUUUGUAUGCUUCAAGUAUAUAUUGAACAUAAUAAGAUCAAAUCGACCUAAUAAUCAAAUUUAAAUGUAAUUGAUAUGAUUGAUAUUGAUACAAUAAAAAGAUGCUCUUAAUCGGGCAUAUAACGAAAUUGAUUCAAUAUUCCAUUCGAUUUCCAUCCAUAUUCCAAAUUCCACAUUCAAAUUGCCAUAUUUCCAUAUCUAAUUUCCGUAUGUAAUGCUACGUGAAACCAAGCAGGGGUAAAAAUGGGAUUUAACAUUGGCAAGAAAGUGAAUUUUUGUUAGGACACGUUUCAAACAGGUUUUGUUUAUUAGAUAGGGAGAUGUUAUGAAUCUUGGUUAUGAUAAUACGAAUAUUGUAUGCUUGUACUUGAUUUACGAUCGAUUAUGUGGGGUUAUGCAUAGAGGGCAAGGGUAGGACCUAACACUUAGCAUGAAACCCUAUCCAGAUACAUUCGAGCCUCGUUAGUUGAGAAAUACCUUCUAGGAAAAGAGAUUAAUCCAUUUACGAGUUGAUCGGUCUUUCUAGAUGCCCGUGCGACACAUUGUACGCGUACACUUCGGUGUUUGCGGAUUGGAGUGAUGUUGGCCAUUCGAACGAGGCUUGUACAGACAUCACGUAGGUGUUGGGAGGUGGCGGACGAAUGCCACUGCUUGUACCAACACCAGAACGGCACCGCGAUGUACUUGUACAUUACAUAGUCGGAGUAGUGAAAGUGGAGUCUUGGGGUCGGUGUGGCAGGGGGGGGUCACGAACCACCUAAAGCACUUGGUUGUCCAGACACACAAGUAGCGAACGGGUUUUCCUUUUGGGUUAGGUAUUACUACGAGACUACCUAUGCCUAUACGAUUAUGAUACAUUUUUUUUUAUAUGAUGAUAUACGAUUACGAUAUGAUUAUGCAUGAAAUACAAUUGAUGUUACAUAAAUGAAUGAUAUGUGAAUGGAUGAUACAAAGUUGAAUGAUUGAAUUUUAUGUGAAAUAUGAUUGAUUAUUGAUUGGUAUGUGAAUUUUGUUUAUAUGAUUAAAAUAUGAAUGAUUGACCCGUUAAGGGAUGGUAUGUUUUCCCUUUGAUUGUGUACAAACUCUUAUUGGCUCACGAAGCAUUUGUUGACACUUGUUUCUUUGCUUUGUGCCUUUAUGAUUGGUACAGGUAGCUUAAGAGCUUCGCUUGGUGAGAUGGGGUCAUUUUUUGGUAGUUUAUCCUUAGAAUAAAGAUGCCACUUGGAAACGUUAUUUAUUUUUUGAUACUUAUGCUUCCACUACAAUUAAAUACUUUUGAUAUUUUGGUUUUAAAUUGAACGUAACUUGGUGGUUUGAAAUGUUUUUAAAAUAAAUAAUGUGUACACUCUUCCGUUGCAUUUUCCGUUAAAAGAUUUUAAAAAUAAAUGAAAUUUUUUCGCGAAAAAUCAUGACUUUACAAUUAAAUCCUUAAUAGAUUAAGUCCUUAACAGGUUAAGUAGGAACACUUAACCCUAAUCGUCAUUUUAUGUGAAAAACCCUAAUUGGGUUUGGGUUCUUAUUAGGUCACUUAUUGGACUGAGUUGUUGUGGGCCUUUGUGGGCCAAUUGGGAACAUAUUUAUGGACUAAGGAAAUUAUUGGUCUUUAGGAUAAGGCCCGUUGGAAAGGCUUGGGCCCAAUUUGGAAAAUUGGGCCAUAAUUAGGCCUUGAUGAUUAUGAGACUGGAUUAAAUGGUUGGGCCUUAAGAUAAGCCCAUGUAGAGGUUUGGGUCCAAUUUGGAAAAUUAGGCCAUAUGUUGGGCUUUGGUCCAUAGUUUGACUUUUGGGCUUUUGGAUUGGGCCUUGGAGUUGAAUAAAGCUAAGUCAGGGGUAAAAUAGUCUUUUACCCUAACCAUGGAAUUAUGGUUAUGUAUUGGAACCCAAUUAUUAAUUGGGUGUCGUUUUGAUGUUGAUAGUUUAGGAACCUAUCAACCAGCAGCUAAGAUUUUACCCGUGGAACUUGAGCAAUGCGAAGUGAGUCUCCUCACCAUACCAACGGGUCGAAGGCACCAAUGUCAGCCCAUUUUAUGUUAUGUGAUACACUAGCUAAAGUUGUAUUAUGUGGCAUGUUAGCUGGUUAUGUCAUAGGAAGUAUGCUAGUGGUAUAUGUGGUAUGCUUGUAUGGAAGACCAUGGGAGAGCCCAUGGCACCUGGAUGUAAGACCAUGUGGAGAGCCUAUGGCUUUCUUACUAUGUUUUAGUGUUAAUGUAGAUUCACUAUUGAUAUGUUUGGUAUGCACGUAUAUGUGGUAUGCUAGUGAUUAAGUGAUAUACUAGCUGACUAUGUGGUAUGUGGUAUGCUAGUUGUCUUUGUGAUACUUGCAUGAAAGCCCAUGGGAGAGCCCAUGGCACCUGGAUGUAAGACCAUGCGGAGAGCCCAUAACUUUCUUACUAAAGACCAUGGGAGAGCCCAUGGUAACCAGAUGUAAGACCAUGUGGAGAGCCCAUGGCUUUCCUAUUAAAGACCAUGGGAGAGCCCGUGGCAUUUAGGUGUAAGACCAUGUGGGGAGCCCAUGACAUCCUGGAGUAAGACCCUGGGGACGAGCCCACGACAUCCUUAUAUGUUUAUAUUCAUGGCUUAUAUGAUUGAUAUGACUUAUGUGGAUAUGUAGCUAAUAUAACUAAUAAAUAUUAUGAGAUUAUGUGGAUUGUAUGAGGUAUGCUCUGGGGAAUUCACUAAGCUUCGUGCUUACAGUUUUGUUUAUGGUUUCAGAUAUUUAACUUUAGGAAAGGAAGGGCUCAGCUUGACCGCAGCGUACACACCCAUGCUUUCCACAAUGAAUGAAAUGUUUUAAUUAACAAUGUUUUGGAAUGAUUGGAAUAAAUGAUAUCUAUGUUUGGGUUAUAUUAAAAAUGAAAUUGUUACCCCUGAUUUUUGGGUUGUUACAAUGAUAUUCAAUUAAAACACAGGUCUUUUGGCCUAGCACUAUCAUAUGUUGGAAAAGUGACCCUUCCUAAUGUUAGAAAAACGGGUUAUUUUGAUUGCUUGGAUACCAUUGAAAGUCAUGAUACACUUUCAAAUUGAAUUAUUUUGAUGGUACAAUCAAAAUAUCAAUUGGAUAAAAUUCAGUGACAAACAGAGAAUGAAAAUGUUAUGAUUCUUGUGUGUACCAGAUUUAAAUAACCAAAAAGGGAUAUAACUCCUUAUCUGAAAACUAUCAUAUUGACAUUUACAAACUGCCACAAAACCGUCACUAAAUUGACUUAGUCAGCUUGACAAACAAGAACCACAUAUUUAACAUACAAAGCAAAGAGAAAAAGUUUCCUAAUACUUGUAAAAAUCAAAUGAUGUAAAAAAAUUAGAUGUCACAAAAUCUAGUAUUAACAUAGAUUUAAUAAAACUGAUAGAUUACUUGUUUAUAUAUCGUAAAAAUUUAUUCCCAAGGUCAUCCUUAACUCACUAAUAAAUUUUGGGAGUAACGAUAUAACAAUAUCUAUUCGGUACUCCUUUGAUAAAAUUUUGAAUUUUGUGUGGUCAAUAAGUCGUAUUUUUGGAUUGCUAAUAGGAGUAGAAAAGCUAAAAUCAUUUGGGUCUAUGAGCUUCGUAAUCCUAUUUUAGCUUGCACUCUUAUGUAAUGCUAUUUUUCCUUGCUUCCUGCUAGUUUUUAUAAAAUUUUUUGCUGUUCCAAAAAAAAAAAAAAAAAAAAACUCCUCUAAUAUAUUGGUCGGUCGACUUUGAGAUACAAUUAAGAAGGUUCUCUAGCCACAUCACACAUCAUCCUCCCCCAAUGACCACCACACAAUAAUAUCGAUUUGGUAUAGACCAACAACUCUCUAUUUCCCCAUCUCCCUUAAAUCAAUCUUCACUUCCUUACUUUUCAGUUUGUUUUUUAAUAUUCAUACAUAGAAACUCAUGUUGGAGCAGUUAACACACAUAAAUGUCCUUAAUAUUGGAAUCCCUCACCAACAAAGUAGCAUCGUUAAGUAACUAAUAAGUUAGAGACCAUACGUACAAAUUAGCCCAAACCAUAGGGACCAUUCGUGUAAUUUACUCUUCCUCUUAAUAUACAUAUUUUUUAUUAGAGACAGACCGCUGUCAUCCUCAAUAUAAUACAUGUGUCCCCAAGUCCAUUUUGCAAUUCUUUUUGGAUUUGGCAAACUUGUAUAUACAAUUUCCUCUCUUUACUUUUCAUAUGUCAUAACCUUUGCUUUAGUUAUUGCUUUCUUCUUCCAAUUUCUUGUCACCUUGUAAAUAUUUCUUUGACCUCUCUUCUUUCCCAAUUGUCACUACUUAAUAGAAAUUCUUUAAAAGGAGUUUCUUUAUUUUGACCUUGAACCUUCUUGCUCCACCAUUCCGAUUAUUAGCUUAGCCUUUCAUCCUUGACGGAUAUGGCCUCCUGCUACAAUUACCAUGUAACAGAGCCGGCCCAAAGCAAGUUCAUCCAGUGCCUUUGAACAUGGCCCAAAAAAUCAGAGGGCCCAUUUUUUUUCAUUCUUUAAUAGGGUAUGUUCAUUUGGCCCAAAAAAUUUAGGUUAUAUCCAUCUAUAUACUCAGUUAACGAAUGCAGGAAGCAGGCAAGAGGGAGCAGGAACUCAAUUUUCGGGAAAAAGAGAACUCUUCGGUUUCUUCAUUGGUAACGCACGCAUGGAUAAUAGGAAUCAUCAUUGCUGGAACGGUAACAUCAAUUUACAUUCAUUUAUCAUUCAUUCUAUUCCAUCAAUUUACCUUCACUUCUUAUUUCUUCCUUCUUUAUCUUCUUCUUCACUGAUCAGUUUUUACAAAGAUUACCAACAAUUUUAGAAGAUUCAAAAGAAGAAAUUCAAAGCCAUCAAAUUUCGAAAUCAGAAGGUUCAAUAUCAGAAUUCAGAACAAUCAAAAUUCGAAAUAAGAAGCUUCAAAAUCUUACAGUCUUACAGUCUUACAGUUUGAGUUUCGAAAUCAAAGGUAUAAUACUAAAAUUAAACUUUAGUUUAUUGUUUCAUGGGUUUGUUUUUUCUAAUUGAGUAAUUUGAUAAUUUCAGAUUUCUUAUCGGUUCUUCUUUUUUCAUUUUCUUUAAUUCCAAAUUACUAAAUCAGGAUGAACAAUCAACAGUGAUAUCAGUUUUCAAAAAUUUGAACUUAGAAGGAACAAGGAAUUGAGGUAAAUUCUAAUUCAGAUUUCUACUUUUUAUGUUUUUUUGUUUAUGAUAAUUUCGAAUUUGUAAGAACUAAGAAGUAAUUAUGAAUUUAUGAUCUCAUCAUUUCAGAUUGCAAAUUUUCUGAUUUCCUUAGAAUCAUAUUCUUGUUUUUUUGAUUUGAAGUGUCGAUGAUAAUAAGGUAAUUUUUGGAUUUCUUAUAUGAUAUCAUUGCAGAUUUUGUGAUUUCUUUAGAAGCAUAUUCUGAUUUUUUUUCUUUGCAGUUUUGUUACAUUCUUUUGGUGAUUUGAAGUGUGGAAAAUCUGAACCAAGAAGGAAUCUAUAAAUUGGAAGUCAUAAAUAAGGUCGUUUCUUUCUUUUCUAUAACUUAUUAUGCCUCCUAAAAUAAAAAAAUAUGCAUCUGGAUAUGAAAAACGUAAGAAAAAACAAAAAAUUGAAGAAGAUAAUAAAACUCAAGCAGGAUCUAUGGAUAAGUUUAUAACAAAAAAAACACAAAACUUUACGAAAAAUGAAACACAAAAUGUUAAUGAAGCUAAUCUUGAUAAAAUGAUAAUGUUGAUGUUGAUGUUGAUGUUGAUGUUAAUGAUAAUGUUGAUGUUGAUGUUAAUGCUAAUGUUAAUGUUAAUGUUAGUGAUAAAGUUGAUUUUAAUGAUAAUCCUAAUGUUGUUGUUGAUGAUAAUGUUGAUUUUCACACUUUUGAUAUAUUUGAUCCAAGAAAUCGGGAUGCUCUUGAUUCUAGUAUGAUAAAUAUUUUAGUGUUGAAAGGUCCUAAAAGAGAUUUGUCUCUUACAAAAGGUCCUAAAGAUAAAUAUUUAAGAAGAUUUUCUGCAACAUAUUAUACUAAAACUUUACCAAAUGGGGAAAAAUGUGAUAGAGAUUGGCUUGUUUAUUCUAAAGAAAUUGAUAAAAUUUUUUGUUUUUGUUGUAAAAUAUUUCGAAAAGGGUGUCGGAAGGGUCAAUUAGCAAAUGAGGGUUUUAGGGAUUGGAUACAUCUUAACACUAGAAUUAAAGAGUAUGAAACUAGUAUGAAACAUGUUAAAACUAUAAAUACUUGGUAUGAUUUGCGUUUAAGAUUACAAAAAAAUGAAACUAUUGAUAAUGCGGCUCAAAAACAAUUAGAAAAAGAAAAAGUUCAUUAGAGACAAGUUUUGUUGAGAAUUAUUUCUAUUGUGAAAUUUCUUGCUAAACAUAAUCUAGCUUUUCGUGGUACUAAUGAGAAAUUGUAUGAAGAUAACAAUGGAAAUUUUUUAGGCUUAUUUGAAAUGUUGGCUGAAUUUGACAUGGUUUCUUAUGACCAUAUACAACGUAUUACAAAUGAAAUUGGUAUCCAUAAACAUUAUCUUGGGCAUAGGAUACAAAAUGAAUUAAUACUUUUGCUUUCUUCAGAAAUAAAGUCUAUGAUUAUUAAAAAGAUAAAAAAUGCAAAAUAUUUUUCUAUAAUACUUGAUUGUACUCCUGAUAUAAGUUACCAAGAGCAAAUGACUAUUAUUUUAAGAUGUGUAGAUGUCUUGUCAAAUGUUGUUUGCAUUGAAGAGUCUUUUUUAGGGUUUUUAGAUGUAAAUGAUACAACCGGCCAAGGACUCUUUGAUGUUUUACAAAAUGAAUUGAAUUUGCUUGAUCUUGACAUUAAUAAUAUACGUGGCCAAGGUUAUGAUAAUGGAUCAAAUAUGAAAGGAAAACAUCAAGGAGUGCAAAAAAAGCUUUUAGAUAUAAAUUCAAGGGCUUUUUAUACUCCUUGUGGUUGUCAUAGUUUGAACUUAACUUUAUGUGAUAUGGCUAAUACUUGUGGUAAAGCUAAAGGUUUUUUUUGGAACAAUACAACGUAUCUAUACAAUUUUUGCAAAUCCCACUAAGAGAUGACAAAUUUUAAAAGAUAAUGUGAAAGGGGUAACUCCUAAAUCGUUGUCAUCCACUCGUUGGGAGAGUCGUGUUGAUAGUGUUAAAGCUAUAAGAUUUCAUAUACAAAAAGCUUUACUUCAAGUAGCCAAAAAUGAUAAUGAUCCAAAAAUAACAAGUGAAGCUAAAUCCUUAGCAAAAAAUGAACUUGACAACUUUGAGUUUAUAUUGGCAUUAGUAAUUUGGUAUGAAAUGUUAAACACUAUUAAUUUAAUUAGCAAACAAUUGCAAUCAAAAGAUAUGUUUAUUGAUGUUGCUAUGGAAAAAAUAAUGGGGUUAAUUUCGUAUUUUAAGGAAUAUAAAGAAAAUGGGUUUUUAAAUGCUUUACAAACCGCAAAAGAUAUUGCCUUAGAAAUGGGGAUCGAUCCAAUAUUUCCUAAAAAACGUGAACCUAAAAUAAAAAAACAUUUUGAUGAGAUUUCAAACGACACUUCUUAUAGUUUUUCACAAUCCGCCCAAGAGAAAUUUAGAGUUAAAUAUUUUAUUUAUAUUGUUGAUCAAGCAAUUAGUUCUUUAACUACAAGGUUUGAACUAUAUCAAUAAUAUGAUAAAAUAUUUGGCUUUUUAUUUAAUUCAGAAAAAUUGCUUUCAUUAGAUGAUAUAACAUUAAAGUCUUGUUGUAUGUCUCUUGAAACUUCACUCAAGAAAGAUGAGCAAUCGGAUAUUGAUGGAAAUGACUUAUAUGUUGAAUUAAAAUUACUUUUACAUCUCUUGCCUAAGGAAAAAUUGACAGCAAUUGAUAUUCUAAAUUUUUUAAAACGUGUUGAUUGUUUUCCUAUUACAUCUAUUACAUAUAAAAUUAUGUUGACUAUUCUUGUUACUGUUGCAUCUGCAGAACAGAGUUUUCCAAAAUUGAAGAUUCUGAAGUCCUACUUAAGAUUUACAAUGACUCAAGAACGACUUAAUGGAUUGGUUUUGAUGACGAUUGAGCGUAAUAUGUUGGAUAAAGUUACUUAUGAAGAUGCUAUUGAAAAAGUUUAUUUCAACGAAUAUUAGGAGGAUGACUGUUUUCAAGUAGAAGCUAAUUUUUUUUUGUAUUAUUUUGAAUGAAAUUUUAAUUUUAUGUAUUUGCAAUAGAAAAUUAAACUAUAAUUUUUUUUUUGCUUAAAUUUUGAGAUCUUUCAAAUUUUAGAGCCUAUUUUUUGUUAAAUCGCACAUGGUCUUCAAUAUCUCAGGGCCGGCCCUGCCAUGUAGACCGAGACCCCUACUUGUAACUAACCUUUUCGGUCCUAAUAGAUACACAUGUAAAAAACUAAUAACUACUAACUAACUAUUAAUUAUUUAAUAUAAAAUACAAAUAGAACAUCAAUGAUAAAUAUUAAAAGGGUGUUGCUAAAUUGACACCCCUUAGACACCCUAUAAACACUUUUAUUAAAAGUCAAUUUAUAAUAAACUAUUCACAAUUUACUUUUUCAAAAAACAAUGCAAAUUAACUAAUAAAAAAAUCUUAAAAAUCAAAUAAGGUUUCAACAUGAGAGAAAUUAUAUUGCAAUAAGUUUGUUGUCAGGUGAGGAAUACAAUGCAUAAAUGAUUUACAAAAUCGAAAGUUCCAGACACAAGUUAAAACUUAAAACCCUAAAAGACCACACAAAUUUCAAUCGUCGACAUACCCCACCACAAAGGCACAAACAAUCAAUGAAACAAGUGUAGAUGUAGAGGCCUUUUUCACCACAAUCACCCUUCAUCGGCCAUUUCGAAGGCCACGUGAAAUGUCACUAACGUGGCCCUCUAAAUAUCCACUACUUUGUCUUUAACCCCUCCCCCCUCCCUUAUAAAACACUCCAUCCUCCUCCUUAAUCACCAUCACCAACAACCUUCUCUCCUCCCUCAAAAGUACCACCAUCUUUUCCGACAUGGCUACUUCUUCAAUCUUCAUGGCAACUCCCAUCACACUCCUCAAGAAAACUCCCACCUUCUCCGUCAAAUGUAUGUCACAAACACCUCAAAGCGGUGAACCGGAGGUUUCAAAACCAGCAACCACCCCAACACUACCACAGAUCAACAUUCCUCCUCCUCCGCCACCUGCUCCAAAGGUCAGCACGAAGUUCUCUGACGUGUUGGCGUUUAGUGGACCUGCACCGGAGAGGAUCAACGGAAGGUUAGCCAUGAUAGGGUUUGUGUCGGCGAUGGCUGUGGAACUGAGCAGCGGUCAAGACGUGUUCACCCAGAUCGGCAACGGCGGUGUUGCGGUGUUUGUCGGGACAAGUGUGGUGUUGACGUUGGCGUCGUUGGUGCCGUUGUUUAAAGGAGUGAGCGUGCAGUCGAAGUCGAGUGGACUGAUGACAUCAGAUGCAGAGCUUUGGAAUGGGCGGGUUGCGAUGUUGGGUCUGGUGGCUUUGGCUUUUACUGAAUAUGUUAAAGGCAGUGCCCUUGUCUAGAUAAUGUAGCAUAAACUUUUCUAUUACAGAAUUACAUCUAAGAUAGGCAAAUGUAUAUUCUUUUGAAUAUUUAUGUGUAUCGAUUUACCAUACAUAGUUCAAAUCAUGAAAAUCAUGUUUUUUUGAUAAUAUAGUAUAAAACAAAUAUGAUCAAUCAAAUCGAACGAUUGUGGUAUCUUUCAAUAUAAAAUUCUUUUUACAAAAAUAAACAAACAACAUACUAAGAUAAUUUUUUGAGGAAUGAACCUAGAUUAGCAAUAUAAGAGUCAAAGUCUACAAAGAUAUUGACAUCCUAGUUUCACAACUUCCUCUUUGAAUGUUGAAGGUGAUCAUUAAUUCAGACUGAAUAUGUGGCUAAGUCCAGCCUAGUCAAUUAGCCAAUUUAAGUUGACAAGUAUCCAAAAUUCAAAUAAACUACAUGGCUCAAUUUCAAAGAAAACUGAAAAAUGACUAAUGCUCACAAAAUGAUCACCGAAUCAAUUUAGGCUAUGAGGAGUGGUCACAUUCAAACCACCGGAAAAACGCUGCAAAGUCAGUGAUAUGUCAACUCCAUCACCUUCUAAACAUUGGAAACAAUUACCACUCCGUGUCAUUUAUAUUUUCAUUUUUUUUACAUUAGAUUAAAUAAAAAACAUAAUUACUAACUUAAGUAAUCAUUUUACUAAUUAAAAAAUCAACUAAACAUAUAUUAAUUUUCAAAAUUAAAUAAACAUAUAUAGUAUAUAUAGUUGAGGGUUUAACUUAAUUCAAAGAAAAGUAAGAGGGUAUAAUAAGAUUAAAAGACAUAAUUUUAGAGACCAAAUUUGUAACUUUAGUUAAAGCAAAUAUGAAUGGUCUUCUUCACAGGUCAUUGCUCAAUACCAUUUUUUUUCUUUUACUUCGAUGGAUACAAAGGAAAAGGGAAAAAAAGGGUCAAAUAAAUGACCGUUAUUGUUCUUGCUUUCUUAUCCGUCGUCUUCAUCCGUCUUUGCACCCACAUUACACCCAAACCACCGGCCUUAGGGGUGGUGGUGUUCACGUGUCCUUAGGCCGGACACAUCAGCAAGAUGUGUGAGUUAGUCCUCCCACUCCGAUUAGCCUUAAGCACUUAUUAAAAGCUAGUCUAUUUCUUGUUAGGUUGAAAUCUAAUGUUAUCAUCAAAUCUAUACAAGAUUGAGAUUGAUAUUAUAGUAACAAUCUCCCAAAGAAAAAUAAUAUAUUUAAAAGAAUAUAUAUAUANNNNNNNNUAUAUAUAUAUAUGAAUUAUGCCCCAAGAAGUACUAUGCAUGAGUAUAAGAUUACUAUUAUCUUUGGAUCCAUUAAUUGAUAACUAAGCAUACUUCAAAGUUACUAUAUGGUCGUAUGAGACCCGCGAAUAGGAAAUUGGCUGCACCCUUGGCCCGAUUCGAAGGCUAAAACCCAAAAGAACCAUGCACAUGAUUCGAACCAAGUGCUCUAAUGCUAUUUUGCCCAACUUACAUGAACUACCUCCAUACACAUACUUAAGAAACCCAUAAUCUCAUCCAGAUAGAGCAGGAAUGCCAGAGAUAAUCGGAAUAAUACCUCAAUCAAUUACAAAAAACAUCCGCAUUAUCGGUUGAAACAAGAUCCCAUACUUGAUUGAGACUGAACGGAUUCCAUCGCUACACAACUAGCUCGAGAAGACUUCCACGGAUCUCGAAAGUUGCCUAAACCUGAGUCUGCUAUGAAAUAGGUUCCCACUCCACCAUUGAGGGUAAACACACUUGAAGCCCCAAUGGACAUAGAUCAUACUAAGCUUGAUAACAGAUCAGCCUGACCACUACAUCUCGACUGACACAAUUAAACUUCCAAGUGAACUUUUAUUGAUUGAUGAACCCCACAACCAGUGGUCGAGGACACUUUAACACUUAGUCCAGAGAAUCAAGACCACAUAGAACUGAACAUACCCACUCAUGGAAAGAUCCAUCGACCAACGUCUGCCCAACUAAUAUGAAAAUAGUAAUCCAACAACAAACUGGGAAAUCCCUCAACAGCUAAAAAUACUCAACCUGAGAAUCCCGAUUCUCCUCCACUUAGGGCUUAAACUACCAUUCACUAGCGCUAAAACCAAAUCAUAAAUCAAACCAUAUUGAGGAUAUACUCCCUUCCUAACCCUGGAAGUUACGAGCCUCUUCACUCCUUCCCCGAACUCGGAAAAAAUGAAAGGGCAUAACCCUAGCCAUUGAUAAUGACGUUCCAAACCAACAAUCAACCACUUCCAACUGUAAAACCCAAGUCAAUCUUAAUCAUCGUCCCCUUCACGAGUCCCGCGACUCGAAUACCCGACCUCAAGCAAAACCCCCGAGGCCUCAAACAAAAAAGCUCCCUAGGUCUGCACCAAACAAACAAAAUCACUAACGCCACUGGGGCUCAAAACACUUACCAUAUCCAUCCGCAUGUCGGAGCAUCCACAAGCAAAAUAUUAACAGGAACAUAAACACUGCCGCGAAUCAUGGUAUCCAACCAUGCUAUCUUCACCGACCAACCCUUAGAAUCCCCAAAACCUUCCUUGAUUAGAUUAUGGAUCCUGUGCUUCAAGUAGUACUGGCCCAAUACUACCUUCCAUACCUAUCCAUACUUUCCUCAAGAAUCAUCCCAAGUCUUUUAAGUCCUAGUCAUAAAAUACUCCUGAAACUUGCUUAACAAUGAAGCAACCACGCUAAAAUACUCACCUACACUCCCUCUGCCAUCAACUGCUGAUAAACCCCUACCAAUGCCAGCUAACCACUUCAUGAAUACAAUUACACACAACCAAGCUUAAAUAAUCCUUCGAAUAAAGGGCUUAGCCCUACAACGAUUGGACUCAAACGAGAGCUGCACAAUAGGUUUGAGUCCUUCAUUCUAAGAUUAUUUAACCUUCAUAGCAUGUAAUUUUAUUAUAUUCACUUGAUGGUUAACUCCCAUCAACAUGGGUCCCACAAAGCACAAAGCAAGCAACAUUCGGGUAGAGAAGCCGACUGCGACUAAAACGCAACAAAAUCAGACAUAUCCUCAUAGAAAAUCCUCGAUCUCAAACUCCUCGCACCACGAGUGCGCCUUCACCCUGCUCUCACUCUCCCCAGAGUGGUUAAUCAUUCCUCGUGCUUACCCGCUAUACACUGCACCCACUCAUGAAACUUCCACCAACCCUACAACACUCGUGUAUGCUAGCCGUACAUAACACUGGAUCCUAUAGACAGUCGAAUAUCUGAUCCUACUCUAAGCCCUUCAUCAAACAAGAACAUGAAAUAAGGCCAAACCAAACAUUCUCAGGCUAUAGAAUCUUAGUUAUGUACAACUAUGAUGUAUACACUAAGUAACUGUAGUAGAUGAUGUCAAUUUCAUUUAAGGAAGAACCCUAGGCUAUCAGACAUCAUAUAAUCAUGCAACUUUGUCAUGCAAUUCCUGAAGAUCCCUAGCCUAUCACUACCAUGCUAUUCUAAUAUUUCACAAGAUCAAAUAAAGUGUGGUAAUUUGGGGUCUACUUACUAGCUCCGACUGAUCAUACACAUCGUAUCCUCUUUAGUUUGAAAGUUAUUUUUAAAACCUUUACUUUGAAAAUUACUUUUUUUAAAACACCUUUUCCUUAGUUUGAGACCGGAUUCACACGAGUUUUCCUCCCAUUCACUCAAACCAAGGCUCUGAUACCAACUAGUAACGUCACAAAAAUUUCAACAAAUCUAAACCUUUCAAAACAACCCAUAUGUUAACAAAAGUGAUUUGAUCCGCAGGCACUCUGCACGCCUUGAACUCCCGUAAUGAGGGAGUUCGAGCCCCAAUCUGACCCACAGUGAUCUCAGAUCGGAAAGAACAAUCCGCUCCUCCAUAUCCUCCAUGAUCCCCUCCUUGACGGUACUGAACCCGAUCUCGAACCUGAACCUCCUCGCGUAGCCAUCAUAAUCUUCAACUGAAAAUACAACAUAGAAAGAAAUUGAUAAGGAAGUUCAAAGGGAUUUCUCCCCACUGGACUCCUUAAAGCCUUCAGGUAUGUCCUUGUCUCGGGUACAAGUCUUGUGCUUUUAGUAGUACGGACCAAAUACUACCUUCCACACCUACCUGUACAUUCCCCCAAGGCCAUACCUGAUACCUCCAAUUCACCAAACCAUAGAUAAAACAUGACCUACGAAACACAGCACAUACACAUAUCUUAGAAUCUUCGGGGAUUUCUCAAUCCUCAUAGAACCAGAAACCUCAAUCAACACCGCAUGUUGCCUUAUGCAUGCAAGUUAUACAUUAAUAGAAUCAUAGAGACUGUCAAAUAAAGUUUCUACCCUAAGACCACAACCAAACAAGGAACAAGAAGUAAGGCAGAAUCCAUCGUUCUAGGGCUAUAAAAUCCUAAACAUAUACAACUUUGAAAGCAUACACUUAGCAAAUAACAACGUCAACAUCGAUUCCAAGCAUUAUAUUCAUAGCAUUGAACUCUCCUAGGCUACAAGGCAUCUCACAAAUCAGACAAUUCUCAUAACACCUAAAGGUAUCCUUAGCCCUAUUCUAGCAUGCAUUUCACACAUUAACAUACUAGUUGCAAUUCAUAAGCAUGGUUAAAUUUUUGGAAACACUUACUUGAGCUUGGCUGAUUUCGCGCAUUGCGCUCUCCCUUUUUACUUAAGAAAACCGGUUUAAGAAAAACUUGACUUUUGUUUCUUUUUUUAAAAAGGUUUACCAUUUCCUCAGUUUGAGUUGUGACACAUAGUGUGCCCGAAUUCCUCAAACCAAGGCUAUGAUACCAACUUGUAAAAGCCCAAAAAUCCAGAUAAAAAUUUUCAUUUAAAAAAAAAUAGAAAUUACAAUCAUAAUUUGUUUCUUAAAAUCCAUUACAUCAUUUCAUAUCAAAAUAUCAGAGUAUCAAUAUCAAUAAAUGAGGAAAUUCUUGGGAGUGAAUGUUGCGCCAUCUAGCUAGGCCCUUCCCCUUAGUACCGAAAGUACCUGAAAACACCUAAAUAAACUGUAAGCAAAAACUUAGCGAGUUCCCAAAAUACAACAUAACAUAUAACCACAGAAUACCACGCCACAUACAUAAGAUUGCCAUGGACAACCCCAUGGUCUUUACUUGGAAUGCCAUGGGCUACCCCAUGGUAUUUACCUAGAAUGCCAUGGGAUACCCCCAAGGUCGGAUAUCCAAGUGCCAUGUGCUACCCCAUUGGUCUUUACCUGGAAUGCCAUGGGCUACCCCCAUGCUCUAAUAUCCAAGUGUCGUGCGCUACCCCCAUGGUCUUCAUAUAAGUGCCACAGGCUACCCCCGUGGUCUUCACAUAAUGAAUUGCAUAAAAACUAUCAAUCCACAUGUCAGGCAAUGGGCCGCCAUUGGUGCCUUCGACCCAUUGAUAUAGUGAGAAGACUCACCUCAGACUGCUGAUAAAAAUACUGCUCGGCUAACGCUCUAGAUAUCUGACACUGAAUAUACACAAGUUAACCUAAUUAGAAUUAAGUCACAAACUCAAGGCCUAGGCCAAAACCCUAAGUACAAACUCCUCCAAUAAGGCCCAAAGUCUUUUUCCUUUAAUGGGCCUAACAUCCAAGAUCCAAAAAGGGGCAUAAGGCCCAAAAGGCCUAGCCAUGCCACUUAUGGUCCAACAACAAGUUCAAAGGCCCAAAUACUAUAAUAGAUCCAGGCCCAAGUCUAAGUAGAGCCCAAAUAGCUUAAAGGCCCAACAAAAGCCCAAAACUCAUUGGAAGCGUACGCCCAACGUACAUCAUCAGUACGCUUAGCAUACUGGGUUCUUUGGCGGUUAGCGUAGUGUACAAGCUAGUAUGCCCAACGUACAAGCUACUUUGCACAAAAAGCCAUUAAGUGCUUAAUUCAUGAAGCCAUUUCGUCCGAUUCCAGAUCUUGGUCAUCUUAAAGGUCCUAGGGCAUAAAGAUGGUAACUUUAUGUGUUUACAUGCCAUAUGGGAACCCAACACCUGAUUUUAUCCAUUAAGACUCCCUUUAAGAUCUUAAACUCAUGCAUGGUGCCAUAACAACCAUCAAGUUAGCAUUUUUAUGCUUUUAACAUGCCAAAGGAACUAGGAUCUAACAUUUAUAAUCUCUGGAGUUGUUCAAACUUACAAAAGAGGAUCCAUGGACCAAAAAUGGACUUAUUACCAAACCCUAACUCAAACUAGCGAAAGGAUAAGCAAGUUCUGGACUUUUUACCUCCAAAAGUUUUCCAAGAUGAAGUAGAUGCAGGAUCUAGAAGCUCAAACACGUCUAAGAGUUGAUCACAACCUUCUCCUUCUUACACACACAUUAAAAUAGCCACCAAAAUCACUUUUAAGCUCAAGAAUCACACUCACUUGCAAACUAGGGUUUAGGGACGAUAAGAGGCAAUAAAAGCUAUGUAGGGUUAGGUCCAAAUGUCAUAAGAGUGUUAAAAUAGGGUUCAUGCGCAAAAAUUAGGGUUUUUGUCAUAUGCCACGUACUCCUCGCAUACAUGGUGCAUGUACGCAUCUAAACCACCCUAGUACGCUAAGCGUACACGUAUGUACGCCCUGUUGGAUUAGUGUUUAAGUCCAUAACUAUAUUUGGUAUGUAUUUGACCAGGUUGUGCAUGGUCCUUUUAGGUUGCCUUCACCGAAGCAACUUGACUAGAGGAAUUAUAUAGAAAGAGGUGAUUAUGGUUUAUUAAUAUAUUAUAAGAUUUAUAUAUUAAAAGAGAAAUCAUGUUUGAUUAAUUAACAUUGGUCAAGAGUUAAUUAAACAUUAGUUUUGUGAUCAAAAGAAGUUAAUUGAACUUAAGGGGCUGAACUGUAAUUAUGUGAUAGUUACAAAGUUAGGCAAGGAAACCCUAAUGGAUAGGGUGGAUGAAUUCUAGGGAUAUAGCCUUAAGAAUUCGCCCAUGAUAGGGAUUCUAGAAUUAUCUUAUGGGCUGCUUGGUGGCUAAGUAACCAUAUAAGAAUAAUGAAUGAAACCCUAAUUCCUAAACCUAUAUAAAGGACCCUUGGUCAUGGGAAUUUCGGCAACUUGAACCCUAGAAGUCCUAGAGCCGAAAUUCUCCUCUUCCCUCUCUUGCUUCCUCUAAUUGCUAUUGGUGUUUGUUAUUAAUUAGAGGCACAACACUUGAGGUGCUAAAGUUGUCAAGGCUUCAAGAUCUUCAAUCAACAACGAGGUAAGCAUCUUGAUAUACUUUGCUAAGUUAAUUUCAAUUAUAUACACUAGAUCUAGGGUUUGAAAGUCUUGGAUGAAUGCACGUACAAUUAGAGAAACCUAGAUCCAAGCAUUAGGGUUUGCAUGAGCACAUAGGAUGUUCUUUUGGCUCAAACCUAUCAGUGGUAUCAGAGCUUUUGUUUGGUUUCUAUUGUAUUGAUGCCUUGCUUGUUCAUCCUCUCUUGAAAAUCGUGAUUUUGUGUUCUCUGCCUGACGAACUCGAUGAGUCCCAAUGUGGGCUCGACGAGUAGGAUGAACUCGACGAGUCCAUAAGGGCACUCAACGAGUCGGAGCGUCAGACAUAGAUUUUCGGGAUUUCUUGUUGUUUUGCUUAAUGAUAAUUACCUAAAUCGUUUUUGACUAAUAAAAUCUGAAUUUUAUUACUGCUUUAUGUUUAUCCUUUCCAAAACAAAAGAUAAUUUCCAUUUAUUUGAAUAAUAAAUUCCUUAUAUGAUAAUAAUUGAUUAUUUAAAUUAUUUGUUGAAUUAUCUUAUGAAUAAAAUUGAUUAGGUCAAAUUUAGAUAAUCAUUAAAUUAAUUGUUUAAUUUAAAUUAUUUGCUAUUUGAUCCUUUAUGUUUUGAAAAGUUCAAAACUUGUCCUCAAGUUUUGAAAUUUAAAUUUGUGAUUAAAAGUUUAAUUUAAACUAUUUAAAUUUCAAACCCUAGAAUUUUACAAGUUUAAAAUUCAACCUUAUACUUUACAAUANUUAAACGCUAGUCUUACUGUUAGUAGGCCUCAUUCACGAAGCCGAUCUAGAAGGAGGUAUAAGGUUAUGACCUAUAAAAUGGCCAUUUAAUGGGUGUCCACUCUCACCCACCACAUCCUUGAUUGGUGGAGGGUCGUUAGCCGAACGGGUAAGAUAGGGCAACCCUUUCUCAUGAAUAAGUAUAAUGAAUUAUAAAAGUAACUAAAUGUUUUACAAAAUUCCCAAUCUUAAUUACUUUAGGCAAAAGUGAAAUUGAUGCAAUUCCAUUAAAUUACAUUUUGUACCCGUGCUAAGACGUUAGUGGAGCGUGUGUGGUUAACUGGCACACUAAUUCGGUUCUAAGAAAAGGUGGUAAAGGGUGACUCAUUGUUUCUCAUUGUUCGAUGGAGCAUGUGUGGUUAACCAGCACAUCGAAUAGGUGACUGUAACAAUGAGGGCACCAUGUAUAUUUGCAUGGUUAUUCAUACCCACUUUGUGAUCCUCAGCAUCCCAGUCACAAACUAGAGGGGCAUAUCAAGAUUUAUACAUGCCAUUGAAAAGUUCAAUGAAUCUCAAAAUAUCUAGGAGUUUUCAAUACAUUUAAAACUUAAUCUCUUUUUCGUUUUUCAUGGUGGAGAAUUAGUGAAUCGUCAUUCACUUACCUUCAAAUUAUUUGCAUGUUAGAUUACGACACCCCUCUUCUAAUAUGUAAAUAAUGUUGUUGGAUCCUAGCCCUAAUUUCUCAUUUAGGUGUUUCAUUAGGGAUUCAUUUCUAAUCAAACUUUGUUCUUUUUCCUUUUCAGAUGUCGAACAACAACAAUGCUUCCGGAUCGUUCUCACUCAUGAACUUGUGUGGGAGAGUGAUCUUUGACGAGUCCAAUUUCAAUGAUUGGAUUCGCAACAUCCGAAUGGUCACUCGUUACGAGGACAAAGAGUAUGUCCUUGAUAAGAAGCUGAAGGAAAUCAACCUCAACACUGCUACUACUGAAGAGAUCGCCACCUUUAAGGCUCAUGAGCGUGAUGCCACGAAAGUCCAUUGCAUCAUGCUAGCGACCAUAACUGCAGAACUCCAAAAGUCCUAUGAGGACAUGUAUCCCUAUGAAAUUCAUCAAAACUUGUUGGACCGGUACCACCAAAGUGCAAGGCAAGAAAGGUAUGAGAUCAUCACUUCGAUGAUCACUACCAGAAUGGGUAAUGGAGAGUCCCUUACCGCCCAUCUGCAAAAGAUGCAGAGAUAUGUUGAUCACCUGCUAAAGUUGAAAGUUAACUUUGAUGAAGAGAUGGCAAUCGACAUUAUCCUUCACUCCUUACCUCCCUGCUACAACCAGUUCCGCAUGACUACCACAUGAAUAAGGAAGAGGUCACCUUGAGCAAGCUUCACGGCUUGCUAAGAACUGUUGAGAGCAAUUUCAAGGAUAAGUAUGUUGCAUCAACUCCAACUCCCACUGCUGCCCUUGUCUUGGAAAAAGGGCAAGGGAAGGGUAAGAAAAGGAAGGCUCCCUCAAAUAUCCACCACAAGGGAAAGUCCCAAGAUGUUACCUCUUCUAGUGGAACCAAGGCUGGUUCUGCUAAACCCAACUCUAACCCUAAUGAGCCAGAGUGCCACCACUGCCACAAAAUAGGGCAUUGGAAGAGAAGCCGCCCAGAAUAUCUGCAAGCUAUCUAGGAUGGGACGAUCAAGCCAUCCUUCGCAGGUAUUUACACUAUUAAAUCUAAUGAUUCAUCGCAUGCUAUUUCUUGGGUUAUUGAUACAGGAUGUGGUUUUCACAUAUGUUCUGAUUUGCAGGGACUAAGAAGAAAUAGGGAUGUGGAGCAUGGAAGAAUAAACCUAAUAAUGCGAAACAAAAGAUUGUCGCCUGCCACCAAUAUUGGAGUAUAUAUAUUCCUUAAUGCUUAGUAAUGGAUUAGGUUUUGAUUUAAACAAUUGCUGCUAUUCGCCAGAUAUGGCAAGAAACAUCAUUUCAUUUCAUGGUUUAUAUAGGCAAGGAUUUAGAUAUUCAUUUGAUAAUGAAAAGGGUUCUAUUUAUGCUUAUCUUAAUAGUGUUUUAUAUUUUGAAGCAUUGCCUUGUAAUGUAAUAUAUGAAACUGUGAUGGUUGUAGAUAACUUAGGAAAUGAUGUAUUGUGUGUUGAUUCUUCCAACAAUAUAGAUAAAGCAUGCUUGUGGCAUUGUCGUCUUGGACAUGUCAACAAGAAACGCAUAGCCCAACUCUAAAAGGAUGGAGUGUUGGAGUCAUUCGACCUUAGGGAUGAUGACGUGUGUGAGUCUUGUUUACUUGGAAAGAUGACCGAUGUGUGUGGGCACUUGUGAAAGGGGUGAGGGUUUAUUGGAUCUCAUACACACCGAUGUGUGUGGGCCCUUUAGAUUACCACAAAAGAUGCAAGCCACUUCUAUGUGACUUUUACCGAUGAUUAUAACAGAUAUGGGUAUAUCUACUUAAUCAAGCACAAGUCGGUAACCUUUGAAAGGUUCAAAGUGUUUAAAGAAGAAGUGGAGAAUCAUUUGGGCAGGAAUAUCAAGAUGCUUCGAUCCGAUCGAGGAGGAGAGUACCUAAGUCUUGAAUUCCAUGACUAUCUCAAGGAAUGCGGAAUCGUUUCACAAUUGACGUCACCUAGGACACCGCAGUUAAAUGGUGUGGCUGAGAGGCGUAAUCGAACCUUGUUGGACAUGGUUCAUUCCAUGAUGAUUCGUGCUUCACUACCUAUCUCAUUCUGGGGGUAUGCCUUAGAGACUGCCGCCCAUAUCCUUAACUUAUUCCCUACGAAGAAGGUUGCCAAAACACCUCACGAGAUGUAGACAGGGAAAGCUUCCUCGUUAGCACAUAUCAAGGUUUGGGGGUUGCGAGGCUUUCGUAAGACGAGAGACUCACGACAAGCUCGAACCUCGUAGUGAGUGGUGUAUUUUCACCAGCUACCCACAAAAGACCUUUGGAUAUCUCUUCUAUAGUCCGAGUGAGAACGUUGCCUUCAUUGCGAGGAGAGGGGUUUUCCGUGAGCGAGAACUCAUAAGCCUAGGGGACAGUAGGAGGCAAAUCGAUCUUGAAGAGAUUCAAGAGUUGAGCGAUGAAGGAACCUCCAACACCGGGGCUUACCCGAGGAGGAAACUCCGGUUGAACCGAUUGACGAGUCCUUACCUCUUAGACGUUCCGAAAGAGUUAGGUUUCAACCCCAGUUAUAUGGCUUUCAUAUUACUACAGAAGGGGAUACGUAUAUUAGUGAUAUUAUACUAAUAAAUUUGGAUGAACUUAACAGCUAUAAGGAAGCCAUUGCAGGCCCAGAGUCUGCAAAGUGGAAAGAGGCGACGGACAGUGAGAUUCUGUCCAAGUAUGACAACCAAGUUUGGAAUUUGGUUGACAAUGUACUAGGUCGUAAGAUGGUCUGGUGCAAAAUGAUCUUUAGGAAGAAGGUACUAAAACGUUUUGUGACAACCCGAAAUUUCCAUUUUGUACGAACAUUAGCUAUUCAAUAGAAGCUAGUCCAAUUUCAAUGAAUUUCAGACUUUUCUAAAUAAAUUUGUGUACAUUAGGGUUUACGUUUAAGGAGAUAUCAGGAGAGUGGAUGCUCAUGGGUUUGUGAAACUUGAGCAUUUCAAAACUUCAUAAUGUUAGAGUCCAAUUCCGGAAUAAAAAUAUUUUCUGCCAAAAUAUUUCAGGACUAUAAAUAGAUUUCUGAACUAAAUUCAUUCAUUAUUCACACUUCCAACUAGAGAAAAGCCAUUUUCUCUCUCACAGAUCUUCGGGUUUUCAUCCCAAAUCGUGAGUACACUUCUUUAGUUGUUUUAUAAUGCUUGUUAUAUGCUUAAUAACAUAGAUUACAUGUCAAAUAUGUGAGAUCCGGGAGUUUACCGCCCAAGAACGUUCUUGGGGAGUAAACUCGAAAAUAAAGCUUUAAGGCUAUCUAGUCCCAUUUCCUUGUUAGGUAACUAGCUUAGGAUAAUAUGUAGGAUCAUUUGAGACAAGAAAACAAUCCAGAACACAUAGCUUUAGGAGUUUUCGGCCCAAGAGUUUCUUGGACCGUAAACACCAAAUACAAGGGCUUAAAUGUGCCCUAAUCACUCCCAAAGGCUUUAGACUUUAACCCUAAAUUACUUCUAGCUAAUAUGGGGACAUUAACACAUCAAAAAAACCCCUAAAAGGGAGUUUACGGCCAAGAAAUGCUCUUGGGCCGUAAACACCAAUUAAGGGCACCAAAGUGUGCCUAGGGCCCCCCUUAGCAUAAAUCAAAUGCCUCGAAAGUAUUCUACUUGUGUUUGAGACUUGAAAGAAUUAAAACAUCCAUCCCAUGAGAGUUUACGGCCGUAAACUCUAAGGGAUAUGGCCUUUUGGCCGUAAACUCCUCAAAGGAGUGUUAUCUAUGCCCUAAACUACCCAAAGGAUUAAACCACCAAACUAGGCUUAUUCUAGAAAUCAUUUAGCACUUUAAAACACCCAUUACCACCAAGAUUGGAGUUCACGGCCGUAAACUCAAGGUUUUACGACCGUAAACUCCUUGUGUGGGGUUUAUUGGGUAGUAAACUCUUAUACAAAGUCCUUGGAAGCUUUAAACCCCUUUAGCUUGUCCCAUAACAACUUAGAUGCAACCAUUAGGACCUAUAACACUUAUACAAGGUGUUUACAUGUUCCUAAGUGUCCCAACUUAUUUCAUUAAGUUAUUAUUUGGCUAAUUAGUUAUAUAUAUGCUCAUUAUAUGAUAACUAGGCUCGUGCGUGUGAACAAGUCUCCGUUUGCCACCUAGCACGGUAUCCGACACUACAAUCCAAACCACUCACCACAAGUGAGUUCAUACCCCUUUAAUUAACCUUUGAAAUACUUUUAAAUGUUUUAAAUACUUUAUGGGGGGGAUACAAGUUAAAUGCUUAUAGUUAUUGCAUCAAUCACAUGUGAUUACAUUAAUCAUAUGUGAUUAAUAACUAGAAAACCAAUGAUCUUAUCACUGUUUAAACUGUUUAUCAAACUGUUUUACUUCAAACUGUUUUACAAACUCUUUUACUCAUCAAAUACUUUUAUUUAAACUUUGUUAUACUUCUUAUAAACCGCAUGCCCAUAUAUGUAUAGAUAUAUAAGCAAUGUUUAAAGGGUUUAGGAAGGUCAUCCGCCCUAUUUCCUUUUUCUCGAUUUGGAUGUGGUCUGGUGGGAUUUCGGGUAACCAUCCGAAGGUCGUUUCAAUAUUAAUUAUAUAUCAAAUGUACAUAUAUAGACAUAAAAGUACUCCUUNUAUACUAGGAGAAGAACAUAUACAACUAUACUAGAGGAAGAACAUAUACAACUAUACUAGAGGAAGAACAUAUACAACUAUACUAGAGGAAGAACAUAUACAACUAUACUAGAAAGAGAACAUAUACAACUAUACUAGAGGAAGAACAUAUACAACUAUACUAGAACAGUUCAUUACAUUACACAUACUAGAAUACGUUCAUUAUUGUGAUAUGAAUCGGGGCAUGACUUAAAUGCCAUGGCCCGAGUUGUAGCCAGAGUCUCUUGAAGGGAGAGCGUGAGUUUGCGUAUAGAUCUAUACUGGAUUGACUAUCCUACACCUUGCUGCUAGCUACAGCCGGACCUGCAGGUCUGCGGGUGCCAAACGUCAUUCCGUUAUUACGACCAUUCGUAUGUCGUUGUUACCAGUCGAUAGUAUGGUGCAAUUAGUCACAUGAUACCUUAAUAUAAAUCCGGUUUAAGGUAGUUAGUACAACAAUAGUUCCUAUAAUACAACACUACAGUACUACAAUAAUUUACCCAUUACAUAUAUUUAGUGAUUAUUUCACUUAAACAUUAAUGUACAAACUAUAUUUUGUUAAAUGAUAGUUACACUUGGGAAAUUACACACUUUUACAACAAACGAGCAUACAAAACAGUUAAGCCUUGGUAGAAGGCUACUUUAAUAGAAAAUAUAGGUUUUUCUGAGAGAUUCAAACUUUUACAAACACUUACAUACAUUUUACAAACUUACACUUGAGACACGUUCAAACGUUUUGAUAACAAACAUCGACACUAAAAUACUUAUGAACUCACCAGCUUAAUGCUGAUAAACUCUUUCAAAAUAACUUGUAUUCUCAGGUCAUCAAUAGACAGGUACUUAGGCCAGCUUUUGAGAAGAUGGAGCGCAUUCAAGACUCAUCUUAUUAUUUUGAUUUACAUUAUAUUUUGGUGUCUAAAACUGUACAGAACACGCUUGUAUUAAAAUUAUAUAUUUAAUGCAAUGGAUGAUGCUGUUUGCUUAUUUACAUUUACUGUGUUGUGAUACUUUACAUGACGUCCUCCGCCCCACAACGUUUCCGCCGUUCUUGGUUUUGGGGUGCGACACGUUUUAGUAUGGAGAAUUCAAAGAAGGCAGAGUUACCAAUCCAAAGUAAUGCGAAGUUGAGUACGACUCAAAGUCCGAGUACUGAAGUCGAGAUAGCAGAAAUGAGCUAAGUACCUUACGCUUCCGCAGUUGGCUCGAUCAUGUACGCUAUGACUUGUACUCGCCCUGAUGUGGCCUUCGCUUUGAGCAUGGUCAUUAGAUAUCUAGGGAACCCUAGAAAAGCACAUUGGACCGCAAUCAAGAAUAUUCUUAAGUACCAUCGAAGGACCAAGGAAUGGUUUCUAGUCCUCGGUGGGAGUGAUGACUUAAAGGUGCGAGGGUAUAGUGACGCCAGUUUUCAGACCGACAGGGACAACUACCGUUCGCAGUCGGGCUGGGUCUUUACCCUAAAUGGUGGAGCAGUGACUUGGAAAAGUUCCAAGCAAGAGACCGUAGCUGACUCAACAUGUGAAUCAUAGUACAUUGAAGCAAGCGAAGCGUCAAAUGAGGCAAUAUGGUUGAAGAACUUCAUUGGAGACCUUGGAGUUGUGCCGACCAUACAGGAGCCUAUUGAGAUUUUCUGUGAUAAUGAAGGAGCGGUUGCCUUGACCAAGGAACUGAGGGAUCACGGCAGAUCUCAACAUAUUGACAGAAAAUAUCACUUUAUUCGAUAUCAGAUGGAAAAAGGACUCCUCGUAGUGAAGUGCGUAUCGUCAGAAGAUAACCCAUCAGAUCUGCUUACGAAGGGACUGAGCAGGGUUAAGCACUUGCAGCAUGCUAGGAGCAUCGGGCUGAAGGACGAUAUUAGUUUAGAUUAGAUAGUUUGGAAACGUGUAAUAGAUAAAUUAUAAUUAACAUCUGAUGAUUAAAUAAAAGAGUAUUAUUUAUUAGUAAUGUUACUAUCUUAUGUUAAUUGUUUACCUAUUGUUUCAUUUUGCAUGUUUUGACUUCCUGAAUAAUAAGAAUUAUUUAAAUGGUCUACAGUUGUUCAUAUGUUGGAACUAGGUAUGAAUGAAGACUGUCAUGAAUUGGUGUGUAGAUUGUCUAAAGUGUAUUAGACAUAGCAAAAGUUUGCUACAACAUUCAUGAGUGCUUAUGAAAAGUUUUGAGCAUUGGAAUAAACCCAUGCUUGCUGGAAUCACUUCAUGGAAUUCAUCAUGAGUGAUCGCAAGACGAUAAUAUAUCAUAUGGUCUUAAAACAUAGAUAUAUGGUUUAUUGUUUUCUAAUUGGUUGUGCAUUGAUAAUGCGUAAACACAUCAGUAACUUGAUGUUAUAAAACGCAUUGUUGUGUAUGAUUUGAUUAGUGGAUAGUAAAUGCAUAUAAGUCUAAGUUCAUCUGUUCCUUUUAUCCUAAUAGGUUAAAAGUGAUAUCAGGACCCCUUGAUGAUUUGAUUUGACUUAUGUGUCGGGCCCGGUCAGGACUGAAUUGAUGUGUUCAAUUACGUUCUAUGUCAAAUGAAUCAGAGAUUAAGAAACAAACUGUUGGAUAAUAAGUAUGACUAUGUUCCAUGUAAUUGUCCGCAUGAUAUCUAGAACAAAGGAUUAUACGAUCCCUUAUCUUAAGGACAAGUUACUGAUAAGAUCAAGAGUUUUGAGAACUGUGAUUGCUAAUCGAAUCCAGAAGUUGCAUUUGCAUUUAUAGUUAUUAUCAAGGUUGUAAAAAAUUCUCGACGUUAGCUAGUCGGUGGACUGGGGUUAAGAGAUUAAUCGGGUAGGCGGAGAUUAAUCGGGGGAUUAAUGGAGACCAUUAAUUGAUAAUUUGUUGAAUUUUAAAAAAUUGAAUAUGACUAAUAUCAUAUCAAAGUCCGUAAGUACCACUAAUAUCAUAACAAAAUAGGUUGAUAUGUUUAAUACAACAUUAAUCAUGCUUGAAAUAGUUUCUAUUGAGAUAAAACUUCUUAAAAAUGUUUAAAUUUCAUCGUUUUAUACAGUUUUACUCAUUAUUUAUGCAUGGAUUAAUCGCUAGGUGCCAUCUAGUUGGUUGAGUAAUGCCUAGGGAUUAAUCGGAGAUUAAUCGGGACCUAGUCAUGAUUUUUACAAUAAUGGUUAUUAGACUUAUCCAAGUAGGGGAAUGUUGGAUUAGUGUCCAAGUCCAUAACUAUAUUUGGUAUGUAUUUGACCCAGUUAUGCAUGGUCCUUUUAGGUUGCCUUCACCAAAGCAACUUGAUUGGAGGAAUAAUAUAGAAAGAGGUGAUUAUGGUUUAUUAAUAUAUUAUAAGAUUUAUAUAUUAAAGGAGAAAUCAUGUUUGUUUAAUUAACGUUGGUCAAUAAUUAAUUAAACAUUAGUUUUGUGAUCAAAAGAAGUUAAUUGAACUUAAGGGGCUGAACUGUAAUUAUGUGAUAGUUACAAAGUUAGGCAAGGAAACCUUAAUGGAUAGGGUGGACAAAUUCUGGGGAUAAUGCCUUAAGAAUUCGUCCAUGAUAGGGAUUCUAGAAUUAUCUUAUAGGCUGCUUGGUGGCUAAGUAACCAGAUAAGGAUAAUGACUGAAACCCUAAUUCAUACACCUAUAUAAAGGACCAUUGGGCAUGGGAAUUUCGGCCACUUGAACCCUAGAAGUCCUAGAGCUGAAAUUCUCCUCUCCCCUCUCUCUCUUGCUUCCUCCAAUUGCUAUUGGUGUUUGUGAUUCAUUAGAGGCACAACACUUAAGGUGCUAAAGUUUUCAAGGCUUCAAGAUCUUCAAUCAACAACAAGGUAAACAUCUAGAUCUACUUUGCUAUGUUAAUUUCGAUUAUAUACACUAGAUCUAGGGUUUGAAAGUCUUGGAUGAAUGCAUGUACAAUUAGAGAAACCUAGAUCCAAGCAUUAGGGUUUGCAGGAGCACAUAGGGUGUUCUUUUGGCUCAAACCCAUCACGCCCAAUGUACGUAGGGACCUCCUUUACAAAUAAGUUUCAUUCCAAGGGUUAAAAGGGUAAAUACCUACAUUCCGAAUGUUACAUAUAGAUAGUAAAAUACUUGAUUCUACCCUAAGCCCUUCAUCAAACAAGAAAAUGAAAUAAAGCUAAACAAAAAUUCUCAAGCUAUACAAUCUUAGUUAUGUACAACUACGAUGCAUACACUAAGCAACUACAAUAAUGACGCUAAUUAUAUAUAAGAAGUAAUCCUAGGGUAUCAAGCAUCCUAUAUCAGGAAAUCCUUUCAUGUAAUUCCUGAAGAUCCCUAUCCUACCACUAGCAUGAUGUUAUAUCAUGAAAAACAUAUCAAGUAACCGUGUGGGUAACUUUGGGUAAAUUUUCUUGCUCUGGCUGAUCAUACACAUCGCAUCAUUCCUUGGUUACUUUUGAAAACAAUUUUUGAAAACCAUUAAAAGAAAACUUUACAGCUUCCUAGUUUGAGUUUGGAUUCACACGAAUGUUCAUCCAGUUCUCUCAAACCGAGGCUCUGUUACAAACUUGUAACACUCCAAAUAUCAUAGAAAAUUAAAAAUUUUAAAUUUCAACCAUUAACCAACAUUUUUUACAAAAAGAGUCAUUGCUUCAAAAGUAUUAUUCAAAAUCAUAGUUUUUCCUAAGACCUAAUAACACAAAAUAGGAAGAUGUGCACGAUCACGCCUUCUCCUUCCUACGAUCAUCCGAAGUACCUAAAACAAUAAACUGAAAUUGUAAGCCAAAGCUUAGUGAGUUCCUCCAAAGUACCAUCAUGGAACAUAUAAAAUACAUAGAUUAACAUGUUGGGUCCAUAACCUCCCAGUUGGAUUACCUUGGCUCACAACCUCCCUGUUGGAUUGCCCUGCAUACCACAUACUGGGUCCACUACCUACCGACUGGGUUGACUUAGAUGGUUUGUGGAGUUUGGCCUAUUUUGACCCAAGGAUAUUUUGGAUAAGUUGGUAGUUAUUUAAGUCGACCAAUAUUUUGGGAUAAUAGGUGUCGAGUAGAGCCGGUUGUCAGGGAAGAGAUUUAUUCAGCUUAUGUUCAGACUGAGAGGUGAGUUUUCCUCACUGUACUUACGGGUCGAAGGCACCAAGGCCGACCCAACGAAUUGAUAUCCUGUCUAUACUGAUUGAAGAUAUGUUGAGUAUGCGAUAGAUCUGAAUGAUUAUAUGAUAGUUAUGAUAUACGUUAGACUGGUAGAUCUAUAGGGCUACCUAUGAUUAUUGGUUGUAUAAUCAUCUGUAUGUUGUAUAUAUAUUAUAUGUUAUAUGCCGACAUGUUACAUUGGGGUUGAGACUACUGCUUUGUGUCGUCAGUCAACAGACCAUGUCAAUCCAAUUGGGAUGUUGUGGGCUAGGGUAAUUCAACCAGGAGGUUGUGGACACAAUAUGCUAAUCUGUGUAUUUUAUAUGUUGCAUGAUGGUACUUUGGUGGAACUCACUAAACUUUGUGUUAUAGUUUCAGUUUAUUUUCAGGUACUUCUGAUGAUCGCGGUACGAUGAAGGUGUGGUCAUGCACAUCUUCCUGUUUUGUGUUAUUGGGUCUUGGUGAAAACUCUGAAAGUCAUGACACACUUCAAAUUGAAGUAUUUCGAUGGUACAAUCAAAAUCUCUAUUGGAUAAAAUUUAGUGACAACAACAGAGAAUUAAAAGGUUACGAUUCUUGUGUGUACCAUAUUCAAAUACCCAAAAAGGGAUAUAACUCCUUGUUCGAAAUAAAGCUAAACCAAAAAUUCUCAAGCUAUAGAAUCUUAGUUAUGUACAACUAUGAUGCAUACACUAAGCAACUACAAUAAUGAUGCCAAUUCUAUAUAAGAAGUAAUCUUAGGGUAUCAAGCAUCAUAUAUCAAGAAAUUCUAUCAUGUAAUUCCUGAAGAUCCCUAGCCUACCACUAGCAUAUUGUUCUAUCGUGAAAAACAUAUCAAAUAAUAGUGUGGUUAACUUGGGGUAUACUUUCUUACUCCGGCUGAUCGUACACAUAUCAUCAUUCUUUGGUUACUUUUGAAAACCAUUAAAAAAACUUUUACAGCUCCCUAGUUUGAGUUUGGAUUCACACGAAUGUUCAUCCAAUUCGCUCAAACCAAGGCUCUAAUACCAACUUGUAACACUCCAAAUAUCAUAGAAAAUUAAAAAUUAAAAAUUUCAACCAUUAACCAACAUUGUUUACAAAAAGAGUCAUUGCUUCAAAAGUAUUAUUCAAAAUAAUAGUUUUUCCCAAGACCCAAUAAUACAAAGCAGGAAGAUGUGCACGAUCAUGCCUUCGCCUUCCCGCGAUCAUCAGAAGUACCUGAAACAAUAAACAGAAACUGUAAGCCGAAGCUUAGUGAGUUCCCCCAAAGUACCAUAAUGCAACAUUUAAAAUACAUAGAUUAACAAAAUGGGUCCACAACCUCCCAUUUGGAUUACCUUGGCCCACAACCUCCCCGUUGGAUUGCCUUGCAUACUACAUACUGGGUCCAUAACCUUCCGACUAGGUUGACUUGGCUAGUUUGUGGAGUUUGACCUAUUUUGACCAAAGGAUAUUUUGGAUAAUUUGGUAGUAAUUUAAGUCGGGCAAUAUUUUUGGAUAAUAGUUGUUGAGUAGAGUCGGUUUUCGGGGAAGAGAUUUAUUCAGCUUGUCUUCUUACUCAGAGGUGAGUUUUCCUCACUGUACUUAUAGGCCAAAGGCACCAAGGCCGACCCAAUGGAUUGAUAUCCUGUUAGGUACUGAUUGAUGAUUUGUUGAGUAUGCGAUAGAUCUGUAUGAUUAUAUGAUAGUUAUUGAUAUACGUUAGACAUGUAGAUCUAUAGGGCUACCUGUGAUUAUUGGUUGUAUAAUCAUAUGUCUAUUGUAUGUAUAUUAUAUGUUAUAUGUCAACAUGUUACGUUAGGGUUGAGACUACUACUUUGUGUCGUCAGUCAACAGACCAUGAGAAUCUAACCGGGAGGUUGUGAGCCAGAGUAACCCAGCCGGGAGGUUGUGGGCCCAACAUGCCAAUCUAGGUGUUUUAUAUGUUGCAUGAUGGUACUUUGGAGGAACUCACUAAGCUUUGGCUUACAAUUUCAGUUUAUCGUUUCAGGUACUUGUGAUGAUCGCAGGACGGUGAAGGUGUGAUCAUGCACAUCUUCCUGUUUUGUGUUAUUGAGACUUAGGAAAAACUCUGAUUGUGAAUAAUACUUUUGAAGCAAUGAAUCUUUUUGUAAACAAUGUUGGUUAAUGGUUGGAAUUUUUUUUUUUUUUUAAAUUUUUAUGAUUUUUGGAGUGUUACAUUGGUUUUGUCUUAUAACUGAUCCAAACCCCCACACACCCUUGUUAAUCAUCAAAGAAGAAUCCAAUUAGAACUAAUUCUAUUCAACAAUAACAACCAUAGGGUGUUAGAAAUCCAUUACCUCAAAUGUAGGGAUCUUUUGAUGUCUAAGAACAUUAAUCAAGAUAAAUUAAUAAGGAUAUUCAAUUAAACCAAAGGUCUUUUGGCCUAGCACUAUCAUAUGUUGGAAAAAUGACCCUUCCUAAUGUUAGAAAAACGGGUUAUUUCGAUUGCUUGGAUUCCACUGAAAGUCAUGAUACACUUUCAAAUUGAAGUAUUUCGGUGGUACAAUCAAAAUCUCAAUUGGAUAAAAUUUAGUGACAACAAUAGAGAAUGAAAAGGUUAUGAUUCUUGUGUGUACCAGAUUCAAAUGACCAAAAAGGGAUAUGACUCCUUGUCCGAAAACUGUCAUAUUAACAGUUACAAACUGCCACAAAGCUGUCACUAAACUUGUAACACCCCAAGUUCAGAAGUGCAAGUUCAGGGUUCUUGGUGUAAUUAAGGAAGAUCGACUCGGCGAGUCGAGUCGUGAUUUGGCCAUGUGCUAAGUGACUGACUCGGCGAGUAGGCAGCUAGACUCGACGAGUCAGUGCUGGAGUGAGAAACCCUAAUUCAUGGGGUUUGCACCCUAUAUAAGGAACCUUAAGUCCCACCCCAGCCUCUUUAGGACUCCCUCUGAUGUCCAGAAACUUUCCACAUCGAUUUCAAACCCUAAAUUGAGAGUGAGAGGGAUUUAAGUGUGUUUUGGAGCUUGAAGAAGAAGGAUACUUGAAGCAAGAGUUGGUGGGAUCAUAGAGGAGCGAAGUGGAUCUGAUUUCCUUGCUUCUUGGCAUCAGCAUCAAGGUAAAAAGUUGUUGCCUUGACUUUGUUGUGUUUAGAUGGUUCAUGAAUGAAGUUUUAGGGCCAAUUUAUCAUAUAUGAGCCUCUUUUCGAGUAUUGGGUUUAGAUCUGUGGUUGCUACUACAGAUCUAGACUGGUCCUGACUCAUGAAUCUGGAAAGUGAUAGCUUUGGGGCUUGAUUGAGAGUGUCCUUGCCUUAAAACUUCACUUUAGCUUGAGUAGAGCUUGUUGAGCCUUGCAUGCACGUAAAGUUGGAAACUUUACAUGUAGAUCUUGCCCUAGGAGUCCAGAUCUAUGUAUUGAAAGCAAUAGUUUGGCCUGUGAUCAUCUGAAUGAAGGUAUUACGUAUGGACUCGGCGAGUCUGGGAGAUGACUUGACGAGUCGGACAAAAGAUUUGGAAUGAAUCGCGUAGUAACUCGGCGAGUCACAUGGGUGUACUCGACGAGUUGGAUGAAGAUAGGCAAGAACUCGACGAGUUGGAAGAACAACUCGACGAGUCUAUUGAAGAUUGCCUUGGGCUCAACGAGUCUGUUCUUGGACUCGGCGAGUCUGGUCGAGGAGUCCUAACCUUUUCUGGUUAAGUCGUGAAUCGGUGAGUCGAAGGAUGACUCGGUGAGUUGAGCAUGAAGGGACUCAGAGUUUGUUGGACUCGGCGAGUCUUGGGGCAACUCGACGAGUUGAGUCGUAAUAUGAGAGUUUUGAGUAUGGGAACUCGAAGAGUCAACGAGUUGACUCGGCGAGUAGGGUCAACCAGGAAGGUUGACCUUGACUGAGGACUUGGACUUUAACCAAGGGUUGACCAGUUGACUUCCGGGGGUAUUUUGGUAAUUAUUGGUAUUUAUUGAUUUGGUUUUUGGUAAUGAUCAGUGGCGGAGUUCGUGCUGGUGGUUGGAGCAGCGUGAUCUUAUUCUUCAGUCGGCAGUGACAGUUGAGUUAUCCUCACUAUACUGACAGGGUCUACGGCACCAAGGCCGACCCUCCAUCGGAUGGAAAUCCGGGUAUUGUUGUUAUGUUAUUGCUAUAUGGAGAUCCUUGUUGAUGGAAAGGCGGCCGACGAACGCUCGGUGGACUCUAUAUCCUCAAGGAAUCAAUUUGGAACCCGGAAAAUCAUAUUUAUUUAGGAAUGUAGCAUAUGGUUUUAGAGGUUGUCCUAAAUGGGAGGAUGUGGAUACGGUUAGUUAAGUUUAAUAAUUAUUAUUUUAUAUAUAUAAUAUUACUGAAAUUACUAGUAUUUAAUUUAUAUUUUUUUUGCAGGUUAUAUCUGUAAUAAAUGUUGUGCAUACCCAUUGGUUUUUGGUGGUUCUACAUUUAGAUACCUGGAAAGUAGAAAUUUUUGAUUCAGCACAAGUUGCGGGUUACUUCUCAACAUACAACACUAAUGGAGAAUUCAAAAGUUUUGGAGAUAGUAUUAUCUCAGAGUUGGAUGCCAUUGAUUACUGGAGCCAUUUCCCCCAUUGGACACAGAGACAAGCAAAGGUCGAGUUUUUUGAUGUUUNGACACAGAGACAAAGCAAAGGUCGAGUUUGUUGAUGUUGUAGACGCCCCACAACAAGAAUAUAGUCUUGAAAGAGGGGAUUGUGGAGUAUUUGUAUGCAUGUUUAUGGAAAUGAUUGUUUCUGGGGGUACCAGUGGCGAUUUCAAGGACAUGUAGAGAAGCUGCAUUUCUCUAUAGAAAUAAGAUGGCAAAUGUUAUUUGGGAUACUAUAUAAGUUGAUAUUAGGAACUUUGUAUAUAUAUUAAUAUUAAAUACUUGUUUCUAGUAUGUAAUCGUGUCACUUCUGGUAGUAUGUAAUCUUGUAAUUAUCUUUUAUAUUUUUUAAACAUAAUUCACCAAAAAAUGUUACGAAACCAUACAUUCAAACAAAAUAAACAUUACAAAUAACAUGAAUACAUUACAAUAGAGUCGUCUACAUAAAAAUAAGGUUUCUUACGACUAACAAACAUUAGAUAAAACAUUGGAAAUAAAAUACUCAUCUACUUGAAAAAAACUUUAUCUUUUACCAGAUUCCAAACGUCCGUAUACUCGAAAUCAUGUCCAUCAAACUUGCAUAGGUAAUAUCCAUUCACAUCUUCAAGAAGUUCUUCAUUAUCUGCUUGAGAGCGUCGCAUUUUCUCAGGAUUGUAGCAUCGAUUGAACCAUGUGACCUUAAACUUUAAAUCCAUCCAUUUACUAACAAUAGCAGGUUUUAGUCGUUCGUGUCCUUGCCCGACUUGAUAGUUGAACAAAGCUAUGAGGCGGGACCAUUCAUCACCUACAAGGCAAUUCAGGGGAGCCAUCACUGGUAGACCCUCGUAAAUGGUAAUCCAACUUUGUAUUAGGACCAACAACUCUGUUGGCGUCCAUGGAGAUGUACAAUUUGUUGGAGAGGCUGCAUUAGAUGGAUUUGUUGCAUUCGAAGAACUUGGUACAUUGGACGCCAUUUCUUAAUUGAUCUACUAUCAACUAAAGAAUUGAAUUUCGUAUAGACACUACGUUUAAUAUAUGUACAAACAUAUGUUAUACAAAGAUAUGUCAGUAACGCGGACUGACGAGCCAGUAACGCGGACUUACGAGCCAGUAACGUGGACUGACAACGAUUAAUAUAUAUAAAUAGUUUCUUAAUGCGGACUGACGAGUCAGUAACGCGGACUUACGAGUCAGUAACGCGGACUGACAACGAUUAACAUAUAUAAAAAGUUUCUUAACGCGGACUAACGAGUCAGUAACGCGGUCUUACGAGUCAGUAACACGGACUGAAAACGAUUAAUAUAUAUCAAAAGUUUCUUAACGCGGACUGAUGAGUCAGUAACACGGACUAACAAUUACUAGACAAAACAGUUUUGCGGACUGACAAGACAGAAACACGGAUUGACAAGUCAGUAACGCGGAGUGAUCAUUGGCUUUGCGGACUCACAAGUCAGUAACGCGGACUGACAACGAAGUAACACGGACUAACAACCCCGUAACGCGGAUUGAGAACGCAGUAACGCGGACUAACAAGUCUAUAUAAAACGACAAACAACAAUGUAUCACUUCAUCUAAGGUAUUUUAGUUCAUGUGCUUUGUAUGUUUUACAANUUCAUGUGCUUGUAUGUUUUACAAUGGGUUCAAACCAAUGGACCGCUAACGAGUAUUUCCUUCUAGCUCGUGCAUAUAUUAAUGUCAAAGAGAACACCAGUUUGGAGGAUAUAAUGUUUUUCUCCCAACUAACGAAUACCUUCAACACUGACGCUGAAACCACCAUACAAAACCAUCGCAACACGCUUGAUAUAGCUACAAAAUGGUAUGAAUUGAAAACGGAAGUUGUGUUAUUAAACGAUCUUUAUAAUAAGAUUGAAGAUGAUCAUGUCAAUGAUACUGAGGAAGAGAUCUUGGAGGUGUCUAAAGAAGAAUACAAAUCCAUUAGCAACGGACAGAGUUUCGAGUUUGAAGCCCCUUGGAAUCUUUUGAAAAAUGUACCGUUUUUUUAAGUAGAACUGCAUUUUGUAUUGUUCUUGUAUUUCUUUAUUUAAAUGUAAUAUGGUAUUUAUCCUUUAUUUUAAAAAAAAAUAUUUGACCAACAAAUGUUACAAAACCAUACAUUCAAAAAACAUUAUCUGACAAACAGCUUACGCGGACUGACAAAUAAGCUACGCGUAAUGACAACACAUUUACGCGGACUGACAAGUAAGUUCUGCGGAAUAAUGUAUACUAAUUCCUUAUAAAUUUUGACAACCAUGACGAAAAUUUACAAGGUGUCGAAAGUUGUGAAAAUGAGUUCAGUCAAUCAGGUAUUAAGGAAAAGUUUCUCCAGCCUACCGACUUUUUUCCAUAAGCUGCAAAGAAGCAAUCCUACCACCUUCACGUACAUUACGAAGGAUCGGUACAAUCGUUUCCAAAUUUGUUUCGUGGCAUUGGGAUGCGUGGUAUGUAAUCCCUUAUAGUAAAUAAAUAUUUAGUUAUUUCAAGUUGGUAUAUGCCUAAUAUUCUUAUGUUGACUUACAGAUUCGUACAUUUCUCACGUCUAUGAUAUCAAUCAUAUUCGUUGGUCAAGUACCUCUAAUUGGGGCAUAUGUAACAUCCAUGUACAUUGCUUUUGCUUUAGAUGGAAAUCAUGAACCCCUUCUCAUAGUGUUUGCCUUGGGAACCAUAAAUUGUGACAAUUCAUGGUUAUGGUUCAUAAGGAGGCUUAAAGACUGUUUAGGUGACAAUACAUAAUUUGGUUUCAUAAGCCAUAUGUCUGAUUCUAUGGACUUUGCAGUCCACAGAGUCUACCCUGAUUCAUAUCAUGGCUAUUGUUGUAAAAAUAUAGCCAAGAAAAUACGCGCUUCCAUCGGAACCAAUACAGUCGUAGAACAGUGGUUCUGUAAGACGUGUAAAGCAUAUAAUUUAUCUCAAUUUUAUGCAUGUUUGAACAAUUUAAAAAAUGAGGUAAAUGGGAAUGAUCUUCAUUGGCUUGACAAUAUUCCCAUUGCAAAAUGGGUACGGGCUUGUUUUCCAAGAGUAAGUUUCAAUGUUAAAUUCAUUGACAUUCCCGAUGUUUUCAAUUGGUUUAAAACAAACACGCAUGAGUUUCCAAUAACAACAAUCAUUGAAAUGGUUCAUGACUCGAUGUAAGAAGUUUAUCUUCGACGUGCUGUUUUUGGAGGUAAUUAUAAGUUAUGACAUCAUUAAAACGGUGAAUUGAUAUGUUUAUUAUACGUUAUGACCUUAUAAUUUUUUUUAUUGAUUCAGUUGAUUUCACAGGGGAUAUCCAUAAUCUUCUAACCCCUUAUGCACUUAAGGUGAUUCAUAAAAGAUUUAUCCACUCGGAUGGUUGUAGGAUUACGCAUAUUGUUGGCGAUAGAUAUGAAGUGACUAAGUAUUCAACAACCGAAUAUGUACAACUAGACCGUGGUAUUUGUAGUUGCGGUAAAUGGCAAAAAUGCGGUAUACCUUGUGAGCAUGCUAUAGCUUCACUACACAGACUCGAAAUUGCAGAAAUCCAUCAAAUGGUAAAUUUAAAGUUAAGUACAGCGGUGUAUCGAAAUGCUUAUCAAACUGAGACGGUCUAUCCUAUUCCAACCCUUAGGCAUUGGGAAAAACCAGUCGAAAGUGUUGUGGUCUUACCUCCACGCCAAUUCAAUUGAACUUUAUUGUAUGGAUCACAACGAAUAUUAGUUUUUAUUCAGUUCUAUGUUAACCGUACUUGUAAUGGUUUGUUGGCAUUCUUUACUUUUUAAUAAAAAAAAUGUUUACCUUUAAAUAAAUAAUUGUAUUUUCAUAAUUGUAAUAUGUAUGCAUGACAACGACUAGACAAAAAAACUAUGCGAACUGACAAACGCAGUAACGCGGACUGACAAAAACCUCUACGGACUAACAACAGCUCUCUGCAGAGUGGAAGGGACUAUAUAUAGUCAUGGAUGGUCGUCGGAUUUUUCGUAUAGAGUUAUAAUUUUUUAAAUUUAAAAUGACUUCAUCUUCAUCUUUGUAUAUUUGCUCGUGCAACGAAGUUGAUUGUUUCUAUUGUGAUCCGAUCGACCCUUUUCUUGCACCAUCACCAAAUUUAAGAGAGUCAUAUAUGUCGGAGGAUACUUUGCAACAACUACAAUGGGCUGAAGAACAACAAAAAAAAAGAUAAAGACUCGUCUCGGGCUCUCACUGAACGACGUGACCUCAUUGCGGCGGAGUGCAAAGAUGUUGAGGAAAGGAUGACGAUUACAAAAAAAAAUCAAAAAUCAUGGGGAAUGGAAAAAAAAACNCUAAGAAGAAUCUCAAACUGUCUGAAAAAUGGCUUGCUGACAAGGAUGCAGAAAUGAUAGAACUUGGUAGGCAAAAGGACCGUAUGGAAGAUAAAAUAAGAAUAAGGGACGACUACAUAACAAUGGAGAAAGAAAAGUAUCCUUUGCAAUUCCCUUAAGUUAAUUACCGUUGUUGUACGUUUACUAUAUGUUUCUAGUUUGUUGAAUGUAUUAACUUCGAGUAUUAGUUAUUAUUCUACUAGUAAUUAUGCAGUAAUAUAAUCAUAAUAUUACCCAUCAUCUUUAAAAUAAACACACCAGCUCAAAGUAGACAAAUUAAUGUCCUCUAAAACAAAACAUAAUUAAUUAUAAAUACAACAUCAAUCAUUCAAAUCAAACGUUGAACAAUAGUCUUCUCUCUACGUCCCACUCGUCCAACGCGUGUCUUGUGUCCCGUGCGUCUCUAGCGUCUCCUGAGUCCCUUCUGUCCCUUUCCCUUUUCCUUUUGUGUUACUACUUGAUGUCGUAUUAGUUUUUCUAGCCUUUUUUUGUUUCUUUGGGACCAAUGUCGGACAAGUCGCUGCAUUAUGUGUUGUACUAUCACAUCUACUACACCUUCUUAUUAUAGGUUCCUCACCUUGUGACGGAAUACGAUUUCUGUUUCUCGGUCUACCAGCUUGACGUGUAUCCAUUAUCGGGGGUUUCACAACCAUCAUGUUAGCAGGAAUCUCCCAAUCACACGGUUCUGGAAGGGGGUAAACCGGCUCCUCAUACGUACUUCGGUAUGUUUCCAUUUUGUAAGCAUCUAUAGCCAGAUGUCCGAAGUUAGUUUUUUUCAAGUGCUUCAAGACCAUUAUCACAUGACCACAAGGCAACCCAGUUCCUUCCCAAUAUUUGCAUGUACAAGUCUCUUGCCUCAGAUCAACUAUGCCACCAUGUUUGAAAUCAUGAACUUCAUAAAGUGCAUCUGAAACACCAGAAAUGGACCAUCCUGUCGUACGCUCUUCAUUUUUACUAACUACUUUUUCAGCCCACUCGGUUAGCACUGUUGAACGUUUCCCUAUAAAGAAGAUAUAUAUAAUUAACUAAUUAUUCGACCUAAUUAAAGACAAAAUAAAAUUCAUACCUCCUUCGAUGCGACGCUUGUAACACCAUUCCUGUGAAAGACGUCGGAAGAACUCAAGAAGGGGUAUUAUAGGCAUCUUCCUUGCAUCUACAGAUAAAGCAUUCAUGAACUCUGCACUGUUCGAGGUCAUGUAAUCGUAACGUUUCGAUGGCGAAUAUGCUCUAGUCCAUUUAACACAGGGAAUUUCACUUAGAUACGCUGCUACUUGCGGCCUAGUAGAACUAAAUAUAUACCACAAUUCUUCAAAAACAUUUCUUUUGUAAGCUUUCACAAGCCUCCAAAACAACCCUUUUGUUUUAUCAUUUUUCCCAAACUUGUGUACUAUGUUUCCUAGUGUGACAUCCCCAAAAUCUUGGCCAGAAAAGACCGAUUUCAUUGAUGCUUUUUAAAAUAAUUUCAGAGUAAAUCCUUUUGAUUUUAAAAGAGAUGCGGAAUUUGUUCCCAAAAACAAAACAUGAUAAAAUAGAUCUUUUAUCAAAACAUUUCAUAAAGAAAUAUAAUUUCAUUUCAUAAUCAAAACCGGGAUGUCAUGUUCCGAUACAGACCAUAAAGCAUAAACGAUAACAUUACAAGUCAUUCAACAAAUAUUAUACAUAUGCAGACUUGUAAACAAAACAACUUGAUGAUUCAUCCAUCUUAUGCCCUUACGCCACUUCCUGUAAUACAAGUAAACUGAGUGGGUCAGGCUUGGGAGCCUGGUGAGCAUAUAGGGUUUUCAACCCACAAUAAAUAAUUAUAUUUAAUUCAACAAUCAACAAUAACCCGAUUACCCAUUCCCGUUUUCCUUACUUUACGUCCCUAAAACAACAUCUAUUAUAAGGGACCUAAUCUAGGAGUUUCAUCGGGACAAACAUUACUGCAAAGGGGCUUCCUUAGCAAUAAAUAUCCUAAAGGCAACCAUGAGGGGGAUAUAGUUCACCGGUGAACACGUCGUUCACAAGACCUACAGGUUAUGAGCCUACUAGUGUUCCACAGGACUGUCUAGAAUAGUCCGUGGUCGUCAUCCAUACUCUGCUGAAUGACUAGAAUAACACCAACAACAUCGAGGCCUCUCAUCUGUUUAUUACACACCAACUAUCUACCCAUGUUCUACCCAACAUAUUAGUAGAUAAAAAUAUACAUUUGUAUACAUAGUUUAAAACCUGUAUAGCAUGCUCAAUCAAUACAUUUUUCCACAUAACAGAUGAGGUACACACACAUAACACGUAUUUCAUAGAGAAUAAAUCAGAUCUAUGAGAUAGAAGAAAGUGAAUAUACAUCCACACAUAUAGUCAACAAAGUAUACACGUAACACGUAUUUCGUAUAAAAUACUUCAUAAUAAUGUGUUAGAAGAAAAUGACUACACACUCACUUGAUCAGAAGAUGAUCGGGCAACACUACGACUUGUAGAAGUAGUGUUUCUCCGUAGAUCUGGAAGAUCUUCACAUAAACCGGGCUCCUCGCGGGCAGGUCUUCGGCUCUGAAAUCUCACUUCUCGGGAUUCUCGGGACUUCGGAUCUUGCUUCGGGGCUCGCGAAUAAUAUUGGGGCUUCGGGGUAUGAUUGGCAAGCAAAUCGAGGCAAAAACUAGAGAGAAGAAAGAGUUUGAACUAGAGAAAAUGGUUGAUCUCGCAUUCUAUUUAUAGGCUGCUGGGUCUAGGAUUAUGCCGGGCGUAAUUUCCAGGUACGCUGGGCGUACUAAGUACACUGGGCGUAAUUAGGUUACGUUGGGCGUACUUUGACGUCACUGCAUGCGUCAAUUGGUGGCACUCGAGUAUUGGUCAGACAAGUUGCACCCCUCUGAGUACGCUGGGCGUACUCAAAUUACGCUGGGCGUAAUUUGACUCGUCAAACUUCUAAAUUGCGUAACUUUGGCAUACGAGCUCCGUUUUCGACGUUCUUUAUAUCAACGCGUAGGUUAGACCAUACUCUACAACUUUCAUUUAGACUCAAUUUUUACUUUUAUUUUUAUUAUUUAUUUUUAGUAGGCCGGGACAGGAAAACUUCGUUAUAAAUUCAUAACUUCUUCGUUCGACGUCCGUUCUCGCCUAACUUUUCAUCGUUUCACUACUAACAACGAGAUAUUCGAUUCUCGUUUAGAUUGUUCUGGCUAAAAACCGCUCGAUCUCAAAUCGAGUAUUCGGGCUGCAUACUGCCAAGUCGAAACUUCAGANGAAAAUCAUAUUCCUCAUACGAAGUCAGAUUUGGGCGUUCUAUAUAUAUUUAGAAACCUAGUUUCAACUACUACAACAUUAUCCAAAGAUAUCGAGUUUAUUUUACACUUCAUUUUGACGCUAAUUUUUAUUCUUAAUUCAAUUAAAUUAUAAUAAUUAAGAAAACACACACAUAAUUCACAUAAUUCACAAAUAAUACAUUUUUAUUAUUUCAGAUUGGGUUACAAAGGUUAACCUAGACUAUUACAUUGCUAAAAAUGGCAAGCCCAUAAUCACGGGCGUUACAAUUUUCUCCACCUUAGAAUGAUUCCGUCCCUGGAAUCACACAUCAACAAAUAAAUGCGGAUAGCGACCCAUCAUGUCACUCUCCGUCUCCCAGGUGAGAUACGACCCAUUCGUGUGUUUCCAACGGACAAGCACUAACUCAACCAUCUUACGUCGCAAUUUCUUAGUCUUCCGGUCAACGAUUGCUUCUGGUUCUUCAAUCAAUCUUUUGUUUUCAUCAAUUAUUAACUCUGAAAGUGGAAUCAUGUCGGGAACUUCUCCCGUGAACUUCCUCAAGUAACACAUAUGAAAAGUGUUAUGAAUUCCAUUCAGUUCUUCGAGUAGUUCGAGCUUGUAAGCUUGGUUCCUAAUUCUCUGAAGAACUUUAAACGGUCCAAUAAACCUUGGACUUAACUUUCCCCUUUUACCACAUCUUAUAAGUCCCUUCCACGGCGAGACUUUAAGCAAAACCGAAUCUCCAACUUCAAAAGUCAUCGGUCUUCGCUUUUUGUCAGCAUAGCUCUUUUGACGGUCGUGAGCUGCUAACAUUCUUUCCCUAAUUAUUUUCAACUUUUCAGCCGUUUGAUGGACUAUCUCUGGUCCCAUAAACUGCUUUUCCCCAGCCUCAAGCCAACAAGACUGCGUACGACACUUCUGUCCGUACAAAGCUUGAUAAGGUGCCAUCUUAAUGCUCGAGUGGAAACUAUUAUUAUAGGAAAAUUCUACCAAUGGUAAAUGUUCAUCCCAAUUACCUAGGAAUUCCAAGGUACAUGCUCUCAGCAUAUCUUCAAGUGUUUGUAUCGUUCUUUCACUCUGACCAUCAGUCUGCGGAUGGUAAGCUGUGCUUAAACACAACUUGGUACCCAAUUCCUCUUGUAGACUUUUCCAAAACCGUGAGGUGAAACGACUAUCACGAUCCGACACAAUUGUUAACGGAACACCGUGAAGCCUCACAAUUUCCUUCACGUAAGAAUUCGCAAGCUUUUCCAUAGACCAUUUCUCAUUGGCUGCUAUGAAAUGCGCACUCUUAGUGAAUCGAUCAACGACCACCCAAAUCAUGUCGUGACCAUUCUUUGUUCUGGGCAGUUUAGUGACAAAAUCCAUAGCAAUGUCUUCCCACUUACCCAUAGGCACAGGCAAUGGUUCUAAACUCCCGUACGGUUUCUGAUGUUGUGUCUUGACUCUCGCACAAGUCACACACUCGGCCACAUACUUUGCAACAUCAAGCUUCAUCGUCGGCCACCAGUAGUAGGGUUUCAGGUCCCUAUACAUUUUAGUGCUACCCGGAUGAAUCGAGUACAUGGUCUUGUGAGCUUCUUCCAUCAGAAGAUCUCUGACUCCUCCUGUCUUAGGUAUCCAAAUCCGAUCUUGGAACACCUUCAGUCCAUGACUGUUUACACCGAACACCAACGUUUUGCCCAAACGUUCCUCCUUUCUGUCAUUCUUCUCAGAAGCUUCGCUCUGAGCUUUCUUUAUACUUUCCAAAAUAGUUGAGACAACUUCAAUUCUCAACGCUCUUGGCCUUUUCCUUUCGGGAUUGACUUUCCGACUGAGAGCAUCAGCAACAACAUUAGCUUUACCGGGGUGGUAAAGUAUCUCGCAGUCAUAGUCUUUAAGUAAUUCUAGCCAGCGUCGUUGCCUCAUAUUCAAUUCUUUCUGAUUAAAGAGGUAUUGGAGACUCUUAUGAUCAGUGAAAAGUUUGCACUUCGUGCCAUAGAGGUAAUGCCUCCAUAUUUUCAGAGCGAAAACUACCGCUGCCAACUCCAAAUCAUGAGUCGGGUAAUUCUUUUCAUGCUCUUUCAGCUGUCGAGACGCAUAUGCUAUCACCUUUUCUCUUUGGGUCAAAACACAACCCAAUCCAACACCAGACGCAUCGCUAUAAACAGCGAAGUCUUCAACUCCAUCGGGUAGAGAAAGUAUCGGUGCCUCGCAUAGCUUCUUCUUUAACUUCUCGAAUGCUUCUUUAUGCUUCUCACUCCAAGCAUAAGUAGCUCCUUUGUGGGUCAAAGCUGUCAAUGGAGUAGCAAUCGAAGAAAAGCCUUGGAUAAACCUUCAAUAAUAUCCGGCUAAUCCCAAAAAGCUUCGAAUCUCCGUGGGACUUUUCGGUUGUUCCCACUUCAUCACAGCUUCGAUCUUCGCUGGAUCAACCAUUAUCCCUUCUUGGUUGACCACGUGACCCAAGAAUUGUACUUCUCGAAUCCAAAAAUCACAUCUGGAGAACUUUGCAUACAACUUAUCCUUCUUUAAAACUUCUAACACUUCUCGCAAGUGUCUGCCAUGCUCCUCCUGGCUUUUCGAGUAAAUCAGAAUGUCGUCUAUGAACACUAUNGAACGGAUUACAAACCCUGUUCAUUAAAUCCAUGAAUGCUGCUGGAGCAUUGGUUAGUCCAAACGACAUAACCAAAAACUCGUAGUGCCCAUAUCAUGUUCUGAAUGCAGUCUUCUCUAUAUCCUGCUCUCUUACUUUUAGCUGAUGAUAUCCUGACCUCAGGUCGAUUUUUGAAAAAUAACUUGAACCUUGUAGUUGAUCGAACAGGUCAUCAAUCCUCGGCAACGAAUAUCUAUUCUUUAUUGUUGCCUUGUUCAGUUCUCUGUAAUCGAUGCACAUCCUCAUACUUCCAUAUUUCUUUUGACGAAUAACAUCGGAGCUCCCCAGGCCGAUGAACUAGGUCUUAUGAAACCUUUGUCCAAUAACUCCUGAAGUUGCAUCAUCCGCUCCUUCAUCUCCAUCGGUGCUAGUCGGUAAGGUGCUUUUGCUAUAGGCGUCGUUCCCGGCAACAAGUCGAUACGAAAUUCUACUUGUCGAUCAGAAGGUAAUCCAGGAAGAUCUUCGGGAAAUACUUCCGGAUAAUCACAUACGACAGGAAUAUUCUGCAUCACCUUUUUUUCCUUCUUAGCAUCGAUCACGAAUGCUAAAUAUGAUGUACACCCCUUGGUCAAACAUUUUCUGGCUUUCAUUAGAGAAAUGAUUCCAGAAUUUACUCUGCGUUUAUCUCCAUACACCAUAAACGAUUCCUUCCCAGGCGGGUUCACUUUCACUAUUUUCUUCUUGCAUAAAAUUUCGGCAUCAUUGGCGCUAAGCCAAUCCAUUCCCAAAAUGAUGUCGAAACUGUUAAGUUCGAUAUAAAGGAGUAGUUUUCUACCAAAUUCAUGCGAUAUAAAGGAGUAGUUGGCUCCAGAAUCAAAUAAAAUUUGGGCAGACGAUUUGUUUACGAGAAAGGUACCUGAACGACAUCAGCUUCAUCUUUAGCAGCUUCCAGUGUCAUCUGGAAUGCUCUCGCCUUCGGCUUUGGCGAAAUGUUGGGUUUUGUUGCCUCCUUCUUCUUCGGACAAUCUCUUGAUAUGUGCCCUUCCUCACCACAACCAUAACAAACAUUCUUGGUGAGGGUGCAGUCGUUGGCAUAAUGCCCUGGCUUUCCACAUUUCAAGCAUGUGGCUUCCCCGCCGCACUUCCCAUGAUGCUUCUUCUUGCAUUUGUCGCACCAUUUCGCUUCGCCUCCUCCACCCCCUCUCGAACUAGACUUCGAGAAUUUACCCUUUUUGCUGGACCCUGAAGAUCCCUCGAACUUCCUCUUUUCACCAACCUCUGACCUUUCCAGACCUUUUUCCCUGAUCUGGGUCUCAACAUUUCUAGCAGCCCAGAUGGCGGCUUUCAAUGUGGUUGCUUGCUUAACCAUUAGACCAUAGUCCGCUGGUAGUCCAAGGGCAAACUUGUUGACCUUAGAGAGUUCUGUAGGCACCAAAUAUGGGAUAAACUUCAUCUUUUCUGUGAAACUUGCAGCGUAUUCAGUAACGCUCAAUUUCCCUUUCUUCAAAUUCUGAAACUCAUUACUGAUUUCCAGAAGGUCCUGCUCGGAGCAGUAUUGCAGUUUUAGUUGUUCCACAAAGUCUUCCCAAGACAUUUUGCUUGCUUCUCCCUUGGGCAUAGAGUCAGCUAACAGCUUCCACCAACUCAACACGCCAGAUUUUAGCAGAGGGAUCGCAAGAGCGGUCUUCUGCCUGUUGCUGCAUUCGCAACUUUCAAACAUAGUCUCCAUUUCGGAGAUCCAGUCCAUAACUUGCACCGGCGUCGGGCUUCCGGAUAGACAUGGUGGUUUGGAUGCCAUGAAAUCCUUAUACUUGCACCCACGACCAUCAUUUCCUCCAUACUGGUUAUUGCGUCUAACCACUGGUUGUUCGUCUUGACCAAUGAUCCCACUAAAGUUUUCUCCUUCAGACUGCCCUCCAUUCUCCUCGGGCUCUUCCGCUUGAAUUGACGGUUCUUCACGAUUCUGCCUAAGCAGGCGUCUUGUUUCUUCCAUCUGACGAUCCAACAUCAUUUGAAUCAUCAUUUGUACACCAGCCAUUGUUAUCGGCUCAGGUGCAUCAGCUACGACAGGUACUUGUUGAAUUACAGGCGGUUGAUUCCUGUUUUCAUCAGCAUUUCCAACUCCGCUUCUUGUUCUCACCAUUUUUGAUCUACACACCGAAUAAUUUCACCUUAUUACUCCAAACGAUUACAUGCUAGUUCUAAUAUCGUAUACAUACGCUUAGAAUCCUAAACACAUAAACCUUCAGAUCCGGUUGGCAACAAACCGUAGAUCCGAACAAAUAAUAUCAUAUAUGGCAACAUAUAACAUUUAGCACAUAAAAGCAUUUUAGGCAACUUUCCUAAAAUAAACUAGUGCUCGUGUCUAAAAUUUAUCAGACACACAUCUCACAAUCUCCACUUAGCAUACUAAGUUUAAGUCUAGAAAUCCUACAAAUUCCUAGUUCGCUUAAACUAAUGCUCUGAUACCAACUGUGACAUCCCCAAAAUCUCGGCCAGAAAAGACCGAUUUCAUUUAUGCUUUUUAAAACAAUUUCAGAGUAAAUCCUUUUGAUUUUAAAAGAGAUGCGGAAUUUGUUCCCAAAAACAAAACAUGAUAAAAUAGAUCUUUUAUCAAAACAUUUCAUAAAGAAAUAUAAUUUCAUUUCAUAAUCAAAAAUCGGGAUGUCAUGUUCCGAUACAGACCAUAAAGCAUAAACGAUAACAUUACAAGUCAUUCAACAAAUAUAUACAUAUACAGACUUGUAAACAAAACAACUUGAUGAUUCAUCCAUCUUAUGCCCUUGCGCCACUUCCUGUAAUACAAAUAAACUGAGUGGGUCAGGCUUGGGAGCCUGGUGAGCAUAUAGGGUUUUCAACCCACAAUAAAUAAUUAUAUUUAAUUCAACAAUCAACAAUAACCCGAUUACCCAUUCCCGUUUUCCUCACUUUACGUCCCUAAAACAACAUCUAUUAUAAGGGACCUAAUCUAGGAUUUUCAUCAGGACGGACAUUACUGCAAAGGGGCUUCCUUAGCAAUAAAUAUCCUAAAGGCAACCAUGAGGGGGAUAGAGUACACCGGUGAACACGUCGUUCACAACACCUACAGGUUAUGAGCCUGCUAGUGUUCCAUAGGACUGUCUAAAAUAGUCCGUGGUCGUCAUCCAUACUCUGUUGAAUGACUAGAAUAACACCAACAUCAAGGCCUCUCAUCUGUUUAUUACACACCAAUUAUCUACCCAUGUUCUACCCAACAUAUUAGUAGAUAAAAAUAUACAUUUUUAUACAAAGUUUAAAACCUGUAUAGCAUGCUCGAUCAAUACAUUUUUCCACAUAACAGAUGAGGUACACACACAUAACACGUAUUUCAUAGAGAAUAAAUCAGAUCUAUGAGAUAGAAGAAAGUGAAUAUACAUCCACACAUAUAGUCAACAAAGUAUACACGUAACACGUAUUUCGUAUAAAAUACUUCAUAAUAAUGUGUUAGAAGAAAAUGACUACACACUCACUUGAUCAGAAGAUGAUCGGGCAACACUACGACUUGUAGAAGUAGUGUUUCUCCGUAGAUCUGGAAGAUCUUCACAUAAACCGGGCUCCUCGCGGGCAGGUCUUCGGCUCUGAAAUCUCACUUCUCGGGAUUCUCGGGACUUCGGAUCUUGCUUCGGGGCUCGGGAAUAAUACCGGGACUUCGGGGUAUGAUUGGCACGCAAAUCGAGGCAAAAACUAGAGAGAAGAAAGAGUUUGAACAAGAGAAAAUGGUUGAUCUCGCAUUCUAUUUAUUGGCUGUUGGGUCUGGGAUUACGUUGGGCGUAAUUUCCAGGUACGCUGGGCGUACUCAAUACACUGGGCGUAAUUAGGUUACGUUGGGCGUACUUUGACGUCACUGCGUGCGUCAAUUGGUGGCACUCGAGUAUUGGUCAGACAAGUUGCACCCCUCUGAGUAUGCUGGACGUAAUUUGACUCAUCAAACUUCUAAAUUGCGUAACUUUCGCAUACGAGCUCUGUUUUCGACGUUCUUUAUAUCCACGCGUAGGUCAGACCAUACUCUACAACUUUCAUUUAGACUCCAUCGGCUAAUUUUGACUUUUAUUUUUAUUAUUUAUUUUUAGUAGGCCGGGACAGGAAAACUUCGUUAUAAAUUCAUAACUUCUUUGUCCGACGUCCGUUCUCGCCUAACUUUUUAUCGUUUCGCUACUAACAACGAGAUCUUCAAUUCUCAUUUAGAUUGUUUCGGCUAAAAACCGCUCGAUCUCAAAUCGAGUAUUUGGGCUGCAUACUGCCAAGUCGAAACUUCAGAAAAUCAUAACUUCCUCAUACGAAGUCAAAUUUGGGCGUUCUAUAUAUAUUCUGAAACCUCGUUUCAACUACUACAACAUUAUCCAAAGAUAUCGAGUUUAUUUUACACUUCAUUUUGAUGCUUAUUUUUAUUCUUAAUUCAAUUAAAUUAUAAUUAAGAAAACACACACAUAAUUCACAUAAUUCACAAAUAAUACAUUUUUAUUAUUUCAGAUUGCAUUACAAAGGUUAACCUAGACUAUUACAUUGCUAAAAAUGGCAAGCCCAGAAACACAGACGUUACACCUAGUAUAUGAAAAGCACACAAGCCAUGAUGAGCAUGUGGAAAAACAUUUUCAAUACUAACGCGAAUUGUAUCGGCCCUAUCAGUUACAAAAGUCAAUUCUUGACAAUCACUAACACAUUCAUACAACUUUUCAAGAAACCAUGUCCACGUAAGACCACUUUUUUUUUUCAUAUUCCGUGCGUAAGGGGCAGUAUCUGGUUGUUCCCAUCCAUAGCUACUCCAUGCAAUAUGGUUCCCUUAAAAGCACCCUUCAAAUGGGCACCAUCCAUAAUUAUAACUUUACGACAAAAACUUUUGAACGCUCGUAUCUGCAAUAUAUAAAAAUGGAACACAUAAACACUCUAUAAUUUGUUUACAAAAAUUAUAUAUUAAAUAACAACAAGUUUUUUGUAUUUACCGUGCUCCCAAUGGCAUAAAAACAACACUCGAAACAAUCUUCAGAAUCUGUUUGAAUAUACGCAACUGUACCGGGAUUAUGCCUCUUCAAAUUGUGAAAAUAAAUAGGAAGUUUGGCAAAACAUUCUUCAGAGGAUCCCAACAACAGUUUCAUAGCAUAUUGUUUUGCACGCCAAGCUUGUUUGUAAUCUACGUUGAUUUCCAGCAAAGCAUUCAAAUCCCUUGAUAUUUCAUUAGGCCUCCAAACCUUGGAACGAGUUUUUCCCAUAAUCUCAUGCAAUAUAGUACCCAUGACUUUUUUAUUAGCAUGCUUAUGAUUAGGGUGUAUCUGUAAUGACGAACAUGUGUACACGUUGUUGAAAGUCCUGAUUUCAAAUUCAUCAGUGAGAUCAAGGCGUUUUGCAUACAAACGCCAACUACAGUUCUCAAUUUCACAAUAUACCUCAUAACGAUUUUUGUUAGAAUGUUUGGUCUUAAACUGAAACUUUUCUCUUGUUGCUUUAAGAAUCAAUGCAAAAAUUAGUUGUUGUUUGUUGUCAUAUGUUUGACGAACAAACAUAUCAUCAUUUGGACCUAAACUGUGAAAUGGUCCGGGUUCAACAAUAGGAUCAGGACAAUCAGGUAUGGGAGACAUACCGUAAAAAAUGUCUGAAGCUUUUUUCCCGUAUGUGAACUCAUCUUCUGACCAUCCUUCAUUUGACUCUUCACUGUCUGAGAAAGUUUUGUUAGUCAAUCUUCUAAACCCAUAUAAAUUUUUUUCUUCAACCGUAUUCAGUGCCACCGUUUCUUCUUCUGGACAAUCUUCAACAUUAUCAGAUACAAUGUUAUCAACAUUGUAUGGUACAACUUUCUCAGCUGCUUCUGUCUGUUCGACCAAUCCCUGAAACACCUCUAAAUACAAAUGCACAAUCUCCUUCGUUUCAGAAAUUACAUUUCUGAGUUGAUUAACAUCUGCUUCAUCUAAAAUAUUCAUCACAUACCCAUGAACCGGGUGUUGAAAUGACAAUGAUAUAUUACUAUUGAACACCUUAGCCUUACUUUUGACCAAAUCAAACAAUAUUCGAAAAUCAAAAUUAGGCGGAGGCAGUAAACCCAAGUUGUUUAACUUUGGUCUAACGUAGGUGUUAAUCGCAUUACUUAUCUGCAAAAAACCUCCAGUACAUAAAAUAACAAAACUCAUAUUUGGUUUUGAAAAUCAAAUGAAAACGAACUGAUCUAUCGACCAAAAUAAAACAAACAUAUGAAAAAGAAACUUUUGUAUCAAAAAACUCUUCAAAAUCCGCUCCAACCACCCAUUCCACGGAGGCAUUACUCUCUCCGCAGAGACCCAUUCCGCGGAGCAUGAUUAAAAAGGCUAACAACCUAUUGUUCGACCACUUCGCAGAGAUGACUUCAUUCCGCGGAGGUCCGCGGAGGGUCCUCCGCGGAAUGCAUGUCUAUAGCUGGAAUUUUUUUUUUGUGUCUAAAUUUUUAAAUUUCCCCCUUUUUUCGUCUAUAGCCUAUAUUUUCUCUAAAUGAUUUACAUAUUGAAAGUUCAGAAACAAGUUAAAACUUAAACCCUAAAAGAGCGUACAAAUUUCAAUCGUCAACAUACCCCACCACAAAGGCACAAAUAAUCAAAGAAACAAAUGUAGAUGUAGAGGCCUUUUUCACCACAAUCACCCUUCAUCGGCCAUUUCGAAGGCCACGUGAAAUGUCACUAACGUGGCCCUAUAAAUAUCCACUACUUUGUCUUUAACCUUUCCCCCCUCUCAUAUAAAACCCUCCAUCCUCCUCCUUUACCACCAUCACCAACUACCUUCUCUCCUCCAUCAAAAGUAUCCCCAUCUUUUCCGACAUGGCUGCUUCUUCAAUCUUCAUGGCAACUCCCAUCACACUCCUCAAGAAAACUCCCACCUUCUCCGUCAAAUGUAUGUCACAAACACCUCAAAGCGGUGAACCGGGGGUUUCAAAACCAGCAACCACCCCAACACCACCACAGAUCAACAUUCCUCCUCCUCCGCCACCUGCUCCAAAGGUCAGCACGAAGUUCUCUGACGUGUUGGCGUUUAGUGGACCUGCACCGGAGAGGAUCAACGGAAGGUUAGCCAUGAUAGGGUUUGUGUCGGCGAUGGCUGUGGAACUGAGCAGCGGUCAAGACGUGUUCACCCAGAUCGGCAACGGCGGUGUUGCGGUGUUUGUCGGGACAAGUGUGGUGUUGACGUUGGCGUCGUUGGUGCCGUUGUUUAAAGGAGUGAGCGUGCAGUCGAAGUCGAGUGGACUGAUGACAUCAGAUGCAGAGCUUUGGAAUGGGCGGGUUGCGAUGUUGGGUCUGGUGGCUUUGGCUUUUACUGAAUAUGUUAAAGGCAGUGCCCUUGUCUAGAUAAUGUAUCAUAAACUUUUCUAUUACAGAAUUACAUCUAAGAUAGACAAAUGUAUAUUGUUUUGAAUAUUUAUGUUUAUCGAUUUACCAUACAUAGUUCAAAUCAUAAAAAGCAUGUUUUUUGAUAAUAUAGUAUAAAACAAAUAUAAUAUCAAUCAAAUUGAACGAUGUUGUGGUAUCUUUCAAUAUAAAAUUCUCUUUAUAAAAAUAAACAAACAACGUACUAAGAUAAAUUUUAGAGGAAUGAACUUAGAUUAGCAAUAUAAGAGUCAAAGUCUACAAAUUAAGGUAUUGAAAUCCUAGUUUCACAACUUCCUCUUUGAAUGUUGAACUGAGGUGAUCUUCAUUAAUUCAGACUGAAUAAGUGACUUAGUCCAGCCUAGUCAAUUAGCUAAUUUAAGAUGACAAGUAUCCAAAAUUCAAAAACAUUAUAGAGCUCAAUUUCAAACAAAAGUGACAAAUGACUAAUGCUCACAAAACGAUCACCGAAUCAUUCAAAGCAUUUACUAAAAGCCAGUCUAAUUCUUAUUGGUUUGAAAUCUAAUUUUAUCAUCAACUGUAUACAAGAUUGAGAUUGAUAUCAGAGUAAUAAUCUCUAAAAGCAAAAUAAUGUAUUCAAAAGAAUAUAUAUACAAAAUGAAUUAUGUCCCAAGCAGUACUGUGCAUGAGUAUAAGAUUACUAUUAUGUUGGGAUCCAUUAAUUGAUAACUAAGCACACUUCCAAAUUUACUAUAUGGAAUUUAGUUAAGGAUUAAUGUCAAGUGGGGUGCAUCCACCCCACUCAAAGGCCUUGUAUAUGUUACGGUCCCAAGUGAUAUUUUAUAAGGGUCUUUUUGUAGUUUUUCUUUUCCUAAUAUAUUAACAUUUUUUUUUGAUAUUUUUGGAACUUUUUAUUUUCUGAGAAAAGUAUACAAAAUAAUGUAUAUACAAGCUUACUUGAAGAUAUGAUCGUUUAUGAGGUUAUUCAAGACUUAUUCUCUUGAAGUAUCUAUUCCUAGCUAGAUAUGAACAAAUGUGUUUGCAUUUAUCCUUUUUUGCCCUUUGUCAAUUCUUGACUAAUAAGGUAAUGGUAGUUCUUGGUGAGGGAUUCACCUCUGUAUUGAUUCUUCAUUCUAUUUAAAUGUUUGGAUUCACCUCUGUAUUGAUUCUUCAUUCUAUUUAAAUGUUUGGAUUCACCUCUGUAUUGAUUCUUCAUUCUAUUUAAAUGUUUGGAUUCACCUCUGUAUUGAUUCUUCAUUCUAUUUAAAUGUUUGGAUUCAACAAUGUCUAGUUGAGUAGUUCUUUAAAAGCACAUUCUACCAUAUGCAUCUUUAUGUCAAUAUUAAUUGGGGAUUCCAUAAACUGAAACUCUUGGAGCUCAAUAGUGUAGUUGAAAAACUUUUGUUGAGCCCACCACUUACAUGAAAUAGGAGACUUUUUUCAAUAAACUAAGUGGUUCCUUCUUUAUGGAUCAUCUUUUCGUUUCUCCUUUUGAAAGGUCCCCUGGUGAUACUUUUAUGUGUUAAUGAAACUCAGUCCUUAUGGCAUGCUUUUUGGAUAUGAUAGUACGUGACUAUCAAGAGCUUAUUUCUACUCAGUAUAGUCAUACUCUCAUAAGUCUCUCAAGAUUUUACACUCAGAAGCAUCGUUAGAUUGUAUGGCUACCUACCUUGUACUAUAAGCAUGUUUAUUAACAUUUAGGGAUUUAUUUAGAAGGAUAUCAUUUUUCAUAUUUUUUGUCUAACACCAGAUCUUUUUUCUCAGCUCAAUUGUUUCAAGUAAAACUAAGUGUCUUCUUGAUUCGACAACAAACCAUUGGUCAUCUUUCCGAUUUCAAGUAUUUUGCAUAUCCUCUCAAAACUUCUUUAUUUUUUAACACAAAUUCAAAAACUAUUAGGUAUCGGGAUUUUAAGGCUUCUUUAUUUUCACCCUCAAUUAGAUUCAUAUUUUUCAUUGCCUUGCAGAUUUCCUUUUUAGUUUGAGUCUAUUUAUCACGAGCCUGAAGUCAUUUUCUUCCCCUACCCUUGUUAGUUUUGGCUAUUGCUAGUGCACGUACUUCAUUGGCUAAAUGAGAAGACACCUCGAUAAUGGUGGAUGACUUGGUGAAAUUUAUAGGUUGUUCCUUAGGCUAUCCAAAGUGGAGGUAGAAGAAGACGCAUGAUGCUGAAUGGACAUCCAAGUCAUGCGUGAACACUGCCCGAUGGCUUGGCUAUGGAGUCUCCAUGAAGACGAUGCAUUCGAUUGGUUUAGAAUCUGGUCCCUCAUAUUUUCUCUCCUCCUUUUUGUCCCUUCACUACCAACCCACCGGUAAACACCAUUUCCACAACCUAAUGGGUUGAUUGUGGAAUGGUAAACUACCUAUGUGGCGCUGAGUUAGAAGGUGUUUUGGAUAUAACCACUCCCCACAACCUUAGCAUUAGAACAUCCUGAUGCUCCACAUGAACUAAGAACAUCACUUAAUCUUCAUUAAAUACUUUGGGGUUGUACUCAUAAAGUAAAAUAUCUCCCCCCUUAGACAUAUCAUCAUUUUCCUCAUCUGAUGACCAAGGAAUUUGUGGAGAUAUAUGUGACUUUGGAUUAAAGGGGGUUAUAUUGGUCAUCCUUUUUAGACAACUUUUUAAAUUAAUCAAUCCAAGCUCCUAUACCGACGACAUUUUCUGGAAUCUCUUUAGAUGGGGAUGAUGGUUCAUUAAGCGACGACAUUUUCUAACCGUGUACCGACGACAAGUCGUCACAGACAAGUCAGGAUAGGUCAAAAAAGUCGUCGGCAUAGGUGUCGUCGGGAUAGGUACCCCAUAUACCGACGACAUGACGUUGGUACAAGUACCGUCUGGAAUGAUUUUCGAGAAAAAAAAUAAAGUUUUAUUAAUUACUUGUGGCGACGACAUGUCGUCGGGACAGGUGCCACCUAUAGCGACGCCAUUUUGUCGCCACAUGUUUUCCACAAAUAUCAAUCAAAUACCUAUAGUGGCGACUAGUCGUUAGGAUAGCCACUGGGUGUUUUUUUUUUUUUUUUUUUUUUUUUUUUUUUUUUUUUUAGUUUUUACAGAUUUUGUACAUUUACCAUUCGUGCAUUUUUAACAAAUCCAAACAUUUUGCAGCAUAUAUCAAAUAAGAUACAAUAACUGGGUACCAUUGUUUAAAUUCAAAACAUCAAAUUCAAGUUUAAUAUUACAUACCGAAUUAGAUAAAAUAAGUAGUUAACAUUGUUCAAAAUAACACAAAACAUAAACAUCAUUAUAUUCUUUUUUUUUUCUUCUUCUUCUUCUUCCAUCCUCUCGGGUUCACAUUUUGUUGAGAGGUAUUUCCUUGUGAUGUACUUCCUUCUGUGUUGGAAUUGAAUAGAAAACUAGCAAACGGUGGUGGUUGUGUAACAUCCCAAAAAUUUUAACAAAUAUGAACUUUUCAAAACAACCCAUUUAUUAACAAAAGUGUUUACAAAAACAUGAUUUAAAAUUAGAGUCUCCCAAGAUCCACUUUGUUCUAAAACCGAGGAUGCGUACGGUCACGCCUUUGCCUUGCCAUGAAUCAUUUGAAGAAACUGAAACCAUAAACAAAUCGUAAGCAAGAAUCUUAGUGAGUUCCUCCAAAAUACCACCGCACAAACAGAUAGCACAUAAAUAACGACAACAUGUACUAGGUCCACAACUAAAAGACUGGAUUACCCCUGAGCCUAUAAUAUGAAUCUGGCUUGCCUAUUGGGCCCACAACUCAUAUCUGGUUUGCUCUUGAGCCCACAACAUAAGUCAGACUUGCCCCUGGGGCUCACAACUUAUGUCAGGCUUGCUCCCAACUCAAUCAGUCAUCGGACUAGAAUACCAAUGUUCAGCCCUGUGACAACCUGAAAUUUCCAUUCUGAACAAACCAUAUCAAUCCAAUAGAAGUUAGAACAGUUACAAUGAAAUUCCAGACUUUGGGCAUAAGUUUGACAGUUUUUCAGGAUUUACACUUAAGGAGAUAUCAGGAGAGUGGAUGCACUAGGGUUUUGUGCAACACUGUUAUUCCAAAACUCUAGGAUAUUAGGGUUCAAUUCCGGAAUAAAAAUAUUUUCUGCCAAAAAUCUCAGGACUAUAUAUAGAAAUCUGAGCCAUAUUCAUUCAUUAGUUACAUUUCCAACUAGAGAAAAGCCAAAUUCUCUCUCACGGAUCUUCAGGUUUUUAUCCCAAAUCGUGAGUACUUCUAUCUAGUUGUAUUAUAUAGCUUAGAUUGUUUUUUAUAACAUCAAAAUCGGAUCAAAACCCCAAGAUUUGGGAGUUUACCGCCCAAGAACACUUGGAGAGUAAACUCCUUUUUAAGGGCCAAAAGUGUGCCCAAUGUCCCUCAAAGCCUUGGGAAUGAACCUAGAAGCUACCAUUACAUGUUUAAGACCACAAAACAAUUAAGAAUCAUGGCUAGAAGUGAGUUCACGGCCAAGGAAGUUCUUCGUCCGUGAACUCCAUUUUUAUGUGCCAAAAUGCCCUAAAAGCCUUCCUUAAGCCAAGAGACUAAUUUAGACAUGUACCUAGAUGAGUUUAGGACUAGCAAACACCUUUAGAACACCAAGAGUAAGGUGUUCACGGCCCAAGAAGUUCUAGGGUCGUGAACUCCAAACAAUGGUGCCAAAUGGUGCUAUAAACUCUCCUAAAGCCUUGGACAAUUUCCUUGCUUCAUUCUUAGAUAAAUUAGGGACUUGAAAACACCACAAACACCCUCCUAAGGGAGAUUACGGCCGUAAUCUCCAUGGGAUAUGGUCCAUGGCGCGUGAACUCCUCAAAGGAGUUAAAAGGAAGCCCAAACACUUGUUUAAGCCUAGAAGCACUUCACCACUUAAGUUGUAAUAAUGUUAGGCUUCAUUUAGUGACCCUAUAGAGAGUUUACGGCCAAGAGUUUACUCCCCUAGGCCGUAAACUCCAACACAUAUGGUCUUUUGACCAUAAACUCCCAUAAGAGGUCUUGCACUCCUUUGUUGCAACCCAUUAGCCUCCUAGCACUUGACCAAAGUGUUUUCCUCACAUUAGGAUGUUUAUACAUGUUUAAUUAGUGUUAUAAUCACUAAUUGUUUAUAUACAUAUGUCUUCAUAUGUAAUUAGGACCAUUGUGUGUGUCUAAAGUCUUCACUUGACACCUAGCAGUCCUACCUCUUCAGUUCAUCCGUAUCACCCACAACAGGUGAGUUUAUACCUNGGGGAUACAAGUAGAAUUAUGCUAAUUAUUAUAUCAAUCACAGGUGAUUAAUAAGCAGCAUUCAAAUGAUUAGCUACUCAUUAGCCGUUUUACCAAACCGUUUCCUUCAAAUGUUUUUCAUAAACACCUUAUGUGUUUAAAACUCCUUAUUACACUGUACCUUUUAUUCUGUAUGUUUCAAUUCAAACUUAUUUACAAUUGUGUUUCAAACAAAUGUUUCUUUAUACUAAACUAUUUUGUCAAACCCAUGCCUUCAAAACCGUUUUAUAGAUUGACAUCAAGUCGAUCUUUUCUUAGAUAAUAAUUAUGUUCAAAGGUUUUACAAAACUUAUUUUAUGUUUUUAUAUUAUAAAUUGGAUGCCUAUAUAUGCAUAGUUAUAUAAUAAAUGUUGAAAGGACUUAGGAAGGCUAUCCACCCUAUUUCCUUUUCCUCGAUUUGGAUGUGGUCUGGUGGGAUAUCAGGUACCCGUCCGAAGGUUGUUUAAAUAUUAAUUAUAUAUCAUGUGUACGUAUAUAGUCAUAAAAGUCCUUCCAGCUCAGCCAAUGCCCUUGGGUAGCAAGGGUAUAUUUAACAUCCCCCUCUUGCACGUAUCACAAUAUUAUCCGCUUUGGGCCACUCGGCACGAGGACUUCCCAGGGGGUCACCCGUCCUGGUACUACUCCCGCCCGAGCACGCUUAACUACAGAGUUCUUAUGGGAUUUGCUGCCCUCACGGCUUUAAAACGCGUUGUGCUAGGGAAUGUAUCCACACCCCUUAUAAGGAAUGCUUAGAUCUCCUUCCCAGCCGAUGUGGGAUCAGAUCUAACCCACUUUCACCCCCCAUUAUAGGGUUCGACGUCCCCGUCGAACACAUCGACCCAUGCCCUGGCUCUGAUACCAAUUGUGACAUCCCCUAAUUUCUCGGCCAGAAAAUACCGAUUUAAUUUAUGCUUUUUAAAAUAAAAUCAGAGAAAUCUUUUUAAAAGAUGUUGCGGAAUUGGUCCCCAAACAACAUAUGAUAAAAGUUUAUCAAAAUCCUUCAUUAAGAAGGUAUAUAUUUUCCAUAUAUAUCAAAACCUCGGGAUUUCAUGUUCCGAUACAGAUCAAAAGCAUAAACAAGACAUUAUAAGCCUUUCAACAGUUAUUUACAACUACUGGCCUAUAAUCCAAAAAUUCUCUCGUCGUCCUCCGACUAUGCUCAGGGUCCACUACCUGUAAUCAUAAAAACUGAGUGGGUCAGGCUUGGGAGUCUGGUGAGCAUAUAGGGGUUUCAACCCACAAUAAUAAUAUACUUAUUAAGUUCACCAAUCAACAAUAACCCUGAUUACCCAUUCCCGUUGUCCUCACUUUACGUCCCUAAACACCUAUCACAAGGGACCUAGCCUAAGGAUUAUCAUCGGGAUGGACACUACUGCUAAGGGGUUUCCUCAGCCAUACAUGUCCUUAAGGCAACCAUGAGGGGGAUGAAGUACGCCAAUGAACAUUUAAUUCAUCAACACCUACAAGUUGCGAACCUGCUAGUGUUCGACUGGACUAUCUAGAAAGUCUGUGGUCGUCAUCUAUACUCCGCUAGAUGACUACAACAACAACAACAACAACAUCGAGGCCUCUCACCUUUUUAACACACAUCAACUAUUUCAUCUACCCAUGUUCUACCCAACAUAUUUUGUAGAUAAAAAGAAUAUACAGUUUGAAACUUGUAUAAAACAUCAAAUCAAUAGUCACCUUAGUUAAACAAUUACUAUAUUUACACAUAACACGUAUUUCAAGGUAAAUACUUCAUAUCUAUGUGUAAAUUGAAAGUAACUACACACUCACAUAUUUUGAUGAACAUCGGGCAACAAUUCAUUUCCUAAAACGAUCGUUUCUAAUAAAACCGGGAGUUUUAUUGAGAAACUGGGCUCUGCAAAAGUCGGGGUUUGAAACCGAAAAGAUAAAUUUUCCGGGCUUCACGGGCACUUCGUGGAGUAUUCCGGGCUUUACAAUCGAUACCGGGGCUUUGCGGGAUGUUAAGAUGAAGAAAAUAUGGGUUUAGGGGUUAAAUAUGGCAAAAUUUCAAAGUUACCUGGGAGGUCUCGCACCCUUCUAUUUAUAGGGGCGAGGCUUCUGAUCCAACGGAUAGAAAGAGGACACGCGUCGCAGAUCCGAAGGCUCGCAGGGAAGCCUCGCACGUGGCUGCGCAUGGCUCGCACCUGUGAGGGGCUCGCUGGCAGCUUGUGAUUGGACCGAGGUCUAGGGUCCGAAGUAGAGGGUUCGUGGCAUGUUGCGAGGGCUCGGUCUCGUGCAUGAGGGUACGUGUCACCUUCUCAGUGGACCACUUCGGAUAAGGCCAUGUGCUCGGAUGACUCAGCAGCUCGGGUGACUCAACAGCUCGGAUGACUCAGCAGGACACAUGGCACUUUUUCAGCGAGGGUGACGUGGCAACUCGUGACUAUGCGAAUUUUCUCGAUUUUCGCGCCAAAACUUCUAAAAUCCAUAACUUUCGCAUACGAGCUCCGUUUUUGACGUUCUUUAUAUGCACGCGUAGCUAAAAUUACGCUCUACAACUUCCGUUUAGACUUCGUCGGCUAAUUUUGAAUUUAAAUUUUAUAUUAUUAUUUUUAACAGACCGGGACAGGAAAUCCGUUAAAAAUUCAUAACUUCUUCAUCCGACGUCCGUUUUCAUCAGAAUUUUUACCGUUGUGCUCCUAAUGACGAGACCUUCAAUUCUCGUUUAGGUUGUGUCGGCUAAAAAUCGCUCGAUCUAAAAUUCGAGUUUUUUAGCUGUCUACUGCUAAGCUGAAACUUCGAAAAAUCAUAACUUCCUCAUACGAAGUCAGAUUUGGGCGUUCCUUUUAUCGAACUUCUCAGUUUAACGACUACUACGACUUUCAUUUAGAUUACUAAGGCUAAAAAGUAGUUUAUCGAAAACUCACUUUUUACAACAUUCAGCACCGUGCCGGUUUUGUCGCGAAACUUCGACAUGUCAUAACUUCUUCGUUAUAACUCGGAUUUUGGUAUUCUUUAUAUCCCCGAAAUCCUUGUUUCGACCACUACAAAUUUAUGUAAAGAUAUCGGGCUUAUCUCCCACUUUAAUUUUGACGCUUAUUUUUAUUCUUAACUAAUUAAGCCCUAAUAAUUAAGCAUAAAACACAUAAUUCAUAUAAUAUUCACAUAAUUCCUUUUCAUUUCUUCAAAAUGAGUUACAAAGGUUAACCUAGACUAUCAACUCAAUAUAAAUGCCUAGGAUAGAAACAUGAGUGUUACAAAUUGUAUCAAGACAUGUUAUAUGGACGUGUUGAACUUCCGUGUCCAUUUCUCCUUCUGCUGUUUGUUCUUCUAAAGAAUGAGGAAAGAUAUCCAAGUCUAGCAUAUGCAGAGAACUAGCAACAAGUAGAUCUAAGUCGUCCAAGUUGUUGGCAAUUUCGACUGGACUCGUCGGGUCUAGGAAAGUGACUCGGUGAGUCAGAUCAUAUUUCACCAUUUCCACUGUGUUUUCCGAGUCGGCUCCUUCCAGUAGCUUUUCUAUCUCCUCCAAGUCCUUGUUAACAUCUCCAUCCUCUCCAGAAGGUAGCAAAAGCUUGCUUGGAUCUUCUUCUUGCAAAAGUGCAAGUUCUUUUUGUAGUAUCUCAUCAUCCAAAUCGAUAAAUGAGAUAUCUUCUUUUCCUUCCUCUUCUUGCUUGGCUUCUGGUAAAGCUCUAAAUAUUGCUGACUCGUCUCCUACCCUUAAUGUUAGUGUAGACUCGCAUACAUCAAUUAAAGCACAUGCGGUGUUUAAAAAUGACCUCCCCAAAAUAAUCGGAAUUUCGGGGUCUUCUUCCAUAUCAAGCACCACAAAGUCUACUGGAAAUAUGAACUUGUCGAUUUUAAUAAGAAGAUCCUCACAAACGCCUCUUGGAUGAAUUGUUGUCUUGUCUGCCAAAUGGAUCUUCAUGUUUACCGGCCUUGGCUCCGAUAAAUUCAGUUUCUUGAAGAAAGAGAAAGACAUUAGGUUAAUGCUUGCACCUGAGUCGGUCAACGCUUGAGUGACAAAUGCAUUUCCAAAUUGGCACGGAAUUAUGAUACUCCCCGGAUCGCCCUUCUUUUCGAGUAACUCACUCAAUAUUAUUUCCGUGACUUCAGCCAAAUAUUUCCUAGCAGCAAAGAGACCCUUUAGUAAGUUGAAGUACUUGGGUGUUUUAAGCAUCGUUUCUACAAAUGGCACAUUGACUUGUAGGGAUUUAACAUGCUCCAUAAAAGCUCAAUAAGCUUCAACUUUUUCAACUGGCAUGGCUUUGAUUGGGAAUGGCAAAGGGGGAUUAUAUGGCUUUAAGGGAAUGACGGUUUUGUCAUUAACGCAUGGACUCGUCGAGUCCAUUAGAGGGACUCGGCGAGUCUUGUCGGGCUUAGCUGGAGCCGACUCUUCUGCCUUUUCUGUCUUCCUAUUGGAGAUCCUCUGUGCAUGUGUGAAAAUUUCUUCAUUGCUGGAAGUUACUGCACUCACAUUCUCCAUUCUCGGAUUGUUUUCGGUGUUACUUGGAAGUUGACCCGGUCUUCUUUCGUUCACUUGAUGUGAAAGUUGUCCCAGCUGUUUCUCAAUGUUGAGAAUGGAUGCCUGCUCAUUCCUUAGCAUAUUUCUGGUCUCGUGUAUUGCAGCAUCGUGAUCAUUGUGUCUCUUUUCGGACACGGCUAUGAAUCUAGUGAACAAUUCUUCUAAAUCGGCUUUCUUUUCCAUUACCGGUUCUUCCUUUUGAUAAAAUACCCUCUCCUUCUGCUUGUAUUUCUCCUCCUUAUCCUUCUUGUAUUCUUCGUAUGGGAGCCAUUCCUUCUUCGGUUUCCCCCAAUUCUCGUCGUAUCUAUCGCCACUUGAGUAGAACACUUGAGCCUUCUUGUUUCCAUUUUCAUCCAAAUCACAAUCCUUUGUGAGAUGGGGCCCUCUACAAUUCUCACAUCCAACAUGAAUAGCAUGGAUUGUUUGAUCCAUUUUUGUCAUCCUUCUAUCUAGACUAUCGAGCUUAGCUAUCAUCGCCGCCAUGCUAUCAUUUGCCGAGUUCACUACCCCCCGACUUACUUCAUUUAUUGGAUUGUGGUAUUCUCUAGAAUGCUUAGAGAAUUCUUCAAUUAACUCCUUGAUUACCGGGGGCGCCUUCUUCGUGAGCGGGCCUUGUGAAUCGAGCAAUUGCCUUGUGGUGACAUUGACUCCAUCAUAGAAAAUGGAGACCUCUUGUUGGAUAUUGAGGUCAUGGUGUGGGCAAUUUCUAAGCAAGCUCUUGUACCUUUCCCAAGCUUCAUAAAGAGAUUCUCCGGGUUGUUGCUCGAAGUUGGCAAUGGCUUUCUUUAGUUUAGCUAUUUUGGAGGGCGGGCAAAAGUGGUCUAUGAACUCUUCUUUCAUCUUGGCCCAUGUGGUGACCGAUCCGGGAGGAAGUGACUUGAGCCAAUCCUUUGCAUCACCCUUGAACGUGACUGGAAGCAUGCGAAGUAGUUGGGUCUCGCGAGGCAUAUUUGGUACAUUGAAGUAGUCAGCCACAUCAUUUACUUCAUCCAAGUGCUUGUAGGCGUCUUCGUGGUCCUUCCCAUAAAAAGGAAUCUCCUUGAGUUGAGCGAGAAUAUGGCCUUUUAGUUCGAACGUAGUGGUUGCGGGAAUUGCGGGUUGCACAAGUCCCGAGCCGGUGUCAUCGCGCAUCCUUUUCUUCCAUUACCCCAUGGGGACUUCAUCGAUAUUAGCCAUAGCGAUAGCUAAAUCGUCUUCAAACUCGGAUUCUUGCUCGUAUGUGGGUUCUUCUUCUUCCUCGGUCUCGUACUCGAUGUCUUCUUGAAUUGGGUCUCUGAUUGUCAAAGAGGCACUGGAUGCUCCUGAUUUGCUGCUCCUUGUCUUGCUGAAAACGGACUUGAGGUUUUUGAGUGGUAAGUUCUUUGAAGAAGCGGAUUCUCCAACGGUUUUGCCUUUGCUCCUCCUUAGUGCGGAUUCCGGGUCUUCAAGAGGAGGGACCAGAGGUGUAUCAGAUCCUCAGGUCAUGAAACAACUGUAAACAAAACAAAAAACGCGUAAAAAGAACAAAAAAUAAAUAAAAAUUAAAACUGUGAAUCAGCGAUGUACUCGCCGAGUCGGCACGAGUGCACUAGGCGAGUCUGGUCAAAACAUAGAAAAAUUUUUCUAGUUACUUUAAAAACGGAUUUUUAUUAAAACUUAUACUACUUACUAAAUUACCUUUUAAAUAACUUUGUGUAAGAUAAAUCCCACACAAAUGAUCGAUUAAAUUAGAAUUUAACGUUAAUUUUAGAACCGUUCCCCAGCAACGGCGCCAAAAACUUGAUGUGUGCAAACUCACUUAGUUUUAAACCUACUUUUAAUUUUAAAAUAAACACACAAAGGCAGUGGACCUAUCAAUUGUGGUAUAGUUAAAUAAGUAGGGUAUCGAACACAGGGAACGGCAAAUUAAAACUAAAAACUAAUUCUAUCUAAAUUAAUUAAUAAGUAGGAGGUUUUCUCUAGUUUUUCAAGACUAGAAACUUACUAACUAUUACUUAUUCUAAAACUUAGAAAAACAAAGAAUUAACUAGAUUCAAUAAUGGGAAGGAACUUCUGUUUAGUUCAACUCAAUUGAUCCUAUGGUUGAUAUCAAGGUAAUGGUGCAAUGGAUUAACUCUUUUGUUGGUUACCGAUUCAAGUGAUUAGAUUUGCGUUCACUACACUAAUCCUUAGCAAAUAAACUAACUUAAACAGUGGCCAGUUGUCUAAUUUAAUUAAAUUCACUAGAUUAAUUAUUCGGGUUAAUUUAGACUUGCAAUAGUUAACUAAUUUGGUCCUUUAAUUAACUUNUUUGUUGAUGGUCAUCACAAGCUCACACAUGAAUUUACUCAAUUUUCUUAUUAAUUCUAGUUUCAUGUUCAUUAAUCCUAGACAUAUGACAAAGUGGUCACAUAGCAUAUGAGGUUGAUAAUCAAUAGAUGUUCAUGCUAUUCAAUUACCUUCCUAUUAAUAGAAAAUUAAUUAUCAUUCACACACAAGGUUCUUUAGCAAGCUAAAAUAACAAAAAUCACUAACUUUAAAUUAAUCCUACCAAUAAUCAAACCAUAGUAUCAAUUUUGUAUCCCCAAACAGAAGUUUAAGAGUUUUAGCUCAUGAUUGAAGUAAAUUACAGCAAACAAACAGAUUUUAAUUGUUUAACCAUUAUGAAAAAUAAAAAAUUAAGUAGAAUGAUGAAAUUUGCCUCAAAUCUCCUUCGGAAUUGGAUUCUAGCUUGUAUCUUCGUCCUCUAGGUUUUUUCUGACUCUUCAAUCGCAGCUAACCUCUCCAGAAUCGUUCCAGAAUUCCUCCCCAUCGUUCUCAGAAGUUAUCUUUAUAUAUGCAAAACGACUCGUCGAGUCAGAUGCCGACUCGUCGAGCCCAUCUCUAAGUCCCCGUAUGCGAUAAGUCUCUAGGUCUCCGAGUCUUUAUCUUCUCGAAUAUUCGCUUGGGCUCGCCGAGUAGUUGACCCUACUCACCGAGUAUGUGUUGUUUUUAGUGUUUUUCUUCUUUGUUCGAUUCCCGAGCUCUCAACCGCUUCUCCUGCUUCCUUUUGCUUCCGAGCUUCACUUUUGGACUGAAAACAUAAUUCAAACACUUUUAAGUACCUUUUGUCCAUGAAAUGCAAUAAUUUAGCUAAUAAAUGAAUAAAAAUCUACACUUAAUAUGAACUAAAUAUGCACAUAUCACUUUCCUUAGAUUCAUAGUCUCUCCAACCAAAAUUCCUAGAUAAUUGAAUGGGAUGGAUGAAGGUUCACAUCCAAGAGGAGCUGCCCAAUUUAUUACUUCCAUGUGGGUAGCUCCUAUCCCAUACACCUUCGAUUUCCUAAAGUUCACCUUUAGCCCCGAUGAUACACAGAAGCACCUUAAUAUCCGGGCCAAGUUUGCAAUAUUUCGCCUUGACCAUUAGCCUAUAAACAGUGUGUCAUCUGCAUAGAAUAAAUGAGACAAACAUUGAUUAGAUUGUGAAAAUUUGAUGCCUUCGAAGAUUCCUUUUUCCACAACUGUCUUCAUCGCCUGAUUUAAUCCUUCAAUCACAAUGAUAAAAAGAAAUGGGGAGAGUGGAUCUCCCUGUCUGACACCUUUUGACAUAGAGAACUCCUUGGUCGGACUGUCGUUGAUCGACUGGGAAGGAGAACUAAGCAUUCCUUAUAAGGGGUGUGGAUACCUUCCCUAUCACAACGCGUUUGAAAACCGUGAGGGAAGCAGAUCCCAUAGGAACUCUGCAGUUAAGCGUGCUUGGGCGCGAGUAGUACCAGGAUGGGUGACCCCCUGGGAAGUCCUCGUGCCGAGUGGCCCAAGACGAACAAUAUUGUGAUACGUGCCAGAGGGGAAUGUUACAAAUGGUAUCAGAGCCAGCGCACAGUUCGAUGUGUUCGACGAGGACGUCGAACCCUAUAAUGGGGGGUGAAAGUGGGUUAGAUUUGAUCCCACAUCGGCUGGGAAGGAGAACUAAGCAUUCCUUAUAAGGGGUGUGGAUACCUUCCCUAUCACAACGCGUUUUAAAGCCGUGAGGGCAGCAGAUCCCAUAAGAACUCUGCAGUUAAGCGUGCUCGGGCGGGAGUAGUACCAGGAUGGGUGACCCCCUGGGAAGUCCUCGUGCCGAGUGGCCCAAGGCGGAAAAUAUUGUGAUAUGUGCCAGAGGGGGAUGUUACAGUAUAUAGCCAUGUUCAUACGUACCAGUUAAAUUACUAGUAAGCUAUUGACUAUCCUACACCUUGCUGCUUGCUACAGCCGGACGUCAUUUCUUUCUACAUAUAGAUCAGUUAAGUCUUGGUAGAAGACUCCCUGUUAUAGUAGUAGGAAUCAUAGGGAUUUCUAGAGUUUUUCAAACGUUUACAGUUGUUUUACAUACAUUUUCAAUACUUACGAUUUACAUACAUUUUCAAUACUUACAAAUUCUUACAUACAAAUUCUUACAUACAAAUUAAGACACUAAAAUACUUAUGAUCUCACCAGCUUCAAAGUUGAUACUCGCUUUCAAAAUUACUUGUAUCCUCAGGUCAAACAUAGACAGGUACCGAUGCAAGGUUUAGAGAAGAUGGAGCUCGUUCAAGACUCAUCUUUCAUUUUGAUUUAUGCCUUAGUGUUUAUCAAAAUUUGACAGAACACAGUUGUAUAAUAAUUAUAUUAUUAAUGCAAUGGAUGAUGUUGCUGCUUGUUUACUACUUUUCAUUGUUGUGAUAUUGUACAUGACGUCCUCCGCCCCAGAACGUUUCCGCGGUUCUUGGUUUUGGGGUGUGACAAGCCCUCAGUAAGAGUCUAGCAUACCAACUGGUCCUCAGAUCAUAUCUGGAAUGCUACUAAUCCCCCAGUAUGAGUCUGGCAUGCCCCAUCCGAGACUCAACUCAUAUCUGGAUUUCUCCGAUACCCUCAACCCCUUAGUACGAGUCUGGCAUACCAAUCGGGUCCUCAGCUCGUAUCUUGAAUGCACCUGAGCCCUUAGUAUGCGUAUGGCAUGCCCUAAUCAGCUCUUAGCUCAUAUAUGGAAUGCUCCAGGGUUUGUUGGCUACAGAACGAAGCAGUACAACCUCAACCCAACACAAUAUGUCGACAAAUAACCAACAUAUACAGAUAAUCAUGCACACAUAAUCAUAGGUACUCCUAUAGAUCUACCAUACUAACAUAUCGGCAACUAGCAUACUCAUGCAGAUCUAUUCCAUACUCAGAAUAUUAGUGAAUUGUAGGAUAACAAACCAAUACACCGGCAUUGGUGCCUUCGACUCGUAAAUAUAGUGAGGAAAAAUCACAUCGCACUGCUGAACAUAAAGACGAUCCAUGGUUGAUGGCUGCCAGAUCCCCGAACCGCCAAUAUCAAGACAACACCCCAUCACAGCUGAUCCCAUGAAUAAUUUCUGACUACAGAACCACUAUGAUCCACGUGCUAUCAAAUACUACAAUGACAACCCAUCAAUAGACCUGGCAAUGGAGCGGGUUUGGAGCGAAUCAGCCUUGAUCCAAACCCUUUUAACAAAUUUCAAAAUCCGAUCCAAACCCGCUCCGUAACCCACAGGGUUUUAAAUAAUCAGACCCAUACCUUUAUCCGCCGAAUCAACGAAUAUUCAAGCCCGCCCCAUAACCCAAAGUUUUUUUAAAUAAUCAAACACAUUUUAAUAAACUCCUAAAAUAAAAUUUCUUAAAUAAGAAACUGUAUACUAUAUCUUAAUACUUAAAAUAACAUUUUUUUAAAUAAAAAAAAUUGAUUUAGAAAAGGACAUUACAUACUCGAAGAAUUUCAAUCGGAAUUAAAAAUCACUAUUGCAACAACUUUGAAUUGAUUUAUGACUGUUGGUUGUAGUGAUAGCGAAUUGCAAUUGCCAUCUUUUUUCAUGUUAAAAAUUGAUUUAUUGAAUUAGAAAUGGAUAUGAUGAUUUCUUGAUGCAAAUAAAUUAAAUGACAUUAUGAUUCUUGAUAGAAAUCUAUAAGUUUAGAAUCUGAAUUAUCGAUUCCUAUGUAAAAGCAUUUUUUUUCUUUGGCCUUUGCAUUUUGGACUUUUGAUUGGUAUUAAAAUUAAACGUUAAGAAGUAUAAAAUAUAAAUAUAUAAUUCUAAAUUUAUAUGGGGCGAGUUAUAAAUGGAGCGGAUCGGUGAUGAUCCAUACCUGACCCAUUUAAUAAAAGGGCUAGUGGGAAUGGAUCGUUAACGGGUAAACGAAUCAAAAACUACACUCCAAACCCAUAUAAUUCUUACGAGUUUGGAUCGGAUUAGGGUCAAAACCCACUUCAUUGCCAGGUCUACCCAUCAACCUUUAGCCCCUGACUCACGUUAUGAGUGAAAAUUAGGGUAAAAGACCUUUUUAUCCUUCUUAAGCUUGGCCCGAAGCCAAGGCCCAACUAAAUGGUUAAUGGCCCAAAAUCCAAAAUAGACUUCUAAGGCCCAAAUAUGGCCCAAUUUUCCAAAUUGGGCCCAAUUCCUUUCUUGGGCCUUCAGCUAAGAAAGUCCAUCAAAACAAAAGCCCAAACCAUAAAAUCUAGAUGGCCUAACAUGGCCCAAGACAAUCCGAGCCCAAAACCGGAGCCAAAAAUGAAGGCCCAAUAGUACCGCAUACGCGGGGAGUACUCCAAAGGCACACUUAGCGUACAUGAGGCUGCGUAGAAUCCACCAUUGGGGUGGCAGAUUGGGUAUGCGGGGCGUACACCUCCCUACGCGGGGCGUACCCUCUUAAAACUCAAUUUCUUCAUAACUGCUUAAUGGCUUAGCAUUUGAGCUCAUACUUCAGAUCCAAGGUCCAGAGCCAUACUAUGGCCAUAAAAUUCCCAACUUUAUGAAUUUCCACGUCCAAAAAGUCCUUAAUGAAAGGUCUUAAUGGAUUAAUACUUUCUACAAGAAGUAUGGAGAAAAACUAGCUAAGGUGAUCUCACUUUUAUGGCUUAGAACCCCUCUUAGGGUCUGAAAGGACAGCCCAAAAUGACCAAAACCAAACAUGCAUAACAAUGGGACUUUUGGGACAAAAAGAACAUCAUAAUGCUACCAAAAUGAGAUCCAAGCAAACAAAGCAUAAAGGUAGAAACUUUUUACCUUCUGGAGCUUCCCAAGAAGAUGAUGAUCCAAGAUCCACAAGCUUGCUUCAACUACUAAUCUCCUUGAUGCAACUCCUUCUUCCUUAAGAACACAAAGAACACACUUUUAGCUCAAAACACUCUCUUAUUGGGUUAGGGUUGCCAAAAAUGACUCAAGGGUGUGGAGGCUGAAAAGAUGAGGCUAAAUGAUCUAUAAAGGUGAUUAAAUACCCCACAAACCCUAAAACUUAGGGUUUUUUCUAACAAGAGUACACCCAUCGUACAUAUGAGUACGCCCAACAUACUAGGGUACACCCUAGUAUGCUUAGCGUAUGCACAUGUACGCUUAGCGUACCACUCCUUCUCCCAAAAUUACGAUUUUUCCAAUAGGGCUUCUUGCGACCACUUCCUUCCAAAACAAGGACCAAAAUGGUAUACUCUAAAGCCAAGAGAUGAAUUUGAAAAUGCCUGAAAACUGGGGCAUUACAGGUUGGGAGUUCGGAAUACAUGUCGCCAAUGAUGCAUUAUAUUGUUGCAAGUAUUCUUGCAUUUGUUGUGCAUUAGAUUGGGAUUGAGAUUGGAAAGAUGUGGAAGUUGAAGCACAUUUAUUUGGAAUUAGACCGAAGUUGGUGACUGGUCUCCUACCCACUACGCGAGCCUGCCCUUGUCUCGUCCUGAGGGCACGUGCAAGCCAUUCUUCCUCAUCUACUUCUUCACCUUACCCGACCCCGCUUUGCAUUUUCUCGUAUUUAUCUUGAAUCUUCUUCUAAAAUAAACAAGAUAAUAAACAUACGAUAAUUAAAACAAACAACUAAACUUAAACAUUAAAAUAAUAAUAAUAUACCUUAGACAUAAACUAUAAUUAAUAAUAAUAACAUAUUUAACUAACGUAUUAAUUUCGCUUAUGACUUACCUAAUCUUGUUGUGCUCGACUUGUACACCAACCCUAGCCUUCUUUGUAGCGCAUUUGUCUCCAACCCUCAAUAUGUUGCGGCUUCAGUCCUAGUUUUUCCUGUAAUAUGUAAAAAACAAUAAAUAUAUUUAUACGAGUGAUAGUAACAUUUUUAAAUAAUACUAAUAUACUUUAUUACUUUUAAAUGACGUCGUUGAGCAUACGACCUACAUCCAUGAGAACUUGUGUCCGGAAGUUUAAUUCGACCUAGUAACUUUAUUUUUGGCCGAUGUGUGUAUAUAUUCAUCAGUAAAAAACAACAUGCCAAUCGUCUUAUUCUAAGCUUUGGCAGACCAAUCAAUCUGUGGAUGUUUUUUUGUCCUUUCCACAUCCGCAUAUCCACCAGCUUUUUCAAAAUGAUUUUCCAUGUCAUGCUUGCAAUCUCGAUAAGCUUUUUGCAUACUAUCUUGGGUACCCGCUCGAACGGGUUCCCACAACUCUGUGCCCUAGUGCAUAUCGGGAUCAAAAUAAGUCUGCAAAAAAUACAUAUUUGAUUAGUAAUAAGAAAUAUUUAAUAAGUGUAAAAUUCAAUACAUAUAAAAUAUUUUGUAUAUACUUACUUCUAGCUCGAGAUAUAAAUUAUCUUCGUACUUGGUAGAAACAUGGCGCCAAGAAUGAUAAUGCAACAGUACCUCUGAUCCCACCAGAUUUGAGAUCAAUCUAACAAAUAAGUGUCUGUUGUCCCGCACGAAUCGAUACGUCCUCCUGGAGGUAUCAAGGCUCACAACCAAAGGAUUACUACCUUUAUCUUCAUACUCAUCGUACAAUUUUAAGUUUCUCCAUCUGCCAUGUACAUUCACAUUCUUCACUUUUGUUACAUUUACACAUAGAAUUGGAAAUUUAGAAAUUUAAAUCCAAUACUUAAUAUUUUCAUGUAACUUACAUGAUUGGCAACCCGAUGGUAAACCAUGUGUGACCAUGUGUGGGGCUCUAUCACCACUGUCUCCUCCAUGUUACCUCAUGACUUCUGCCAUUUAUUUAACAAAUAUUAUAAACAUUCAAAAUCUAUAAUAAAGCUACUUAUAAAUAGGCAAAAUUUAAAAACUUAACACAUAUUAUAAACAAUCAGGAUAUAUAAUAACCGUAACAUACCAUCAAUGAGAAUCAUCACUAGAACAAUAUAACAUCAUCAUCGUUAUCAUAGUCUUUGUUAUUUAUUUCUUCUUCUGAAGAGUACGUAUCCCCACCAUCAUCGUCAUCGUUAAUUGUCACACCCCUGAACCAGACGACGGAAACGUCUGGGGGCUCGUGUGACUAACAAUUGAAUUAUCAUCACAAUGAAUAUACAUGAAACAUUACACAUUCAUCACCAACAUUACAUAUUACAACCAGCAUUGUUCACAGCAAGUACAUUGUUAAAGAUUACAUAAAUUCAAAGUAUUAAUAGUAAGAUAGGUGAUGUUACACAAAAUAAAUCGAUACACUUGAAAAUCUUCCUGCUUAACGAUUACCUGAGAAUACCAGUUAUUUUGAAAAACGGUCAACAUAUAUAAUGUUGGUGAGUUCAUAAGUAUGUGUGAAUAAAAGUCUUUGCAUCUUUUGUAAAAACCUAGAAAAUCUGAUAUUUUCUGUAAAAUGUCUUAAAAUGAUGUGAAAAUCAAGUAUAAAUGCAUGUGUGAAUUUCAUAGCAAUAACAUAUAUGAUUUCAGUUUAAAUUUCUUUGUAUUUUAAGUAAGUGAUAAAUGAAUAAUAGUAUUUCCCUAGAAAAUCUGAGUAUUUCCUGAUUUAUAAUAAUGUCGAGGUUCUUGUAUCAUUAAUUAAGUUGUUUCGUAUUGACACAAUCGAAGGGUUAAUCUUCGAAAUGUCAAAUUGGUAUUGGAUCUCUAUAUGAGCAGUUAUAACCAUGUAUGAUAAUGACUAGGUUGUCUUUCUUGGCAUUUUCCAAACGUCGGUAUUUGCUCAAGGUUUUGUCGCCCAAGACUGGCCUAGUCUAGUUGUAGCGAACAACUAAGGCGUGGGGGGUCACCCCAUAUAGAUCUAUACACAAACUCCCGCUCUCCCUCCAGGAAACUCUGGUUAUAACUACAGACUACGAUUGUACACUCAGAGGUGUCAACCGACAUGUCUCACUAGAUUCUCAACUUUUCAUACCAUGUUUAAUGUUUACGUGAAUGUUGUAUGUUUUCAAAUCCAAAGGUAUAUAUAUAAGUAUACGAACUUUAGGGCUGGCAAUUGUUGACACGAUACGCGACACGACAUGAAAUAAAUGGGUUUGGGUUGAGUUUUUCAACCCGCCAACCCGCUAACCCGUCAACCCACCAACCCGUUUAUUAAACGGGUCAUAUAUGGGUUUCUCAAAAAAUAAACGGGUUGACCCGCCAACCCGUUUAUAUUCUUAAUAAAAAAAUUAUUAUAUUUUUAAAUGUAUUUAUGUAUCAAGUAUUAAUAUUUAAUAUGUAUUAUAUAAUAUAUACCAUUUAUUCAUAGACCAUUUGAUUGUUUUGACAUUAUUACUCGUGGUGGAUGGUCUAAGGUCAUAAGUCGUAACCUAUAAGACUAAGUCUGUAACAUGUUUCUAUGAAUGUUUUUAAUUUUCAUUUGGAUGUUUAAGACUUAAAUAUCUAAAAUUUAGACCCACGAACCCAAAUCUGACCCACGAACCCGCCAACUUGUCAACCCGUAUAAAUAAAUGGGUUGGUGGGUCAUAUAUAGGUUUAAGUUCCAAACCCGCCAACCCGUGACCUGUAUAUUUAAAUGGGUCGUCAUUGGGUUGGCAUAUUUUGACCCGCCAACCCGCCAACCCGCGACACGCCAACUCGAACACAACACGAUUGCCACGCCUAACGAACUUCAAGAAUUAUGUAAAGGUAUAGUUACAAUCUACUAAGCAUGUGAAUUUCAGUCCAAGCCCAACUAGCAUGUAAAUGGACCACAAAGGUCCAAUGACAUGUAAGAAGGUAAUUUAGACCCAAUAGGCAUGUAAGUGGACCACCAAGGCCCAACAAACAUGUAACCUAUAGCUCAGGCCCAAAUUAACAUGUAAAUGGGUCGCAAGGCCCAAUAAACAGGUCAUUGAAAAUAUUGGGCUCAAUAUAUACUUGAAUGGGCCCUUAAGGCCCAUUGGCCAUGUAAUGUGAAUAUUAGGUCCAAUAAAAUUAUUAUCGAUGUAUUUCGUCAAUUCGUUAUUAUUUCAUGGUUUGCUUUAGCUCGAUGUUUACCGAAUUAAAUAUAAAAGUCCCCUUUUUGUAUAAACGACGUUCUUGGCCAAUAAGACUAAAAUUUUGAAUUAAGGCCCAAAGUUUUGUAAAAAUUAACACUUUAGUCCAUAAUGUAUAAAAAUUUGUAAUUUUGCCCCAAAUGUUUAGAAAUUUACGGAUCUAGUCCAAAAAAUUAUAUUUUGACAUUUAUGGCCCAGUUUCGCAGAAUAUUACAUUUUCAGACCCUUGUUUGUAAAAAUGACACUUUUGACCCAGUUUUUAUAAAAGUUACAUUUUUGGUCCAAUUUAGAAAUAUAUGUUAUUUUUACCCCUAAAUUUGGUUUAUUUACAUUUAUGACUAAAACUUUGGUCAAAUAACAUUUUUAAUCCCAAAACUUCCAUUUUUUCGCAAAUUUGGCCCCAAAACCGUGAGGCCCAAAUAUUCAGCCCAUUAGGCUAAAAUUUACGUUUUUGGCCCUUUGGAAAGCAUGUUUAUCAUAAAAAUCCCUUUUUAUACAAACAGGACCUGUUUGGUCCUUUAAAAACCGUAAAUGUCACUUUUUUCCCUUAUCUUUUGUUUUCUUGACAGUUUUGACCCUUAACAAGGUUUUUGCUUUAAAUUUUUGUAUCUUAAACAUAUAAACACUUUUAACUUGAUAAUAUGAUGUAUAAGGUGUUUUAGUGUUGGAUUAAUGUCUAAGUUUAUAACUAUAAUUGGUAAGACUUGACCCGAUCCGGCAUGGUCCAUUUGGGUUGCAUGGCAUCAUGCACUUGGAUAGACUAUAAUGAGAGAAAUAAGACACUUAUGGUUAUUAAUAUAUUAUAAGUUCUAGUAUAUUAAUAAUAAGAAUAAUAAGAUUAUUUAAUUAGUAUUGAUCAAGAAUUAAUCUAGGAUUAAUUAAGUGAUCAAAAGAAGACUAAUUAAAUAUAUGGGUUGAUUGUGUAAAUCAUCCAUACUUAUAUAGUGGGCUAAUGCUCCAUGGAUAAUCAAGUUGGGCUAAAACCCAUAGGAUGGUCCAUGGAUGCUCCAUGGUGUAUUUGAACCCAUGGAUCCAAGGAAAUGGAAAGUCAUGACAAUUAGGGUUUACCCUAAUUGUAACACUAUAUAAAGAUCUUAUUAUUGACCAAAAUCGGCCACUAGAAUCAUUCUAGAGAAGGGCUAGCCGAUUUCAUGUAGUGUAGAUUUCUCUCAAGUUAUUCCAAGUGUAUUUGGUGUUGUGUGAACCAUUUGAGGUGUCACACUUGGGGCACUAGACACUCAAGCUUCAUGAAGACUUUCUACAUCAAAGAAGUAUGUAUUCUAUCUUGUUACAUUCAUUGUUUUGUAUGCUAGAUUAGGAUAAUACCUUGGAAGUUCUUAUUUGCAUGUAUAAUAGAGAAAACAUAGAUCCAAGGUAUUUAGGGUUGCAUGUACACUUAGGAGUGUUAGAAUGCUCAAAACCCAACAGUGGUAUCAGAGCCUAGGCUUGUUUUCUUGUUAUACUUGCAAAAGAAGCUGAAAAAUCGAGUUUUGAUGCUGUCUGCCCAGCAGACUCGCCGAGUCCAUGAAUGGACUCGCCGAGUCCAAGGCAAAAUGCAUCCAACUCGCCGAGUUGGUUCGUGCACUCGACGAGUUGGACCCCCAGACAGCAUAAAUUCGACUUUUUUGGCUGGAAUUGGACUAGGAACAUUACCCUAAGAUGUUUUUGGACUUAUAAACUUGUUUUUGAUGUGGUAAUGUUCAUGCUAAUCCAAUUUCAAAGAUAAUUGUCAAUAGAUUCAUGUUUUGUAUUAGUUUAAGGUUUAGACUAAUUACAUGAAAAAGUUUGAUUUGAAUUAUCUUGUUCUUAUGAGUUGCUUAGAUUAAUAGAAAAGUUGAGUGAAAUAGUUGUUUUCAAUCCAAAUUAAUCUAAGAGUUGAUUCUAAAAUGUGUUUUUGUAACUUGUCCUCAAGUUAUAUGAAAAGUCACAUUUAAGUUUCAUAAAACUCAUAAAAGUUGGCAAAGGUUACAAAAUGAAGAGUCUAGUUCUAAUUAAAUGGUUUUAUGACUCCAUAACUUGUCCUCAAGUUAUGGAGGACCAAGAGUCUCUUCAUUAAAUAAUAAAUAAAAAAAAAAAGUAACCUUAAUUAAUUCCAUAAGUUAUAAAAUAAAGAAAAGUUAAUUCUUUUAUUAGUUUAAAGUCUUCCAUAACUUGUCCUCAAGUUAUGGAACUUGAAGAGUUUUUGGAUUAAAACUACUUUAAACACAUAAGUUAUGGAAUUAAUUAGUUUUGAAUAGUUUCAAAACUUGCCCUCAAGUUUUGGAAUUUGAAAAGUUUUCACUUAUGAAUACUUUAAUUCCAAGUUAGCCCUUAGAAUUUUAAAAGUUAAAAUUCAACCCUUAUACUUUAUAAUAUUAUAAGUUAAUAAUAUAUAUAUGUAUAAGAGUAAAGUCAGUCUUACCGCUAGUACGCCUCAUUCACGAAGCCGGUCUAUAAGGUGGGUAUAAGGUUGUUGCCUAUAAAAUGGCAACUUAAUGGGUGUCCACUCUCACCCACCGCUUGCUUGACUGGUGGAGGGUCGUUAGCCGAACGGGUUUGACAGGACUAGAAUUCUCCCUUCAUUAAAAGUAUUAAUGAUAAUACUAAGUAACUAAACUCUUAAUAAUACCCAAUCUUAGUUACUUAGGAAAAAUGUGAAUAAGGUGCUAAUCCAUGAAAUUACACUUUGCACUUUGUUUAAGUCGGUUAGUGGAGCGUGUGUGGUUAACCGGCACACUAACUCGUAUUUAACAAGGUAGGCAAAGGGUAACUUAAUGUUUAUCAUAGUAUCGAUGGAGCGUGUGUGGUUAACCGGCACAUCGAUUGAGGGGUAAACACUUAAGGGUACCAAGUAAUUUGCAUGGUUACUUCACACCUUGUUUUGUGAUCCUCGGCAUCCCAGUCACAAAACCUGAAGGGCACACUCGAGAUUGAAACAUGCCAUUGAACAGUUCAAUGAAUCUCAAAGAUCUAGGAGUUUCAAAACCAAUUAAAACCUAAUAAUACAUUUCGUUUAUCUUGGUGGAAAUUGGUGAAUCGUCAUUCACCUACCUUCAAAUAUUUUAUAGCUUGGAUUACGGCAUACCUCUUCUAAGUUAUAAAAUAGUUUGUUGGGUCCUAGCCUUAAUAUUUCAUAUUGGGUGUCAUAUUAAGGACUUUAAAUCAACUAUCUUGAAUAUCUCCCAAAAGAUGUCUGGUUUAGACACCUAUGAUCUUCCCAAAUCUCUUGAAACAAGGUUUCCUAAUGAAGAUGAUGUCCCAUGGAUAUCAUACUUCUUCACCUCUUCAAAUUAUUCUCCCUAACCCACAAGUUCUUGAAAAGUUUAAGGUCACUCAGGCCCUAUUGGCAAGGCAAGGUCUAGGUGUGAUCACAUCUUGGAGAUGUAGUCACAUAUUGACAAGCCGGGAGAGUUGGGUGUCAAAGUCUUGAGAAAGUUGGUGGUUCAAUCACUUUCUAAGUCACAUAGUGAGUUCCUUUGGGACACCUAUGAAACAGACUAUGACAAGACCCUUAAUGAUCUUAUCUAUUUGAUAAGAUCAACUUCCUAAAACUUUAUGGACAUUGACAAUGAUAACAUUGGAUAUCUAGUAAAGCUCUCUCUUCCCAGUGGAAAGGGAUCAGCCAUAGUCAACUGGGUUGACCAAAAUGGUAAAGAGAAAAGCUAAGUCUGUGAUAGUCCCGUGUACCAUUAUCAAAGGGUCCAUAUGUUUAUAUUGCCAAAGGAAGGGGGAUUGGUUGCGAAGCUGCCAAAUUUACCUAAAGAUGUUAAAGUCAAUAAGUUUGACUCUACUUCAUGUAAAGUCCACUAUCUAACUCUGUUAAGUUUCUAUUCUGAGAUUCCUGAUACAUGAUGUGACUGGGUCACAUGGUGAUGUUUUAAGAAUCGGAGCAUAUCCUCGAGUGUCUGGAUGGUGCACUCACUCUGACCAUCCGUCUGUGGGUGGUAGGCAGUGCUCAUAUCUAGCUGUGUUCCCAUUGCCUUCUGAAGAUAUUGCCAGAAACUUGAAGUGAAUCUGCUAUAUCGAUUUGAGAUAAUAGAUAUUGGCACUCCAUGGAGUCUCACAACCUCCUUGAUGUAGAUUCGGGUCAGCUUUUCCAUCUUGUAAGAUUCUUUUAUUGGUAGGAAAUGAGCGGAUUUUGUUAAUCUAUCCACGAUUACCCAAAUAGCAUCCAAUCCGUCUGCUAUCUUUGGCAAUUUUGUCACAAAGUCCAUGGUAAUCCUCUCCGAUUUCCACUUGGGUAUCACUGGUUGUUGCAGUAGUCCCGAGGGCUUUUGGUAUUCCACUUUCACUUUGGCACAAGUAAAACACUUGCCCACGAAAGUGGCUAUCUCUGCCUUCAUAUUAGGCCACCAAUAUUGUUGCUUGAUAUCCAAAUACACCUUAUCUGACGCCGGAUGAAUAGAAUAUCGCGUCUUGUGGGCUUCAUGCAUGACUACUUCUUUGAAUCCCUUAAAUUUGGGAACCCAGAUUCUAUUCAUGAAGUAGUGAGUUCCAUCGUCUUUAACUUCGAGCACCUUCUCCAUUCCACGUAGUGAGUCACUAGCGACAUUCUCUGGCUUCAAUGGUUCCAAUUGGUCUUCCUUGAUCUGUGAGGCUAGAUGAGAUUGGAUGGUGAUUGAUAGAGUUUUCACACGACGACUUGAAUACUCCUUUUGGAUCAAGGCAUCGGCUACCACGUUAGCCUUGCCUGGAUGAUAUUUGAUCUCACACUCAUAAUCAUUUAACAGCUCAACCCAUCUCCACUGCCUCAUGUUUAGUUCCUUUUGAUUUAGAAUGUGCUGGAGGCUCUUGUGGUCUGUAAAGAUGGUGCACUUGGUACCAUAUAGGUAGUGCCUCCAAAUUUUCAAGGAGAAGACCACCUCCCCCAAUUCGAGAUGUUGAGUAGUAUAAUUUACUUCAUGUGUUUUCAAUUUUCUAGAUGCAUAUGCAAUUACCUUCCCGCGUUGCAUAAGGACACAACCUAAACCAUGAUUCGAAGCAUCAUAGUAAAUUAUGAAGUCUUUAAUUCCCUUCGGUAAGGAUAACAAUGGAGCACUACAGAGGGCUUGCUUCAAGGUUUGGAAGGCGAUCUCUUGCUUCUCAGUCCAGUUGAAAGGUACGCCUUUCUGUGUCAAUGUGGUGAGGGGUUUGGCUAUCUUAGAAAAGUUCUGAAUGAAUCUUCGGUAGUAGCCCACAAGACCCAAAAAUUGGCGAAUUUAUGUUGGCGUUGUUGGAAUUUCCCAGUUUUUGAUUGCUUUGAUCUUUGAAAGAUCCAUGUGUAUUCCUUCCUAACUAACUACAUGGCUUGGAAAGUUUACACUGCGGAGCCAGAACUCACACUUGGAGAGUUUCGUAUACAACUUUUCAGCUCGAAGGGUCUUCAAGAUCUGUUGGAGAUGUUGACUAUGCUCUUCUUUGCUUCGAGAGUAUAUGAGGAUAUCAUCGAUGAAAACGAUCAGGAAUUUGUCAAGGAAUGGGCGGAAGACUCGAUUCAUGAGGUCCAUAAAUGCAGUGGGGGCAUUUGUUAGACCGAAGGGCAUCACGACGAAUUCGUAAUAACCGUAACGGGUUUGGAAAGCAGACUUAGGAAUGUCCUCAUCUCGGACCUUGAGUUGAUGAUAACUGGAUCUUAGAUCUAUCUUUGAAAAGUAACUAGCCCCUUGAAGCUGGUCAAAUAGAUCAUCGAUUCGUGGAAGUGGAUACCGGUUUUUGAUGGUGAGCUUAUUUAGUUCCCUAUAAUCAAUGCACAUCCUGAAGGAUUCGUCUUUCUUUUUAACGAAAAGAAUCGGAGCUCCCCAUGGAGAGAAGCUUGGUCUUAUGAAUCCUUUAUUCAAGAGUUCACUUAGUUGGCUUGACAAUUCAUGCAUUUCAGCGGGAGCCAACCUAUAGGGUGAUUUGGCUAUUGAAGUGGCUCUAGGCACUAGGUCGAUUCAGAAUUCGAUUUGUCGUUCUGGGGGUAUUCCUGGAAGCUCUUCUAGAAACACAUCCGGGAAGUCACAUGCCACUGGGAUGUUUUGAAUGUUCGCUUCCUCUUUGGUAUUAUCCACCACAUGAGCAAGGAAUGUGUAGUUCUUCUUUUGUAGACACUUUUGUGCCUUGAUACACGAGAUAAGGUAAAGGUUUGCACCGGGUUUAUCUCCGUAGAUUAUUAGGGUUUCGUGAUUAGAAAGAUGAAAGUGAAUGACCUUCUCGUGACACAUAAUAUCGGCAUGAUGGGGGCUUAACCAAUCCAUGCCGAUGAUGACAUCAAAACUCCUAAUAUUUACUGGCAUCAAAUUUAUUUGGAAAAAGUGGUUGUUUAGUGUUAACGUACAUCCUAUAUAGAUAUCUUUGGUUGUUUCAGUGUUCCCAUUAUCCAUUUCCACCGUGAAGGAUUCGUUGAGCUUCUGGGGUUGUUGAUUUAGAAAGUAUUUGAAUUUAUUACUAACGAAACUUCGCUCCGCCCCACUAUCAAAUAAGAUGCAUGCAUACGAGUUGUUAAGUAGGAACGUACCGAUGAUAACAGCUGGGUCCUACACUGCUUCAUCCUAACCCAUUGUCAACACUCUCCCUGCUGCUCCUGCCCCUUGAUUGUUUGCGUUGGGGAAAUUUCUCCUGAAAUUCCCGGUUUUCCCACAUACGUAACAGGUAUAAUUGGCCCCAACAUUGGUGUUGUUGUUAUUGUUGUUGUUGUUGGUGUUGUUGUUGUUGUUGUUUUUUGGCAUCUGGUUUUGUUGAAGCUGAGUCCUGCAAUACUUUGUUGUAUGGCGUUUCUGGUUGAACCUUGCGCAAAUCAUCUCUCUGUAUUCCCCAUGAUGGUGGAAGUUGCAUUUGUUACACUUGGCGAGAUUUCCUGAAUACUGCUUUGGAGCAUUUGGCGUGGAUGAGGCUGGAGCAUGGGGUGUGGUGGUAGCUUGAGUUACAGCAUGGACAGUCACAGUUUGUUGCUUCUUAGAUGAUUCUGAGUUAUGUUUUCCAUUUCUCUUGUUGUUUAUCCCUUUCUUUCUCUCUUCUUCCUUCUUAACCUCCGCUUCCACUGUUUUGGCACGCUUCUUAUUUCCAUGAUCAUACGAUUUCUUGUCCAGUCUCUUGGCGCUAUCAAACAUCUCAGGGUUUUGCUGCAAUAACAUUCCCUUAGAUAGGUGCAGUCAAUCCCUAGAUAAACCUAUCAAUCUUUUUCCCUUCUAAGGUGAUCAUUCCGGGACACAAAAGAGAUAGCUCACUAAACCUAGAUAUGUAUGCGGUUAUAUUGGAGUUUUGAACUGUGAGGUUCCACAACUCUUGUUCCAUCUUCUGAAUUUCACCUCCAAGACAGUAUUCUGCCAACAUCAUUUCCUUAAGCUCUUCCCAGAGCAUCGCGUUCGCUACCGGGAGUGUCAUGGCCUCUACAUGCCCAUUCCACCAGGAGAUGGCUUGAUCAAUGAAUUUGCAGGUUGCGAACAUGACCUUACACUCAUCUGGGCACCCACAGAUUUCAAAAAUGGAUUCUACUUUCUCGAUCCAUCGCUUCAGGGCUAUUACGCCUCCUGUCCCAUUAAAGGUUCGAGGUUUGGCAUUGGUGAAGUCCUUGUAGGUGCAUGUUCGUGUGGCUCCAUGGAUUGUUCCUUGAUUUGUGCUUCCGUUUCCCUGUCGGUUGCCUUCUCUAUUGUUUCCAUUGCGAAUCUGCACAAGUGUUGUAGUGACCGCAACAGACAAUGUUGCCUGGAAUGCAACCGAGAUUAUUUUCGGCGGGUUUGGUGUUGCGUUGUUUCCACGAUUGGGCCUUUGAGGCAUCUUUCUGUCAUGGAACGGAAAGAUGUAGAGUGACUAUUGUUUUGCGAGUUUGGAAUCCCCUAGGCUAGGUGUAUCGAGUGUGUAUUUAAGUAAUUUCAUACAUUAACAUAAAAUAGGGAAGUAAAACACAUAGCAGAUGACAACAUCAUGAUAAAACGUAAAGCAUUUUCAUUAAUACUAAUUGUUUUGAUACAUGAACAUUUGCCAGAAGGCAUACAGUACAUAGGGAAAUAUAAAAUAUGGCAGCAUUACAACCCUAUGAGCAGUGUGAUCACUUAAACAUAGAGUCGAUAGUACAUAGCAUAGUACACAUAAGGGAAACCUAAUAGUAUUAAGAGAUACUACUGGUCCUGAUCAUACUGAGAAGUGCCUAAUGGUGGUGGUGAAAUCAUAUCCCAAAAUGUUAUGCUAAUAACUGAUCCAUCUCGGUCAUCUCUCCGAUGACCUCAUCUUUUUCCUACUCAGUUUGCAUGGCUCGUGCCUCCAUAGCAAAUAGUUGUUGUCGAAGUGUGGCAACCUCCGCUUCCAGAGACCGAUCCUCAUCAACGGGGUUCCCUAGUGGACCAGGGUGGUCCUGGUGUGCCUCAUUGGUAGGUGGUUCGACGGGGGCUUCAUUUUUGUCCCCAUCCUCCUCCAUGUCUUCGUCAGUCCUAUCAAACUCAUAGUCUGUAUUAGUGUACUCGUCGGGCCCAAUGGUAGGGGCUCCUCCUUGUUCCUCCUCGGGAUUCUCCUCAAGCAUCCCAUGUGCCACUAGGGAUUGAUAAAAAUGGACUCCUUGCUGAGCGUCGUCCAUGGUGACUGCAUGAGGGCGUAUGAAUAAGUCAUGUUUUGAUUAUUCCUAUAGUAUAUUUUACUUAUUUAGGUUUGGUUUCCCUAGAGUUGUUGGAGAGUGAGGUAGGCUUUUGGAUUCAUUUCCCGCUAUGAUUACUCCCAAACACAAUUUGGUCAUAUUCUGAAUAAAUAUAGUUGAUCAGGCUAUAUUUAUCCCUAAUAGGACUACAUAACUGCCCAUGUUUAAUUAUAAUGUUCAAUAUCCUCCAAAAGCUUUUAUUAAAUAUUGUUAGGUUAUUAUCCUAAUAUGCGCAUAUAAGUAUGAAAUUUUUGUUUUGUUCACAGUUAUUUAGUCCCAUUGUGUUUAUAGUUGCAUAUCAUGUAUGGUUAGAUAUGCUAGUUCACUAUAAACAUUGCUUUGAUACCAACCUGUCACACCCCCGACCCAGACGGUGGAAACGUCUAGGGGCUCCUGUGACUAACAAUUGAAUUAUCAUCACAAUGGAUAUACAUGAAACAUAACACAUUCAUCACUAACAUUACAUAUUACAACCAGCAUUGUUCACAUCAAGUACAUUGUUAAAGAUUACAUAAAUUCAAAGUAUUAAUAGUAAGAUAGGUGAUGUGACACAAAAUAAAUCCAUACACACUUGAAAAUCUUCCUGCUUAACAAUUACCUGAGAAUACAAGUUAUUUUGAAAAAUGGUCAACAUAUAUAAUGUUGGUGAGUUCAUAAGUAUGUUUGAAUAAAAGUCUUUGCAUCUUUUGUAAAAACCCAGAAAAUCCGAUAUUUUCUGUAAAAUGUCUGAAAAUGAUGUGAAAAUCAAGUAUAAAUUCAUGUGUGAAUUUCAUAGCAGUAACAUAUAUGAUUUCAGUUUAAAUUUCUUUGUAUUGUAAGUAAGUGAUAAUUGAAUAAUAGUCUUUACCCAGAAAAUCCGAUAUUUCCUGAUUUAUAAUAAUGUCAAGGUUCUUGUAUCAUUAAUUAAGUUGUUUCGUAUUGACAAAAUCGAAGGGUUAAUCUUCGAAAUGUUAAAUUGGUAUUGGAUCUCUAUAUGAGUUGUUAUAACCAUGCAUGAUAAUGACUAGGUUGGCUGUCUUGGCAUUUUCCAAACGCCUGUAUUUGCUCAAGGUUUUGUCACCCUAGACUGGCCUAGUCUAGUUGUAGCCAACAACUAAGGCGUGGGGGGUCACCCCAUAUAGAUCUAUACACAAACUCCCGCUCUCCCUCCAGGAAACUCUGGUUAUAACUACAGACUACGAUUGUACACUCAGAGGUGUCAACCGACAUGUCUCACUAGAUUCUCAACUUUUCAUACCAUGUUUAAUGUUUACGUGAAUGUUGUAUGUUUUCAAAUCCAAAGGUAUAUAUAUAAGUAUACGAACUUUAGGGCUGGCAAUUGUUGACACGAUACGCGACACGACAUGAAAUAAAUGGGUUUGGGUUGAGUUUUUCAACCCGCCAACCCGCUAACCCGUCAACCCACCAACCCGUUUAUUAAACGGGUCAUAUAUGGGUUUCUCAAAAAAUAAACGGGUUGACCCGCCAANUGUAAGUGGACCACCAAGGCCCAACAAACAUGUAACCUAUAGCUCAGGCCCAAAUUAACAUGUAAAUGGGUCGCAAGGCCCAAUAAACAGGUCAUGGAAAAUAUUGGGCUCAAUAUAUACUUGAAUGGGCCCUUAAGGCCCAUUGGCCAUGUAAUGUGAAUAUUAGGUCCAAUAAAAUUGCUAUCAAUGUAUUUCGUCAAUUCGUUAUUAUUUUGUGGUUUGCUUUAGCUCGAUGUUUACCGAAUUAAAUAUAAAAGUCCUCUUUUUGUAUAAACGACGUUCUUGGCCAAGAAGCCUAAAAUUUUGAAUUAAGGCCCAAAGUUUUGUAAAAAUUAACACUUUAGUCCAUAAUUUAUAAAAAUUUGUAAUUUCGCCCCAAAUGUUUAGAAAUUUACGGAUCUAGUCCAAAAAAUUAUAUUUUGAUAUUUAUGGCCCAGUUUCGUAGAAUAUUACACUUUCAGACUCUUGUUUGUAAAAAUGACACUUUUGACCCAAUUUUUAUAAAAGUUACAUUUUUGGUCCAAUUUAGAAAUAUAUGUUAUUUUUUCCCCUAAAUAUGGUUUAUUUACAUUUAUGACUCAAACUUUGGUCAAAUAACAUUUUUAAUCCCAAAACUUCCAUUUUUUUGCAAAUUUGGGCCCAAAACCGUGAGGCCCAAAUAUUCAGCCCAUUAAGCUAAAACUUACGUUUUUGGCCCUUUGGAAAGCAUGUUUAUCAUAAAAAUCCCUUUAUAUACAAGUAGAACCUGUUUGGUCCUUUAAAAACCACUUUUUGCCCUUAUCUUUUGUUUUCUUGACAAUUUUGACUCUUAACAACGUUUUUGCUUUAAAUUUUUGUAUCUUAAACAUAUAAACACUUUUAACUUGAUAAUAUGAUGUAUAAGGUGUCUUAGUUCAUGGGUUUUUUACUUAAUGUUGCUUAAGAUGUCGAGACAUGCUAAGAUCUAACAUAUUUUUUACAAAAUAGACUAAGAAAUCACACACGACAUGCAUAUAACACAUAGAUCUACACAUUUUACUUGUAUUCUCCCCCAAAACUAAUAUGAAAACCAAAAACAAGGGGGUAAGAACUCACCUUUGCUUCGAUGUUUCGGUUUUGAAGAAGAAAUGGAAGAAGUUGAUGUGAUUUUUUGCUCUAGCAAGCUCCUUGAGUAGAUUUCGAGCUUAAGAAGUUUCCAAGAGUCUGACCAUGGAAUAAAGCUAUGUAACAAGGAAUUUUUUGAUGUUAAAAUAAAAGGAGAUGUUUGUGUUUGAUAACAACUUACCAAAGAUUGAAAAUGCUUGAUGAAGAUCCUUAAAACUCAAGCAAAAUUUUGAGAUCCUUGGAGAAAGGAGGAUGAUCUUUGAGAGUGUUUGGAGAGGAUUUGAAAGAGUGUGUGUGUGUGUGUGUGUGUGGUUUGCCUCUCGGCCGUGAGUAGAAGAAGAAGGGGGAAAGAGAAGAUGUGAUGGAUACUUAGGAGUAUAAGCUUUGUAUUUGCUUAAUGGGUAAUUAGCUUGGAGAACCACCAUGUAAUUAUCAUGUGUCAAUGCAUGGUAAUUCUCUUAUUUUCCUUUUUUUACAUGUAUAUGAAUGUACAUAUCUAAUGGGCCGAGAAAAAGAAAGAAUGGAGGGGCUUUGGCCUCUUUUUGAUUUGGUUCGAGUUUAUGAGGCCCAUAGAAAGAGGCUUUCGGCCCAUUGGGCCUUUAGGUGUGUUCACGGCCCAUUUCGAAAGAAGAAAGGGUGUUUAUGGCCCAUUACGGCUAAUUAAUUCAUUAAUGGCCUAAUAAGGCCCAUUAAGGAUAAACCAAUUUAUUUUGGACCCAAAAUGGCCCAAAAUGCUAAGUUUCACGGAAGUGGGUCCAAUUAGUGCCCAUUUAAGGGUCCUAAGCCCAAAAUAGUUAAAUUGGAACCUCAUUGGUCCAUUAGGCCCAAUAAGGAAAUCCUAGUCCAAUAUGGACUUAAAUCGGGAUUCUUAGGGUUUUCAAACUCUUUGUUGAACAUGAGAGGUGAAUUUAAAUGAGCAUUGCGUGAUAUUUACUUAAAGUAUAUGUUUUACACUAGUUGAAUGAUUACACGAGAAUAGAGUUUUCUAGCAAAAAUGCUAGUUGUGACAUUAAUGAAAUCGUGAUUAUUUAUAGUAGGAGCAACAUUCCUCAUAGCAACCACACUUGAUUUACCAACUUCACCUAAAGUCAUCUGCAUAGGCAAGGUGCUUAAGUUUACAAACAAGGUAAAAUCAGUUGAUCGAGUUUUGUUCACGACAUCUAUCUCAUUAACAACACUGAUACUUGGAUGAUCCUAAAGUUUUGAUGAUGAACCUCUUCCACAAAUAUCCGUUUAUUGUUUUGAGUAUGAUCUUUGAGAUAAAACACUUGUUUAGCUUGUGUGGAUAAGAUGUAUUAUUGAUCAUCAUACCUUCUUUUAUUGACAUACCAUCCAUGACUGGUAUCUAUAACGACCAUAUUAUUUAUAGUCUUUAAACAUCCAUUACGUAAUGACACAUUGAACCAUUUACCACGACAGAGUAAAAUUGAGUUACCAUAUAAAUAAUGCGAAUCUAGGAUCUCCUCUAAUUGUCCAUAGAAUGGUCUACCAUCUUCUUGUUGGAUUAGUGUCUAAUUCCAUAACUAUAUUUGGUAUGUACUUGACCCAAUUGGCAUGGUCCAUUUGGGUUGCAUGACAUCAUGCAUUUGGAUAGACUAAAAUGAGAGAAUAACACUUAAGGUUUAUUAAUAUAUUAUAAGUUCUAAUAUAUUAAUAAGAUUAUUUAAUUAGUAUUGAUCAAGAAUUAAUUUGGAACUAAUUAAGUGAUCAAAUGGAGACUAAUUAAAUAUAUGGGUUGAUUGUGUAAAUCAUCCAUACUUGUAUAGUGGGCUAAUGCCCCAUGGAUUAUCAAGUUGGGCUAAAACCCAUAGGAUGCUCCAUGGUGUGUUUGUACCCAUGGAUCAUGGAAAUGAAAAGCCAUGAAAAUUAGGGUUUACAUGGUGUAACCCUAAUUGUGACACACUAUAUAAGUAUCUUAUUCUUCCCAAAAAAAGAGCUAUAAAGGAAUGGUGAGGGCUAGCCGAUUUCAUGAAGUGUCUAAUUUCUCUCAAGUUAUUCUAAGUGUAUUUGGUGUUGUGUGAACCAUCUGAGGUGUCACACUUGGGGAACUAGGCUCUUAAGCUCCGUGGAAUCAAGCUACACCAAAAGGAAUGUCUUCUAACUUGUAUUAUUCCUCAUGAAUCAAUAUUUUGUAUGCUAGUUAGGAUAAUACCUUGGAAUAUUAAUAUUUGCAUGUAUAAUAGAGAAAACAUAGAUCCAAGAUAUUUAGGGUUGCAUGUACACAUAGGAGUGUUAGAAUGCUCAAAACCAUUCACUUCUCCAAAUUUAACAACACCACUAUUUUUAGUAGUGUGUCAGAGAUCACGAAUACUCACAACAAAACGAACACCGACAAUAUGUAUUAUGUUGGUCAUAGACAAUUCUUGAAUAUGAACCAUAGAUGGAGGGAGAGUCUAUUGUUUGAUGGUCCACCCGAUACAAGACCGUAUCCUAGACGAUUUAGUAAUUUAACUAUAUUAAAGUAAUGUAACGUCUGUGUUUCUGGGCUUGCCAUUUUUAGCAAUGUANNNNNNNNNNNNNNNNNNNNNNNNNNNNNNNNNNNNNNNNNNNNNNNNNNNNNNNNNNNNNNNNNNNNNNNNNNNNNNNNNNNNNNNNNNNNNNNNNNNNGACGAAGGUGGACCGGUAUGCGAAGGGACUCCCAUGGGAGUAUGACGUGCCAGUACGUCAGGCACAUACUUUAGAGGCAGCUAUCUGGGCUACCAAGUCUGUUGAGAACAUGAUAAAGGGGAGAACCACCAACAAGGUUGAGGUUGGUGAGAAGAGGAAGUUUGAGGGAACAUCUGGUUCCGGUAAGAAAAGCAAAUUUUCGAAAUCUGAUUCGAAAAGGUUUGGUGGGGGUAAAGGAGGGGAAGCGAAGUGGUGUGAAAAGUGUAAGAAAAAGCAUUUCGGGAAAUGUAGCGAGGAUGUAACUUGCUACAAGUGUGGAAAGGUUGGACAUUUUGCCAAUGAAUGUCCGAACAACAAAAGGAUGUGUUUUGGUUGUAAUGAAGAGGGGCAUAUUUUGAAAGACUGUCCGAAGAAGAAGGAGGCAGCUAAGCCCAACAUUCCACCAAAGCCGAAGGCGAGAGCCUUCCAGAUGACACUUGAGGCUGCGAAAGAUGAAGCUGAUGUCGCUUCAGGUACCUUUCUCGUAAACGAAUUACCUGCUCAUAUAUUGUUUGAUUCUGGAGCCAACUACUCCUUUAUUUCGCAUGAGUUUGGUAGAAAGCUAGCUUUGCCUAUUGAUAGACUAGAUGAUGCUUUAUUAGUCGAAGUAGCUAGUGGCAAGUUUGUACCUGUUAGUCAUCGUAUGAAAAGCAUCUUAAUUGAUCUGAAUGGGAAUAAGUUUCACGAGGAAUUAUUGCCUAUCGAACUAAAUGGUUUCGACAUCGUGUUGGGAAUGGAUUGGCUUAGCGCCAAUGAUGCCGAAAUUUUGUGCAAGAAGAAGAUAGUUAAAGUAAACCCGCCUGGGAAAGAUUCGUUUAUGGUGUAUGGGGACAAACGCAGAGUGAAUUCUGGAAUCAUUUCUCUAAUGAAAGCCAGAAAGUGUUUGACCAAGGGAUGUACAUCAUAUUUAGCAUUCGUGAUUGAUGCUAAGAAGGAAAAGAAGGUGAUGCAGAGUAUUCCAGUGGUGUGUGAUUAUCCGGAAGUAUUUCCCGAGGAUCUUCCUGGAUUACCACCUGAUAGACAAGUGGAGUUCAGAAUAGACUUGUUACCAGGAACCACGCCAAUAGCAAAAGCACCUUAUCGAUUAGCACCGACGGAGAUGAAGGAGCUGAUGAUGCAACUUCAGGAGUUAUUGGACAAAGGUUUCAUUAGACCUAGUUCAUCGCCCUGGGGAGCUCCGGUGUUAUUUGUAAAGAAGAAAGAUGGAAGUAUGAGAAUGUGCAUCGAUUACAGAGAGCUGAACAAGGCAACAAUAAAGAAUAGAUAUCCGUUGCCGAGGAUUGAUGACCUGUUUGAUCAAUUGCAAGGUUCGAGCUAUUUCUCGAAGAUCGAUCUUAGGUCAGGAUAUCAUCAGCUGAAAGUAAGAGAGCAAGAUAUCGAGAAGACUGCAUUCAGAACUAGAUAUGGACACUACGAGUUCUUGGUUAUGUCGUUUGGACUAACCAAUGCUCCAGCAGCGUUCAUGGAUUUGAUGAAUAGGGUUUGUAAUCCUUUCCUUGAUAAAUCCGUGAUAGUGUUCAUAGACGACAUUCUGAUCUACUCGAAAAGCCAGGAGGAGCAUGGCAGACACUUGCGAGAAGUGUUAGAAGUUUUGAAGAAGGAGAAGCUUUAUGCGAAGUUCUCCAAAUGUGAUUUUUGGAUUCGUGAGGUCCAAUUCUUGGGUCACGUGGUCAACCAAGAAGGGAUAAUGGUUGAUCCAGCGAAGAUCGAAGCUGUGACGAAGUGGGAACAACCGAAAAGUCCCACGGAGAUUCGAAGCUUUUUAGGAUUAGCCGGAUAUUACCGAAGGUUUAUCCAAGGCUUUUCUUCGAUUGCUACUCCAUUAACAGCUUUGACCCACAAAGGAGCUACUUAUGCUUGGAGUGAGAAGCAUAAAGAAGCAUUCGAGAAGUUAAAGAAGAAGCUAUGCGAGGCACCGAUACUUUCUCUACCCGAUGGAGUUGAAGACUUCGCUGUUUAUAGCGAUGCGUCUGGUGUUGGAUUGGGUUGUGUUUUGACCCAAAGAGAAAAGGUGAUAGCAUAUGCGUCUCGACAGCUGAAAGAGCAUGAAAAGAAUUACCCGACUCAUGAUUUGGAGUUGGCAGCGGUAGUUUUCGCUCUGAAAAUAUGGAGGCAUUACCUCUAUGGCACGAAGUGCAAACUUUUCACUGAUCAUAAGAGUCUCCAAUACCUCUUUAAUCAGAAAGAAUUGAAUAUGAGGCAACGACGCUGGCUAGAAUUACUUAAAGACUACGACUGCGAGAUACUUUACCACCCCGGUAAAGCUAAUGUUGUUGCUGAUGCUCUCAGUCGGAAAGUCAAUCUUGAAAGGAAGAGGCCAAGAGCGUUGAGAAUUGAAGUUGUCUCGACUAUUGUGGAAAGUAUAAAGAAAGCUCAAGAGGAAGCUUCUGAGAAAAAUGACCGAAAGGAGGAACGUUUGGGUAAAACGUUGGUGUUUGGUACUAACGGUCAUGGACUGAAGGUAUUCCAAGAUCGUAUUUGGGUACCUAAGUCAGGAGGAAUUAGGGAUCUUCUGAUGGAAGAAGCUCACAAAACCAUGUACUCAAUUCAUCCGGGUAGCACUAAAAUGUAUAGGGACCUGAAACCCUACUACUGGUGGCCGACGAUGAAGCUUGAUGUUGCAAAGUAUGUGGCCGAGUGUGUGACUUGUGCGAGAGUCAAGACACAACAUCAGAAACCUUACGGGAGUUUAGAACCAUUGCCUGUGCCUAUGGGUAAGUGGGAAGACAUUGCUAUGGAUUUUGUCACUAAACUGCCCAGAACAAAGAAUGGUCACGACAUGAUUUGGGUGGUCGUUGAUCGAUUCACUAAGAGUGCGCAUUUCAUAGCGGCCAGGGAGAAAUGGUCUAUGGAAAAGCUUGCGAAUUCUUACGUGAAGGAAAUUGUGAGGCUUCACGGUGUUCCGUUAACGAUUGUAUCGGAUCGUGAUAGCCGUUUCACCUCAAGGUUUUGGAAAAGUCUACAAGAGGAAAUGGGUACCAAGUUAUGUUUAAGCACAGCUUACCAUCCGCAGACUGAUGGUCAGAGUGAAAGAACAAUACAAACACUUGAAGAUAUGCUGAGAGCAUGUACCUUGGAAUUCCUAGGUAAUUGGGAUGAACAUUUACCGUUGGUAGAAUUUUCCUAUAAUAAUAGUUUUCACUCGAGCAUUAAGAUGGCACCUUAUCAAGCUUUGUAUGGACAGAAGUGUCGUACGCCGUCUUGUUGGCUUGAGGCUGGGGAAAAGCAGUUUAUGGGACCGGAGAUGGUUCAUCAAACUGCUGAAAAGUUGAAAAUAAUUAGGGAAAGAAUGUUAGCAGCUCAAGAUCGUCAAAAGAGCUAUGCUGACAAGAAGCGAAGACCGAUGACUUUUGAGGUUGGAGAUUCGGUUUUGCUUAAAGUCUCGCCGUGGAAGGGACUUAUAAGAUUUGGUAAAAGGGGAAAGUUGAGUCCAAGGUUUAUUGGACCGUUUAAAGUCCUUCAGAGGAUUGGGAAUCAAGCUUACAAGCUCGAAUUACCCGAAGAACUGAAUGGAAUUCACAACACCUUUCAUGUGUGUUAUUUGAGGAAGUUCACGGGAGAAGUUCCCGAUAUAAUUCCAAUUUCUGAAUUGAGAAUUGAUGAGAACAAAAGGUUGAUUGAAGAACCAGAGGCAAUUGUUGACCGAAAGACUAAGAAGUUGCGACGCAAAAUGGUUGGGUUAGUGCUUGUCCGAUGGAAACACACGAAUGGGCCGAAUCUCACCUGGGAGACGGAGAGUGACAUGUUGAGUCGCUAUCCGCAUUUGUUUGUUGAUGUGUGAUUCCGGGGACGGAAUCAUUCUAAGGUGGAGAGAAUUGUAACGCCUGUGUUUCCGGGCUUGCCAUUUUUAGCAAUGUAAUAGUCUAGGUUAACCUUUGUAACCCGUUUUGAAAUAAUAAGAUUGUAUUAUUUGAGUAUUAUGUGUUUUGUGCUUAAUUGCUUAAUUAUGUGGUUUGAUUAAUUAAGAAUAAAAAUAAGCGUCAAAAUUUAAGUGUAAAAUAAACUUAAUAUCUUUGGUUAAUGUUGUAGUAGUUGAAACGAGGUUUCCGAAUAUAUAUAGAACGCCCAAAUCUGACUUCGUAUGAGGAAGUUAUGAUUUAUCGAAGUUCCGGCUUAGCGAUAUACAGCCUGUUUUACUCGAUUUGAGAUCGAGCGGUUGUUAGCCGAAGCAAUCUAAAUGAGAAUCGAAGAUCUCAUUGUUGGUAUUGAAACGAUAAAAAGUUAGGCGAGAACGGACGUCAAACGAAGAAGUUAUGAAUUUAUAACGAAAGUUUCUGUCCCGGCCUAUUAAAAAUAAUUAAUAAAAAUAAAGUCAAAAUUAGCCGACGGAGUCUAAACGAAAGUCGUAGAGCGUGGUCUCACCUUCGCGUGGAUAUAAAGAACGUCGAAAACGGAGUUCGUAUGAAGAAGUUAUGAAUUUCCGAAGUUUAUUAAUCAUUUUGUAUUUAUUUUUAAUUCAAAAUUCGGAAGCAUUAUCCGAAGGAGUCACCGAUCUGAUCCGAGGUACGCCCCGCGUACUCGAGUACGCCCCGCGUACUCCGAGGGAUGUCGACACUCGCACUCGAGCACUUCGGAUACGUAAGCAAUGACGUUUUGGGCAGUACGCCCCGCGUAACGCAGUACGCCCCGCGUACUCCGAGGCUCCAGCCUCCUAUAAAUAGGAUGCGAGGGUUCCGGGUAUUUUUGCCAAUUCCCUCUCGUUUUCGUGUCGAAGCUCUGUGCAAAAACCCCCGAAGCUACCCCGAAGUCCCGGUAUCAUACUCUAGCCCCGAGGCAAGUCCCGAGAUCCUGAAGAUCCCGAAAAGUGCGGUUCCCGAGUCGAAGCUCUGCCCGCGAGAAGUUCGAUUUUCGAGAAGAUCUUCCAGAUCUGCUGUGGAUUACUACUUCUAUAAGCCGUAGUGCUGUCCGAUCAUCUUCUGAUCAAGUGAGUGUGUAGUUAUUUCUUCUAAUACAAUAAUACGAAGUAUUUUAUAUAAAAAUACGUGCUAUGUGUAUAUAUUUUGUUGUUAUAUAUGUGAAUGUAUACCCACUCUCUUCUAUCUUAUAGAUCUGAUUAUUUCUCAAUGAAAUACGUGUUAUGUGUGUGUGCCUCAUCUGUUAUGUGAAAAAUGUUUUGAUUGAGCAUGCUAUACAGGUUUUGAAACUACGUAUAAAAAUGUAUAUUUUAUCUACUAAUAUGUUGGGUAGAAUAUGGGUAGAUAGUUGGUGUGUAAUAAACAGAUGAGAGGCCUCGAUGUUGUUUUGAUCCAGUCAUCUAGCGGAAUUUAGAUGACGACCACGGACUUUUCUAGACAGUCCAGUGGAACGCUAGCAGGCUCAUAACCUGUAGGUGUUAAUGAACUUGGGUGUUCAUUCGCUGUAUUCCAUCCCCCCCAUGGUUGCCUUAUUUGACUUAUAUUGCUGAGGAACCCCCGAAGCAUGUGUAGUCGCCCCGAUGAAAUAUUCUUUGACUAGGUCCCUUGUGUUAGUUAUUUUAGGGACAUAAAGUGAGAAUAACGGGAAUGGGUAACUGGGUUAUUGUUGGAUGAUAAUAAUUAAUUAAAUUAUUUAUUGUGGGUUGAAAACCCUAUAUGCUCACCAGGCUCCCAAGCCUGACCCACUCAGUUGAUUUAUUUUACAGGAAGUGGCGCAAGAGCUUAAGAUGGGCGAACAUCAAGUUGUUUUGUUUACAAGUCUGUAUAUGUAUAUAUUUGUUGAAAGACUUGUAAUGCUAUCGUUUAUGCUUUAUGAUCUGUAUCGGAACAUGACAUCCCGACUUUUGAUUAUGAAAUGAAAUCAUAUUUCUUUAUGAAAUGUUUUGAUAAAUAUCUAUUUUAUCAUGUUUUGUUUUUGGGAACAAAUUCCGCAUCUCUUUUAAAAAUUAAAAGGAUUUACUCUGAAAAUUAUUUUAAAAAGCAUAAAUGAAAUCGGUCUUUUCUGGCCGAGAUUUUGGGGAUGUCACAAGUAAGUAGCUCGUCUCUCUGAUAAUAUGUAUUAUGUUGGUCAUAGAUGAUUCUUGAAUAUGAACCAUAGCUAGAGGGAUAGCCUAUUGUUUGAUAGUCCACCUAACACAAGACCGCGUCUUAGACAAUUCAGUAAUGUAACUAUAUUAAAGUAAGUAGCUCGUCUCUCUGAUAAUAUUCCAGGGGAAUAUCCUAAUCAUGGGGCUAAAAAAGAAAGCAUGAACAUGAAAGCAAAAAGGCAGAGUUGAAUCGGAUGAAACAAAGUAUCUUAUUUGAGCUUGAGUAUUGGUCUUCCCUCCACCUAAAACAUAAUUUUGAUGUUCUACAUGUUUUGAAAAAUAUGAAUGAGAGUGUGUAUAAUACUACACUGAUGAACGAUAAAAGAAAAUACAUAAAAGAAGUAAGAAUUGACUUGAAAAAUACGGUCAUUCGACCAGAUCAAUGGCCAAAAGAGAAAGUCAAGAAGAAGAAGACAGUACACCAUUCUAUGGUCCCUUGGUUGAUGCAUCUCUCAUUUGGACUCCUUCAACCCAUAACAUUUUCAACUCAGCCACCAAAGGCCUCAAGUAAACAUCAAUGUCCUUUGUAGGUGAUCUAGGGCCAGGAAUCAACAAAGUUAGCAUGAAAGAAGAGUCCUUCAUACAUAUCCAUGGUGGUGUAUUGUAGUUAGUAAAUAUAACCAUCCAAAUAAUAUAAGUAUUAUUAAAGUUGUUGAACGGAUUAAAGCCAUCAGCAGCUGAACCUAGACGAAUAUUUCUAUAUUCUUUAGCAAACUCUCGAUAUCUCUUAUCAAAUUAUUUCCAUGACUUCUCGUCAACCGGAUGACGCAUCUUACCAUCCAUUGAGCAUCCAGUAUUAUGACAACUAAUAUAUUUACCAGUGAAUCUGGAACUAUACAUUCGUCGAAGCCUUGAGUCAAAGGAAACUACCACAAUGCUUUUUGUGGUACUCUCUUCCCAUUUUGUUGUUGUGUCCACCCAUUUGCUUGCAUUACAAAUUCGGGCAAUUUUACAUGGAAUCAUUCUCCUUCCAAAACGAAGCACAAUCAUAUUUACAAGUAUGGAUGGAUUGAUAUCAAACCCUAUCUUUCUCAACUUAUUCUUAGCUUCAUAGUGUGAAGUUGCUCUUCGGGAAUGAAACUCUUAGUAACUCUACAAGUUGGUUAAAAAAAAUAUUUGUCCAUUUAUUUAUCACUUUAGUAUGCAACAACUUUGCCAGAAAGUUUAUGUAACGUCCCAAAAAUUAAGACUAAAAGUUUUUAAUUUUAAAUUAAUUAAAACCAUUAUCCAAACAACAUCUUAGAAAUCAUAGUGCAUCAAAGUGUAUCAAUAACAUCCAUGUACAUCAGCAAGAUAUAAAAAUGCAGAACGACGUGGUGGGUGCAUUGCAAUCAUCCCGUGUAACGCCCGUAAACUCGGGCUAGUCAAUUUAGAGACAAUGUGCGUCAAAAAUGACUUUUUGAUGGGAGAUUGUUUACAAGAAACAAUCUUAACCAAGUUAUAUUAUAUGUCACAAAGGUUCCUUAUAUAUAAAGAACGCCAAAAUCCGAGUUAUAACGAAGAAGUUACGACCUUUCGAAGUUCUACGACAAAACCAACACGGCACCGUGUAACGUAAAAAGUGAAAUCUUGAUAAAUUACUUUUUAGCCUUAGGGAUCUAAAUGAAAGUUGUUUUAUACAUUAAAUUGAGAGCAUGCAUAAAAAGAACGUCAAAAUCUGACUUUGUAUGAGGAAGUGAUGAUUUUUCUAAGAUUUCGCACAGAGUAUACAACCUGGAAUUCGAAUGUCAGAUCGAGUGAUUUUUAGCCAACACAACCUAAAUUAUAAUUGAAUAUCUCAUUAAUAGGAGUUCAACGAUAAAAAGACAGUUAAAAACGGAGUCUGUAUGCAGAAGUUAUGAAUUUUACACGGUCGUUAACAAAAUAAUAUUUUCAUACUGUUAUAUUUAAAAUUGGUUGAGAAUUAGCCGAUUCAAUCUAAAGGAAAGUUGUAGAUCUUGUCAAUACCUAUGUGUGGAUAUAAAGAACGUAAAAAACGGAGCUCGUAUGCGAAAGUUAUGAAUUUUUUAAAAUUUGUUGUUUUACCUGCGUCCAGCGCCACGUGUCAGCACCAGGCGAAGCCUUAGUGCCUACACAAGGCCACGACGUGGAUUAUAAGUCUAUGAUGUUGAUUUCCCCAGAUAACCUAUAAAUAGAGGUGGAAAUAAUCCAUUUCCUUCACACCUUCACCCUUCUUUCUGUCUCAACACUCCCAAUCUCUCCCUCCUAAUCCCUAGCAACUUCUAAGUGCUAGAGGCGAGUCCCGGAGCGCCAAAAGGGUCCGAGAAGAAGAGUUUUCGUCUCAAAAUUUCCGCCCCCUCAGAGCCCGGUUCCUAGCCAAACCCCCAGGAAGUGAGUUAUGCUUACACUACUUUAAGUAUACUUAUGUUUAAGUUUAUUAUCGUUAUUAUGAACUUAUAAACAAGAUUUAUCAGUGAUUCCAAGUCGUUAUACUAAUUGAUCUACUUACGGGGAUGAUAUAUAGGUUGUGAUUUAGUGAGGUGUUUAAAGUGGGAUUUCAAAACAGUAUACUUCGUAUACGAAACGGAACUUACCUCCGAUAUGAUCCUACAUGGUUGUUCCUUACUUGAUAGAUCAUGAAAGUAGACUUUGAGUUAAUGAUGAAUCUAGACUAAUAAUUAGUCGUGCGUAAAGAUUAGACUAAAACUUAGCGAUAAUAAUGCUAGGUUUCAUCGAAGGAAAAUAGAAUCAUGAGAAGCAAAGUGCUUCCCGAGUUUGGAAUUAUCACUUUGAUAAGUGAGUGCAUAGUUACUUUCAUCUUACACAUAGAUAUGAAGUAUAUUAUAUAAAUUACAUGCUAUGUGUUCAUAUUAUAUGUUUACUUUAUAUCUAUGCUAGAUGAAUGAUCCUAUACAUGUUUUGAAUGAUUUAAACUGUAUAUAUAUUUUUUGUAUCUAUAAAAUCUAUUGGGUAAAACAUGGGUAGAUGAAUGAUAAGGGAUGAAAGUUGAUAUAGAGGAACAUUGGCAGUUAUAGACAUAGUGUCCUAUAGGUGAACAUUGACAACAAUGGACUUAGUGCCCUAUAGAUGAGCAUUGGCAGCCGUGCCACCACCUGUAGAUGUUUUGAUCUACGAUGUACUCUAAACAUCAUAGCAGCUGCGCUCAAAGGGUAGUAUCGGCAGCUGCGUGUAACGCAUGUGUUUCUAGGCUUGUCAUUAAUAUUGAUGUAAUAGUGUAGGUUAACCAUUGUAACCUGUUUCGAAAUAAUAGAAGUGUAUUAUUUGAGUAUUAUGUGUUUUGUACUUAAUUGUGUGUCUUAAUUAAAUUAAGUAUGAAAAUAAGCAUCAAAAUUAAAUGUUACAUAAAGCUGAUAUCUAUGGAUAAUUUUGUAGUAGUUGAAACGAGGUUUCUGAAUAUAUAUAGAAUGCUGAAAUCCGAGUUAUAACGAAGAAGUUAUGAUCUGUCGAAGUUUCGCGACAUAAAUCGGCACGACGAUGAAUGACGUAAAAAGUGAAUUUAUGUUAGAUUUAUCUUUAGUCCUAGUGAUCUAAACGAAAGUUGUAGAGUUCGUUAAACCGAUAGCGUGCAUAAAAAGAUCGACCAAAUCUGACUUCGUAUGAGUAAGUUAUGAUUUUCCGAAGUUUCGACUUAGCAGUGUGCAGCCCGAAUACUCGAUUUGAGAUCGAGCGGUUUUUAGUCGAAACAAUCUAAACGAGAAUCGAAGAUCUCGUCAAUGGUAGAGCAACGGUAAAAAGAUAAAUGAAAACGGACGUCAGAUGAAGAAGUUAUGAAUUUAUAACAGAGUUUUCCUAUCCCGGCCUACUAAAAAUAAAUAAUAAUAAAAUAAAUUCAAAAUCAGCCGACAGAGUCUAAACGAAAGUUGUAGAGUGUAGUCUCACCUACGCAUGGAUAUAAAGAACGUCGAAAACGGAAUUCAUAUGAAGAAGAUAUGAAUUUCUGAAGGAUUUAUAUGAUUAAUAUUUAUUAAUUAAUCUUUAAUUCGAAUGUAUAUCCGAAGGAGUCACCGACCUGAUCCACACUAUGCCCAGCGUACACCGAAGCGUGACCCACCUCGCACUCGAGUGCUCCGAUGACACAUGCAGUGACGAAUCCGAAGCGUACGCCCCGCGUACUGAGCAUUACGCCUAGCGUAAUGCGAGGCUUCAGCCACUAUAAAAGGGCAUGCGAGGGCAGCCAAUCCUUUUGCUCAAUUUCUUUUCUCUCUCUCUUGUUUUCCAUCGUUUUGCGUUCAACUUAUACCCCGAAUCCCCAGUAUCAUUCCCGAGCCCCGAAGCAAGUCCCGAAGCCCCGAAGAUCCCGAGGAGUAGAGUUCCCGAGCCGAAGCUCUACCCGCGAGAAGCCAAUUUUUGUGAAGAUCUUCCAGAUCUAUCAAAGAAUACUACUUCUACAAGUCGUAGUGCUAUCUGUUCAUCUUCUAAUCAAGUGAGUGUGUUGUUACUUUCUUCUAACGCAUAAUUACGAAGUAUUUUAUAUGAAAUACGUGUUAUGUCUAUAUUUUGUGUUGGAUAAGGUGUCUAAGUCCAUAACUAUUUCUGGUAUGUACUUGACCCGACCCGGCAUGGUCCAUUUGGGUUGCAUGGCAUCAUCCAUUUGGAUAGACUAUAUGAGAGAAUUAACACUUGUGGUUUAUUAAUAUAUUAUAAGUUCAAAUAUAUUAAUAGUAUUAUUUAAUUAGUAUUGAUCAAGAAUUAAUCUAGAAUUAAUUAAGUGAUCAAAUGGUGACUAAUUAAAUAUAUGAGUUGAUUAUGUAAAUCCUCCAUAACUUAUAUAGUGGACUAAAGGGCUCCAUUGAUAAUCAAGUUGGGUUUGUUGGAUUAUUGUCUAAGUCCAUAAACUAUUUUGGUAUGUACUUGACCCGAUGGUGUAUGGUCAUUUUGGGUUGCCUUCACCAAAGCAACUUGAUAGGAUGAAUUAUAAAGAGAAAGGAUUAAAUAUGAUUUAUUAAUAUAUUAUGAUAAUACUAUAUUAAAGGAGAAAUCAUAUUGUUUAAUUAAUAUUAGUCAAGAAUUAAUUGAUAAUUAAUUUUGUGACUAAAAGAGAUUAAUUAAACUUAAGGGACUAGAACUGUCAAUUGUAUGAUAGUUGAAUAUUGAGCUAAUGGACUCCAUAUUAAAGGAGUGGAUGAAUUCUAUGGGGAAACCCAUUAGAAAUCGUCCUAGGCCUUUAAGGAAGGAGCCCAUGGGUUACUUAGGGCUUAAGCAUCCAAAUUAGGGUUUCCUUGUUAGAUAACCCUAAUAGCCUCACUAUUUAAGGACCCUUUGGGCACCAAAAACGUAGGCAACUGAAUCCUAGGGGUUUCUACACGUUUUUGGGUGUUUCUUCUCUUCUCCUAUUCAUCCUCUUGCUCUUGGUGUUUGUGAACCAUUAGAGGAGUGACAUUUGUGACUCUAAGCUUUCUAAAGUCAUUACAAAGGAGGAUUUGAGAUUGUUAUUGCUACAUAACAAUCAAGGUAUGAUCUAAACCCUAAUUCAUAUCUUAUACUGAUUAUCAUAUACUAGAUCCAAGCAUUAGGGUUUGUAUGAGCACAUAGGAUGUUCUUAUAGCUAAAACCCAUCAGUGGUAUCAGAGCCUUGAUUGGUUUCUAUUGUAUUGAUGCCUUGUUAAUUUGUUCAUGCUUGAAAAAUUCGAUUUUGUGAGUCUGCCUAAUGAACUCGGCGAGUCCCAUUGUGGACUCGGCGAGUAGGCCCCUACUCGGCGGGUCCAUAGGGGUACUCGGCGAGUUCGAGCGUCAGAAAGAGGGGACUUCGAGAUUUCUUGCUGAUUUACUCAUGGAUACUUGCCUUAUCUGUUUUAGAUCAUUAAAAUCCGAUUUUAAACAUAUUUAUGAGUAUAUCCUUGAUUAAACAAAAGAUAAUUACCAAUUGAUUAGAUAAUAACUUCCUUAUAUGAUAAAGUUUGAUUAUUUGUAUUAAUUGGGUAACUUAUUUUGCAAGAAAUUGAAAUUAGGUCAAAUAUAGAUAAUGAUGAGAUUAAUUGUUUAAUUUAUAUUAUUUGUUAUUUGAUCCUUGUGUUAUGAAAAGUUUCAAUUUUCCCCUUUAGGUUUUAUAGUUUAAAUUUGAACUCAAAAGUUUNUAGGGUUUCAUGUACACCACAGGAACGAUGUUUCAUAAACUUGACGAGUUCCAUAGACUCGAUGAGUUAAGUGUCCUGGUGCCGGGAUUUUCGAUUUUCUGGCCAAAUUUUAAUGAGGAUAACUGUGAAAACUCGUUUUUCUUUCCUAAAUUCAAAUCUUUAAGAUCGGUAUGGAUAUCCUUAUCAGAUUUGGUGGAUUUAGUUAAAUAUGGAUGAUAUAGGAUUAUUUUGAUUCAAAUAUUUAACCUAGUAAGUUUGAAAAGUUUCAAAUUACACCCUUUAGGUUUUAUAGUUUAAAUUUGAACUUAAAAGUUUUAGUUUUGAAAUUUAAAUAGUUAAACCCUAAUAUUUUGAAAAGUUUUAAAAUUUGUCCUUAAAUUUUGGAAUUUAAAAUUUAAUUAAAAGGUAUUACUUUUGCAAUAUUAAUUUCUAAAACCCUAGUGUUUUGAAAAGUUCAUAUUACACCCUUAUGGUUUUAUUAAAUUAAUUAAGUGCUUAAUUAAGAGAGAGAAUUAAUAAAUCCAUAACAAUAUGGUUUAAGAUUAAUCAAAUUAAAAGUGUAAUUUAUUAAUAGAUUAAACCACCUAAUAUUUUUAAAGUGUAAAAUACACCAUUAUACUAUAUAUAAAAUUAAAAGUCUAAUAUAUUAUAUAUGUAUAAGUAAAGAGUCUGUCUUAUCGUUAGUAAGCCUUAUUCACGAAGUUGGUCUUUAAGGGGUGUUUAAGGAAGCGGCAUGUAAAAUGACCGUCAUUGGAUAUCCACUCUUACCCACCGCACCAUUAACUAGUGGAGGGUCAUUAGCCGAAUGGGUAGGAUAGGACAUAACCUUCCAUUAUAAGUAUAAUGAAAUACGAAGUAACUAAACGUUUAUAUAAAUUCUCAAAUCUUAGUUACUGUAGGAAAAAUGUGAAUUUGGUGCUAAUCCAUGAAAUUGCACAUUGCACCUUGUUGGUCGUUAGUGGAGCGUGUGUGGUUAACAGAACACUAAUAUGGGACCAAUGAAGGAUGGCAAUGGGUUUCUCGUAAUAUUAUCAUUGAUCAAUGGAGCGUGUGUGGUUAACCGGCACAUUGAUUGGGUGGUGAUCGACAUCGAGAGUAUCAAGCUAAUUUGCAUGGUUAUUCACACCUUGUUUGUGAUCCUCGGCGUCCCAGUCACAAACUUGAAAGGCAUAAUCGAGAUUAAACAUGCCAUUGAAAAGUUUAAUGAAUCUCAAAAGAUCUAGGGCUUUCAAUUCAUUAAUAACCUAAUUUUCAUUUUUGUUUUUCAUGGUGGAAAUUGGUAAAUCGUCAUUUACCUACCUUCAAAUAUUUUGCGACUGGAUUACGGCAUCCCUCUUCCGAAUUGUAGAAUAUUGUGUUGGAUCCUAGCCUUAAUAUUCCCUUUGGGUGUUAUAUUAAGGAUUGAAUCAACUAACUUGAACUUCUCCCAUUUUGUAGAUGUCUAAAUCUAACAACUAUGGUAUUCCACAAUCCUUUGGAAAAAGUCUUCCACAUGAAGAUGAUGUUCCACGAUUCGAUCGAGGAACAAGAGAUCAUGCUUCACUUCAUCCUCCUCCUCCCGUUGUUCUCCCUAACCCACAAGAUCGAAGAAUUGAAAGGUUCAAUGUCACUAAAGCCCUAUUGGAAAUGAAACAUGAAGAUAAUGUUGGGUGCGUCAUUCCCCGAUAAGUUGGCUGUGAACUGGGUUCUGCAGUCGCUCCCUGAAUCAUAUAAUGAGUUCAAGAGAAUGUAUUAUAUGAUGGAUCAUGACGAUAACCUCAUUGACCUAACUUACAUGCUCAUUGCUGCUGAAUCAGAAAUAAUUUGGCAAAGCAAUGGAGCGGUUUUGUUGGGAAAGUCAACCAACCAUGCUUUCGAGGACGUUCUAGGAGAACCGACCUGCGUUUGCUGCCAAGAGAAAGGGCGUUGGAUACAAGUUUGCCCUAAGAGCCUGAAGAAUCCAAAAGAUGGGAGAGUCAAAGAGUAUGGUUGUGCUUCAGGUAAAAAUCCACUAUCUAACUCCAUUAAGUUCUUAUUCGUUGAUUCUUAAUACAUGAUGUGAUAAGAUUGCAUUUGAAUGUUUUGCAGGAUCAGUGAAAAGAGAGGAAGCUUGAUGGAAAAGCAAGAUAAGUCUAAUCACAAAGAAAUGGAUCUCGAUCGCAUGGACUUGAAGAUUAGAUUUUGAGCUUAGAAAGUUAUGAUAGAGUUGUUAGGAAUAUUAGACUACAUAGUUUUUCAGUUAAUUUUGCAUUGUAAGGAAAAAUGUUUUCCGCUGCUUUUAUGAAUAAAAUAAAUUUUGAUUUGACUCAUUUAUUUAUUUAUUUCCUUGCAAUGAAAUCGUUAUGAAAAAUUGAUGUUUGCAUAUUUCUACAACGAAUGGAUGUGAUUCUUAAUUAUGUUAAUUAUGGAAAGGUCAAGAAUUUACCAAAUAGGAAAAGUUUCUCAUCGCCCAAGUUUCAAUUGGAUAGAGACUUGGGUCAUGCAACUUGGUUGCACGAUGAAUGAGAAAUUUCAUAUGUGGAAAUAAGACUAAUUCGUUGACAAAGUGUCAAGUGAAGAACUAGGAGAUCGAGUACACAAAGUUGUGUGUUGAUCAAGUCCACCGCAAGAGUAACGAAGAUAUUCGUCAUGAUUUACUAGAGGUUUAGUAAAAAUGAUUAUACUUAUAAGAUUAAGUGUAAUUCUGAAUUGAUUGAAAAAGGUUUAAAUCAAUAGCAUAACGAAUAAGAAGAAUCAAGUAGACAGAAAGAUAAAAGUCUCUCUAUUCUAAGAAGAAGGGAGAGUAUCUUUAUGCUUUAUGAUAUGUCUUAAUGAUUAAGAACCAUAUCUCAAUUGAUCCUCUAAGUAAGUCUUAGUACAAUUGUAUGUCUGAGAAGAGGAAUCAAGAAUUAAAGAAAUGGUUAAAAUCAAGAAGUCAAUCGUAUUUCGUUCCAAACAAGUCUUAGAGUUAAGAUUGUGACAUAGAGUGACAAGUAUUAGGAAGGUUUAUGACAAUCAUCAAAUGUAGAAUUUGGAAAAGGGUUUUCUUAUUCUUGCACAUUUGAAAUUCGUAAGUUGUGAUGUCUUGGAUUAGACAAAGACCAACGAGGACCAAUUUGUGAAGUGUUUUGUCUUGAUAAAAGCUACACUAACUCUUGAAUAUUUGGUUGUCGAGAAAUGUUUAUUGACAAGAGAAUCUUAUAUGUCAAGGAGUCAGUGGGAGUCUUAAUGGUCUUGAAAAGGUUUCAAUAACAAAUCAAAAUAAACCUUAUCAAUCAUCACUAGCACACGAGUUGAGGUUUACAACCUAUCGUGUUGACAUUAUCUUGUUUCUGUGCCGUUCCAAUCGAGUUAAUUAUGCAUGUGAGUUCUAUGAGUUCUCAUUUGAAUGCAUAAAAGGCAAGGACCUUGAUCAAUGGAAAGUACAUUGAUAGGAAAGGGUGAGCUGCUUAACUACUUGGAAGACAUGGUGGGCAGCCGUGUUACCAUAAGGCAAGAAAUCAAGAUUAAGAGUUCGGUCCAUAUAAGUUUGAAUUUGUCAUAAACUUUGGUUUUAACAAAUUCACAUGGAUAGGAACACAUACACUAUUAAAAUCUAAGUGUCAUAAGAUUCCCUCCUUCAUGGAAAUGACUGUGAGGUAAUGCUUUCACUAAAAGAGAUUUUAAGAAGAUAGUAAUUGUGAAAAUUGGAUUCUCGAAUUCGAUUAUGGUUACAGUAUCCCUUUCCAUGAUUCGAAUUGUAAGAUUUGGCAAUUAGUCUGAAUUGUUUAGACACACAUAUGAGCUAUCUAAGGGAAAGGUGUAUAAGCUUAGAUAAAGGAUUAUCAAAGCAUUAGUUAUUAGAAACAUGAACUUAAGAAAUUCAAUAGGUAUUGUUCUUCUGAAAGUUAAGUUGUUUCUAAAUACAUGUCAAAGCUAGUGGGAGCAUAAGUGUUAUGUUUAUAAUAAUCAUCAUGAUAGUGGGAGCAUAAAUGUUAUGAUUAUGUGAUUAUUAAGGCAAGUAUUGCAAGUUAGCAAUAUUAAUUAUAGAAAACAAGAGUUAUACUUUGCAAAGUCACAAUGGUUAAAAGGUUGUUUUGCUAUAAUUAAGGGAGAGAAUAUUAUGCUUCAUUUCAAAACUAAAGGCUUAGGUUGUGGAAUGUUAAUUAUUUUAGUCAAGGAUACAUAGUAUUCUUAAAUUUCGAUUAUGAUUACGACAUUUCUCUUCAUAGUUCGAAUUGUGAGAACAUAGCACAUAAAAUAUUAUGGCAGAAGACUGAUAAAGUAUCAAAUCUUUAUGCAUCGUGUCCCAUGCGCUUCGGGUAUAGGAUCGAUUGCAAAUGCUAUAAUAUUUGACCAUUCCAAAAUUUUCCAAAUGUCUAGCGCAUUUAGAGGGAAAAGGACAAGAAUAGGUUUUGACUAAGAUAAUUAAACAACUAUCAAAGGACAAUCCAAAGUUCGCCAAGGAUUGGUCACUUAUGAGUAGUUGGAAGUAUAGUAUUGAAUAGACCAUAUCGACAUUAUUAUGAAUAGAAAAGAUUCUAUUAAGAAUGAGUUGUCAUAUGGAAAAUAUGGAAACGUUUCCAUAUUGGGAGUCGGAUAUUGAGAAUCUAUGUCUAGAUUAGAAAUUUUAUGCAAAAGGAUGUUCAAAGGAAUGUCCUUUGAGUGAGAGACAUCACAUCUAAGGAAUUGUCUUGUAACAAUCUCCAAUAGACAGCUUUGUAAUUCAUUGGCAAUAGUCAUUGUGACUUUGGUGCAGUGACAUUAUGAAAGGAUGAUUGCAUAAAAUAUUAGAAUCUAACAUAUUCCAUAAGUGGCAAGAAUUUGAUAUUCUUUCACUUGUGAAAAGGAUUGGGAGUUAUGAAAUGAUUAUGAUUGGAAAUGUGUUCAUUUGAUCUAUUUCACAAAGUAAGAACCAUAGAUAAACACUGUGUGCAUGCUAAGAGCAUGGGACAAGUGUUGUAAUAAUUUAAGUAAGAAGUUUAUUACCCGAAACAAGAAAUAAUGAGUAAUCGAUAUGGUGAUAAUAAAAGGUGUUUUAUUUAUACUCAAGGUUUGAGGCCAUAUGGGACUAGUAUUAUUCUUGUGUUUCACUUUGCAUGUUUUGACUUCCUAAAUAAUUUAAAUUGGUUUAGAACAGUUAAAUUAUUCGAACGGGCCCUAGUCGUUCAUAUGUUGGAAGUAGGUAUGAAUGAAGACUGUCAUGAAUUGGUGUGUGGAUUGUCUAAAGAGCAUUAGACAUAAGCAAAUGUUUGCUGCAACGUUCAUGAGUGCUUAUAAAUAUGAUUUGAGCAUUGCAUUAAACCCACGCUCACUUGGAUCACUUCAUGGAUUUUAUCACGAGUGAUUGGUGAGACGAUAAUAUCUUAUAUUCUUGAAACCGAGAUGUGUGAGUUGUAUCUUGCGAGUUGGUUGCACAUUGAUAAUACGUAAACGCACCAGUAACUUGGUGUUAUAAAACAUAUUGUUGUGUGUGAUUCGGUGAGUAAGUGCAAUCGAACAUUGAGUCAAAGUUUAUCCGUUCCUUUUAUCAAAAGUAGGAUAAAAACGAUUUCUGUGGGCCCCUCGAUUAUUUAGUGAUGGCACCUAAGCGCUUGGCCAAGCCGGGACUAAAUUGAUGUGUUCAAUUGUAGUCUAUUGUUAGUCGUCAUAAAUCUGAAUUCGGGAAACAACACAUAGACAGAGAGAAUGUUUUAGAUCCAUGUCUCAGUCUAUACGAUAUCUAGAAUGGAGGAAUAUAUGAUCCCUUAUCUAAAGGAUACGCGAAUAUGAUAAGAUCAGAGUUGACAGCGGCUUUAGAAAGCUACGAUUGCAGAUCAGGAUCUGAAGUCAUACGCAUAAUAGUUAUUAGACUUAUCCAAGUGGGAGACUGUUGGAUUAGUGUCUAAGUCCAUAAACUAUUUUGGUAUGUACUUGACCCGAUGGUGUAUGGUCCUUUUGGGUUGUCUUCACCAAAGCAACUUGAUAGGAUGAAUUAUAGAGAGAAAGGAUUAAAUAUGAUUUAUUAAUAUAAUAUGAGAAUAAUAUAUUAAAGGAGAAAUCAUAUUGUUUCAUUAAUAUUAGUCAAGAAUUAAUUGAUAAUUAAUUUUAUGACUAAAAGAGAUUAAUUAAACUUAAGGGACUAGAACUGUCAAUUGUAUGAUAGGUGAAUAUUGAGCUAAUGGACUCCAUAUUAAAGGAGUAGACAAAUUCUAUGGGGAAACCCAUUAGAAAUCGUCCUAGGCCUUUAAGGAAGGAGCCCAUGGGUUGCUUAGGGCUUAAGCAUCCAAAUUAGGUUUUCCUUGUUAGAUAACCCUAAUAGCCUCACUAUUUAAGGACCCCUUGGGCACCAAAAACGUGGGCAACUGACUCCUAGGGGUUUCUACACAUUUUUGGGUGUUUCUUCUCUUCUCCUAUUCAUCCUCUUGCUCUUGGUGUUUGUGAACCAUUAGAGGAGUGACAUUUGUGACUCUAAGCUUUCUAAAGUCAUUAUAAAGGAGGAUUUGAGAUUGUUAUUGCUACAUAACAAUCAAGGUAUGAUGUAAACCCUAAUUCAUAUGUUAUAUUGAUUAUCAUAUACUAGAUAUAGGGUUUAUAGUCUUGGAUGAGUUGCAUGUACAAUAGAGAAACCUAGAUCCAAGCAUUAGGGUUUUUAUGAGCACAUAGGAUGUUUUUAUAGCUAAAACCCAUCAGGGUUAAACCCAUUGGAUGCUCCAUGGAGGCUCCAUGGGAGUUACAAACCCAUGGGUAAUGGAAAUGAAGAGUCAUGUCACAUUAGGGUUUACAUGGCGUAACCCUAGAUGUGACACACUAUAUAAAGAACAUCAUACUCCCUAAAAUCGGCUACACAUAGUGACAAGAGGGCUUGCCUGAUUUUUUGAGUGUUACACGUUCUCUCAAAGUUGUUCCAAAGCAUUUGGUGUUGUAUGAAGCAUUUGAGGAAUCACACUUAGGGUGCUAGGCUCUCAAGGUUUCAAGGAAUCAUAACAACAACAAGGUAUGUGUUUCUAGCUAUCUUUUAUAUUAUAAAGUUCCCCAUGUAUGCUAGAUAGGUUUAUGAACCUUGGAAAAAAGUAAUUUGCAUGUAUCUUAUACAAACAUAGAUCCAAGGUUCUCUAGGGUUGCAUGUACACUUAGGAGUGUUAGAAUUGCUCAAAACCCUUCGAUGGUAUCAGAGACUAGGCUUGCUUGUUUGAUAUUUGAUGCAAAAUAGUGAAAAAAGUCGAUUUUUUGUUGUCUGCCUGCUGAAAUCGCCAAGUCCAUGGGGGGACUUGCCGAGUUCAUGUGUAAAAUCAUCCUACUCGUCGAGUAGGUUCAUGCACUCGACGAGUAGGAGCCUCAGAAUGCAGUUUUUUGACUUUUGCUGCUGGAAAUGGACUAGAAACGUUACCCUAAACUGUUUGGGUGUUAUUAAACAUGUUUUAGAUGGUGUAAUGGUUGUUCUAAUCCAUUUAUAAUGACUAAUAUCAAAAUUCCAUGAUUUUAUGUUUUCUUGAAAAUUUGAUAUUCAUAUUCAUGUUCUUAUGAGUUUAGAUGAUCAUAGGAAUUAUGUGUAACUUCUUGAUAGUUUUAAUUCUUAAUCAUUAUGUGUUUUAAUGGAAUCCAUAAUUUGUCCUCAAGUUAUGAAUUACCAAAAGUUUUAUCUUUGAAUGUCCAUUGAAGAAACACAUAGGUUACAUAAAAUGAAGAUUUACUCAUUUUAAUGAACCAAUUAAUCUCAUAAGUUAUGGAUUGAAGAGUUUUGUUAAGUUACAAAACUUUCCCUCAAAUUUUGGAACUUGUAAAGUCACCUAAUUAACUUUAGUUCCAACCCCUAGAAUUUAAAAUGUUAAAAUUCAACACUUAUACUUUAUAAUAUUAUAAGUUUAAUAUAUAUAUAUAUAUAUAUAUAUAUNNNNNNNNNNNNNNNNNNNNNNNNNNNNNNNNNNNNNNNNNNNNNNNNNNNNNNNNNNNNNNNNNNNNNNNNNNNNNNNNNNNNNNNNNNNNNNNNNNNNNNNNNNNNNNNNNNNNNNNNNNNNNNNNNNNNNNNNNNNNNNNNNNNNNNNNNNNNNNNNNNNNNNNNNNNNNNNNNNNNNNNNNNNNNNNNNNNNNNNNNNNNNNNNNNNNNNNNNNNNNNNNNNNNNNNNNNNNNNNNNNNNNNNNNNNNNNNNNNNNNNNNNNNNNNNNNNNNNNNNNNNNNNNNNNNNNNNNNNNNNNNNNNNNNNNNNNNNNNNNNNNNNNNNNNNNNNNNNNNNNNNNNNNNNNNNNNNNNNNNNNNNNNNNNNNNNNNNNNNNNNNNNNNNNNNNNNNNNNNNNNNNNNNNNNNNNNNNNNNNNNNNNNNNNNNNNNNNNNNNNNNNNNNNNNNNNNNNNNNNNNNNNNNNNNNNNNNNNNNNNNNNNNNNNNNNNNNNNNNNNNNNNNNNNNNNNNNNNNNNNNNNNNNNNNNNNNNNNNNNNNNNNNNNNNNNNNNNNNNNNNNNNNNNNNNNNNNNNNNNNNNNNNNNNNNNNNNNNNNNNNNNNNNNNNNNNNNNNNNNNNNNNNNNNNNNNNNNNNNNNNNNNNNNNNNNNNNNNNNNNNNNNNNNNNNNNNNNNNNNNNNNNNNNNNNNNNNNNNNNNNNNNNNNNNNNNNNNNNNNNNNNNNNNNNNNNNNNNNNNNNNNNNNNNNNNNNNNNNNNNNNNNNNNNNNNNNNNNNNNNNNNNNNNNNNNNNNNNNNNNNNNNNNNNNNNNNNNNNNNNNNNNNNNNNNNNNNNNNNNNNNNNNNNNNNNNNNNNNNNNNNNNNNNNNNNNNNNNNNNNNNNNNNNNNNNNNNNNNNNNNNNNNNNNNNNNNNNNNNNNNNNNNNNNNNNNNNNNNNNNNNNNNNNNNNNNNNNNNNNNNNNNNNNNNNNNNNNNNNNNNNNNNNNNNNNNNNNNNNNNNNNNNNNNNNNNNNNNNNNNNNNNNNNNNNNNNNNNNNNCUCCUGGAAGAAUCGCGGGGCCACCCCGACUCAACUCGCCGAGUCUGAAGAACAACUCGACGAGUCCCAGUUAAUCUUCAAGCUACUCGCCGAGUCUGUUCAUCGGACUCGGCGAGUCCAUGCCAUGCAACCGCUCAAACUGCUUUCUAAGGUCAGAACUGCUCCGACCAUUCAUAGGUCUGGCCUUCCUAGACUGAUUCAUCACGUAAGGUCCUCAUUUCGGUGCUCAUAAUACACCCCAUGACUCAUAAUUUACAUUUUGACCUAAGGCAUAAGGAUUCCAAUCCAAAACCUCCAUUGAUUCCUGAAAUGCUCAGGCAUGGGACAUUCUGGACUUCCAAAGAUCUCAAUACAGGGUUCCAAUCGUUUGGGGGACUAAAGUAACACUCAAUCUAGCCACAAAAGGGUUCAAUAAAUCCUAAAUCCAUAUACACAUCAACAUAGAAGAAUGUAACUCGAAAUAUUACCUGAAUAACGUGCUCUCUGUGUCCCCAAUCCACAGAACGUGGCUCUUCCUGUUGUUCCCUUAACCAAGCCUCUUCUUCCUUGCAAAACCACACUUCCAAAAUCAACAAUGGUCUUCAACCUUGCUCCAGACGCUCACAAUCGAAUUAGGGUUUCUCUCAGAGGACUAGGGUGAACAAUGACGGCCAUAAAGUCCCUCAUAUACGUCCCAAACCUGAACGGUUAGGGUUUUCGCUAAAUAGCGCAGACUCGCCGAGUCCAUAUCCGGACUCGUCGAGUCCAGUCGCGAACCCGCAACCAGAUCCGCGAUCCUACUCGGCGAGUCUAGGCUCCAACUCGCCGAGUCCCCUCUUAAAACACCCAAAAUCAUAAAUAUAACAAUACCUGAAAUUCCAGGCUGUUACAGUAAUCGGGUUAUUGUUGGUUGGUAAAAGUAAAUACAAUUAUUUAUUGCGGGUUGAAAACACUAUAUGCUCACCAGGCUCCCAAGCCUGACCCACUCAGUUUAUUUGUAUUACAGGUAGUGGCGCGAGGGCAUAAGAUGGACGAAUCAUCAAGUUAUUUUGUUUAUUAGACCAGUUGUUAUAUGUAACUAUUGUAUGGUCUAUCUUUUGUUGUUUAUGCUUUUGUGUCUGUAUCGGAACAUGACAUCUCGAGUUUUGAUUUUAUAGUGAAAAUACAUUUCUUUAUGAAAUGCUUUGGUAAAUAUUAUUUUAUCAUACUUUGUUUUUGGGAACAAAUUUCGCAACUCUUUUAAAUCAAAAGGAUUUACUCUUAAAUUAUUUUAAAAAGCAUAAAUGAAACUGGUCUUUUAUGGCCGUGAUUUUGGGGAUGUCACAGUGGGUAUCAGAGCAUUAGUUUAAGCGAACUAGGAAUUUGUAAGAUUUCUAGACUUAAACUUAGAAUGCUAAGUGGAGAUUGUGAGAAGUGUGUCUGUUAUAUUAUGGACACGAGCACUAGUAUAUUUUAGGAAGUUGCCUAAAAUGCUCUUAGGUGCUAAAUGUUAUAUGUUGCCAUAUAUGAUAUUAUUUGUUUGGAUCUAUGGUCUGUUGCCGACCGGAUCAUGAAACCUUAUGUGUGUAGGAUUCUAAGCAUACGUCUACGACAUUAGAACUAGCAUGUAAACGUUUCGGAGUGAUAUGGAAGAUCGUAAUAUCUAUCAUGAAUAAAGAUCUAAAUUUCACCUUAUUCGGUGUAUUGAUCAAGAAUGGCAAGAACAAGAAGCAGUGAUGGAAAUGCAAACAAGAACAGGAAUCAACCGCCUCUAAUUGAACAAGUAAUUGUUGAAACUGCUGCACCAGAGCAAAUCACUCUGGCUGGGGUGCAAGCCAUGAUUCGGGCUAUGUUAGCCGAACAAAAGGAAGAAAUGCGACAGAUGUUGCAUGAAAAUAGGGACGAACCAAUCAUACCCAUUGAGGAACCCAAACUGAUUCCCGAACAAUCGGAGGAAGGAAACAAUAGUCGCGUUGUGAGUCAAGUUGGGAGUCAAGGAGAACGAAGGAACGACCCGGAAAGGGGAAACAAAAAGGAUGGGAGAAUGUAUAAGAAUUUCUUGGGCGCCAAGCCGCCAAGUCUUUCUGGGAACCUAAAGCCCAUUGAGAUUAUGGAUUAGAUCUCCGAAAUGAAGAUGGUAUUUGAAAGUUGCGACUGUAUCAACAAACAGAAGACUGUCUUUGCAGUUAGACAACUGAAGACCGGAGUCUUGAGCUGGUGGAAGUUGUUGGCAGAUAUUAUGUCAUGAGGAGAAGCCCUGAAAAUGUCAUGAGAGGAGUUCUUAGAACAACUAAGGGCGCAGUAGUGUUCAGAGAUAGAUCUGAUUGAUCUGAACAAUGAGUUCCAAAACUUAAAGAAGGGGAGGAUGAGCAUAAAUGACUAUGCUAUCGCAUUCACUGAUAAAAUGAGGUUAUUUCCAUACCUAGUGCGAAUGAAACUCUCCAAGAUUGAGAGGUUCGCUAAUGGACUACCUUCCGACUUUUGCCCGAUAGUCAAGAUGGCAACUACUCUAAAAAUAGUUGUUUGUGCGGCUAAGAAUGUGGAGACCCAGCAGAAGGAAAAGGGUCUGGAAAGAAUAGAGGUUGGUGAGAAAAGGAAGUUGGAUGGACCUUUAGGGUCCAACAAGAAAAUCAAGUUUUCGAAGUCUAGUUCGAGAGGAGGAGGAGGAAGAGAAGCCAAAUGGUACGACAAAUGUAAGAAGAAGCAUCAUGGAAAAUGUGAAGUAGUAGCCACAUGUUUUAAAUGUGGAAAGCCAGGGCACUAUGCCAAUGAAUGCACUCUCACCAAGAAAGUUUGUUAUGGCUAUGGUGAGGAGGGGCACAUCUCGAGAGAUUGUUCGAAGAAGAAGGAGGCAUCAAAACCCAAUAUUCCCCCAAAGCCGAAGGCGAGAGCAUUCCAGAUGACACUGGAAGCUGCAAAAUAUGAAGCUGAUGUCGCUUCAGGUACCUUUCUCGUAAACAAAUUGCAUGCCCAAAUUUUAUUUGAUUCUGGAGCCAACUACUCCUUUAUUUCGCAUGAAUUUGGUAGAAACUAGCUUCUCCUGUCGAUAGACUAGAUAAUGCUUUAUUAGUCGAAGUUGCUAGUAGCAAAUUUCUACCUAUUAGCCAUCGUAUGAAAAACAUCUUAAUUCACUUGAAUGGGAAUAAGUUCCAUGAGGAAUUAUUGCCUAUCGAACUAAACAAUUUCGACAUCGUGCUGGGAAUGGAUUGGCUUAGCGCCAAUGACGCCGAAAUAUUGUGCAAGAAGAAGAUUGUAAAGGUAAAUCCGCCAGGNGCAAGAAGAAGAUAGUAAAAGUAAACCCACCAGUGAAAGAGUCAUUUAUGGUGUAUGGGGACAAACGCAGAGUAAAUUCUAGAAUCAUUUAUCUAAUGAAAGCCAGAAAGUGUUUGGCCAAAGGAUGUACAUCAUAUUUGGCAUUUGUGAUAGAUUCUAAGAAGGAGAAAAAGGUGAUGCAAAGCAUUCCUAUCGUAUGUGAUUAUCGGGAAGUAUUUCCCAAAGAUCUUCCCGGAUUACCGCCUGAUAGAAAUUUGGAGUUCAUAAUAGACUUGUUACCAGGGACGACGCCUAUAGCAAAAGCACCUAAUCGAUUAGCACCAUCAGAGAUGAAGGAGCUAAUGAUGCAACUUCAGGAGUUAUUGGGCAAAGGUUUAAUUAGACCUAGUUUAUCACCCUGGGGAGCUCCGAUGUUAUUCGUGAAGAAGAAAGAUGGAAGUAUGAGAAUGUGCAUCGAUUAUAGAGAGCUGAACAAGGCAACAAUAAAGAAUAGAUAUCCGUUGCUGAGGAUUGAUGACUUGUUCGAUCAACUACAAGGUUCAAGUUAUUUUUCAAAGAUCGACCAAAGGUCAAGAUAUCAUCAGCUGAAGGUGAAAGAGCAGAUAUAGAGAAGACUGCAUUCAGAACACGAUAUGGACACUAAGAGUUUUUGGUUAUAUCAUUUGGACUAACCAAUGCUCCAGCAUCAUUCAUGGAUUUAAUGAUCAUGGUUUGUAAUCCGUUCCUAGAUAAAUCUGUGAUAGUGUUCAUAGAUGACAUUCUGAUUUAUUUGAAAAGCGAAGAGGAGCAUGGCAUACACUUGCGAGAAGUGUUAGAAGUCUUGAAGAAGGAGAAGUUGUAUACAAAUUUCUCCAAAUGUGAUUUCUGGAUUCGAGAAGUCCAAUUCUUGGGUCACGUGAUCAACUAAAAAGGGAUAAUGGUUGAUCCAGCAAAGAUUGAAGCUGUAAUGAAGUGGGAACAACCGAAAAGUCCCACGGAGAUCCGAAGCUUUUUAGGAUUAGCCAGAUAUUACCGAAGGUUUAUCCAAGGCUUUUCUACGAUCGCUACUCCAUUAACAGCGUUCACCCACAAAGGAGUUACUUAUGCUUGGAAUGAUAAGCAUAAAGAAGAAUUCGAGAGGCUAAAGAAGAAGCUAUAUGAGGCAGCGAUUCUUUCUCUACCCGAUGGAGUUGAAGACUUCGCUGUUUAUAGCAAUGCGUCUGGUGUUGGCUUGGGUUGUGUUUUAACCCAAAGGGAAAAGGUGAUCGCAUAUGCAUCUCGACAGUUGAAGGAGCAUGAAAAGAACUACCCGACUCAUGAUUUGGAGUUGGAAACGGUAGUUUUCGCUCUGAGAAUAUGGAGGCAUUACCUCUAUGGCACGAAGUGCAACUUUUCACUGAUCAUAAGAGUCUCCAAUAUCUCUUUAGUCAGAAAUAAUUAAAUAUGAGGCAAUGAAGUUGGCUUGAAUUACUUAAGGAUGUACGACUGCGAGAUACUUUACCACCCUGGUAAGGCUAAUGUUGUUGCUGAUGUUCUCAGUCGGGAAGUCAAUCUUGAAAGAAAAAGGCCAAGAGCGUUGAGAAUAGAAGUUGUCUCAACAAUUGUGGAGAGUAUAAAGAAAGCUAAAGAGGAAGCUUUUGUGAAGAAUGAUCGAAAAGAAGAACUUUAGGGAAAAAUGUUGGUGUUCGGUAUAAACAGUCAUGGACUGAAGGUGUUCCAAGAUCGGAUUUGGAUACCUAAGACAAGAGGAGUCAGAGAUCUUAUGAUGGAAGAAGCUCAUAAGUCCAUGUACUCAAUUCAUCCCGGUAGUACUAAAAUGUAUAGGGACCUAAAACCCUACUACUGGCGGCCGACGAUGAAGCUUGAUGUUGAAAAGUAUGUAGCCGUGUGUGUGACUUGUGUGAGAGUCAAGACACAACAUCAGAAACCGUAUGGGAGUUUAGAACCUUUGCCUGUGCCUAUGGGUAAGUGGGAAGACAUUGCUAUGGAUUUUAUCACUAAACUGCCCAGAACGAAAAGUGGUCACAACAUGAUUUGGGUGAUCGUUGAUCGAUUCACUAAGAGUGCGCAUUUCAUAGCAUCCAAUGAGAAAUGGUCUAUGGAAAAGCGUGCGAAUUCUUUUGUGAAGGAAGUUGUGAGGCUUCACGGUGUUCCGUUAACGAUUGUGUCAUAUCGUGAUAGCCAUUUCACCUCGCGAUUUUGGAGAAGUCUACAAGAGGAAUUGGGUAGCAAGUUGUGUUUGAGUACAUCUUACCAUCCACAGACUGAUGGUCAGAGCGAACGGACGAUACAAACACUUGAAGAUAUGCUGAGAGCAUCUACCCUAGAAUUCCAAGGUACUUGGGAUGAACAUUUACCUUUGAUGAAAUUUUCCUACAAUAAUAGUUUCCACUAGAGCCUAAAGAUGGCACCUUGUCAAGCUUUGUAUGGACAGAAGUUUCGUACGCCGUCUUAUUGGCUUGAGGCUGGAGAAAAGAAGUUUAUGGGACCCGAGAUGGUUCAUCAAAUUGCUGAAAACCUGAAAAUAAUUUAGGAAAGAAUGUUAGUAGCUCAGGAUCGUCAAAAGUGCUAUGCUGACAAAUAGCGAAGACCGAUGACUUUUGAAGUUGGAAAUUCGGUUUUGCUUAAAGUCUCGCCAUGGAAGGGACUUAUAAGAUUUUGUAAAUGGGCAAAGUUUAGUCCAAGGUUUAUUGGACCUUUUAAAGUUCUUGAGAGGAUUGAGAACCAAGCUUACAAGAAUGAAUUGCCAGAAGAACUGCAUGGUAUUCAUAACACUUUCCAUGUGUGUUAUUUGAGGAAGUUUACUAGAGAACUUCCCGACAUGAUUCCACUUUCGGAGUUGAGAAUCAAUGAGAACAAAAGGUUGAUUGAAGAACCAGAGGCAAUCGUUCACUGAAAGACUAAGAAGUUGGGACGCAAGAUGGUCGAGUUUGUGCUUGUCCGAUGGAAACACACGAAUAGGCCAAAUCUCACCUGGGAGACGGAGAGUGACAUGAUCAGUCACUACCCGCAUUUGUUUGUUGAUGUGUGAUUCCGAGGACGGAAUCAUUCUAAGGUGGAGAGAAAUGUAACACCUGUGUUUCUGGGCUUGUCAUUAAUAUUGAUGUAAUAGUCCAGGUUAACCAUUGUAACCCGUUUCGAAAUAAUAGAAGUGUAUUAUUUGAGUAUUAUGUGUUUUGUGCUUAAUUGUGUGUCUCAAUUGAGUUAAGUAUGAAAAUAAGCGUCAAAAUUAAAUGUUAGAUAAAGCCGAUAUUUAUGUAUAAUGCUCUAGUAGUUGAAACGAGGUUUCCGAAUAUACAUAGAAUGCCGAAAUCCGAGUUAUAAGGAAGAAGUUAUGAUAUGUCGAAGUUUCGCGACAGAAACCGGCACGACGCUGAAUGACGUAAAAAGUGAAUUUACGUUAGAGUGAUACUUAGCCCUAGUGAUCUAAACGAAUGUUGUAGAUUUCGUUAAAUUGAGAGCGUGCAUAAAAAAAUCGCCCAAAUCUGACUUCGUAUGAGGAAGUUAUGAUUUUCCGAAGUUUCAACUUAUCAGUGUGCAGCCCGAAUACUCGAUUUGAGAUCAAGCGGUUUUUAGCCGAAACAAUCUAAACGAGAAUUGAAGAUCUCGUUAAUGGUAGUGCAAUGGUAAAAAGACAGAUGAAAACGGACGUCGGAUGAAGAAGUUAUGAAUUUAUAACGGGGUUUUUCUGUCCCGGCCUACUAAAAAUAAAUAAUAAAAAAAUAAUAUCAAAAUCAGCCGACGGAGUCUAAACGAAAGUUGUAGAGCGUAGUCUCACCUACGCGUGGAUAUAAAGAAAGUCGAAACGGAGUUCAUAUGAAGAAGAUAUGAAUUUCCGAAGUUUUUAAAUGAUUAACAUUUAUUAAUUAAUCUUUAAUUCGGAUGUAUAUCCGAAGGAGACACCGAUCUAGUCCGCACUACGCCCAGCGUAGUUGAGUACGACCAGCGUACACCGAAGUGUGACCCGCCUUACACUCAAGAGCUCCGAUAACGCAUGCAGUGACGAAUCCGAAGUGUACACCCCGCGUACUGAGCAUUACGCCCAGCGUAAUGUGAGGCUUCAGCCUCUAUAAAAGGGCUUGCGAGGGCAGCCAAUGCUUUUGCUCAAUUUAUUUUCUCUCUCUCCCGUUUUGCAUCGUUUUGCAUACAAAUUAUACCCCGAAACCCCGAUAUCAUUCCCGAGCCCCGAAGCAUGUCCUGAAGCCCCGAAGAUCCCGAGGAGUAGUGUUCCCGAGCCGAAGCUCUGCCUGCAAGAAGCCAAUUUUUUUGAAGAUCUUCCAGAUCUACCGAAGAAUACUACUUCUACAAGUCGUAGUGUUGUCCGAUCAUCUUCUGAUCAAGUGAGUAUGUAGUUACUUUCAUCUAAUGCAUAAUUACGAAGUAUUUUAUACGAAAUACGUGUUAUGUGUAUAUUUGUUGUUAUAUGUGUGAAUGUAUAUUCACUUUCUUCUAUCUCGUACAUAUGACUAAUUCUCUAUGAAAUAUGUGUUAUGUGUAUCUGUCUCAUCUGUUGUUUGGAAUAUGUAUUGAAUGAGAAUGUUAUACAGGUUUUAAACUAAGUAUAAAAAUAUAUAUUUUUAUCUACUAAUAUGUUGGGUAGACCAUGGGUAGAUGGUUGAUGUGUGAUAAACAGAUGAGAGGCCUCGAUGUUGCUGUUGAUCUAGUUAUUCAGCGGACUAUGGAUAAUGACCACAGACUCUUUCGAGACAGUCAUGUGGAACGCUGUGACAUCCUCAAAAUCACGGCCAAAAAAGACCGUUUUAAUUUAUGCUUUUAAAAUAAUUUGAGAGUAAAUCCUUUGAUUUAAAAGAGUUGCGGAAUUUGUUCCCAAAACAAAAUAUGAUAAAAUAAAGUUUUUCAAAGCAUUUCAUCAAGAGAUGCAUCUUCAUUAUAUAACAAUAUUCGGGAUGUCAUGUUCCCAUAAACAGACCAAAAAUAUAAACAACAAAAGAUAGAUCAUACAACAGUUACAUAUAACAAUUGGUCUAGUAUCAAAAGAUCUUGAUAAGUCAUCCAACUUAUGCUCUCGCGCCACUACCUAUAAUACAAAUAAACUGAGUGGGUCAGGCUUGGGAGCCUGGUGAGCAUAUAGGGUUUUCAACCCGAAAUAAAUAAUUAUAUUUAAUUUCACCAACCAACAAUAACCCAAUUACCCAUUCCCGUUAUCCUCACUUUACGUCCCUAAAACAACAUCUAUCUCAAGGGAUCUAAUAUAGGAUUUUCAUCGGGACAGACACUGCACAGGGGUUACCUCAAUAGUAGAUGUCCUAAAGGCAACCAUGAGGGGGAUAGAGUACACCGGUGAACACAUCGUUCACAACACCUAGCUAGCGUUCCACAGGACUGUCUAGAAAGAGUCUGUGGUUGUUAUCCAUACUCCGCUGAAUAACUAGAUCAACAACAACAACAUCGAGGCCUCUCAUUUGUUUAUCACACAUCAACUAUCUACCCAUGUUCUACCCAACAUAUUAGUAGAUAAAAAUAUAUAUUUUUAUACAUAGUUUAAAACAUGUAUAGCAUUCUCAUUCAAUACAUAUUCCAAUCAACAGAUGAGACACAUACACAUAGCACGUAUUUCCUAGAGAAUAAAUUAUAUCUCUGAGAUAGAAGAAAGUGAAUAUACAUUCACACAUAUAACAAAAAAUAUACACAUAACACGUAUUUUGUAUAAAAUACUUCAUAAUUAUGCAUUAGAAGAAAGUAACUACACACUCACUUGAUCAGAAGAUGAUCGGACAACACUACAGCUCUAAGAGUAGUAUUCUUCGGUGAAACUGGGUUCACUUCACUCACCAGGCUUCUUGCGGGCAGAGCUUCAGCUCGGAAACUCUUUUCUUCGAGGGAUCUUCGAGCUUCAGGACUUGCUUCGGUUGUCGGGAUGAUACCGGGGCUUCGGGGGUACUUUUUCACGUAAAUCGAGGUAAUAUGAGUGAGAGAGAAGAGAUUUGGCAACCACAAACGGUUGCCCCUUCAAAUCUAUUUAUAGGGCUAUUUUCUCAUUUUCCACGUCGUGGGCACUUCUUCCACGUCGUGAGCUUGGUCGUCAUUGCAUGCGUCAUCGUCCACUUGCUCUGCCAGGCUCCAGAAGGCGUCAGAAGCCAUGCCACGUCGUGGUCUCUGACGGUUUUGGUGUUUCGCACCCCGAACUUCAGAAAUCCAUAACUUUCGCAUACUUACUCCGUUUUCGACGUUCUUUAUAUCGACGUGUAGGUAAAAACAAGAUCUACAACUUUCAUUUAGACUUUGUAUGCUAAUUUUGACUUUAUUUUUAAUAUAUUAAUAAUAUACUAUUGUUAGUAGGCCGGGACAGGAAAACCCCGUUAGAAAUUCAUAACUCCUUCAUCUGACGUCCAUUUUCGACUGUCUUUUCACCGUUGGAGUACAAUCGAUGAGAUCUUUGAUUCUCGUUUAGAUUGUUUCGUCUAAAUAUCGCUCGAUCUCGUAUUCGAACUUCGGGCUAUACACUGCUAAACAAAAACUUCGAAAAAUCAUAACUUCCUCAUACGAAGUCAGAUUUGGGCCUUCUUUUUAUGCACGCUCUCAGUUUAACGAACUCUACAACAUUACUUUAGAUCGCUAAGUCCAAAUAUUUUUCUAAUGUAAACUCACUAUUUACGUCUCGCUGUGUCGUACCGGUUCUGUCGCGAAACUUCGACAAGUCAUAACUUCUUCGUUAUAACUCGGAUUUCGGCAUUCUUUAUAUAUUCAGAAACCUCGUUUCAACUACUACAACAUUAUCCAUAGAUAUUGGGUUGAUCUAACAUUUCAUUUUGACGUUUAUUUUUAUUCUUAAUUAAAUUAAGACAUACAAUUAAGCACAAAAACACAUAAUACUCAAAUAAUACACUUCUAUUAUUUCAAAACGGGUUACAAAGGUUAACCUAGACUAUUAUAUCAACAUUAAUGACAACCCCAGAAACACCGUCAUUACAAUUCUCUCCACCUUAGAAUGAUUCCGUCCCCGGAAUCACACAUCAACAAACAAAUGUGGGUAGCGACUCAUCAUGUCACUCUCCGUCUCCCAAGUGAGAUUUGGCCCAUUCGUGUGUUUCCAUCGGACAAGCACAAACUCAACCACAUUGCGUCGCAACUUCUUAGUCUUUCGGUCAAAGAUUGCCUCUGGUUCUUCAAUCAAUCUUUUGUUCUCAUCGAUUCUCAACUCCAAAAGUGGAAUCAUGUCGGGAACUUCUCUCGUGAACUUCAUCAAAUAACACACAUGGAAAUUUUUAUGAAUUCCAUUCAGUUCUUCUGGUAGUUCGAGCUUGUAAGCUUGGUUCCCAAUCCUCUAAAGAACUUUAAACGGUCCAAUAAACCUUGGACUCAACCUUCCCCUUUUACCAAAUCUUAUAAGUCCCUUCGACGGCGAGACUUUAAGCAAAACCGAAUCUCCAACUUCAAAAGUCAUCGGUCUUCGCUUGUUGUCAGCAUAGCUCUUUUGACGAUCUUGAGCUGCUAACAUUCUCUCCCUAAUUAUUUUCAACUUUUCAGCAGUUUGAUGGACUAUCUCUAGUCCCAUAAACUGCUUUUCUCCAGCCUCAAGCCAACAAGACGGCGUACGACACUUCUUUCCAUACAAAGCUUGAUAAGGUGUCAUCUUUAUGCUCGAGUGGAAACUAUUAUUGUAGGAAAAUUCUACAAAAGGUAAAUGUUCAUUCCAAUUACCUUAGAAUUCCAGGGUACAUGCUCUCAUCAUAUCUUCAAGUGUUUGUAUUGUUCGUUCGCUCUGAGCAUCAGUCUGUGGAUGGUAAGUUGUACUCAAACACAACUUGGUACCCAAUUCCUCUUGUAGACUUCUCCAAAAUCGCGAGGUAAAGCGGCUGUCACGAUCUGACAAAAUCGUUAACGGAACACCGUGAAGCCUCACAACUUCCUUCACAUAAGAAUUCGCACGCUUUUCCAUAGACCAUUUCUCAUUGGAUGCUAUGAAAUACGCACUCUUAGUGAAUCGAUCAACGACCACCCAAAUCAUGUCGUGACCACUUUUCAUUUUGGGCAGUUUAGUGAUAAAAUCCAUAGCAAUGUCUUCCCAAAUACCCAUAGGCACAGGCAAAGGUUCUAAACUCCCGUAUGGUUUCUAAUGUUGUGUCUUGACUCUCGCACAAGUCACACACUUGGAAACAUACUUUGCAACAUUAAGCUUCAUCGUCGGCCAACAGUUGUAGGGUUUCAGGUCCCUAUACAUCUUAGUGUCGCCGGGAUGAAUUAAGUACAUGGUUUUGUAAGCUUCUUCCAUCAGAAUUUCUCUGACUCCUCUUGUCUUAGGUAUCUAAAUCCGAUCUUGGAACACCUUCAGUGCAUGACUGUUUACACCGAACACUAACGUUUUGCCCAAACAUUCUCCCUUUCGGUCAUUCUUCUCAGAAGCUUCCUCUUGAACUUUCUUUAUACUUUCCAUUAUUGUCGAGACAACUUCAAUUCUCAACGCUCUUGGCCUCUUCCUUUCAAGAUUGACUUUCCGACUGAGAGCAUUAGCAACAACAUUUGCUUUGCUGGGGUGGUAAAGUAUCUCACAGUCAUAGUCCUUAAGUAACUCUAGCCAGCGUCGUUGCCUCAUAUUCAAUUCCUUCUGAUUAAAGAGAUAUUGGAGACUCUUAUGAUCAGUGAAAAGUUGGCACUUCGUGCCAUAGAGGUAAUGUCUCCAUAUCUUUAGAGAGAAAACUACCGCCGCCAACUCCAAGUCAUGAGUCGGGUAGUUCUUUUCAUGCUCUUUCAACUGUCGAAAUGCAUAUGCGAACACCUUUUCCCUUUGGUUCAAAAUACAACCCAACCCAACACCUGACGCGUCGCUAUAAAAACAAAGUCUUCAACUCCAUCGAGUAGAGAAUGUAUCGGUGCCUCGCAUAGUUUCUUCUUUAGCUUCUCGAAUGCUUCUUUAUGCUUAUCACUCCAAGCAUAAGUAGCUCCUUUGUGGGUCAAAGCUGUUAAUGGAGUAGCGAUCAAAGAAAAGCCUUGGAUAAACCUUCGGUAAUAUCCGACUAAUCCCAAAAAGCUUCAGAUCUCCGUGGGACUUUUCAGUUGUUCCCAGUUCAUUACAGCUUCAAUCUUUGCUGGAUCAACCAUUAUUCCUUCUUGGUUGAUCACAUGACCCAAGAAUUGGACUUCUCGAAUCCAAAAAUCACAUUUGAAGAACUUAGCAUAUAGCUUCUCCUUAUUCUAGACUUCUAACACUUCUCGCAAGUAUCUACCAUGCGCCUCUUGGCUUUUCGAAUAAAUCAGAAUGUCAUCUACAAACACUAUCACUGAUUUAUCAAGGAACGGAUUAGAAACCCUGAUCGUUAAAUCUACGAAUGUUGUUGGAGAAUUGGUUAGUCCAAACGACAUAACCAAAAACUCAUAGUGUCCGUAUCGUGUUCUGAAUGCAGUCUUCUCUAUAUCCUGCUCUCUUACUUUCAGGUGAUGAUAUCCUGACCUAAGAUCGAUCUUUGAGAAAUAGCUCGAACCUUGUAGUUGAUCAAACAGGUCAUCAAUCCUCGGCAACAUAUAUCUAUUCUUUAUUGUUGCCUUUUUCAGAUCUCUGUAAACGAUGCACAUUCUCAUACUUCCAUCUUUCUUCUUUACGAAUAACACCGGAGCUCCCCAGGGUGAUGAACUAGGUCUAAUGAAACCUUUGUCCAAUAACUCCUGAAGUUGCAUCAUCAGCUCCUUCAUCUCCGUCGGUGCUAAUCGGUAAGGUGCUUUUGCNNNNNNNNNNNNNNNNNNNNNNNNNNNNNNNNNNNNNNNNNNNNNNNNNNNNNNNNNNNNNNNNNNNNNNNNNNNNNNNNNNNNNNNNNNNNNNNNNNNNNNNNNNNNNNNNNNNNNNNNNNNNNNNNNNNNNNNNNNNNNNNNNNNNNNNNNNNNNNNNNNNNNNNNNNNNNNNNNNNNNNNNNNNNNNNNNNNNNNNNNNNNNNNNNNNNNNNNNNNNNNNNNNNNNNNNNNNNNNNNNNNNNNNNNNNNNNNUCUUUCCCAGGUGGGUUUACUUUGACUAUCUUCUUCUUGCACAAUAUCUCAGCAUCAUUGGCGCUAAGCCAAUCCAUUCCAAGCACGAUGUCAAAACCUUUAAGUUCAAUAGGCAAUAAUUUCUCGUGAAACUUAUUCUCAUUCAAAUCAAUUAAGAUGUUUUUCAUACGAUGACUAACAGGUACAAACUUGCCACUAGCAACUUCGACUAAUAAAGCAUUAUCUAGUCUAUCGACAGGCAAAGCUAGUUUUCUACCAAAUUCAUGUGAAAUAAAGGAGUAGUUGGCUCAAGACUCAAAUAAAAUUUGGGCAGGCAAUUCGUUAACGAGAAAGGUACCUGAAGCGACAUCAGCUUCAUCUUUAGCAGCUUCCAGUGUCAUCUGGAAGGCUCUCGCCUUCGGCUUUGGCGGAAUGUUGGGUCUUGCUGCCUCCUUUUUGGGGCAGUCCCUAGACACGUGUCCCUCCUCACCACAACCAUAACAAACUUUCUUGGUGAGAGUGCAUUCGUUGGCAUAGUGCCCUGGCUUUCCACAUUUAAAACAUGUGGCCACUACCUCACAUUUUCCAUGAUGCUUCUUCUUACAUUUGUCGCACCAUUUUGCUUCGCCUCCUCCUCCUCUCGAACUAGACUUCGAGAACUUUUUUUUCUUGUUGGACCUGAAGGUCCUUCGAACUUCCUCUUUUCACCAACCUCUAUCCUUUCCAGACCCUUUUCCUUCUGUUGGGCCUCCACAUUCUUAGCUGCUCGAACAACUUUUUUCAGAGUGGUUGCCAUCUUGACUGUCGGACCUAAUUCGGUAGGUAGUCCAUUAGCAAACCUCUCAAUCUUGGAGAGUUCCGUUGGCACCAGGUACGAAAAUAACUUUAUUUUCUCAGUGAAUGCAGUAGGAUAGUCGUCUACGCUCAUUCUCCCCUUCUUCAAGUUUUGGAAAUCAUUGUUCAAAUCAAUCAGAUCUAUCUUUGAACAGUACUGCACCCUUAGUUGUUCCAAGAAAUCCUCCCAUGACAUUUUCAGGGCUUCUCCUCAUUGCAUAGUAUCUGCCAACAGCUUCCAAAAACUCAAGACACCAGUCUUCAGUUGUCUAAAUGCAAAGACAGUCUUCUUUUUGUUGCUACAGUCGCAACUUUCAAAUACCAUCUCCAUUUCGGAGAUCCAAUCCAUAAUCUCAACAGGCUUCAGGCUUCCAGAAAGACUUGGCGGCUUGGCGCCCAAGAAAUUCUUGUACAUUCGCCCAUCCUUGUUGUUUCUCCUUUCCGGGUCGUUCCUUCGUUCUCCUUGAGUCCCAACUUGACUCAUAAUGCGACUAUUGUUUCCGUCCUCCGAUUGUUUGGGAAUCAGUUCAGGUUCCUCAAUAGGUAUGAUUGGUUCAUCCCUAUUUUCAUGUAACAUUUGUUGCAUUUCUUCCCUUUAUUCGGCUAACAUAGCCUGAACCAUGGCUUGCACCCCAGCCAUUGUUAUUGGUUCUGGUGCUGCUGCUACAACAGGUAUUUGCUCAAUCACUGGUGGUUGAUUCCUGUUUUCAUCUGCAUUUCCAACGCCACUCCUGGUUCUUACCAUUUUUUAUCUACACACCGAAUAAGGUGAAAUUCGAUCCUCAUCCAUGAUAGAUAAUUAAAUCAUCCUUAUCACUCCGAAACAUUUACAUGUUAGUUCUAAUACCGACGUCAUACGCUUAGAAUCUUACACACAUAAGGUUUCAAGAUCCGGUCGGCAGUAUACCAUAGAUCCGAACAAAUAAUAUCAUAUAUGGCAACAUAUAACAUUUAGCACAUAAAAGCAUUUUAGGCAGCUUCCUAAAAUAUACUAGUGCUCGUGUCUAUAAUAUAAUAGACACACAUCUCACAAUCUCCACUUAGCAUUCUAAUUUUAAGUCUAGAAAUCCUACAAAUUCCUAGUUCGCUUAAACUAAUGCUCUGAUACCAACUGUGACAUCCCCAAAAUCACGGCCAGAAAAGACCGUCUUAAUUUAUGCUUUUACACUAAUUUCAGAGUAAAUCCUUUGAUUUAAAAGAGUUGCGGAAUUUGUUUCCAAAACAAAAUAUGAUAAAAUAAAGUUUAUCAAAGCAUUUCAUUAAGAGAUACAUUUUCAUUAUAUAACAAUGUUCGGGAUGUCAUGUUCAGAUAAACAGACCAAAAGCAUAAACAACAAAAGAUAGACCAUACAACAGUUACAUAUAACAAAUGGUCUAAUAUCAAAAGAUCUUGAUAUGUCAUCCAACUUAUGCUAUCACGCCAAUACCUGUAAUACAAAUAAACUGAGUGGGUCUGGCUUGGGAACCUGGUGAGCAUAUAGGGUUUUCAACCUGCAAUAAAUAAUUACAUUUAAUUUCACCAACCAACAAUAACCCGAUUACCCAUUCCCGUUAUCCUCACUUUACGUCCCUAAAACAAUAUCUAUCUCAAGGGACCUAAUCAAGGAUUUUCAGCGGGACGGACAUUACUGCAAAGGGGUUUCCUCAACAGUAGAUGUCCUAAAGGCAACCAUGAGGGGGAUAGAGUACACCGGUGAAUACAUCGUUCACAACACCUACAGGUUAUGAGCCUGCUAGCGUUCCACAGGACUGACUAGAAAGAGUCUGUGGUCGUUAUCCAUACUCCGCUGAAUAACUAGAUCAACAACAACAACAUCGAGGCCUCUCAUCUGUUUAUCACACAUCAACUAUCUACCCAUGUUCUACCCAACAUAUUAGCAUAUAAAAAUAUAUAUUUUUAUACAUAGUUUAAAAACUAUAUAGCAUUCUCAUUCAAUACAUAUUCCAAUCAAUAGAUGAGACAUAUACACAUCGCACGUAUUUCAUAGAGAAUAAAUCAUAUCUAAGAGAUAGAAGAAAGUGAAUAUACAUUCACACAUAUAACAACAAAAUAUACACAUAACACGUAUUCUGUAUAAAAUACUUCAGAAUUAUGCGUUAGAAGAAAGUAACUACACACUCACUUGAUCAGAAGAUGCUCGGACAGCACUACAGCUCUAAGAGUAGUAUUCUUCGGUGAAACUGGGUUCACUUCACUCAUCGGACUUCUUAUGGGCAGAGCUUCGGCUCGGAAACUCUUUUCUUCGCGGGAUCUUCGAGCUUCUGGACUUGCUGCGGGUGUCGGGAUGAUACCGGGGCUUCGGGGGUACUUCUUUGCAUGUAAAUUGAGGUAAGAUGAGUGAGAGAGAAGAGAUUUGGCAACCACAAACGGCUGCCCCUUCAAAUCUAUUUAUAGGGCUGUUUUCUCAUUUUCCAUGUCGUGGGCACUUCUNUUCACAUCGUUACAUCAUCGCAAGUUGGGUCUGGUAGACUCCAGGAGUCGUCAAAAGACAUGCCACGUCGUGACCACUGAUUUCACAUCGUGGUCUCUGACAGUCUUGGAGUUUCGCGCCCCGAACUUCAGAAAUUCAUAACUUUAACAUACGAACUCCGUUUUCGACGUUCUUUAUAUCGACGCGUAGGUAAAAACAAGGUCCACAACUGUUAUUUAGACUUUGUAGGCUUAUUUUGACUUUAUUUUUAAUAUAUUAAUAAUAUACUAUUUUUAGUAGGCCGGGACAGGAAAACUCCGUUAGAAAUUCAUAACUCCUUCAUCUGACGUCUGUUUUCGACUGUCUUUUCACCGUUGGACUACUAUCGAUGAGAUCUUCGAUUCUCGUUUAGGUUGUUUCGGCUAAAUAUCGCUCAAUUUCAUAUUCGAACUUCGGGCUGUACACUGCUAAACCGAAACUUCGAAAAAUCAUAACUUCCUCAUACGAAGUCAGAUUUGCACAUUCUUUUUAUGCAUGCUCUCGGUUUAACGAACUCUACAACAUUCCUUUAGAUCACUAAGUCCAAAUAUUGCUCUAAUGUAAACUCACUAUUUACGUCUCGCUGUUUCGUACCGGUUCUGUCGCGAAACUUUGACAUGUUAUAACUUCUUCUUUAUAACUUGUAUUUCGGCAUUCUUUAUAUAUUCGGAAACCUCGUUUAAACUUCUACAACAUUAUCCAUAGAUAUCGACUUUAUCUAACAUUUCAUUUUGACGCUUAUUUUUAUUCUUAAUUAAAUUAAGACACACAAUUAAGCACAAAACACAUAAUACUCAAAUAAUACACUUCUGUUAUUUCAAAACGGGUUACAAAGAUUAACCUAGACUAUUAUAUCAACAUUAAUGACAAGCCCAUAAACACAGUCAUUACAAACGCUAGCAGGCUCAUAACCUGUAGGUGUUGUGAACGAUGUGUUUACCGGUGUACUCUAUCCCCCUCAUGGUUGCUUUUAGGACAUCUACUGUUGAGGAAACCCUUAGCAGUAAUGUCCGUACCGAUGAAAAUCCUAGAUUAGGUCCCUUGAGAUAGAUGUUGUUUUAGGGACGUAAAGUGAGGAUAACGGGAAUGGGUAAUCGGGUUAUUGUUGGUUGGUAAAAGUAAAUAUAAUAAUUUAUUGCGAGUUGAAAACCCUAUAUGCUCACCAGGCUCCCAAGCCUGACCCACUCAGUUUAUUUGUAUUACUAGUAGUGUCGCGAGGGCAUAAGAUGGAUGAAUCAUCAAGUUAUUUUAUUUAUUAGACCAGUUAUUAUAUGUAACUGUUGUAUGGUCUAUCUUUUGUAGUUUAUGCUUUUGUGUCUGUAUCGGAACAUGACAUCCCGAGUUUUGAUUUUAUAAUGAAAAUACAUUUUGUUAUGAAAUGCUUUGGUAAAUAUUAUUUUAUCAUGCUUUUUUUGGAACAAAUUCUGCAACAAUUUAAAAUCAAAAGGAUUUACUCUGAAAUUAUUUAAAAAAACAUAAAUGAAACUGGUCUUUUCUGACUGUGAUUUUGGGGAUGUCACACUGCGCCUAAUCGAGAACAUCAUAAUCCUGGCAGCUACGCCCAAAGGACAAUAUUAGCACUUGCGCCUAAUAGAGAAUAUUAUAAUUCUGGUAGUUGCGUCUAAAUGAUAAUGUUGGUAGUUGUGCUUAAUAGAUAACGUUGACAACUGUGUCAUUAGGAAAACGGUGGACUGCGUGCCUAUUCCUUAGGAAAAUCCUUAGGAAUGAAUGAGUUAAUGAUAAAUGAUUCUUAGGAUACAUCCUUAAGAAAUAACGAAGAUAAUGGGGAUGGAUAAUUGGGUUAAUUUUUUAAUGAUUAAACAUAAUUAUAUUAUUGUGGGUUGAAAACCCUAUGUACUCACUAGGUUUCCCAAUAUGACCCACUCAAGUUUAUUUGGAUCACAGGUGUCUAUACGAAGCUACUUUACACUGAGAGAUUAAGGAGACGUAAAUCACUAGUGUAAAUGAAUGGAAGGUCUGUUUAUGCUUAUAUUUAUGUAUUAACGAUGACGUCCUAAAGUUUUAAAAAGAAAUGAAAUACAUUUCUUCGAAAAUGCUUUGAUAACACAUUUAUCAUGUUUUUCUGGGAACAAAUUCCGCAACAUUUUUAUAAAAAGGGUACUCUCAUUUUUAAAUAAAGCAUAAACAAAUCGGUCUUUUCUGGCUGUGAAAAUGGGGAUGUCACAAUUGGUAUCAGAGCAUUAGUUUAAGAGAACUAAGAAUAAGGGUUUAUUUCUAGACUUAAACUUAGAAUGCUAAGCGAUGAUUAUGAGUUGAGUGUGUGAUGUUGCGCAUAAAAAAACACAAAGAUAACCAAGAAUGAACCUGUUGAUUCUAAAAGAAUAGCCAGGACAAUCUCUUCAAAACCACGUUGAUUCUACGAAUACUGUGGGAUUGGCUUCAAAAACUGGGUUAACACGCACAAAAUUUGGGAGAAAACUGAAAGUUCAUAAAAUUGAUGAUCGACCAUCCAAAUUACAUAAAAAACAGUUAAAUAAAAAGCAUAAAUUAAAAUGAAACCCUAAAAGUCCAUGGGCGAAAUACAAACCCAAAAAUUAAGGAAAAAUAACAAAAUUGUUCAUAACUCCAUUUAGAAAGCGAUUUCUGGACUCAAAAUGGGUAAGUCCCUUUCGGGGACUUAUCUAGAUGUGCUCCUUGCUCCAAGCUUCGACUUGACUGGUCGUAGGCCCAAAACGGAGACUCGUAGCCAAAGUUAUGGCCAUUUCCGUGAAGCCCCUUUAAUCACACGAUCGUGGGCCUCUAGGAAUGCAAUGGCCCGAUCCUCCACACUAGGGCCCGCAUCUGUGUGUCUAAUAUAUUUUAGGUAGUACACCUGAAUAGACACAGCCACUAUCUUAUUUUGGGAGGAUGCCUAAAAUGCUUUUAUGUGCUAAAUGAUUUGUGAUACUUUAUGAUGCUAUUGUUCGAUCAGAUAUAUGGUAUGUUGCCCACCGGAUCCAGAAACUUUAUGUGUUUAGAUUUCAAAAUGUUUAAUUACAGUAUUAGAACUGGCAUGUAACUUUUCGGAGUGAUAAGAAGAUUUACAUGUGGAUCGUAAAUAAAACCUUUCCUAUCUUAAUUAUCAUCAUUACACAUCAAACGUCUGAUUUGGUGUAUAGAUCAACAUGUUGAGAACUCGAAGCGGAUUAGGAGACGCUAAUGGAAAUGUUGAUCAACGGCCUAUGAUUUAACGUGCACUAAAGGUAGCAGCUACACCAUAGCCAAUCACAAUGGCAAGAGUCCAAGCAAUGAUUCAGGCUAUGAUAGCCAAACAAAGGGAGGAGAUGAGGCAAAUGUUGCUUAAUAGGGAUGAACCUACCAUGCUCAUUGAAUAACUAGAACUAAAUGAUGAACAGUUAGAGAAGGGAAUUACAGUAGAACCGUUGGUCAAGCUGAACUGCCAGUGGUUAGGAGGAAUAACCAAGAGGAAGGGAUCAAGAGAAAUAGAUGCAAGUAUAAGGAUUUCACAACUUGCAAACCAUAGAUUUUCACUGGGAAAGAGGAUCCAAAUCGGAGUUACAGACCGGAUCUCGGAGAUGGAUUUGGCUUUCAUAACAUGUAGAUUCAAAGGAAAGCUAAAAACCAUAUAUGCAGUGCGUCAGUUGAUGGGUGGAGUUGUUCACUAGUGGAACACUUUGGGAAAGAUCAUGAGUCCUAAUGAGCUGCUGCAACUGACGUGGGCAGAGUUCCUAGUGCAUUUCAAACGAAAGUUUUGCUCGGCCCAAAAUCUGUUGGAGCUAGAGAACCAAUUCCUAACAUUGAAGAAGGGCAUCAUGCCUAUUGACGAAUACAGCAAUGCCUUCACCGACAAGAUGGAAUUUUCUUUGCGCAUCGUCCCUGGCGAACUAACUAAAGUCGAUAAGUAUACAAAGGGACUACCAUGGGAAUAUGUUGUGCUAGUACGCCAGGCACCUACCAUCGAGGCGACUAUCUGGGCUGCUAAGUCUGUUGAAGAAAUGAUCAAGAGUAGGGCCACCAACAACGUCGAAGUUGGUGAAAGAGAAAGUUUGAAGGAUCUUCAAUGUCCAAUGAGAGGAGAAAAUGCUCGAAGUCUGGUUCGAAGAAGUUUGAAGGAGGAGGAGGUGAAGCAAGAUGGUGUGAUAAGUGCAAGAAGAAACACUUUGGAAAAUAUGGCAAGAAGGUGACUUGUUUCAAGUGUGGAAAGUCUGGGCAUUAUGCCGAUGAGUGUAUAUUCAACAAAAGGGUGUAUUACGGAUGUAAUGAAGAAGGGAAUUCAAGCUGGACUGCCCAAAGAGGGAAGGAGCUACAAAGCAAAAUGCACCGCCAAAGCCGAAGGCAAAAACAUUCCAUAUGAUCCUUAAUGAAGCAGAUGAUAAUGCAAGGAAUCAAGAAUGAGGACUGAUACCCGAAGAUCAAGUUAUGAAGUAGCCAUGCAGAUAGUAUCAGGAGGUGUAGCCUAUUAGAGGCAUAUUAUAGGUUGAACUUUAACAUCCAUGUAAUCAUUUCAAGAAGUAAUAUAAGCCUUGGUUUUGUUAUCUGGUGCGUUAAGUUGUUAUGUGAUUUUCAAGUAUGGUGACUUGGAAAACUGCGAGACAAUACUUGGGACAAGUAUGAGUAUAUGUGAAUGGUAGUAGAGGCCUAUACUACCAGAAGCACAGGACUCGCACUUGGAUUAGGGAAAGUCACAAGGUUACCAAGGCACUAGUAAUUGAUUCUUUUUUGUUCAUGUUUGUCGUCACCAUCGUUUCGGUAAUGACUAAGAAGAUGAUUGUUAGUCCAACCCUAGUGGUCAUAUCAAAUCGAGUCCGACUAAGAUGAAUAUGUUGCGUGGUUCAAAAAACCAAGGUCGAUGUUGCAUCUGACUUAAGCCAGACGAUUGAAGUGAAAGAUAAUCGAACCGAUCAAUAGAAGUAUCGUAACCUUUGUUAAGGUAAGAAGCUUGUAGCUAGAAGUGCUACAUGCUAGAAUAUGAUUAUAUCACAUUAGAACAUGAAGGAAGGUAUAUUUUGUUCUAUAGUUUGACUCUAAAAGACCUAAGUCUAAGUGUUGCAUCAUACGAUAAGAGGUCAUUACAACAUGACCCAUCGGUUUAUUGUGGUAAUCAAAUAACUUCUCUUAAUAUAAGUAUGUUUAACAAGAAGUAGGAGUCUCUGAUUUGGAUCGAUUUUGUAACUCGAAGGUUACGAUUGGAAGUCCAACAUAGGAUAAAGAACGGGUGCAAGAUUGAGUACCUCCUGCGGUCAAGAAGUCCAAGAGUUUGAUACUCAUUCGAAGGAACAUAAAAGUUACGAUUAUUACCUAAUAUGAAGAGAUAACAUAAGGAUUCAUUAUACAAGCCCUAUUUUGUUGAUUAUUCUGGGACGUAAUCAUCCUAAGGAGGAGAUAACUGUAACGCCCGCAGAUUCAGGCUAGUCAAUUAGAGAUAUUGAGCGUCAAAAAUGACAUUUUUAUGGGAGUUUAUUUAGAAGAAAUAAUCUUAACCUAGUAAUAGUAUAUGUCACAAGGGUUCCGUACAUAUAAAGAACGCCGAAAUCCGAGUUAUAACGAAGAAGUUACGACCCGACGAAGUUCUACAGCAAAACCGGCACGACACCGCGUAACAUAAAAAGUGAAUUUUUGAUAAAUUACUUUUUAGCCUUAGAGAUAUAAAUGAAAGUUAUAAUAUAGGUUAAACCGAUAGCAUGCAUAAAAAGAACGUCAAUAUCUAACUUCGUAUGAGGAAGUUAUGAUUUUUCUAAGAUUUCGCAAAGUAGUAUACAACCCGGAAUUCGAAUUUCAGAUCGAGCGAUUUUUAGCCAACACAACCUAAAUGAAAAUUGAAUAUCUCAUUAAUAGGAGUUCAACGAUAAAAAGACAUUAAAAAUGGAGUUCGAAUGUACAAGUUAUGAAUUUUACACGGUCAUUAACAAUGUAAUCUUCUCAUACUAGUAAAUUUAAAAUCGGUCGAGAGUUAGCUGUUUGAGUCAAAAGGAGAGUUGUAGAUCAUGUCAAUACCUAUGCGUGGAUAUAAAUAAUGUCAAAAAUGGAGCUCGUAUGCAAAAGUUAUGAAUUUUUGAAAAUUGGUUGUUUUACCUGCGUCCAGCACCACGUGUCAGCACCAAGCGAAGCCAUGGUGCCUACGCAAGGCCACGACGUGGAUUGGCUCCAGAUAGCCUAUAAAUAGAGGCGGAAAUCAUCCGUUUUCUUCACACCUUCACCCUUCUUUCUCUCUCAACGCUCCUAAUCUCUCCCUCCCAAUCCCUAGCAACUUCUAAGUGCUCCGAGAAGAAGAUCUUUCGGCUCAGAAGUUCCACCCCCGCAUAGCCCGGUUCCUAGCCAAACCCACGGUAAGUUAGUUAUGAUUACCCUACUUUAAGUAUAACUUAUGUUUGAGUUUAUUAUCAUUAUUAUGAACUUAUAAACAAGAUUUAUCAAUGAUUCCAAGUAGUUAUAUUGAUUGAUCUACUUAUGGGGAUAAUGUCUAGGCUGUGAUUUUGUGAGGUGUUUAAAGUGGGGUUUCCAAAUAGUAUACUUCGUAUACCAAACGAACCCUACCUCUGAUAUGAUCCUACCUGGUUGCUCUUUACAUGAUAGAUCAUGAAAGUAGACUUUGAGUUAAUGAUGAAUCUAGACUAAUAAUUAGUUGCAAUAAAGAUUAGACUAAAACUUAGCGAUAAUAAUGUUAGGUUUCGUCGAAGGAAGAUAGAAUCGUUAGAAGUGAAGCGUUUCUCGACUUUGGAAUUAUCACUUUGAAAAGUGAGUGCAUAGUUACUUUCAUCUUACACAUUGAUAUGAAGUAUUUUAUAUAAAUUACGCGCUAUGUGUGCAUGUUAUCUGUUUACUUGAUAUAUAUGAUAAAUGAACGAUCUUAUACAUGUACUCUAAACAUCCUAGUAGCUGUGCUCAAAGUGUAGUAUCGGUAGCUGUGCCGUCACACCCCCAAACCAGAACGACGGAAACGUUCAGGGGCGGAGGACGUCAUGUAUAGUAUCAUAACAAUGCAUAAUAGUAAAACAAGCAACAACAUCAUCCAUUGAAUUAAUGAUAGAAUUUAUACAUGUGUGUUCUUUGUAAAGUUGUAAGACACCAAAAAUAUAUAAUCAAAAUAAAGACGAGUCUUGAAUACGCUCUGUCUCCUCAAAACCUGGUCAUCGAUACAUGUCUACUGGUGACCUAAGAAUACAAGUUAUUUUGAAAGAGUAGAUCAACAUUUAAGCUGGUGAGUUCAUAAGUAUAUUAGUGUCAAAAAUUUUCAUCUGUUUCAUGAAAAUGUUUGUAAGUAUUUAGAUGUAAAUGUUUGUAUGCUUCCAAGAAAAUCCUAUAUUUUCUACUAAAAUGAAAAGUAGUCUUCUUCCAAGACUCAACUGUUUUGUAUGUUUGUUUUCUCGUAAAAAUUGAUGUAAGAUGUAUGUUUGUACUUGUAAUAGUAUAAAUGUGGGUUUUCCAUAUUUUUUUAAAACUUUCUAUACACGAAAAAUAGUAUGCAUUUCUUACGUGAGAAUAUCACUGUGUGAAUAUGAUGGAAAAAUGACGAUAUUCAGUAGUGUUGUAUAAAAUAUCUACUGAAGCACUAACUACCUUAAAGCAAAUUGUUAAUUAAGGUAAAACGUGAUGAGGUUAUAACCAUGCUUGAUUGACUUGUAUAAAACACAACGAUCAAAAUACAUCGAAAUGGUAUGACAUUUGUCACUUGUAGACCUGUAGGUCCCAUUGUAGCUAGCAACAAGGUUUAGGAUGGUCAAUCCAGUAUAGAUCUAUACACAAACUCACGCUCUCCCUCCAAGAGACUCUGGUUACAAAGCGUGACACAACAAGUAUAUUGAUAUGCCAUGAAGUAGUGGCUCACAUUAAUGUUAUCUUGUUCUAGUUAUAGUAUGUAUGUUCCUUUCUGUUCUAGUUAUAGUAUGUAUGUUCCAAUCUGUUCUAGUUAUAGUAAGUAGUAAUACUCUAAACUAUACCUAUUAUAGUUUACUAGUAUGAUUGUUUGACUGUUACUAAUUUGCAGAAAAGUCUCAAUUACUCACAUAAGCAACUAACUUAAGUAUGUAACUUAAAAAUGGGUUUAAUAUUCAUAUAUGUAUUUAAUAAGCAUAACUAUGAUUUUGCUGACAUUCGAACUAGUGAUCCUACCCUAAGCCCACAACCAAACAAAGAAACAGGAGUUAAGGUAUCUCGCAGUAGUCCUAAGCCCGUUAAAGCAUACUUACACGUAAACAGAUAGACGAAUAUGAUUUGAUAUAAAAGAAGUUUAUAAAAGAUUUAAAAGAGUUUUAACAAGUUUUGAGUAUAAGAAAUCCCUUUGGAUGUUGUUUUCACAUGUAAAUGGUUAACAAAAUUUAAUUGUGUUCUACUUGUUAUCCCCCAUAAAAGCAUUUAAAAGGUAUUUAAAAGUGUAUUGUAGGGGUAUGAACUCAUAUGUAGUGAGUGAUUCGAAUGAAAGAUCGAUAUAGGAUGAUAAGUAUGCCAAGUGAAGUAUCGAGCACAAACGGGUCCUAUUAAGCAUAUAAUAACACAUAUAUGUAUACAAUUAGUAUAUAUAACAACUAAAAUGUAAGGGAAACAACCUUAGGAACUAGGAAACACUUUGAAUGAAGUGUUAGCAUCACAAAUGAUUGGCUGAAAGGUGUUCACGACUAAACAAGGGGUGUUCACGGCCUUAGGAGGGUACAUGUCCAUAGAACGCAUGAUGUGUUCACGGACCAAGGUUGAUCUUAUGAAGGUUUCACGGUCCUAUGAUGCAUCUAUGAAGGGUUCAUGGCCCUAUGAAGGGUUCACGGUCGUGAACUCUUGAAGAUCUUGCAAAUAAGUGUUUGUUUCAUGGGUGGAAUCAAGUGUUUCUAAGGGACAACAAGAUGAUGGAUGAGAUACUUAUGUUUUGGAAGCCUUUAGAAGUGUUCACAGUUGAAGAUAGUUGAGAGAGAAGUGGUGUUCACGGCUAGGGUUUAAAGAAAUGAAGAAAAAUGAGCCAACUCCUUAUAUAUAAGACUUGUUCACGGCCAAGGAUGGGUACACGGCCAUGAACCUAGAUGUGGCCGUGAACUCCUUUUGGUGGUGUUUCCGGCUCGAUUGCAACUCAAUGAACUCAAGCUAACACUUCCUAACUCACAAUCCUUGAGUGUACUAGGCUUAGAAAUUCUCAAACAUACCCUUAACACAACAUAAAGGUAACAGAAACAAGUCUGACUUUAGAUUGAAUUGAUUGACUUUACAAGAUAGAAAUUCCAGGUUGUCGCAUGUGCCUAAUAGAAAACAUCAUAACCCUGGCAGCUACGCCCAAAGGACAAUAUCGACUGUUGUGCCUAAUAGAAAAUAUCAUAAUUCUGGCAGCUGCUCCUAAAUGAUAAUAUUGGCAGCUAUGCUUAAUAGAUAAUGAUGAUAUAUGGUCCAUUAGCAUGGCCUAGACUGCUCUAGCGCGCCAUAUGAUGCGACAUCGGCUCCGACCACCUGCUCUAAGGAGAUGCUUCUGCACCAGAGAUAGAUCUGUGAGGUCACAACAAACAAGACCGUUAGAGCUGCCCCAAAGACUGUGCCCUGGGAGAGAGCUCCGACGGUCAAGUUAGAUCAUUUGGUAGAUCUGAGAUGGAUCUCUUUAGCUAGAGAGGAUCAUCCUUGUGUUGGUGGUGUUGUAUGGUGGUUGACGGCGGCGGGUGCCGGCUGAGCCACCCGGCCAAAGUAUAGGGCGGCGGCUGAGCCAAGGGGAAGAUCCUAAUGGUGGCAGAACCACCUAGGAAAGAGUCCUCCUUCAUGAAGGAGGCACUAUUCUAUUUAUAGGGGGACAACUAGGUCAAGGGGAAUUAGGUCAGGCCUUGGGCCAACCCAAUUCAGGCCCAGCUAGCAAGGAGCUGGGUAAGGCCGCCCGGAGGCGCCGCGCGGGACUUANUGACGGGCGCGUACCAGGAAAGGACGGCAAGGGUGCGCCAGGAAAGGGAGCGUCAGGUCGGGCCUGCAAGAGAUUCCCCAGCAAGGCUGGCAAGGGAGUCCCCAACAAGGUUGUCAAGGGAAUGCCAGGAGAGGCUGGCAGGAGCGCGCCAGGCCAAGAUGGCGCGCUAGAGCAGUGUAGGCCAUGCUAAUGGACCAUAUAUCAUUAGAUAACAUUGACAGCUGUGUCAGUAGGAAAAUGAUGGACUUUAUGCCUAUUCUUUAGGAAAAUCCUUAGGAAUGAAUGAGUGAAUGAUAAAUGAUUCUUAGGAUAGAUCCUUAAGAAAUAACGAAGAUAAUGGGGAUGGAUAAUUGGGUUGAUUGUUUAAUGACUAAACAUAAUUAUACUAUUGUGGGUUGAAAAACAUAUGUACUCACUAGGUUUCUGAACCUGACCCACUCAAGUUUAUUUGUGUGACAGGUGUCGAUACGAAGCUACUUUACACUGAGAGAUUAAGGAGAUGUAGAUCACUAGUUAAAAUGAAUGUAAGGUCUGUUUAUGCUUAUGUUUCUGUAUUGACGAUGACAUUCCAAAGUUUUAAAAGAAAUAAAAUACAUUUCUUCGGAAAUGAUUUGAUAACACAUUUAUCAUGUUUUUCUGGGAACAAAUUUCACAACAUUUUUCUGGCAUCGGGCCUCGCCCGGUAUACAAAUAACAUAUAAGCACAUGCAUAAAAAUCACUUAAACACAUGCAUAAAAAUCACAAUGAUAAAUAGCAUACAAUAUAAUCAUUACGCCCCGCCCGGUAAUCAUAUAAACACAUAACACAUGCAAGAGUAACACAUACAACUAGUAAGGAAACUCACCUCAAGCUGCAAAAUCACUCGGAUAAAAUCUCAAUCUGUUGGUCCGGAAGAUCCUCGCGCUAACCUCAUAAUAUAAAUAUCCAAUUAAUAAUUGGAUCUCGACCCAUAAUAACCAAUCUAAGUUCCUUUUCCAAUAUCCAGGGUAAAAGAUUGUUUUACCCUUUUUCUUACAUGGCCCAAAACCAAGGCCCAAUCCAUUGCUCAAAAGGGCUAAAUUCCAAAAUGGCAUCCAUAGGCCCAAUAAGGCCCAACUUCCAAAUUGGGCUGAAAAUCAUCAUGGACCUAAUCCCAUGAAAGUCCAUAGUCUAUCCAUGACCCAAAGUCAAAAUUCUAAUGACCUAACAAGGCCCAAAUCUUAAAAACCCAAAAUAUGGCCAAAACCCAGGGAAGUCAAACCAAAAGUCAACCUACUGUACGCUUAGCAUACUCCUUCCAGGGCAAGUAUGUGCAUCGUACCAACUGGGUAUGCCCAACGUACUCCCCAGAUUAUCAACCCAACCCAUUAAUAACUUAAUUGGUUAAGCCAACAUGCUAAACUCUCAGAUCUGGUUCUAAAUGGCGACUUACUAUGUAAAGUUGACAACUUUACACCCAUGCAUGAAUUAAUGGGGCCCAACACUAAAAAAGAAGCUUAAUAAGACUCUUAACACUUGCAUGGAAUAAUAUCUUACAUAAAGUUUGCAUUUUUAUGGGCAAAGGACCUCAAAUCAGCGAAGAUCUAACAUCCAUAGCUUCUGGAGUGGACCAUAACUUCAUAUAUGACUUAAAAGACCCAAAAACGCAUAAAUAUCACCAUAAAAUGGAUCUAGCACAAAGGACCAUCCAGAUGAGAGAUUUUUACCUCAAAAGGCUUGCUAAGGUGAAGAUAACUCUAGAUCUACAAGAUUAAGCUACUCCCAAGAAACCUCGAAGUGUUCCUCGUUUUCUUCUUCUUCACCACAAAACACCAACAAACUCACUUUCAAGCUCAAAUCUGACCAAAUACACUUAGGGUUUCGAUAUUGUGACAUAGGGUGAUGGAGGCUGAUCAAUAAAAUGUCCAAAGGUGGUUUAAGAUGUUUAAGUAGGCUGCAAACCCUAAAAAUUAGGGUUUGCCCCUGCUCUACGUAUGUCAUGCAUACUCUACGUACGCCCCACAUACGUGGGUGAAUCUUGCGUCCAGAAAAUAGAUAGUAUGAUAAGCGUACUCAUAGAGUAUGCCCUGUGUACUAGCUAUGGACCAAAAUGAUAAGGAUUUUGCAUUAAGGGGUUAGAAAGAAACUUACCAAAUUACGAAUGUUACAAUUCACUUUAAUCAGAAUUUGUCCUUGAAGUAUGCUGCUCCAAACAACUUUGGGUAGUGCUCUCUCAUCUCGUCCUCCGGCUCCCACGUCCAUUCUGAACCCUUUCGAUGCUGCCACUGAACUUUCACCAAUUCAACAACCUUGUACCUCAAGGCUUCGUCUUCCUGUCAAGAAUUGUUACCGGUCUCUCGAUAUAAUUCAUGCGAUCAUCCACUUAAAUAUCCUCUAAUAGAACCACCACGGAAUCAUCAAUUAAACAUUUUUGUAACUGAGAGACAUGAAAUAUGCUAUGGAUCAUACUAAGAUCCUCGGGAAGAUACAAGCGAUAAGCAACCCGAACCACCCGUGUGAUAAGUCCAUUUUAUGAAUGUACUAAAUUGUCAUAAAUCUGUUGAAUUGAUGUAUAAUUGUCCAAGAAUGGCACUACAUUGCUGAGUUAUUGAACUUCAUAUGCAGGUCAAUAUAUUGUACUAAAAGUGGGUGGAACCUACAAGUAAAACGGAUUGUUAAAGGAAUGAAGAAACGUUGCUGGGAAAAUUGACCAUUCUUCAAUGUUUUGGUCUAAUCUCAAGUUCUGGAGCUCCGAUUGACAUGAGUAUAGAAGUUCUGGAAACUAGACAAGAUUUUCUACAACUUUCGUGUUUUGUGCUUCUGCUAGUUAUGUCGUUUUGACUACCAAAACUUGCACAGAAGAUGAAGGACACCUCCAGACAUCUAAGACGUCCAGGUCAAACAGCCAACAUCUGGUCGUUAUUUCAGAGCAGAAAAGAAGGAAGAACCCCGUCAGCAUCUAACAUGGAAUCUAAGAUGUCCCCUAGGAUGUCUUGGCAUUUUAGGGACGUCCCGUGUUGGAACGGUGUGUUUAGGAAAGUUUAGAAAACAAGGCACGACGUCCUAGAACGCAUCUAAGACGUCUCCUAAGACGUUUGACGUUUUUGGCCAUUUUUUAGUAUAUUUCAAGGACGUACAAAGAUCGCUUGGGCGUUAUACACGACGUCUAAGAUGUCUCCUAGGACGUCCAACGUCCCACAUCGCCCAAUUUCAUUAUUUUUUAUCCCACACUAUAAAUAGGAGCCUAUUUCGUUGGUUAAAAUUCGGAUUCAAAGCAAGAUUCGAUUCAAUUCAUCAUCAAGCUAUAAGUGAAGAUCAUUUCAUUGGUUAAUUUUCAUCAAUUCUUUAUUUUCCAGAAUUAUUUCUUCUUCCCCAAGGUUUAUUUGUUCUACACUUCGAUAAUCAUUAGGCUACAUUUGUUUGAUGAUUCUACGUUUGUUUAUGAAUUCUAUAAUGGAUUUUAUUCAUUUUAAUCAAGUUAUUUGUCUUAUGAACUCAAUGGAAGGCUAAAUCAUUAGGGUUACUUCCGGGGAUGUUUAGGACUUUUUGAUGAACACACUUGAUUAUUACUUGAUUCUAGUUAAUUUCAAUUGUUGUUUUAUGCUUCAUGUGAUGAUCUUUUGGUAAUGAUAAUUGAAAUUGGGUUGUAUGAAUUGUUUGAUGUCAUAAUUAAGAUAGUCUAUUGUCAAUUCAUCAUUUGUUCCAAGUUCACAUAGUUUAGGAAUAAAGACAAGUGAUUGAAUCAACAUAUAUUAUUCCAACUUAUGAUAUUGAAUCUUAAUGCGGUAAUAGGUACUUGUAAGAUAUUUUAUUGCUAGUCCACUAAUUGUUCUUAAUCCAUUGAGGCAUAAAGGAGUAAGACAACUAGUUAAAUGAACAUUUAGUAUGCCCAAACUAUGUAUUACAAGUUAAUAAAUCCCAAUUGUAUCUAAGUAAUUGAAUUAGGAUUUAAGGGAAGAAAGUGUGUGAAUUUAAACUGUCCAUAACUGAACCGGGAGUACUCUAGUUUUCUCAUUGAGAUUUUCGUUGUAAUUAAUAAAUUUCCAUGCUUUUUGUUUGAUCUUUGCGUUAAAUUCUUUUUCGUGACAAUUGCUAGUAGCUUUUUUUCGUUGACUAUUUUAACACAAAGUUUGACAACAAACUCCCUGUAGAUUCGACCCUUACUUACCCUAGCUAUCUAGUGGUUUUGAGGUUAUUUUUGAUUGAUACAACGACAUCAAUCAUAAUUUGGCGCCUUUGUCGGGGAGAUUGUGCGCUUGAGCUAUUGUUUUUAAGUAGUUAUAGCCUUUUACUUUCAUUUUCAAUUCUCGUUUGUAGUUCACAUUUUGUUUUAUUUGUGUUGUGCAGGCACACUGGUGCAUGCAUACAAGACAUAGCAGACGCUCUUCACCGCUUGCAUUUGAUCCGGAAAUCGAACGAACAGCUCGCUCAAAUCGGGUCGCCAGAAGGAACAUCAACACUAUGAGUGUAGAUAAUGUUGUCGUGGAAGAUGUGGUUGAAGGGCAUGAGGAAGAAGCCAACAAUCCUCCACCACUAGUUCCACCACCAGCUCCUCAAUUCCCAAACAACAACAAUGGGAAUAACAACAAUGCCGGUGCACCAAUCAUCCAACCAGUGCAACCAUAACUGAAUAGAAACAACCGUGGCCAAAAUGGUGGAAACGGAGGAAAUUGGGCAUAGAAUAUGGGAGGCAAUGUAGGAAACCACACUGGUGGUAAUGUUAGAAAUCAUAACCAAAAUCCUAGAAAUGUUGGUCCUCAAUUCGGUAAUGGUGGUAAUGGUGGUAACGAGGAUGAUUGGGAUUUUGACGAUGGAAGUUACAACGGACUUGGUUGGAAUCAUAACCACAACGGUGGUAAUAGGCGGAAUCAAGGAAAUCGGGGUGGAAACGGGUACUAAAACAAUAACUGGAACAACCUGAAUUUCCCUAAUGGUGGCAACAAUUACUACAAUGAUGGGUUCGGAAAUCAAGGCUUUGGGAAUCAAUAUCGAAGGAAUCCAAAUGGUGGAUUCAACAAUGCGAAUGGAGGAUACUAAAAUGAAGGUAAUCAAUUCCCUCAUCUUUACUUUCUGCAGCCUAAUAGACAAUCUGUGGCGUCUCAUUUUCAGCCGAGAGAGUAUGAUGAUGCUUCACCCAUACUCUUCGCAGAAGUAAAUGAGCAUCAUGUAGAAGUAAGACCACAACUAAUUAGUGUCUUACCCGUCUUUAGAGGCCAUAAAACUAAUGAUCCAUACAAUCACCUCUAUGAGUUCCUUGCAAUUGCUAACGCGAAUACUCCGCGAGGAACUAAUAGAGAUUCAUUUAGACUUCUCUUAUUUCCGUUCACUUUAAAAGAAAAAGCUAAGUAUUGGUUCACUUCUCUUGCCCCCAUAGUAUCACUACUUGGGAGCAAUUAAAAACUAAAUUUUUGCAAGAGUUUUACCCAGCUAGUAAAACAACGGAAAUAAGAAAAGCCAUAGAAGAUUUUGCACAAAAACCCAAAGAAGAAUUUCAUGAUGCAUUUGAACGCCUCAAGGAAUUGUUCCGUUCAUGUCCCUAUCAUGAAUUUCCCCGUUGGCAACUGGUAGGUUUCUUUUAUGAUGGAGUCGAUACUGCCAAUCAAAGCAUGAUUAAUGCCUCGUCCGGCGGCAUUAUUAUGAUACAAGAUAGUGAAGACGCUUGGCGAUUCUUAGAGUAGUUGAGUCAUGGUUCAAAAACCAAUUACUCAGCUAAGAAACGGGACAAUCCAGUUUCAUCUGUUGCUUCAGUUGGACUAGACAAAAAACUGGAAAAAUGAAGUCAAAUCUGAUAUUAAUUCUUUAAAUAAAAUUUUUGACUUACUACUCUCUAGUCUAGGCAAAAAGAAAGGUGUGUUUUUUCGCAGGGACAGAAGAUAUGUGUAAGCUGUGGAGAUUCAUGACACAUUGCAGAUGAGUGCAUGAGAAUUCAAGAGGAAAUCAAUCAAGUGCAUGGUUAUGGUCAAUUCCAAAAUAAUCCACGAUCAUUCAAUCGGAACUACAUCCAAGGCGGGAACUACAACAACAUUGGGAUUUUCAACAACAACAACCGUCAAGGGAAUUACCAAAACCAAAAUCAGCCAAAACAGUUCCAGCAGUCCAACUUUAACCAAGGUGGAACAUCAAAGAAGGAGGAAAAUGAUGGCAACAAGUUGGACAAAAUCAUGGAGUUCAUAACCUAAACAUAUCAGAAAACCGACACUAACUCCAAGUCUAUAGCUGCUAUUGAGAAGCAAAUUGCUCAACUGGCGGAGCAAAUUGGGAAAAGAGAAGAUGGCAAGUUUCCAAGCACCACAACAGUGAACCCAUCUCAUACCCAGAGACCCCGAAAAGAGCAUCAAGUGAACGAGGUAAUUACCUUGUGUAGUGGAAAAAAGGUUGACAACAAGGUAAGUGCUUCUACAUUAGAUAAUGACAGUGACACUGAAGUCAUCUUUGAUGAAAAAGAAGAGUUUGAGAAAGAUUUUAAAUCCGAAAAACAAAAAGAAGAUAAGGUUAAAAAUGACUCUAAAGUUGGGGAGCAUGGUGUGGAGGUUAAUACCGCACCAUACCCUUCGGCUUUAGAGAAGCCGGCAUCCUUCCCUUUUGGGAAGCGAGGGCUAAAAAUGGAAGACAUGUGAGAUCUAUUUAGUCAAGUUAAAAUAAAUAUCCCAUUAGUCAAACUUAUUAAGGAGGUACCUUCUUAUGCUAAAUUUUUGAAGGAUUUGUGUGUUCAAAAACGCAAACUCCAAGCAUACCUCCCUAAAAAGAUUGAUUUAGUCAAGCAUGCGAGUUCGAUAAUAUCAAAUAAACUUCCACCCAAGCUUAAGGAUCAUGGAGCACCUUUAAUUUUUGUUACGCUAGGUAACAUUAAUAUAAAAAAGGCGCUCCUUGAUCUUGGAGCUAGUGUUAAUAUAAUCCCGGGAAAUUUUUUUGAUCAACAUGACUUAGGCACUUUGGAACAAACUGAUAUUAUUUUACGAUUGGCCGAUAAGUCAACAAAAAUUCCUUGGGGAAUAUUAUCAGAUGUUAUUAUUAAGGUGGGAGAUUUCUAUUACCCAGUUGAUUUUCUUAUGCUUGACACCGUGAGCACUUAUAAAGAAAGUCAACCUUCUAUUAUUUUAGGUCGUCCGUUAUUGACAGCAAUAAAUGCACAAAUUAAUUGUAGAACGGGUGCAAUGGAUAUCUCUUUUGGAAAUAGGAAACUUAGAAUUGAUAUUUUUAAUACGUUUCCUAACUCACCAUCAGAUUAUGAAUGUUAUCAUGUGGAUGUGGUUGAUGACUUAGUGCAUCAAUUCACUCUUAAAAUCUUACACCCUGAUCCAUUGGAGUUUUUUCUUUCUAAUGACAGGGACGAAGUUUUAGAGUUGGAUGACAUCAAGAUGGUUGAGGAGGCAUUUGAAAAUGUUAUUGAGCAAGAGAGGCCACCAUGGAGUUAUCAAGUUGAAAAAUUGCCAACAAGUUUUUCGGACCCACUUAAGCCAUCUUUGGAGGAGCCACCCAGUCUUGAACUCAAAACUCUUCCUUCACAUCAUAGAUACUCUUUUUUAGGAUCUAAGGAGAACUUACCAAUUACCAUAUCUUUUGAUUUGACAUGUCCACAGGAGGAAGCAUUACUGAAGGUGCUUUCGAAGUACAAGGGAGCAAUUGGAUGGACCAUAGCAGACUUGAAGGGAAUUAUUCCAGCCACAUGUAUGCAUUGAAUCAUCACUGAAGCUAGAGAAAAGCCAUCCCGAGAUGCACAACGAAGGCUCAACCCGAAUCUGCGAGAAGUUGUUAAAAAGGAGGUGUUGAAAUGGCUUGAUGCGGGUAUUAUCUACCCAAUAUUUGAUAGUGAUUGGGUGAGCCCGACACAGACAGUGCCAAAGAAGUCGGGCGUUACAGUGGUAGAUACAGAAGAUGGAGAGAAGAUCUCAACAAGAUCGGUCACCAGAUGGAGAGUUUGCAUCGACUAUCGCAAACUCAAUGCUGCAACAUCAAAUGACCAUUUCCCUCUCCCUUUUAUUGAUCAAAUAAUUGAGAAAUUGUAUGGUAAAAAGUUUUAUUGUUUUUUGGAUGGAUACUCGGGGUAUAAUCAAAUUGCCAUCCACCCCGAGUAUCAAUCCAAAAUGACAUUCACGUGUCCAUAUGGCACCUUUGCUUUCCGAAGGAUGCCAUUCGGCUUGUGUAAUGCCCCUGCCACAUUUUAAAGAUGUAUGAUGGCUAUUUUUUUAGACGUGGUGGGGGAUGCAUUAGAAAUUUUCAUGGAUGAUUUUUCUAUUUUUGGAUCAUCUUUUGAGACAUGCUUAGACCAAUUAGAAAAAGUUUUGAAACGUUGUAUUGACUCUAAUUUGGUUUUAAGUUGGGAGAAGAGUCAUUUCAUGAUAAAAUAGGGAAUUGUACUUGGCCAUGUUGUCUCCGAGCAUGGCUUUGAAGUCGACCGGGCCAUAGUACAAAUUAUUUCUACUCUUCUCCCACCAACUUCAGUAAAAGGCGCCCGUUCUUUUCUUGUACAUGCCGGCUUUUAUCGAAGAUUUAUCAAGGAUUUUAGUGCAAUGUCAAAACCUCUUUGUAAUUUACUUUUAAAAGAUGCACCAUUUUCCUUUGAUAAAGCAUGUCUUGAAUCUUUUACCACAUUAAAGAACAAACUUGUUGAAGCUCCUAUCUUGCAAUCACCCGAUUGGACUUUACAUUUUGAAAUUAUGUGUGAUCCAAGUGAUUACGCGGUAGGGGCAAUUUUGGGACAACGGGUGAAUAAAAAACCCAUUGCAAUUUGUUAUGCGAGCAAAAAAAUUUCGGAUGCACAAUUGAAUUACACUACUACCGAAAAAGAGUUGCUUGCGGUCGUGUUUGCACUUGAAAAUUUUAGAUCUUACAUAUGGGGAUCUAAAGUUGUAAUUUUUACCGACCAUAGUGCCAUUCACCACCUCUUGGAAAAGAAGGAUGCCAAACCACGUCUCAUAAGAUGGAUCCUUCUUCUUCAAGAGUUUAAUCUUGAAAUUCAGGACAAAAAGGGUUCUGAAAAUGUUGUGGUGGAUCAUUUAUAUAGAAUAACUAAUAAUGAUAACUCAACGAAAGUUAUUCAAGAAAACUUUCCAGAUGAGCAUAGUCUUGUUGUCAAAACUAUACCAUGGUUUGCUAAUUUAAUUAAUUACUUUGCGACAGGGGAAACUCCAUUGUAUUGGAAUGCUCAACAAAUGAGGUUCUUCCACUCUCAAACAAAAUACUACAUAUGGGAGGACCCAUAUAUUUUCAAAAUUGGAGCAGAUCAAGUGAAUAGGAGAUGUGUACCACAUACAGAGCAAGAAGACAUUCUUCGACACUGCCAUUCAUAUACAUGUGGAGGGCAUUUUAGUGCCAAAAGGCAGGGCAUCGGGUUCUACAAAGCGGUUUUUUCUGGCCCUCUAUUUUUAAAGAUGCACAUACAUUCGUUAAAGCUUGUAUUCGUUGCCAACAAGUUGGGGGGAUCUCAAGACGGGACAUGAUGCCAAUGACCCCAAUUUUAGUAGUUGAAAUCUUUGAUGUAUGGGGCAUUGAUUUCAUGGGUCUGUUCCCCACUUCUUUUGGCAAUCUAUACAUUCUUGUAGCCGUUGAUUAUGUAUCAAAAUGGCUCGAAACCGAGGAUACACACACGAAUGACCAUAGUGUUGUUUGUAAAUUUGUUAAAAAGAACAUAUUUUCUACACACGGAAUCCCUCGAACUAUUAUUAGUGAUGGGGGCUCCCAUUUUAAAAAUUGGCAUUUUGCAAAGUUACUUAAACACUAUAGUGUCACACAUAUGAUAGCUACUCCAUAUCACCCACAAACAAAUGGACAAGUAGAAGUGUCAAAUAGGGAAAUAAAACGAAUCUUGGAGAAGACUGUUCAUCCCGACCGAAAAGAUUGGUCAUUAAGAUUAGAUGAUGUGUUAUGGGCAUAUCGAACAACCUAUACGACGCCCAUUGGAAUGUCUCCGUAUCGGCUUGUUUAUGGAAAGCCAUGCCAUCUCCCGGUGGAGUUAGAACACCGUGCCAUGUGGGCCAUAAAAAAUGCUAACUUUGAAUUGAGUGAUGCAGGUAUAGAAAGGAAACUCCAAAUUGUUGAAUUGGAAGAGAUUCGAAAAGAAGCUUACGAAAGCUCAAGGAUCUAUAAAGAAAAGACGAAGGCAUUUCAUGACCGACAUAUUGUCCGAAAACAAUUCGUUAAAGAACAAUUGGUGUGGCUAUUCAACUCUCGUCUCAAACUCUUCCUCAGAAAGCUUCGGAGUAAAUGGAAUGGACCUUUUGUGGUGAAAAAUGUGGCGGAUCAUGGAUCUAUUGAAAUCAAGGACACGAAAGGCAGUGAACCAUUCAAGGUAAAUGGACAAAGACUCAAACCUUAUAUUCGAAUGGUAAAUGGUGAAACAACAUUCGUUGAGAAAACAACGCUCAAGGCAACACAAUAUUUAGAAACAACUUAGUCGAGGUAAACCGUCCGGCUGAAGACAUAAAACUUACCGCUUUUCGGGAGGCAACCCGUGGUUUGGUGUGUUUUUACUUCUAUUCUUCUUUUGGUGUGUUUUAAUUCUUUUCGUAUCGAGGACAAUCCAAGGUUUAAAGUUGGGGAGGGGGUAUUUAAUUUUUGUUUAAAAUUAAAUAAUAUUCGAAAAAUACUCAAAAAACAGCAAAAAAAAAUAGCCUCAGGCAUCCUAGGGGUGUCUUAGACGUUGUCUAAGACGCCGUCGGGCUGUCACUUCUUUUCCCCCCGAUGAAAACCCUUCGCGAAAAUUAAAAAAAUACCCUUAAUGUGUAUGACGUCCUAGGACGCGUCUAAGACGCCGGCUAGGACGUCGACGUGUUUUUCAACCGUUUUAUGCCGUUUUCUGCAUUAUUGUUGGUAUCUUUCUUCUCCAAACUGCCAUAGCCGAAAACCCACUUGUUCUUGCUUAUUUCCUUUGAUUUCUUGGCCAAAACUCAACCAAAAUUCGUGGUUUUUGUUGCAAUCUUCAAGAAAUCAAGUAAGAAACAUCACAUUGCAAGAUUUACACACUCUAAUCACUUAUUUGGGGCCGAUUUCAAAACCCACAAAAACUAGGGUUUCGAAAUUUUGACUUAUUUUGAGAUUUUACUUCAAGUUCUUGGUUCUUCUUCACUAGAAACACAAUUUCAACAAGGUAUAUGCUUCAAAACUCCAUCUUUUAGUUGAAUUUCAGAAUUUUUGCAUGUAUGUUCAUAUAUGUUUGAAAUUUUGAAAAAGAUGAAGAAUAUGAUAUAUAUUGGUAUGAAUUCUUGUGAAUUAGUGUUUGUAGUUGUUAGAAGUAUGUUCCAAACAAGUUGCAUGUGUUGAUUCGAGAAAUUUCUAAAAAUUGAAUUUUUGUUGUUAGUUGUUAAAAAAUAAUAAUAAUAAAUAAAAGCACAUAUAAUGUUGGAAAAUCAUUCUUAUGUUUAUAUUUGUGUUUGAAUUAAAAAUUCAAGUUUUUAGAAAAUUUCAGAAUGACACUGAAUUUUGACAUUGCAUUGUUAGUCUGAAUAUUUGCCUGUUACAGUUCUGUUCUGGUUUUAGUUAGAACUUGUCAGUUGAAGUUAACUUUUGGUUUAACUGUGUUUUUACUGAUUGGAUAAAUUUUUGAAAAAUAUUUAGUUACUAAAAACAUAACAGGACUUAAAACGGUUAUUUAUUUAGACUGGAUUUAUUUUAACUUUGUUUGGAACAACUUGCCAACUGAAUUAUUUGUUUUAUUUUUGUGACAUUUGAUAUGUUUAAUGGCAAGUUUUGUUUUGUGGUUUUGUGUAUGAAUUAUUUUGCAGAUGCCAGCAAAGAGAUCAAGGGUAGCAUCAUCAAGCAGUGCAUCUAGACAACCAGCUAGACAGUCGGAGCCAAAUGUACAUGUGGCUUUCAACCCACAGUAUCAGACAUUGCAUGAGCAUCUAGAUGACAUUCGUCCAACAGUUUAUGAGGCAACUCAUCCGAAUAUGGGUUUUAUUGUAGAGUACAUGGUGGAGCGACCGAGCUUCACUAGGUAUAAUAUUGUGGAGACGUUUGAUCGCUAUGGAUGGGGUGGAGUGCUAGACUUCAAUCCCACGCAGAUUUAUGUUGAUAUAGUGCAGGAAUGGAUGAGGAAACUUCGACGUGUCGAGGUGCCUGGUAGGCCGGAGGAGUUGCCGCUGAUUGGGACGGUCCGUACUCAUGAUAUAGUGAUAACUGUGCAGGGUAUUCGGGACAUGUUUCAUGUAGAUACUGGCUGUCAUUUUCAUUAUCUUGAGAAUCAUCUGACUGAGUAUAGAUGUAUUGACACGAGGGGGUAACCCUGGGGUUAGUAUGACUGAAGUAUACCGUAUAGUGUUCCAUGAGGGGACGAGGGCAUACGACAGAUUCCGCGAAUUGGUGCCUUUAGCAAAGGCAUUACAUAACAUUAUCACGAAAAAUGUGAACCCAAGGAAUAGUGAUCCUAGGGCGGUGAGGCCACAUGACUUAUAUGUAUUAUAUGGAUUGAUGAUAGGAUCUAUCUUUAUCUCUUAUGCAUAUAAUGCUAUGUGCAACAUAUGGUCCUGUUUUGAUAUCCAGCACAGAGUCACUACCCCCCAUGUUGCCCUGAUAUCGACAUAUGUUGCCUUGCUACUUCUUUUAGACACAUCUCAUUUCAUGUUGAAAAUGGGAGACAUAUUCUGAGGGAUUCUACCACAAAUCCGACAUACACGGCACCACUCGGAGUGGGGGAUGAGGAGCCAUUCGUUGGUGAUUUUUAGGGGGAUCAGUAGCAGCAAUAGGCAUAAGCAGCAGGUCGGGGAUAGAACAUGCAGGCAGCUUGGGAGGACUUUGUGGGGAGGCAGAACAUGCAUAACCAGGAGGUGCAGGCUUGGAUGGGGAGAACGGAUAUAUGGUUGAAGGGUGUCGAUACGACACUAGCUGAUAUUACUGAGCAGAUGCGACAGAUUGGCAUUACAUCUAGCAACACUUAUAGUGUUGCCACUCGUCAGUUGUACCAACAGGAGUACUAUGCAGAUGCUGCCUACACAUAGAGUCGUGUCCAGUAUGAACCGAUGGACAUUGAUCAACCACAGUAUCGAUACCGAGCUCCAGCUCCGUUCUUCUACCGAUCCGGGAAUCUGAGCAACUAUCCACCGCCAUCCGAGCAUGAGCAUUAUCAGCCACCACCAGCUACAGAGGACUCUACUCGCUUUGAGGAUUUAGUUGGAUCGAUCUUUGGGUAUCCUCCACCAUACCCACGUUAUCCUCCACAGUCGCCCCCACAUUGAACUUUGGUGAGAUCCUCUUUUGAUUUUUAUUUUUAUGGUUGUUUGAUGAAGACUUUUUUUAUUUUUAUUUUUAUUUUUCGUUUGCUUUUCAUGUCUUUAUUUGGGAUGAAUGUACUAUUAUUAAACUCAUUAUUAUUAUUACUCUCUCUUGGGUUGGUUCCAUUAAAUAUGUGAUGAGUUAGUAGCAUCUCUAUAUCUUGAACGUAACUCAUCAAAAUGGAAAAUGAUAGGAGUUUCGUAAAUUGAGUCAUAAUAUUUAUUUAAUAUUGAUUUUGUGGAUUGCUCAACCGAUUUGGGAAUAUUUAUAUUUAGUUAAAAAAUUGUUAUGUGAAAUACCCAAGUGUUUGAAAAAUGACGGUUUUUAGCUCGAGCCUACGAUCUUUCAAUUGAGGACCCAACCGAACAAUAUGUGUCAUCACGCUCUGAGUACUUGGUCUUACUUACUCUUGCGCCUUUGGGGUUGGGAGGGGACUAUUAUUGUUUUCACACAAUAAAAAAGCAUCAAAAGACAUUGAAGAACUUCCAAGUAUCUAUAUUCAAGCUCAAGUCAAAUACCAAAAUGAUCAAAUCCGAUGAAGCCAUCAAAGAACUUGAAGAAUGCAAAAUCAAGAUAAAUAUGAAGAAAAGUUCAAGUUGAAGACAUUGUGUGAAAUAAUGUGUGACCCCUCGAUAGCGGGAGCGUAUGGGUUGGUCCAUUAAGUGUUACCGACCGCGCUAACUAUGUUAGUGAACCUUGAAAAAAGGGACUUUGGCAAUGAGUUCAACUGAUUACUCAUGAGGGUGAUUAUUGGAAAGGGUUCAAAAAGUGGAGGGUUUCAAACAACAAAGUAAAAUAAGCAUAACAUGUGUUUUGAGUUUAAAAGUCUGGAUAAGAAAAUAAUAAUCCCCAUAAUCAAUAUAUUGUGCUAUUGGAAAUGUUGUGAUAAAAAGUACAGAAUUCAUGAUUCCAUUGAGUUUUUCUUAGGAUAAGAGAGUAAAGACUACGCUGAUUAUUUCAGGCCAAUCUCGGGACGAGUUUGGAAUAAAGUUGGGGAGGUUUGAUAAGUCCAUUUUAUGAAUGUACUAAAUUGUUAUAAAUCUGUUGAAUUGAUGUAUAAUUGUCCAAGAAUGGCACUACUUUGAUGAGUUGUUGAACUUCAUAUACAGGUCAAUAUAUUGUACUAAAAGUGGGCGGAACCUGCAAGUAAAACAGUGCUAAAGGAAUGAAGAAACGUUGCUGGGAAAACUGACCAUGCUUCAAUGUUUUGGUCAUAACUGAAGUUCCGCAGCUCUAAUUGACAUGAGUAAAGAAGUUCUGGAAACUAGACAAGAUUUUCUACAACUUUUGUGUUUUGUGUUUCUGCUAGUUAUGUCGUUUUGACCACCAAAACUUAAACGAAAGAUGAAGGAUGCCUCCAGGCGUCUAAGACAUCCCCUAGGACGUCCACAUCAAACGGUCAGCAUCUGGCCGUUAUUUCAAAGCAGAAAAGAAGGAAGAACCCCCGUCAGCGUCUUACAUGGCGUCAAAGAUGUCCCCUAGGACAUCUUGGCAUUUUGGGGAUGUCCCGUGUUGGAACGGUGUGUUUCGGAAAGUUUAGAAAACAAGGCAGGACGUCCUAGAACGUGUCUAAGACGUCUCCUAAUACGUUUGACGUUUUUGGCCAUUUUUUAGUGUAUUUCAAGGACGACAGAUGGCAUGCAAGGACGUACAAAGAACGCCUGGGCGUUAUACACGACAUCUAAGAUGUCUGCUAGGACGUCCAACAUCCCACAUCCCCCAAUUUCAUUAUUUUUUAUCUCACACUAUAAAUACGAGCCUAUGAAUUCGUUUUUAGGGUUACCACCUCCGAUUUUCAGAGUUUUUCAUGUGUUUUUGAGGCUUCUAAAACACUUGGAAACAUUUGAAAACACAAAUCCAUUCCAUUAAAAUCCGGAUUCAAAGCAAGACUCAAUUCAAUUCAUCAUCAAGCUAUAAGUGAAGAUCAUUUCAUUGGUUAAUCUUCAUCAAUUCUUUAUUUUCCAGAAUUAUUUCUUCUUCCCCAAGGUUUAUUUUUUCUAUAAUUUGAUAAUCAUUAGGCUACAUUUGUUUGAUGAUUCUACAUUUGUUUAUGAAUUCUAUUAUGCAUUUUAUUCAUUUCAAUCAAGUUAUUUGUUUUAUGAACUCAAUGGAAGGCUAAAUCAUUAGGGUUACUUCUGGGGAUGUUUAGGACUUUUUGAUGAACAUAAUUGAUUAUUACUUGAUUUUAGUUAAUUCAAUUGUUGUUUUAUGCUUCAUGUGAUGAUCUUUUAGUAAUGAUAAUUGAAAUUGGGUUGUAUGAAUUGUUUGAUGUCAUAAUUAAGAUAGUCUAUUGUCAAUUCAUCAUUUGUUCCAAGUUCACUUAGUUUAGGAAUAAAGACAAGUGACUGAAUCAACAUAUAUUAUUCCAACUUAUGAUAUUGAAUCUUAAUGCGGUAAUAGGUAGUUGUAUGAUAUUUUAUAGCUAGUCCACUAAUUGUUCUUAAUCCAUUUAGGCAUAAAGGAGUAAGACAACUAGUUAAAUGAAAAUUUAGUGUGCCCAAACUAUGUAUUACAAGUUAAUAAACCCCAAUUGUAUCUAAGUAAUUGAAUUAGGAUUUAAGGGAAGAAAGUGUGUGAAUUUAAACUAUCCAUAACUGAACCGGAAGUACUCUAGUUUUCUCAUUGAAAUUUUCGUUUUAAUUAAUAAAUUUCCAAGCUUUUUGUUUGAUCUUUGCUUUAAUUUUUUUUCGUGACAAUUUCUAGUAGUUUGUUUUUUUUCGUUGACUAUUUUAACACAAAAUUUGACGACAAACUCCUUGCGGAUUCGACCCUUACUUACCCUAGCUAUCUAGUGGUUUUGAGAUUAUUCUUGACUGAUACAACGACAUUGAUCAUCGUGCCAAAACCCUAAAGAGACCGAUGUGCCUGGGGCCCAAUUUGCUCUUCUUCCUGAAUCGGAUGACACCUUUCCAAUGUGACAAGUUCAGGGGGACCAUAUCCCUAACCUGAAACUCUAAAUCUGAUUGGUGCUUGUCGGCAUAGCUCUUCUUCCGGCUCUAAGCUGUCUGGAGCCUACUCCAAACUGCUGAAUCAACUUGGUAGUCUUGAGUACCGCUUUGGUACUCCCCAUUAGUAGCUGACCGUCCUCACCCCAACAUAUCAUGGUACUGCAUUUCUUUCUAUAGAGCAUCUCAAAAGGAGGUCGAUUAAUGUUGGCGUGAUUACUAUUGUUAUACAAAAACUAUUGGAUUAGGUGUCUAAGACCAUAACUAUUUUGGUAUGUACUUGACCCGAUUGUGAGCAUGGUCCUUUUGGGUUGCCUUCACCAUAGCAACUGAUGGGAUGAAUUAAGGAGAAAAAGGAUUAAUUAUGAUUUAUUAAUAUAUUAUAUGAAUAAUAUAUUAAAAGAGAAAUCAUAUUGUUUAAUUAAUAUUAGUCAAUAAUUCAUUUUGUGGCUAAAAGAGAUUAAUUAAAUAAAGGGGACUGAUAUUGCAAUUAUAUGAUAGUUGCAAAUUGGGCUAUGGAUUCCUAAUGGAAAUCGGAUUGGACAAAAUCUAUGGGAAGCCCAUAUGGAUUUCGUCCAAGGGCUUUCCAAGGGAACUCCAUGGGUUGCUUAAGGCGUAAGCAGUGAGAUUAGGGUUUCCUGAUUCAAAACCCUAAUAGCCUAAGUAUAAAAGGAACCCUUGGCAAGCCAAAAACGUCCCUAACCUUAUAAGAGAAACCCUAGGACGUUUUUGGUGCCUCCUCCCUCUCUCCUUGUUCAUCUUGUUACAUAUGGUGUUUGUGACUCCAUUAGAGGUGCAACAUUUGAGGCACUAGGCUUUCAGAAGUCAAUUACAAGAAGGAUUCGGAUUGUUAUUGCAACAUAACAAUCAAGGUAAGAUCUAAAAUCUAUCCUUUUGUCAAUUUUGAUUAUUGUAUACUAGAGUUAGGGUUUAUGAGCUUUGGAUGAUUAUUACGUAUAUCAGACAAACUAGAUCCAAAGCUUUAGGGUUUGCAUGUACACCAUAGGAUUGACGUAGUGCUCAAAACCCAUCAAAAACUACGCCAAAGGGAUAUAUGUAUCCCAACUCCCACCAAAAUCCAGAACACACGCCCGAAGCAUAUCCUCCAAGGUAUGAAUAGUCCUCUCGCUCUGACCAUCAGUAUGUGGGUGGAAAGUCGUACUGAAAUGCAGAUGAGUACCCAGCUCGUCGUGGAACCUCUUCCAAAAUCUGGAAGUAAACCGGACGUUCCUGUCUAAAACCACAAAACGGGCACACCAUGAAGUGCCACUACCUCCCUGAUGUAUACCUCAGCUAACUUCUCUGAGGAGAUACUAUCUUGAGUCGGAAUAAAAUGUGUGAACUUGGUCAAUCAAUCCACGAUGACCCAAAUCGAAUCCACUCUAUGUUCACUCUAAGGCAACAUCGUAAUGAAAUCCAUGGUAAUCUCCUCCCAUUUUCAAACAGUGAUAUCUAACGGUUACAUCUUGUCGUGAGGCCACUGAUGCUCGGCCUUGACUUUCCUUCAAGUCAAGCAUCUCUCCACGUACCAAGCUACAUCCCGCUUCAUACAGGGCCACCAAUAAUCAGGAUGAAGAUCAAUAUACAUCUUCGUCGUGGUGGGAUGAAUGGAGAAUCUCAAUUUGUGUGCCUCCUCCAUCAGAACUUGACGCACACCAGCCCAAUCGGAACCCACACUCUUCGAUGGAGAUUCAAUAACCCUUGGUUUUCAUAAUAAAAGGAAGCCACCUGACUCACUGUGCGCUCACUCUUCCCAUCACAACCUCAACCUGAGCCUCUCAAAUCUACUCUAAAAGUGGAGUGAUCACAGUCAUCCUGAAACAAAUAUCCUUGAACGGAGCCGCGAUCGCCUUGCUGCUAAGAGCAUCGGCCACCACAUUAUCCUUCCCCGUAUGGUAAAGGAUCUCACAAUCAUAAUCCUUCACCACAUCCAACCAUUGGCACUGCCUCAUGUUCAUAUUUGGCUGAUCCAUCAGAUACCUCAAGCUCUUGUGAUAUGUCUAUAUAGUACAGCGGGCCCCAUAGAGGUAAUGUCAUCAAAUCUUGAGGGCAAAAACCAUAGCCCCAACUCUAAAUCAUGCAUCGGAUAAUUCGUCUCAUGAUGCUUCACUUACCUUGAAGCGUAAGCGAUCACGUGACCCCUCUGCAUCAGAACUACACCUAAACCUGUGAUCGACGCAUCAUAAUAAACCAUGAAAUCUUCAACACCCUCCGGCAGGGUCAAAAUAGAUGCCUCACACAAUCUUUAUCUUAGGGUCUCAAAAGUUGCAUGUUGGUCGGGCGCCCAGCGAAAAGUGACAAUCUUCUUCGUCAACCGAUUUAGAGGAACCGCUAUCUUGGAGAAAUCCUAAAUGAACCUCCGAUAAUAGCCUUCCAACUAAGGAAACUCCAAAUCUUAGAUGGAGACCUCGGUACCUCCCACCUCAUCACGGCCUCGACCUUGGCCGGAUCGACCAGAAUACUGUUUUGGUUGACAAGGUGCCCUUGAAACUGCACCUCGUGCAACUAGAACUCGCACUUGGAGAACUUUGCAAAAAGUCUCUCCCUCCUCAAAGUUUCCAAUACCUCCCUGAAGUGCUCCUCAUGUAGCUCCUGGGUCUUGGAAUAGACCAGGAUAUCAUCAAUGAAUAGGGCAUUUUGUAUAAUCAAUUGUUGAUGUUAUUGAAAAUAAUGAUGUUAUUGAAACAUAUGCAUGGCAUGUAUUCCCAAUAAUUAUAUUUAAUUAAUUGGUUGUUGUGCAUGUUAUUAUAUUGGGAACAAAUUAGAAAGUGGUCCAUGUGGUAGUACAUGAUAUGUAUGGGGACCAUUUGUAGUUAAUAGUCAAUGGGUAUUUUUAUAAUGGAAAAAUGGGACCUUUGAACCCAUUAUAGAACCAUAUCCAUGACUAUAUAACAAAUUCACAUGCAUGCACAUUAUUCCAAAUUUUUCCAUGCAUAAAUAUUCAAACCCAUUGGUCAUGAGUUUACUUAAAAAGGCAACAUACUUUCAUAAGUGAGUAAAAUAUCAUUUCAUGUCAACAAUUUACUUACAAAGGCAACAUACAUUCAUUAGUGACCAAAAUACCCUUUUAUGUCAUGAGUUAACUUAAAAAAGCAUCACGCAUACAUAAAUGACUAAAAUACCCUUUUAUGUCAUGAGUGAACUUAAAAAGGCACCAUGCAUACAUAAAUGACCAAAAUACCCUUUUAUGUUAUGAGUGAACUUAAAAUGGCACCAUGCAUACAUAAAUGACCAAAAUACCCUUUUAUGUCAUGAGUUAACUUAAAAAGCCACCAUGCAUACAUAAAUGAUCACAUCACAUGUAUUCAAAUACACAUACUUUAAAUCCAAAUUACCAUCAUCCUAAUACACAAACUUAAAAUCCAAAUUACCAUCAUCCUAACACACAUACUUUAAAUCUAAAUAACACAAAGGAAAAAUCAACACUAAUAAAUUAGAAGAGCUUUUCCCUUAGAAUUUCCUGGAUCAUCAACACCACCAACUUUCUUGCCUAAUUUCAACUUGAAGAUUCUCUUUGACUUUCUUCUCCUUAUCCUGUUCAAAAUCUUGGAAAUUGGUCUAACCCUUACCUGUUGAACCUAGAUAAUAGGAGUAACCUCCUAAAUUUGAACAUUAUCAACAACUUGGACAUUAGGAAUAACCUCAUCAUCUUGAACAUUACCACCCUCCUCAACUUCCUCACCCAUAACACCCCCAUCACCUUCAUAACUUCUAGGUGGAAUAACUUGCAUAGACUGACUAAAAUCCCUUGCACUACUGGAUUCAACAUGAGUAGAAGUAACUUGCAUAUCAUUUUGAGUAUUAUCCAUCUCAAUUGGAGUCAUUUAACCUCUUCUUGUUGUUGUGGUUCACUUGUACUACCCUAUAUGGCAUGAUAUAAUUAUGUUAGUGGCAAAUCAUAUGUAAAUAAAUUUAAAUUUUAAAUGGUUUUACCUGUUCUGCAUUUUUCUUCACAUAAACUUUUUGUUUCUUCUGUUUCUUUACAUUUAACUUUUGGGGCCUUCUCUAUGGACAAGUGGCCUUACUGUGACACAUCUCCUUGCAUAUAAUACAUCUAAUUUUCUUUCCAUCCUUAGAAACCCUGUGUGUUCCUGUAUUCUUUGUAGUGGAUUUCUUCUUCUUAGUAGCUGGCCUACCAUGCAUCCGUCUACUAAUAAGAGGCAAUGGUGGAGUAUAAUUUGUCUCUGGCCACAUGUCACUGCCAUUCAUGGGGGAAAUUCUGUAAUUGUAUGCCUUCCGAAUUGUGGUGGUGUUAAACAUGUUGUCUACAUAGGCUUCUACAUCUCUAUUAAGAUUGGAUAUGGUAGCUACAGAAUGAGCAUAUCCAUAUCCAUUUAACCGCCACAACCUACAUGAACAUGUUUUCCUUUAUAAGUCCACCUCAUAUGCAUCUGUUUCUCCCUUACCUCGAACUGGUUUAAUCCACUAGGUAGUACCUGAUAAUGCCUCUGAAUUUUUUAAGCAAAUUCACCUUAUCCCUUAUCUCUGGACAAAUAUUAUUUCCCCAUUGUUGUCCCUUUAAUUUCAUGUUGUACAUUUUGUCCAUCAUGUAUAAUCUUAACUCCUCUAACAUGGUUAUUAUGGGCUUCUUCCUGGUAUCCACUAUUACAACAUUAAAACUUUCAGAGAAAUCAUUUUCAACUGCAUCACAACACCUUCCAGCUUGAAAGUAAGCUCUUGACCAUGUUUUAAGAUCUUUCUCCAUGAGAUAUUGAUGGGCAUCUGGGUUUAAUGUCUCAAUUUCCUUCAUCACAACUUUAAAAGCAUGCUCAUUUGUGGUUUUAGAUGCUCUCCAAAACAAGGUAUGAUAUAUGACACCAGUGAAUCUCUUCUGCAAAUUUUGAAAAAUAUGUCUAGCACACUGCCUGUGCAUAUGGAAGAAACUCUUUAACAGCCUCUAUCAAACCUUGUAUUAAUAAAAAGGUUUAAAUCAGAUAGUAUAAAAUAAAUAUAAAUGAAUUACUAUGUAAAAUACUAACCUUAUGUUGGUCUGACAUUAAACUGAAGCAAUUGCCUAAACUUAAGUUUAGAUUAUUAAUGAGAAGCUCUAAAAACCACUUUUAAUUCUACUUGUUCUCCACACUAACCAUUGCCCAAUCAAUAGGAUAUAUCUUGUUAUUUACAUCCCUCCCAAUAACACAAAGCAAUCCCCCCUUACAAACACCUUUAAGAAAACAUCCAUCAAGACCCAUUAUCCUUCUACACCCUUUAAUCCAACCUUGUUUAAUUCCUUGAAAACAAACAUAGAACUUGCUAGAAUAUUUCUUUCCAUCUGGACCAUCCUCCACAUCUAGUUUCACAGUUGACCUAGGAUUUGUCCUUAAAAUCUCAUCAACAUAUUACCAUAGCUUACCAUAAUGUUCAACAAGGCUACCUUCAACAAGAUUUAAUGCAUACUUCUUUGUUCUCCUACAUUAGCCCAUACUAACUUGGAUACUAAACUUGGUCAUUACCUUUACCCUAAGCUUCCUUACACUCAUUUUAUGACUUUGUACAAUCUCUUUGGUAUAGUGACUCCCAAUCCAUGCAUAUGUCACCAAUAAUCCAAACUUGAAGUUCCUAGCACAAUUAUGAUAAGCUUUUUGUGACUUGAUUUGGAAAGUCUCUCCAUCAUUCAUCCAAGAAGCCCAUAAUAUAAAUGUGCAAGCACCCUUGCUACAUCUCACCAAAAGUCUUUUCCUAUCAUAUUUUUUCAAAACACAAUUGAUAUCCAUUAGCCACAACAUAGUUGCACAACCUUGACUUUACUUGCCCUGGACCCUUAGAUCUCAUUCCUAGAAUUGGUUUUUGUUUUUUCCAGUGUAAUAGCUCAUUAAAUAUGGAAAUAGUUUGGAUGUUAGGUUCAACUUCUCUCCCAUUAUCAUCAUCUACAAUGUUGUUAUCCUCCUCAUCAUCAACACACAACUUACUCACGAAAGGAUCAUUUGAUGUCCUAUUCAUAUGCACUGCAUCCUUAUUAAAUUCAAAGACAACAUUCCUAAGUUCAUCUAUGUUAUCUUCAUCUAUGUUAGCGGCGCAGCUUUUUGCCCGUUUGCCUUCAAUCGAUAUGUAUUGAACAAAAAUGUUUGAAUGUCUAUCAAUACAAGGCUCAUGUUCAUCAUCAAACCACCCACCAACACCAACCCCAAUAUGAUCCACAUAAACCGAAAUUACACCAUCUGUUCCAUCAACAUCAAAAAUAAAAGCAGCAUAGUCCACAUCAUCUGAAAAUGGGAUUAAGCUCUUCCAUCAGGGAAUUGCCUGGUUUACAGUAGUAAAACUUUUUACACUCUUCAUGCAUGAAAUGUUCACAGAAGGUCACAAGCUCAGAAUAAGUCAUAGAAGAAAAGUCGACAUCAGUGAACAUGGUUUUCACACCACCAGUGUAAGAGAAAGGAUUUCGAUUAAAUACCCCUUGGUAGUUGAGUUCCACCAUCACAAACACUCCAUUAGGUUCCGAUUGUGCCAUUUUUGCGACUUCUUUGGCUCUUCAGCUCGAUCACAAAAAUGCUUCACAAAACCUAAAUCAAUUUCUUUUAAAACUAAAUAAUGAAGACGAGUGAAGUUCGAUAGCUGAAGACAAAAGGCUUAAAGCUUCGUAUAUCAUCUAUUGAUGUGGCAUAUCUCACAUGGCAUCAGAUUAGCUAAAAAAGAUAUAUUAAUUGACAUAUAUAAAAUGUCAACCAGGAAACCGUUUACAAGUAUGGAAAUGACUAAAUUAAUAAGUCAGAUACCAUUUUAAUGGUCUAAUGUACCCAAAAAACUUUAAUGACCAAAUUAGCCAAAUGUAAAAAGUUUCAUGUGCUACAGUGACAUUAUCCCUGAUGGGUUUUGAGCAUUCUAACACUCCUAUGGUGUACAUGCAACCCUAGAAACCUUGGAUCUAUGUUUGACUAAUAUACAUGCAAAUAAUUAUUUUCCAAGGUUCUUAUCCUAUCUAGCAUGGCAUGGGAACUUGAAUCAAAUAGAGCUAGUAGAAUUACUUACCUUGUAGUUGUUUAAAGCUUCGUAUAUCAUCUAUUGAUGUGGCAUAUCUCACGUGGCAUCGGAUUAGCUAAAAAAUAUAUAUUAAUUGACAUAUAUAAAAUGUCAACCAGGAAACCGUUUACAAGUAUGGAAAAUGACUAAAUUAAUAAGUCACAUACUAGUUUAAUGGUCUAAUGUACCAAAAAAACUUUAAUGACCAAAUUAGCCAAAUGUAAAAAGUUUCAUGUGCUACAGUGACAAUAUCCCUGAUGGGUUUUGAGCAUUCUAACACUCCUAUGGUGUACAUGCAACCCUAGAAACCUUGGAUCUAUGUUUGACUAAGAUACAUGCAAAUAAUUAUUUUUCCAAGGAUCUUAUCCUAUCUAGCAUGGCAUGGGGAACUUGAAUCAAAUAGAGCUAGUAGAAUUACUUACCUUGUAGUUGUAGUUGAUUGCUUGGAGUUUUAGAGCCUAGCACCAAUAGUGUGGAUGCCUCAAAUGUAAAUCACAAAUCACUACAAACUUGGAACUUUGAGAGAAUAGUAACCACCUUUCUUGAAAUCGGCCCUCUUACUUUACUCACCACAACUAGUAUGAUUUCAAGAACCAAAGCCUCCUUUAUAUAGUGUGGUGGAUUAGGGUUACAUCCAUGUAAACCCUAAUACCCAUGUCUUUUCAUUUCCAUGAGAUCCAUGGGUUAAAGCUCCAUGGAGUAUCCAUGGACUUUCCAAGCAAGCCUAGCCCAUUCCAAAUAAGCAUUAGCCCACACUAUAUAAAUAUAAGAGCCCAUAUUUAAUUAGUAAUACUUUUGAUCUCUAAAUUAAUUUUAGAUUAAUUAUAGAUCAAUACUAAUUAAAUAAUAUGGUUUUAUAUUAAUAUAUUAGAACUUAUAAUAUAUUAAUAAAUCAUAACUUAUACUAUUCUCAAAAGAUUAUCCAUAAAUUGUUCGGGUGAAGUGCAACCCAAAUGGACCAUGACGGGUCGGGUCAAGUACAUACCAAAUAUAGUUAUGGACUUAGACACUAUAUCCAACAAUCCCUACAUAAAGUCAUAUGUAGUCAAGGAUCAGAUAGAUAAUCGAACAUAUGACUCACCUAAGAGCGAACAAUCAGAAAAGAACAUCACAAUCAAGCCUUAGAUCAAGAGUUAUCAGUCUAUCCAACUUAAACUAGAUAGACCUAAGAUAUUAUUACCACCUAACCAUGUGACAUAAACAUUUAACAGAUACUAGCAUAUUUAUACACUUAGCAACUAUCCUUCCCUAGUUACCCUGUCAUUGAUCACUUCUCAAUCAAGUGAUCAUCUGGUCAGUCAUGCAUAAUCAUGAUAAUUGACCUACCCCAAUUUCCCUAACUAAACAUAACUCAUAACAAUAUCAUACAAUAAAUAGGAAAGACCUCACAAGAAUAGCAUACCCAGACACCAAGUGUUCUAAACUGCACAUGCAUAUCCUAGCCAACUAGCAUAUUUGUACUCUAACAGUAUCUCCAUCCUAUCAUGCACAGGAUAUAUAAUGAGAUAUGUGGCAUACUAUGAAACUCACCUGAACUGAAGAACCGGAGAAGCACAACAACACUCUUACACAUUUCACUACUCGAUCAUGUGAACCAAUUAACACCAAAAUAGAUAAAUCCUCAAUCAAUAAUCCAAAUCCUCCAAGUUUGACCCUAAGUCAAACUGGUCAAAAGUCAAUAGUCGAUGUAACGCCCAUGUUUCUUUCCAGACAUUAACUAAAUAAUUAGGGUCAACAAUCACCACAACGUGGUAACCUCUUGGCCACAUCCUGGGAAUUUCCAUACAAAAUAGUUACGAAGCUUAGGAUCACCAUGUCGUUGCAAGCCUAUUGCCACGUCGUGGAAAUUCACAGGAAGUCAUAUUCUUCAUUAUGAGCUUAAUGCUUACAGAUCUAAGCUCAAACUUUCAUAUUUGAUUCUUCUUGAUGAAUUAAUGGAUCUUAAACCAUAAGUCUAUUAAGUCUUUAAUAUGACCAAAACUAGAGCAUGGAGAAAAGGGAGCUAUGAAUUAACGCUUUUUCCAUCAAACAAGACCAAAAGAUGGUCACCAAACAAUUCUAAAGUUCUGGAGUUGGCCAAAACUCCAAGAAAAUGCCUUCAAGGGACUUCAAAGCAUGAUAUGAGAGAAAAGGAUGAUAAAGGUGGAAGCUUUAUACCUUCCCAAAAUCCACAAGACAUAGGAGAUGCAAGAUCUGAAGUAGAUACACCAUUCAAACUAGCAAACACACUGUCGUUUCCUUCCCAAAGUGCAACCCAAGGCUUCAAACUUCAAGAACUCCAAGAACUCAUCAAUAUCACUCAAAUAGGGCUAGGGUUUCGAAAUAGGAGGAUGGAGACUGAGGGAAAUGAGCUAACCCUAGAGUUAAGGCCAUUAAAUAUGGGAGAAAAUAUAAAAAAAAAAAUUAUGUGCUUGGGCUACAGCACUCACAACGUCGUGGCAACCCUCUAGUCAUGUCGUGGUGCUCUUCAAAAUGUGCGUUCCCGAAAAUAUGUGUCACGUCGUGGUCAUCCAUGCACCAUACCAAGGCAUAGAUUUUUCUCCUAAAACCCCAUCUUUGAUCCUAUUAGCUCUUUAGUUAAACUAUUAUAGAAAAUAGGUGUUAUAGCCACCAUUCCGAGUUCCUUCUGUGACUGCUAAAUUAGUGUUUGGCGGGUUGGGGAGCCCGACUUCUUUCUCUUAUAUCUUCACAUAUAUAUAUAUAUAUAUAUAUAUAUAUAUAUAUAUAACAUUUUUUUUUCAAAAGUGUAAUACUAUCAAGGGAAAUUGACUUAUCAGGGUAAUUACUGUUUUGUUUUGUUCACAUCGGGGUAACUCUUUUUUUAGUACACAUCUAGGUAACAAACUUUUUGUAAGUGUUCACAUGUGACCAUUAUAAUUGGUUGUAGCAAGUUACAACCGAACGUAAUUGUCAUAUAUGAACACUUCCAACAAGCUCGUUACCUCGAUGCAUACAAAAAAAUGAAGUUACACAUAUGUGAACAAAACGAAAAGGUAAUUACCCUGAUAAGCCAAUUUCCCUUUUUAUUAAGGUGGCAAAUCAUAAUGUUUGUAAUAUUAAUAUAUUCAUUUAAAUUUCUUUAAAACAACAUUUGUAACACCCGGAAUCUAGAAGAUUAAUUAUGGAAACAAAUUCCCUUACCUAAGUAAAAACACGAUGAGUUGAUGGUGGGAAACUCGAUGUGUUGGAGGUUUUUGGGACACACGUUUUUAUGAACCAACUCGGUGAGUUGGUGAAGGAAAAUCGGCGAGUUGGACACUGACUGAGAAACCCUAAUUUUUAGGGUGUUACACCCUAUUUAAAGACCUUAAGUUCUUUAGCUGGCCUCCUUACCGGCCUCCUCUAUCCAGAAACCCUAAAACUGAGCCUUGUCUUCCAUUUAUGAGUGUGAAAGCUUGGGGAGAGCCUUGAGAGUUCAUUUUUGGUGCUUUUUGAAGGAGCUAAGGAAUUAGGAGUUGCUUGGCUUGAAGAAGAAGUCUUGGAUCCAGAAUCUCUGCCUCAUUUGCCAAGUUUUUGAGGAAUCGUGUUCUUACCUUGCUUAUUUGUUGCUUAGAUCUCUUCUUGGGUUAGAGUUUAUGAUUUUUAGCCAUUUUGGGUGAAUGUUGGGGAUUAGGAGGUCCCAAGCAAUUAUUAUUUCAGAUAUAAGGGCUAGCGGCGCUGCUUGUUGCCCGUUCGCCUUCAAUCGAUAUGUAUUGAACUUUCAUUGGAGUAUAUUUUCUUAAUAUAAAUAUAUAAUAGAUAUAAGGUCUACAUGAGCUCUUUAGGCAUAAAGGUGCCAACUUUAUGGAUUUAAUGGCUUCAUGUAUUCAUUAAGUCUUUCAGUUAGCCCUUUUUGAGCUUUUGAUCACCUCCUAGUCAUGCUUAAGUGUAAAGUUGGAAACUUUACACGGCCAUCUAGCCUUAUGGGGACAGAUCUGCAUUAUGGGUUUUAUCUUUGAUGAUUAAGUGAUUAAUGAUUAAGCCUUCACUCUUUUAAGUUUAGGGUUUGGGUUUGGACCCAUUAGGUGAUUCCUAGGGGUAAAGUUGGAAAAUUUACCCUUCUUGAUCUCAUUUUGGUCGAGAGCAGAGCUUUGGAGCCUUUGGACUCGAUGAAGGUACCUUAAUGCAUUAAGAUGUUGGUUCUUGAGAGAACUCGGCGAGUUGACUUGGUUUCCCCGAUUUGUGUAGUUGAUGGAGAAACUCGACGAGUUGGGUUAACUUGGACCGUUGACUUUGACUUUCGAUUUAUGUCUUUGAACAAGUUUGUCCCAAUGGGUACUUGAGGUAAUCUGAAUUGUAAUUAAGGGAAUUAUGAGAUUAGGAUAAGGCCCAUAUGGGGUUGGUCCCAAUUUGGAAAAUUGGGCCAUUACUGGGCCUUUGCGGAUCUUUUGGUUUUGGACUUUUUGGUUAAUGGAAUUUGGGCCUCAGUUUUGGUUCAUGACGCGUUAGGGUUAAAAUGGUCAUUUUCCCCCAAGUAUGGAUGGAGGGCUUUAGAAUGGAACCCAAUUGCUAAUUAGGUGUUAUUUUGAUCUCAUAGCUCGGAGGUCUCAUCAGGGCAGCAGCUAGGGACUUCUUUCUGUGAGUUUCUGCGUUCGAGGUGAGUCUCCUUACUUUUCUAUGGUUUGAAGGCAAUAAUGACGGCCCAUUUGGUUUAUGUAUUAUAGGAAGACCUGGGGGAUAAACCUUGGCAGUUUGUAUGAAAGACCAGGAGGCGGCUCCUGGCAAACUGUAUGCAAGACCAGGGUCUGAACUCUAGCAGUUGACUAGUUAAGUAGUGUAGAUUUUAUACUAUUUGUCUUUGUGACACUUUCAUGGAAGACUCGAAGGUGGAUCCUGGCACUUGUCUGUAAGACCUAGGUUUUUGGCCCCCGGCCUGACAAGGAAGACCACAAGGCGGCUCAUGUCAUAAUGGCAAGACUAUGGAUGGCACAUAUCACCUUUACUAAUUGGGGUAUAUGUAUGCUAAGUAAGACUCAGUGAUAUUAAUGUUAUUUAUAGUUUUGAGUUGAGUUUUCUCCUGCGAUUGAGGUGCAACAGUUGGUGCGAGAGUUUCUGGAUCUCUGUCAGACUACUGAGACUGUGGCAGAUUGUGGAAGGGUGGAAGUGAUGUAAGACUGAGGGGUGGCCCGUAGCAUUCACUAGUUAGAAGUUGGUAUAAAAAUGUUGUAAGACUGUGGGGUGGCACGUAGCAUUCACUAGCGAUCAGAUAGUGUGGGAAGUGUUGUAAGACAGAGGGGUGGCCCGUAGCAUUCACCAGUCCCUAUACAGCGGUGAGAGUGUGGCAAAUUUGUGAUUUGCUCACGGUUUUCUUCGGAUGAUUUUGGCCAGGAUGGAUCAGUUCGCAAGGCUAUGGGAAGGACACAACAUGUUUGGAAUCAAGAUAUGGGAGGUCGUGGGAGACCGGGUUUGAGGUAAGACUAUAGUUGGUCUGUAACGUUCAACCUAGUAUCAGAUUAUUGACGAGACGGUUUGGGUAGUUAUUGCCAGUGAGGCUUUUUUUCAAAAGUUGCGAUGGGCGAUUGUGUGGAGUUUCAAAAGCAGCUACGAGGCAACAAGCUGUUUUGGGCAGUAUUAGUGAUUUUUGGGCAGUAUUUUCGGGUAGUACUAGUCAUUUGGAAUUUGUGUGUGAAUAUGUAAUUUUUCAAACAAUUUUUUUUUCAUUUAUAAAACUCAUAAAAACUCAUAUAUUUCAUUUCAUAAAAUCACAAGUGUCUCAAGUCAACAUAAAUCCACAAGAAAAAUCAAAUCCUAGAAUCCUCAACAUAAUCUCGAACAGGUGUGUACAAUCACGUCGGUGCCUUCCCGCGAUCCUCGGAGGUACUUGAAACACAUAUCACAUAGCACGGUAAGCAUAAAGCUUAGUGAGUUCCUCAAAAUACCAUGCACACACAUAAUUAGCCACUCGAGGCUAUCGCUCUGUAAGACCCUCCGGUUAAUGUGUCUUAGCGAGACCCACCAGUCCUACAAAUCGUCAGACCCUCCGGUCCGGUCUAAGUGAGAACCCUCCGGUCUCACUACUCGUUGGACCCUCCGGUCUAGUCUAAGUGAGGACCCUCCGGUCUCAUAGUUCGUUGGACCCUCCGGUCCGGUCUAAGUAUCUCAUAAUAUAGUACACAGUAUAUAUCACACAGAAAUACAUAACUCAAGCAAGCACAUAAGACCCUCUGGUCACACAUAAUGACCACACUAGGUAAGGUAUAAUGAGAAGACUCACCUCCUAAGAACUCGGAUAAUCUCAAACUCAAAUCACAGGUUUAGCCUCCGCCUAAUAUACACAAUAAUUAUCCCUAAUUAAUAACGGCUCUCACAAGGCUGAACUAACCCUUCCAUACACUCACAGAAGGGUAAAAGACCAUUUUACUCCUCCAUGGGCUUAAUAGACCACAUGUUGACCAAACCCUAAAAGUCAACCGAAAGCCAACAGCAAGGAGUACGCUGUGCGUACCAACUCCCUACGUUGGGCAUACUCGGCUGCCAUGCAGGCAUCGUGGAGACUCGACCUCUACGUUGUGCGUACUGGGAUUAUGCCCAGCGUACAUCCUAGUUUCACUCUCCUCACAAUUUUGGUCUUAAACAGUUAAUACAUUGGCUCAUAAUUCAGAUCUGGACUCCCUAAUGUCUCUUAAUCCAUAAAGUUGGUGACUUUAAGCCUUUGCGUGGCUAAAUAGGUCACAAACACUGAAAACUCCCAUCCCCUUUCCUCAUGAAACUCAUAACUCAUGCAUGGCUUACUCCUAAUGUCCAAGAUUAGAUUUUUAUGACUUUACUCCACAAAAUACACUGAAAAGGGAUAGAUCAAGGCCUCUAGAGUGCAUUAUCUCAUAAAGUCUCCAUCUUUUGGGAAAAAACCCUAAAGUAAUUCAUAUGAAUGCACCAAACAAACAAAUGAGAAAGCUUGAAGAUUUAUACCUUUAUGUGAAACCUUCUUCACAGCUAAGCUCAGAUCCAACUCCUGGGGCUCUCACUCCUUCUUCUCUAAAGCUUCCUCUCUACUUCAAGAACACAAGAUUACACCAACAAGCUCUCAAAUGCACUCUCCAGCUAUAAUGACGGAGAUUUAGGGUUAGGAGGGGUUGGUGUUUGGGAAUGGUGGCCAGGAAUGAGGCCAUCAUGUCCUUUAAAUAGUGAGCUCAUUAAAAUUUAGGGUUUCAUUAUGGGCCUAGCAUGCCCAGCGUACCCACUGGUACGUCGCGCGUACUAGGUGGCCUCCACAUCACUAACACGCAUUGGAGUAUGCUGAGCGUACACUCAAGUACGCCCCGAAUACUCGUUUACCACCUUUUCUCUAAUAAGGCCAAAAUGGACAAAUGCUCAAUAGAUCAAGGUUUACAAGGUAUACCUGGACUUGGGAUGUUACAUCGUGUGUGAGUCUCUUGUAGUUCGGGGAAUAUAAUAAGUUGCUUGUAGUGGAUUAAAUAAUCUCAGAGUGGUUGAUUUGAUUCUAUUGCGCAGUUCUCGUCUGAGUCUAACCAUUGCAGGGAUGAAUCUUCUACUCAAAGGAUUAUCUGAGCCUAUUGUCGAGUAUAAGUGUUCUGUAGCUGCAAAUGAUCUGUUUUUUGGUUCCUUUAAAAGCAUUAAGAUAUUGGUUUUAUAGUGGUUCAGAGAGGGGGAGGGGGUGAUCAGCCAGGAAGUCAAAUCAAAUUGAGAUUUCAGGUAUCAGGAAAGGUAAAGGUGGGUUUUUCUGCAAGGGAUUAAGGUUCGUUCUGCUAGGGUUGGUUUCAGUUGCUAUGGGAAGGUGGUAGUAUUAUGGGGUUGUGAAGAUGAGUCCUUAUGGGGACAGUGUUAUCUGGUGCUAUCUGUCAUGGAGUUCGGCAAUGUCCAGGGUUUUCCAGGUUCAAGUUUAAUGGUUAGGGAUCUUCUAUUUUGGAUUUGUCAUCGGUAUGGGUGGGCGGUUAUCUAAGCGGGGUGACUUCCUUAGUCUUUUGGGGUUCAAGGAGUUUAGUCAGGAUCAUCAGUUCGGUACACGAGAUUUUAGGGAAUGAUUUCGAGGAUGAAAUCUAAUUUAAGUGGGGGAGAGUUGUAACAUCUGGAAUUUACAAGAAUAAUUGUGGAAAUAAAUUCCCUUUCUAGGGACCAACACGGCGAGUUGAUCGUGGGAAACUCGACGUAUUGGAGGCUUUUGGGAUGAGCGUUUUUAUAAACCAAUUCAAUGAGUUGGUGAAGGGAACUCGGCGAGUUGGACGCUAAUCGAAAAACCCUAAUUUUUAGGUUGUUGUACCCUAUCUAAAGGCCUUAAGUUCUUUGGUUGGCCUCCUUACCAGCCUCCUCUGUCCAAAAACCCUAAAAUCGAGCCUUAUCUUCCAUUGUUGAGUGUGAAAGCUUGGGGAGAGCCUUGAGAGUUUAUUUUUGGUGCUAGUUGAAGGAGCUAAGGAAUUAGGAGUUCCUUUCCUUGAAGAAGAAAUCUUAGAUCCAGAAUCUCUGCCUCAUUUGCCAAGUUUUUGAGGUAUCAAGUUCUCACCUUGCCUGUUUGUUUCAUAGAUCUCUUCUUGGGUUAGAGUUAAUGCUUUUUAGCCAUGGUUGGGUGGAUUUUGGGGAUUAGGACAUCCCAAACGAUUAUUAUUUCAGAUCUAAGGUAUAUAUGAGCUCUUUUGGCAUAAAGGUGCCAACUUUAUUGAUUUAAGGGCUUCAUAGAGUCAUUAAUUCUUUCAUUUAGCCGUUUUUGAGAUUUUGUGCUCGUCCUAGUCAUGCUUAAGCGUAAAGUUGGAAACUUUACAUGGCCAUCUAGCCUUAUGGGUUCAGAUCUGCAUUAUGGGGUUUUGUCUUUGCUGAUUAAGUGCUUAAUGAUUAAGCUAUCACUCUUUUAAUUCUAAGGUUUGGGUUUGGACCCAUUUAGGUGGUUCCUAGGGGUAAAGUUGGAAACUUUAACCUUCGGGGUCUUAUUUUGGUCAAUAGCUGAGUUUGGAGCUCUUGGAUUCGAUGAAGGUAGCUUAACGCAUUAAGCUGUUGGACUUUUAGAGCUCAUAUCGUGAGUUCGAUCUUAUCCAUCCGCUGAAUCGACUUCUGACAGCCCGACUCUGGAACCCAUCCAUCACUGGCUCACGUCGUGAGCUUCAUGCUCACGUCAUGAGUCCUCUUAUAGUGUGGGGUUGAGUCUUUUACUCGAAGGAUUAUUUGAUCUUUGUUGCGUGUGGCUAUAUUAAUGAGGAAGCUAGUUGACAUUGGUGGGAUUCCUUUAGCAGUUGAGGGUUUGGUGAGGUCGGGAACCUAGGAAAGCCUAGGAUAUGCUUUAGUGGGUUAGUGGUACGGUUUAGUGAGUUUUGGUGCAUUGUGCUGAAGAAGUGACUUAGAGGAUUCGAGAGGAUUACUGAGGAAAGUAUGGAUAGGUGGGCUUUAGAAUGGAACCCAAUUGCUAGUUGGGUGUUAUUGUGAUCUGAUAGCUCGGAGGUGUCGUCAGGGCACUAAUGUCGGCCCAUUUGGUUUAUGUAUUAUAGGAAGACCCAGGGGAUAACCCUGGGCAGUUUGUAUGAAAGACCAGGAGGCGGCUCCUGGCAAACUGUAUGCAAAACCAGAAUCUGAACUGUGGUAGUUAACUAGUUAACUAGUGUAGAUUGUAUGCUAGUUGUCUUUGUGAUGCUUGCAUGGAAGACUCGGAGGUGGCUCAUGGCACUUUUUUGUAAGACCGCAGGUUUUGGCCCCCGCCCUGACAAGGAAGACCACGAGGCGGCUCGUGACAUAAUGGAAAGACUAUGGAUGACACAUAGCACCUUUACUGAUUGUAGUAUAUGUAUGCUAAGUAUGGCUUGUUGAUAUGAAUGUUAUUUAUGGUUCAAUCGGUAUGUUUGGUAUGUGGUAUUUGGGGAACUCAAGAAGCUAUGUGCUUACAUUUUGUGCUUUAUGGUUUCAUGUAAUUCCAUUUUGAAAGGAAAGGGUUCGGCUUAAUCGCAACGCAUACACCCAUGUUUUCCGCAAUGUGUGAUAUUUAGGAAUGAACUCUGAUAAUUGUUUUAUUUUGAAACUCUUCUAGAUGUCGGAUUAAAGGUUAAUGAAUGUUUUGGGCAUAAUAAAAACGAAAUUUUUACCCCUGAUUUUCGGGAUGUUACAACAUUUAUUACCAUUUAUUGACAUUUAAAUUGGCCACGACAUGUUUGAAACCAUUUGUGAUAGCAUAAUUAUCAAAUCAAAUAACUCUAUAUAUUGAGACAAGAGCAAUGUUAUCCAUGUGGAUAAAAUGUAUUUCUAUUUUUUGUAUUUUAAAUUCAUGUAAUACAUGGAACAAAAUUGAAGAUGAUAUUCUAUUUCAUGUUAUUGGUCUCAAUAUCUGACACUUUUAGUAUCUAGUAAAUUUUAAUUUUCAUAUGUAAUAUCUUAAACAAUAAAAUUCUAUAAAAUGACGAUGUAUUUUUUCCAUGUCAAAUGUGAUUUUUUUUUUGUAUCAAAGUAGUGUAUUUUAAAAAGAUAUUUACCAAGUUGGAUUGAGUGACAAGUGGAUUGAGUUAACUGAAAAAAAAAAUUAUUUUUCAUGGGUUAGAAAAGAUGAAAAAAAAAAGUUGAUAUAGAACUCACACCACAUGAAUGAUUUGACACCGUUCUACUCCUACGACCUUUACCCCCAACAUCGAAUUCAUUAUGAUUGUUAGCCUAUCUUACGAGACAGACAUGACCUCCUACUACCAUGUAUACUAAGUCCCACUAUUUAUAACUCUACCCUAUAAAACUCGACGGAGCGCUGGGGUGAAGGGUUACGGGAUCCUUUCCCGCUCACCGGAACANNNNNNNNNNNNNNNNNNNNNNNNNGGGGGGGGGGGGGGGGGAAGGCUGCUGCACUCUCUCUCUCUCUCUUCUUCCUAUUGGCUGGUUUUUUUCCCAAGCGAACUGUUUGAAAUAAAUAACAAAAUUAAUUUUUUUUUCAAUACAACUAUUGAAAAACAACAAUGAAUUUAUAUAUAUAUAAUUUUGUUUUUACCUCUAUAACAUCUAUAAAUAUACACAUACUUUAACCUUUCAAACUCACACCUCCUUCUAUGAAUUUCUCUGUACUUUCUUCAAAAAAAGGAAUCCAUACAACCAAACCCCAAACUUCGAUAGAAGGAAAAAAACCAAUGUUUCAAAUUUAAGCACCCCAACUCGAAACAUUUUUGAUAUCGAUUCAUCUCAAGGGGUUUAUCGUCCACAACUCGAUGCUCACAUUUAAUCUUCACUACAAUCACAAUACCAAAAUAUUAGACAAUUUUACCCGAUGCAAGUUCCAAAUGUUACUCCAAAUAUGCUAUUAAACUUUGUUGUUUUUCCUGAUCAACUUUCGCCAAAUCAACCCCAAACUCAAAUCCCACUCUUUCAAUCUCAAACCCAAACCCAACCUAAGCCCAAACACAAUAUCAACAACAAUACCAAAUCUUCGAUGAGUCGGAUGAAGAGAUUGUACGGGAAACUCAACCCACAACCCCCAACCCCACAAAGUAAAACAACAAGUGAGAGAGGGUUCCAUACAACCGGGACGACAGAAGCCGCAACCAUGGACUAAACGAGAAGAGAUAAUUGGGGUAAAAGCUUGGGUUGACAUUUCAGAUGAUUCAGCGACAGGAAAAUGCACAACCUGAGGAUCAUUUUUGGUUUCACAUUCUUGAGAGGUUUCAUAAGGAGAUGGGAAAAAGUGACGAGUAUCGUACCAAUCAUCAAUUGAAUUCAAAGUUUCGAGAAAUAGCGUGGGCCGUUUCAAAAAUGAGCGGGUGUACAACAACCUAAAAACCUAAUGGAAAAGCAGCCAAGGAGAUGAAGAAAUACUUCAGGAAGUUUUGCAUUUUUUCGAGAGGAAGUGGGAAAGUCAUUCAAGUGCCACGAUUGUUGGAAAAUAUUGAUUAAAAGUCGUAGGUGGAAAAAAUACGAGCAAGAGUUUAUACGUCGAGUACAACAAUCAAAACGAACAAAAAUGAGCUCUAGUGGUUACACAACUUCCUCCGAUGCUCGGGUCGGUCUAGAUUUAAAUGACGAGGACGCACUCGAGCUAGAAGAAAUUGUCCGACCGAUAGGUAGGGACAAAGCAAAAAUGAAGGGAAAUGAGACUUCUUGGGGUGAAUCGAAUUUCAGCAUGGACGCGGACCAAGUGCGAAAAAUGGUGGAGAUAUUUGAUCGAUAUAAUCUUAAUUUUGCUGAAAGUUUUGGCAUUCGACAAAGACAAAGAAGGAGAAAAAAAGAAGGAGAACGCAUAGAAACAAGAAAUGGAGGAGAUGAUGUUAUUGAUGAAAAAUACCGACCAUCUUUCGGGACUAGCUUCGGAGCUCGUUUUGAAAAAAAAAGGUGCGGAUUAUGCAAAAAUAUUUUCCCUAAGAGUGUUGUUUGUUUUUUUUUUCUAGUUAUUUAAAUCUUAGGUUUUUAUGUAAUUUUUAUUAUAAUUAACAAUGGCGGAGUUACUAUAUCAUUAUAAAUAAUAUUUUGUUUCUUAUAAUGAUAAUCUUUCCUAAUAAAUAAAGAACUUUUUGUCACAUGUCAAACUCUCAUUGAUUUGACCACAUGUCAUUUUGUGGUUAUUUUCAAUUAAUUUUUUUUUACACAUGUCAUUUUGGGGUUUUUUCAUUUUAUUAAUUUUCACAUAAUAUUUAAAUGUAAUAAUUACAAUAAAUAUAAUAAUAAAAUGCAUAUCAAUUUUAUUAAUUGACUUCCUUUUAAUUUUAAAAUUUCUAAAUUAAAGUUUCAUUAGUUUCCUUUAUUUAUUUAUCUAAAUUAUUUGUUUAAUUUAAAAGAAAAACAAACAAUUUAAUUUUAAUAAUUAAAUGUUUUUCUAUUGUUUUCUUAUAAAUUCAAACUUGUCAAAUGUUUAAAAUUUUAUAUGUUUUUCUUUAAAAUGAACUCAUGUAAUACAUGAGUGUUACACCUAGUGAUAGAUUAUAUCACGAGUACAAUUCAUUUAAUGAAACAUAUGUACGUAUAAUUAGAGAAAAUUUUUAAUAUUAGCAUGUUAAUCCUCUCUAAAAAAUAAAAAUAAUUUUGCCACAUAUCACUCUUUUAUUAAUUUGGACACAUGUCAUUUUUUGGUAUUUUUGAUUAAAUGUUUUUUCCAUUUGUCAAUUUUUUAUUUUUUAAUAUUUUCUUAAUUAACACAUCAUAUAUACACCUCAAUUAAUAAUUACCUUAAUUGAAAAUAACCAAUAAAUUACAAUAUUAAUAGUCAUAUAGUAUUUAAUAUGUUUCCUUUUAAAUUUAAAUUUUAAAAUUUUAAUUUCAAAUCUAAAAUUUCAAAUUUGAAUAAAAUUUGUUUGAACUUUUAUAUUUAAUUUUUGUUUUAUCAAACUCGUAUAACAUACGGGUCUCACACCUAAUGGAGAAUUAUAAAUCAACGUUUAUUGUCGGUCUAAACUUUUGAAAUGUCAUUUUUGCAAUGAUCGGUAUAACUUCUCCUUAAAGGAAUUUUUAUAGUCAUUUUCUCUUUCAAGAUUGUAGACUCUUUUACAUUAUUUUGAUAAAAGAUAUAUUUGAAUAUAUUUUUACGACGUCGGCUUUCCUUAUUCUUAAAUCCUGGCUCCGUUCCUUUUAAUUAAUGUAGUGGUUUUUAUUUUUAAUUAUAUAUAUAUAUAUAUAUAUUACUUAUUCAUUUAUAAAAUUAUAAAUCAUAAAAUCAAUUAUUUUUACUUAAAAAAGAGUGAUACACCUUUACAAAAUUAUAAACCAUAAAAAUCAAUUAUUUUUACUUAAAAAAUAGUGAAAAAACCUUCCCACAUACACCUUGGUUUCUAACUAAGAAAAAAAAUGUAGGAAAAAGGAUAAAAUGAUAAAGAAAAAUAAUAAAAAAAAAAAUAAAAACCUUCCCGUACCCACCCUCCGGCAUAAGAAGGUGCGUCCCUACGAGUACAAGAUACACAGGUGUAGAUACAUAUGUAAAAAGCUAGUAAUUAACCAACUAAUUAUUAAUUAUUAAAUAAAAUAGGGAUAUAAUAUUAAUGAUAAACACAUUAAAAUAUUCCAAAUGCUCAUGAAGUCAACAUGAGAAAUUAUAUUGCAAUAAAUUUCUUGUUGGGUGAGAAAUUCACAAGUAAAAUUUGUAUAGUAAAUAACAAACCGAAAGUUCCAGAAACAGGUCAAAACUUAAAACCCUAAAUGAGCUUACAAAUUUCCAUUGGCCACAUACCCCACCACAAAGGCACAAACAAUCAAUGAAACAAGUGUAGAUGUAGAGGCCUUUUUCACCACAAUCACCCUUCAUCGGCCAUUUCGAAGGCCACGUGAAAUGUCACUAACGUGGCCCUCUAAAUAUCCACUACUUUGUCUUUAACCCCUCCCCCCUCCCUUAUAAAACACUCCAUCCUCCUCCUUAAUCACCAUCACCAACAACCUUCUCUCCUUCCUCAAAAGUACCACCAUCUUUUCCGACAUGGCAGCUUCUUCAAUCUUCAUGGCAACUCCCAUCACACUCCUCAAAAAAACUCCCACCUUCUCCGUCAAAUGCAUGUCACAAACACCUCAAAGCGGUGAACCGGAGAUUUCAAAAUCAGCAACCACCCCAACACCACCACAGAUCAACAUUCCUCCUCCUCCGCCACCUGCUCCAAAGGUCAGCACGAAAUUCUCUGACGUGUUGGCGUUUAGUGGACCUGCACCGGAGAGGAUCAACGGAAGGUUGGCGAUGAUAGGGUUUGUGUCGGCGAUGGCUGUGGAAGUGAGCAGCGGUCAAGACGUGUUUACCCAGAUCGGCAACGGCGGAGUUGCGGUGUUUGUGGGGACUAGCGUCGUGUUGACGUU
This 252595-nucleotide long non-coding RNA is filed under the name Lactuca sativa (garden lettuce). The record is from RNAcentral. Lineage: Eukaryota; Viridiplantae; Streptophyta; Magnoliopsida; Asterales; Asteraceae.